AGUCAUGGUUUGCUUCAUUACUUCACCUUCUCCCAACAAUUUGGCAACGCCAAAAUCUCCAACAUGUGCAACCAUGUCUUCAUCUAGUAAAAUAUUUCUUGGUUUUAUGUCACAAUGAAUUAUAGGUGUUGGAUGUCCAUUGUGGAGGUGUUCUAUAGCUCCCGCAACAUCUAUCAUUAUGUCGACCCUUUGUAUGAUAUCAAGGAAACAAAUUUCAGAGUGUAACCAUUUCUCAAGGUUUCCAUUAGACAUGUAAUCAAGCACCAAGGCUUUGAAGUCAACACUUGAGCAGCAAGUAAUGACCUUCACAAUAUUACGAUGAACUAUAUUACGCAUAGCAUCACAUUCAAUGUCAAAACUCCUAAAUGCUCCCUCUGUUUGCAAAUUGAAAACUUUUAUUGCAACUUCCAUUCCAUCUGAAAGCCUCCCUUUAUAUACAUAUCCAAAACUCCCUGAACCAAGCAUAUUGCUUUCCUCAAAUCCAUUAGUUGCUCGUGAAAGUUCAGCAUGUGAAAUUCUUCUCGGUGUCUUCAAAGACAACAAAUCAUCUUUAAUUGGUAGAGUUGUACUUCUCCUUUGGCAACUUCUAUACAUAAUAGUUAAGACUGUUAGUACUACGACAAUACCAAUUGUUGUAAACCAUACCUAAAAGCAUGCAAUAUAAUCAUUUGGGAGUUUUUGUGGAUGUCGUUUUUGCAAGGUGGGACUAGCAAUCUAGGUGGGCCACAAAGUGCAUAAUUCUUCAUGAAUGAUGUGCUAGAAAAGUUUGAAAAACAUCCUUUGCUGGGAAUUUCCCCUUCAAGUCUAUUGAAAGACACAUUAAAAUACUUUAGAUAUAAAAGCUUUUCCAAAGAUUUGGGAAUGACUCCAGAGAGAUUGUUAUUGCAUAAAUCCAAGAAUUCCAAACUAAUCAAUCCAUCAAAUGAUUCAGGGAUAUGACCAUGUAGUAUAUUAUUUGAUAAAUCUAAUGAAACCAAAGUUUGAAGACCCCCAAAUGUGGAUAAGAUAUCGCCCGUGAGAAGAUUCCUUGAUAAAUUUAGUUUCAGUAGACUCCUAAGAUUUCCAACAUCAAUAGCAUGUGAAUUGUGAAGAUGGUUUGAUGAUAAAUCUAUUUUUAAGAUAUCUUUAAGAUUCCACAAAGUUGAGGGUAUUGCAGAACUCAAUUUGUUGGAAUGUAACCAAAGAUAUCCCAAAGAAGUAAUAUUACCCAAACAAGAGGGUAUAGAUCCAUGCAGCUUAUUCAACCCUAAAAACAAGUUGUAUAAUCUCUCCAAAUCACAAAGGCUUUCUGAGAUGGGCCCUCCUAAUUUAUUAGAGGAAAGACCUAGACUUUGGAGAUUCCGCAGUCCUCCUAUUGAUGUUGGAAUGAAUCCACUUAAUUUAUUAUAGCCAAGUUCUAAAAGCAACAUGUUGCUUAAGUUACCUAUUUCCAUAGGAAUAGUGCCUUGAAGCUCACAAUCUUCGGCAUAAAAGUAUUGAAGGGAUUUUGAAAGGUUCCCAAUAUAAGUAGGAAGAACGCCACUCAAUGGAUUUUCUGAAACUCCUAUGGUUUUCAAAUUCUUACAAUUCGUCAAAGAAGAAAGAAAGCUCCACUCAUGAUCAGUAGCAGAUCCUGUGAUCAAAUUAUUGUUUACGAUUCGGAACCAUUCAAGCUGUCUUAAGUUGCCAAGCGUUUUAGGGAUUGGGCCAGAGAAUAAGUUAUCUCCCAAGUCUAGUUUCGUAAGCAUGGAAGCAUUGGAGAUAGAGUAGGGAAUGUUUCCGCUAAGUUUAUUUCCCCCCAAAAAAAGAAACUCAAGCUUUGGAGCAUUGGUAAUGGGUGGUAAAUUACCUGUAAAAUAGCAUCUUUUAGUAUACAUAUUAAUUGAAUACCAAAUUCAUAAAAUAUAUAAUACAUUAAAAUAAAAACUGUAAAACUUCAAAUCAAUUAAGAAUAAAAUUUUGGCAUGGAAAAAUGUGAUGAAAUCAAUUAGAAAGUUGAGACAUAAUAAGAAGUUUUGAGUAGUAAUUACUCAUGAUUUCUAUAGACAAAACAUAUAAUACACUGAUAAUUUUUUAUAAUUUUUACAAUAUUUACAAUUUCUAACAAUUUUUAAUAAUUUUAUUAUUUAAUACAAAUUUAAAAUUUAACAAUUUUUUAUUUUUUUAAAACAAUUAUAUAUUUAUAAUGUAGUUAUUUUUUUUAUAAUUUUUUUUGAAAUUUUAAAGAUUUUUUUGGUUUUUUUUCUAGAUGAUGAUGCCAUCAUGAUGACAUCAUAUGCCACAUGGCAAUUUAUAAUUAGUUAAAUAUCUCAAUCCAUUUUUCUAACGUCAAAUGGACUAAAACAAGAACACCUGAUAAUGUUAGAGACUACACUUGGAAUGUUUGAUAAUAUCAGGUACUAAAGUGGGCAAAAAAAUUAAGGACUAUAUUAAAAAUAUAUCUAUAAUAUAUAUAAAUGCAUGGAUUUUGAGAAACUUUUGAAAUGAUAAUUAUAUAGUCUUUGUUUUUUUUACUAUAUUAUUGAAUUUUUUAUUUUAAAUAUUUUUUAUUACUUUUAAGAUUUAUCAUAUGUAUGUAUAAGAAUUUUGGUUUUACUAAAAUAUUUGGUCAAAUAAAUUCACUUUAUCAAAAAAUCUAGCAUCCUUAUAAAUAAAAAUUUUGAUUCUAUUAAAAAAAUUAUUUUAAAAAAUAUAUAAUAAAAAUUUAAAAUUUAUAUUGAAUUACUUUAUACUUAAAUUAUUAUUAGAAACUUUAUCAUACACAUACGUGCAUUAGAACCAUGUAUUUAGAACUUAAAUUUGUGUUUUAAAAUAACUUAUGAUAAAUAAUGAAAUGUAUAAUUUGAAACUAUUUAAUAAUAACACAUGACAUAUCUACCAUAUUAAAAUAAAAAUAGAUUAAAUUGUAAGUAAAACAUAAUUUAAACAUAUGAAUACAUCAAAUUACGAAUACUAAAUGAAUACAGUUAUUUAUGAUGAUGUUGUUGUCAAUUCCUAAGUUGGUGUCGAGUUAAUUUGUGACAUCAUAAAUUUAAGUGAUAAAUUUAAGGUUUUAUGUAUUGAUGCGGAUUCAAAUAUCACCAUAAUUUUUUUUAAAUAAAAAACUAAAGUACCCUCAAAUAAUAUAACUUAUAUUAAAUAUGAAAGGGUAGUUUUGUAAUUUCUCUAACGAGUUGGUGCCCGGUUGACUCAUGACACCAACUCAAUCAAAAGCUUCAAUAAUAAUAUAGAUAUUCACGUUAAAAAAAAAGUACUUUAGUUCCAAAUAAUUAUAUAACAAGUAAAUUUAUAAUUGAUGAAUAAAUUUAUAAAAAUAUAUUUAUAUGAUCUAAUAUAUUAUAUUUAUAUUAAUUAUAUAUCAUCUACAAACUUUGAAGAUCAAUUCAUUAAGUAUCAAGAAAGGAAAAAAAUGAAAUUGAAUUAACACUAAAUCAAUUUUUAGAUUUUGUACAGAUGAUUUAAUGAUGAUAAAAAAAUUAUUAGCACUAUUUUUGAAUUAACAAAAAAUUAGUGAUAUAUUUUAAUUAUAUUUAUUAUUUAUUAUUUUUAAUAAUGUUUUUUUAAUUAUAUGAAGUAAAAUUACAGUGUAUACUAAAUAUGGUACAUAUACUUUAAUUAUAACUAGAAAAUUUAUUAUAUAAAUUAAUAUAUUUUAAUUAUAUUCAACCAUUUGAACAACAAAAUAAAAAAAAUAAUUAGAAUAAUUUAUUUUUUAAAGUUUAAUGGAAAUUAAAAAAUUAAAAAUAAAUCAAUUCAUAUAAAUUUUGUUGUUUAUUUCAGAUGAAAAUGAUAAAAGUAUAUGACAUAAAUAGAAGAAACAAAUUCAACACCAUGUUUUUGGAGUUUGGAAAAAAUUAAAGUGAAAAACAUACCUUCUAAUUUGUUGUCAUGGAGACCUAUUUUUUCGAGCAUAGUUGAAUUAAAAAUACUUGAUGGAAUCUGACCUGCACACAUAGUCGAAAAUUGAAGUGAAAAACAUACCUUCUAAAUUGUUCAACUAAAAAUACUUUAAGCAUAUUUUUUAGUAAAGCCCUUCAAGCUUGGGAAGAUGUUGACACGUUGACACAUAUCAUUAGGCAAAGACUAAUAGCUUUCAAAGAAGAAAUCUUGAAGAUGGAAGAUGGAACCUGACCAGAUAAUUGAUUGAGUCCCAAGUUCAAGAUCUCUAGAUUAGACAUGUUAGCAAGUGUUUCAGGGAUUGUGCCUAUAAAGUUAUUAUUUUUCAUUUCCAGCCUUCGAACUCUGUGUAUGUUCCAAAGCCAUGAUGGAAUUUCCCCAUUAAGACGGUUGUAGCUUAAUCGAAGGAUCCGCAAACGAUGCAAUUGGCCCAAUUCUUUAGGGAGAUGGCCAUAGAAAUGGUUGCUACUCAAGUCGAGAGAGAGUAGAAAUGAAAGAUUUCCAAGGUGUGGAGGGAUAGUACCCCUAAGAUUCAUGCUUGUAAGAUUCAAAGCUGUAACUCUUUUAUGGAGGAUGCCACAAGAAACACCAAUCCAAUUGCAAACAGAGGUUGAGACAGUCCAAUUGUUUGGCAAGACAUUUUGAGGACCGGCGAUGCGAUCCUUAAACUCGAGAAGUGCAAACUGAUCGGAGUUGAGAUUUCUGACUGUCAUAGCCAAGCAAAGUACGGAACAUGGUAUGAAUAAAGCUAAAAGAAGAUGAAAGCAAGUGUUGUAGUUCAUGAUUGCAAGACAGAAUAAGAAAAGAAAAUAAAAUAAAAAAAAGUAGGAAAAGGGAAGUUGAGUUGAUAAAAUAGUUUGGAUGAUGAAGAAAAGCCCAGACAGCAUGCUUUAAUAUGUUUGGAUGAUAAAUUUAAACUUGAUAAAUUUAAGACUACCCUAAAAAUACGUACAAAGAAAUUUCAAAAUUUCAAAAUAAAUACGUACAAAGAAGCGAAUUUUCAAAAUUUCUCCUAAAUUUUCUUCACAUUACUCUACAUAAUCCAUUAAAAAAAACUUAAAAAAUAUAUUUUAUUAAUUACUAUAUAUUCUUUUAUUUUCAGAAUCAUAAAUUGUUUAAAAUAUGCUAUUAGUCCCUGUAAUUUAAAAGUUAAAAAAAUUCAAUCCUCCUAUUUUUCUAAUUUAAAAAUUCUAGUCCAAUCAAUUUUAAUUCCAUUAAAAAAUUUCAACUUAAUAGAUUUUUUAUUAUCAAUCAUAUGCAACAUUAUAUGAAGACAGUCUACUCAGCAUAUAUCCAAGUUUACAGAUUUUAAUAGAAAAUACUUACAAUCCUAAUGGUAGGACUAAGUUUUUUAAACUAGAAAAGUAAGAAGACUUAAUUUUUAACUUUUUAAGUACAAGGAUUAAAUUUUAAAUGUUGUCAAAGUACAAGCACUAACAAAAUAUUUUGAUCUAAUAAAUGUAAAAAACUUUUUAAACAAAAUAAGGUUUGAAAUAAUCUAUUUGUCCUUGUAAUUUUAUAAAUUUGAGAUUUAAUCUUUAUACUUAAAAGGUUAAAAAUUAAGUCUUCUUGUUUUUAUUUAAAAAUCUUAGUCCUAUUGUUAAUAUUAUUUUUUUUUUGCCAAAAUUUGUCAACUUUACAUAUUAAUUAGGUUUCCCUUAUAUGUCGUGGUAUAUGACUAACACAAAAUAAGCAAGUUGACAAAUUCUGACAAAAAAUAUCAAAGAUGAUAAUAAUUGGAUUAAAAUUUUUAAAUUGAAUUAAUAACCUUUAAUGUAUAAGGAAUGGAUAUCAAAUAUUUAUAGGAAUAAAGGGACUAACAACAUAUUUUAACCAGAAAAUAAUAUGAGUGAUUAGAAUGAAUCUAAAAUUUUAUAGAAAUAAAAGAGACUAACAACAUAUUGAUAACUUUCAAAUCUCCUUCGAUCAUCCUUUUUCUACGUAGAAAAAGAAAAUUAAUUAGCAUCUAAAGUGUCAAUUAAUGAAACCUUCAAAAGAAAAUGUGAAAGUGAUUUAUCAAACAAUAAUAUUCUAACUUAUAAUAUAUUUAAUUACAUUUAGUAAUUUAUCAAUCAAAACUUAUUUAACAUCCAUCAAUACUUCAUACAUAAAAAACGCAAGCAUAAAUUACCAUUUAACUCAGAUUUAACUUUGCAAGUAAACUUAAAAUUUUAUUUAAUUUUGUUACUAAAUUUGAUUUGUUCACUAUAGAGUUUGGUGACUUAAAAUAAAAGUAAUAAAAAGUUAUUCUUUCAGAUAUCUUUUUAAUGUUUAAUAAUAAAUUAAUUUAUAAAAUAUACUUUCAUUGGACACAGGCCUCCAAAGCGGUGAACCACUAAUCAAAUUAAUUUGGGGAUACCUAAAUUUGUUUUCAUCAAUUAAGAAAUUUAAAAAAUUGUUGAGACCUCAUGAUUAUCUUUUAUAAUUUCAGUCUUAUCACCAAAAACUAAAAAAUAAAAACGUCGACAUUAAAUUUGUUGGUAUGCAAUCAAUUUUAAGAUGGUUUUUGGGGUUAUAUAUCACUUUAGCAUUGACUUACUUUUCUACUCUUAGUCUUCUCCAACAAGUUAAAUAUUUGAAUUUUAACAACAUUGGCAGGUCUUUGGGGUAGGGUCGACCAAAACUUAAUAGAAACAGAUGAUAUAGGUUGAGUUGGCUCGGCCAAGUCGAGUCGACUUGUUCAAAUUAUUUAAAUUAGUAAAUUUUAGGGUGCAGUUAGAAUUUUUUGUUUUGAGAUGCUAAGAUUAAAAAAUUUCAGUUGCUAAAACAAAAAAUUUGUAUUUAAAAAGGCAUAAAUUAAAUAAUUAAGUUUUUCAAGUUUCCAUUUAAUCAAAGGUUAAAAGGACUAAAUUGAAGCUUUUUAUUUUUAAGAAAGGCUGAAUGCCAAAUUGCCCAAAGCCCAUGCCCCUAGCUAUACAACUAACUUUUCUAUGAUUAGUCCUUGGUUUGCUUUGGGUGGAAUCUUCCAACUAGCCUCAUCCUUCGUUUUACUUUCCAACAAUUAGUUUAUCAUGAGUUUUGUUUUCUUUAAAAAAAUAUUUUUGUGGAUAUUAGGAGAUAAUGAAAAUUAAUUUAGUAUGAAAUUUUAAUAAAACUGGAAAAUAAGUAAUUUAUUUAAGAGAUCACAAUUAAACGUUAGAUUUCCAAUUUUUAAAUUUUAAAUUAUUUUGACAAUUGCAUAAUAUUUUGAGCAUUGUAGGAAUGCCAUAAUCUUCCCUACGCAUAAUCGACUCUUGAGCAUGAUGGAUCCUAGGCCUUCUCCUCUAUUCUCGUACCACAAACUGCUUCGAGUGUGGAUUCGAACAAUCACAAAUUAAACACAAAACCAGAAAUGAUUUAUUACUUUCAAUAGCAAAGUAAUUCUCUCUCAAUAGAAACCAAUAGAAUUGUAAUUCCUAAAAAAUAAAAUUUAUUUUUGGAAAAUAUAUUCCCACUACUUUCUAGCAGAAUAAUAAUAUGUGAAACUUAUGUCUUGUGUUAAUAGCUCUACCAGCACUAUCUAUUUAUAGGGAGAGACGAGAAUCCUGGUUGACUUAGUAAAACACGAAUAAUAUUUAUUUCAUUGAAAACAAUAUUCCACCCUAAGUAGAUCAAGUUUGUAUGACGCAUGGAUCGAAGCUCAAUCUAGGAGAAAAAAAAAAGGAAUUUUCUUUGUAAAGAAAAUCUGAGAUUGUACUAUUUUCAAAGUUAUAAAUAAAAUUAUAAGCUAAAUUUUCAAGUCAAUUUUCAACUCCAAUUUUGUAUGCACAAAUUUCUAAUACACUUGGUGGGACAUUCUUUGACUUUUAUCUAUUCUCUCAAAAAGUUAAAGUUCAAAGUUGCAUUAAACUCAAAGAAGAUAAUCAUUAGUAAACCAGCUCACAAGCCUGCUCAAGCUAAUCCUACAACUUGUUCCACUUCAUCAUCAAACACCAAUGUUCUUGCUUAUCCUUAUGGAAUUAAACAGUCUCAUUUUCUGCAUUUUGGAUACACACCUAGUUUUGUUUGAUGCUAAAACAGUCCCUGAGCACUCCAAAGCCUAUAAUUGAACAAAUAACACUAAUUUAAUCUUACAUAACGUGAUCCCAAAUUGAACUUGUAUCGAGGUUUUAACCCAUAAGUGACUAAACUUUACCUUCAACCGAUGAACAGUAAUUCCCACAUAAACUAAGACUCCGAUUGGCGAUUACGAGCCCUUGAAUCCUCCCCUAAUUGGCAUAAACAAAACACUUCAGAAGAAAGUUAACAAACAGAGACAAAUCACUUAUCUAAAACUUACUGAAUGAUCACAGACAAACGUGGAGCGACACAAGGCAGAGUGGGAAAAGAAAAAUCAAGAGGAUGAAGGGUGAAAGAGAGCAGAAAUUCGGUAGCAAUAAAGAGAAAACGGUAAGAGGGUGGAGGGAUUUUGGGGAAAGUAAAAAAAAAAGAUGAACAGAAUAUUUGAUAACUACCCCAAUCCCUUAUUUCUCUCCAUCAAACUCUCCACUAAAUCCACUACUCGAAUUUUUAGUCCAUCUCAAACUCUCCUGGACGCAUGAGCAAAAAAUAAUGCCCAUGCCAAAAUUUGAACACAUGACCUCCUUCACACCAACACUCCACUUAUCCACUAGACCAACAGGCUCAUUCUUUUAAUUAUUUGUCAACUUUUACUUAAAAGCCUACUGACCAAAAAAUACCAAAAUUUGCCCAAGUCCUAGAUUGAACUUGGGACCUCCCAAACACACCCAGAACACAUAGCCAAUUUUCAAGCAAUCUGACAUGAAUUCUCAAUCACAAUUAAUUGAAUUCAAGAUAUAUUUGGAUGAGAAGACAAAUAUUUCAAUUUUAACACAAACCAAUGCUUGGGAUGAUUUGGGAUAAGAACUCCAACAUUUUAAGAUCACAUUUUCUUUUAUAAUUUCAGGCUUAUCAACUAUUUUGAAAACAACAAAACGUCUUACACCAAAAACUAAAAAAUAAAAACUUCGACAUUAAAUUUGUUGGUAUGCAAUCAAUUUUAAGAUGGUUUUUGGAGUUAUAUCUCACUUUAGCAUUGACUUACUUUUCUACUCUUAGUCUUCUCCAACAAGUUAAAUAUUUCAAUUUUAACAACAUUGACAGGUCUUUGGCCGAAUAAUUUUAAACGUCUCAUCAUUGCAAAAAUGAAAUAAUAGAAAAGAAAGAGUAGCCAUUUUAUGAAAUCUAUAAUUCCAACUGUGAAUAAAAUAUAAAUUUUAUGAAUGUGGACAAGCCAUUUUAUUUAUAAUUUUCUGUGUUUUUCUGACUUUUUUUAAGUCAUUUUCUUUGUUUCCUAACCAAAAAAUUUGCCCAUCACUUUAAAUAUAAAUUUAAAUAUAAAUUUUCUUUUUAAAAUAUAAAUUACUUGUCACAAUUCAUAUUUCUAAGUCAAUUUGCCAUCACUUUAACAUACACUAACUGUUCUAUGAUUAGUCCUUGGUUUGCUUUGGGUGCAAUCUUCCAACUAGCCUCAUCCUUGGUUUUACUUUCCAACAAUUAGUGUAUUACGGGUUUUGUUUUCCUUAAUAAAUAUUUUUGUGGAUAUUAGGAGAUACUGAAAAUUAUUUCACUAUGAAAUUUUAAUAAAACUGGAAAAUAAGUAAUUUCUUUUAAGAGAUCACAAUUAAACAUUAGAUUUCCAAUUUUUAAUUUUAAAGUUUUUUGACAAUUGCAUAAUUAAUAAGGUACCAAUUUUGAGAGUUGUAGGAAUGCUAUAAUCUUCCCUACGCAUAAUUGACUCUUGAGCAUGAUGGAUCCUAGACCUUAUCCUCUAUUCUCGUACCAGAAAUUGUUUCGAGUGUGGUUCGAACAAUCACAAAUUAAACACAAAACCAGAAAUGAUUUAUUACUUUCAAUAGCAAAGUAAUUCUCUCUCAAUAGAAACCAAUAGAAUUGUAAUUCCAAGAAAAUAAAAUUUAUUUUUUGAAAAUAUAUUCUCACUACUUCCUAACAGAAUAACAAUAUGUAAUACUUAUGUCUUGUGUUAAUAGCUCUACCAGUACUAUCUAUUUAUAGGGAGACACACGAGAAUCCUGGUUGAAUUAGUAAAACACGAGUAAUAUUUAUUUCAUAGAAAACAAUAUUCUACCUUAAGUAGAUCAAGUUUGGAUGACGCAUGGAUCGAAGCUCAAUCUAGGAGAAAAAAAUAAAGUAAUUUUCUUUGUAAAGAAAACCUGAGAUUGUACUAUUUUCGAAGUUAUAAAUAAAAUUAUACGCCAAAUUUACAAGUCAAUUUUCAACUCGAAUUUUUUAUGUACAAAUUUCUAAUAGACUUGGUGGCACAUUUUUUGAAUUUUAUCUAUUCUCUCGAAAAGCUAAAGUUCAAAGCUGCAUUAAACUCAAAGAAGAUAAUCAUUAGUAAACCAGCUCACAAGCCUGCUCAAGCUAAUCCUACAACUCGUUCCACUUCAUCAUCAAGCACCAAUGUUCCUGCUUAUCCUUAUGGAAUUAAACAAAAGACAAAAGCUCUCUAAGAGUUAUUUGAACAGACAAAAUAUUCAGAUGUGUUGAGAUGGAAAGUGACAACGCAAAGUUGAUUGAAACUAUUUGUAACGGGUUGGCUACAAUAAGUAGUGUUGUGAAGUAAGAUAGAUUCACGAUUGGUGUUCCAAAAUUGAGUAGCUAGUUAUCUUGGAAGAUCCUCCACAUUAUGUGAGAUGCUGGCUUGAAGAAGAUAUUAGACAAUUGCUAGUGACUGAUGAUAAUUUUCAUUUGGACUGAUGCUUGCUUAAUUUUCUAAGCUUAUGUUCAACCAAAAAAAAAAAAAUUAAAUAUGUCUAAAUGAUCAUAGAGUUAACAUUUAGUGUAUAAAAAAUUAAUAUAUAAUUUGUUUUCAAUUGUAGUUUAGUUCUAGAAAUACCAACGAUGAACCUUAAAACGGAAAUGAAAAUUACAAAAAAAAAAACAAACCACAUCUAUUAUCAAACCAACAAUCCAUGUCUAAACUUAAAUUAACAAAAUUCGUUACGCAACUCGGUACACUAUUUUAUAUAAUCAAUAUAUUAGAUUUAUUCUUGAUGCACAUGUUUUAUUAUAGUUAAAAAUUAAAAUAUAUGAUUUACUAAGUUUUAAUUGAAUUAGUAUUGGUAUUAUAUCAGUGUAGGAAAAUGUGAGUUUAAUCGUACUUAAAUAUGUAUCCUCCAACUCAACAGUUGGGAAAAGGUUAUUGAUAAUUAAAUUAUACCAAUUUUUACAAUAUCUAAAAAGCAUUCAUAAACAUAUUCAUAUUGAUGGGCUCUUUCAUUAUUAAACUUUUUUUCUCUCACAAGUAAAAGUACUUGUGGUGAGGAUCAUGUAAAAUAAUAAACUGAAUAAUUUUAAACGUCUCAUCAUUGCGAAAAUGAAAUAAUAGAAAAGAAGCCAUUUUAUGAAAUUUACAAUUCCAACUGUGAAUAAAAUAUAAAUUUUAUGAAUGUGGACAAGCAAUUUUAUUUAACUUUUUUUAAAGUAAUUUUCUUUGUUUCCUAACCAACAUGAAAUUACUUGUCACAAUUCAUCUUUUUAAAUGAGAAACAUUUUCAACAAUUUGCCAUCACAUCAACAUACACUAACUUUUCUAUGAUUAGUCCUUGGUUUGCUUUGGGUGCAAUCUUCCAACUAGCCUUAUCCUUGGUUUUACUUUCCAACAAUUAUUGUAUCCUCCUCAUUACUUUUACUUACCGACGGAUGAAAAAUUCACUGAUCAAAUUAAUUCAAAGAUUUUUUUUUUCUAAAUCAAGUGAAUUCACGAGUUUUAUUUUCUUUAAAAAAUAUUUUUGUGGAUAUUAGGAGAUACUGAAAAUUAUUUUACUAUGAAAUUUUAAUAAAAUUGGAAAAUAAGUGAUUUAUUUAAAGGGAUCACAAUUAAACAUUAGAUUUUUAAUUUUUUAAUUUUAAAUUUUUUUGACAAUUGCGUAAUUAAUAAGGUACUAAUUUUGAGCAUUGUUGGAGUGCUAUAACCUUCCCUAUGCAUAAUCGACUCUUAAAUUCACUUUUUUCUCUAGAAUUUUAACAAACUUACAAAAUGAUUUAAUGAUAUUUAAUUAUUGAUGGGUAAAAAAAUUAUAUCAUAUAAAUUCCGAAUAAUUAAUUAUAUAUCUACAUAUUAUAACCAAUUCAUCUUUCAAAAUUAUUUCCUUAUAAUUAAAGCAAAAAUUAUAUUUAUAAAAUUCUAAAUAUAUUAUAAUUCUUGUAAAUAUAUAUAUUUACAUAUAUAAGUCCAAAUUGUAAUAGAGUUAACAUUUAUUGUAUAAAAAAUGUCUUGAAAUUUUUUUUUUCAAUUUCAAAAGAACUAUUCCAUUUAUAAAACCAUAAAACUUUAAAAAUAUAAACUCUAUUAAAUAAAAAUAAUAAUAUUUUUAAACAAUAAAUAUUGACUUUAUUUUAAAUUGACAUUAUCUAAUUCUUUUUAAUAUGUAUCGCUAAGCUUUACAUUAAUAUACAUGAUUUAUUUGUUCGUUAUUAUUAUUAUUAUUAUUAUUAUUAUUAUUAUUAUUAUUAUUUCUAUGAUUAUUAUAUUAUACUUAUCGGACUACAAUCAUAACCAUGUCUAUUAUCAUUCGAUAAAAAAAAAUUAAGUGUUGAGUAUAAUGACAAGGCACAUUACACUCUGAAGGGGAGAUUAAGGUUUGGACAAAGGAAGAAUAUGAUUCAAAUUUUGGAGACAACAUUCUUGAAAUGAGCAACCAUAAACCCCGAUUAUGAACCAUAAAACGAUCAUGAAAAGUACCCAAAAAAACACAUUUAUUACCAAAUAGUAAUCCAUCUAAGGAUUAAAUUAACAAAAUUCACCAUCCAACCGUGUAGACUAUUAUAAAUAUAUAUACUAUAUUUAUUCUUCAUGCAAAUGUUUAUUAUAUUUAAAAAUUAAAAUAUAUGGUUGAUUGAGUUUUAGUUGUGUUAAUAUUGAAAUUAUUGUCAGUGCAAAAGAACAUGAGUUCAAUCAUGUUUAAAUACGUUUUAUACUCCAAUUUAGGAGUUGGAGAGGAUUCUCAAUAGUUAAAUUAUAUUAGUUUUUGUCUAUUUAAAAAUGAUUUAUAAAUAAUAUAAGUAGAAAAUUUUAAAAAAAAUACAUAUUCAUAUUGAUCGGCUUUUUCAUUAUUAGACUUUUUUCCCCACAGUUAAAAGUAUUUAUCGAAUUCAAAUUUUGGGUUUUAAAUAAGGGUUUCGGAUUUUUUUUAAACAUUUGUGUGAGUUUUUGCCAAAUUUUAUAUUUUCGGAACGAAUAACUAAGUUGAUUUUUAAUUACUUUUUCAAACAAGUCGAUGUAAUUCCUCAAAAAUCUAGUCAAAGCGUCUAGGCUGGGUUUGGAGGUGUUACACUAACGUUACUAAAGUUAAUCUUAAUCUAUUUAGUCUAGAUCUAAACAUCAAUAUUCUCUUCCAAGAAAAAUCAAGAUUAUCAAAUUAUUACAACUGUGUAGCCAGACAAUCAUAUUAAAUAUGCAUAAAACAUAAUAAAUAAUUAGCGAAGAUUGAAACAAUCAAAGAAAAAAAUAAAUAAAUAAACUAAGAAAUAAGGAUCCAUUAUUGUUUCAAGAAAACAGAGUUUAGUUCAUAUUGAGUUGAGAAAACCAGAAAGGAGAUUCAAAACAAACUUGUGAUAAGGGGAACAAUGUCAAUAGAUCAUAUUCAAGUUGUUCGACUUCAGAUUUGACCUGAAAAGAAGAAACCAAACAUAUUUAGGAAAACAAGAAAAAACAAAGAAAAAAAACUAAAAUGAGAAAUUUAAGAAUAAAUAAUAAAUAUUAAAAAUAAAUAAAGAAAUUAUAGAAUAAAAAGUGGCAGAUGGAAUGAAGAAAUGAUGGAUAUAAAUAAAAGAUGGAUAUGACAUAUAGAUGAAUAAGUGUCUGAUAACUCUUGAAAAAAAGUUAUAUUUCAUGCCUUUAGACCUAGCUAAUUGCUUGUACUUAAGUAUAUUUUGUUGCUUUUUAAGACAUUUUAGUGAGCAUUUUUAAUAUUGUAUUAGGACUUAGACUGAGUUGGAAUUAGGUGCUUUUAAUCGCUUGUGGUGGAGUUUUUUGUGUGUUGGUAUGGCAGGAACAGGUUUUAGAUCGAGGAAAUAAAUGAGUGAAGUUUUGUUUGGGCAAAAGUGCAUAUAGUUUUCCAACAAGGAUGCCGUGGCAAUGCCGAGAAGACCAAGUUCAUAUUUUUUGUGCAACAGUCCUAGUUCAAAUUCAAACUUGUAUGAGAUAAAUCCCCCUAAAAGAGGAGAAGAUAAUUACAUUGAUGUUAGUUGACCCUAGCCUAAUCUAUCUAUUAAAUCCAAUGAAAGGGAUCUCACAAAUGGUAGAAAAAAGUGAGAGAGAUCUUUAGGGGUGAAUAAGGGUUUGGCUGUGCAAAGGAAAAGAAGUCAAGGGCAAUCAUUCUUAGCCUUCACAGGACGUUUUGUUGCCAAAGUGUGGACUGGGCAAGUGAAAGCUGUUUCCCAAAGUUCUUCUGUUAUUUCCAUCAGUGUUCCUUCGAAAGAUUGAAUUGAAGUAGUUGAACACAAUGUCAGAUAAUAUUUUGGUUUGAAAUUCUAUUUCCCAGUUUAUGAGCUAAAUCUCAUAAGGUUGGGAUUACUUUCGAUGAAACCUUUAAUUUUUUUUAUGGAUGCAAUAUAUAUCUAAUUUACAUUACAGUUUCAUUUGAUUGUUCUUAUUUCUUAAUUAAAAUGCAAAUGAUCUCUAGACAUAGAAGACUAUUCACAUACUUAUAAACUGAUUAUAAUUCUAAAAGGGUUGGAUUAAAAUUAAAUGAAAUGAGCAAGUAUUUGAUAGACACUUGUAGCCGACUCCAGACAUAGAGUCACGAUCAUACAGAAGGAACCCAUGCAAGAUAUCUGAAAAGCCUUUAGACACAGGCAAGGCAACUUGAGGUUAUUCUCUCACACGAGGCAGACCAUUUUAGAACUCUUCUGUGUUGUAAAGUAGAUACGAUUUUGCCAAGGCAUUAUUGACAAUAAGGGUUGAUUCUGGGUAAUCCCGACCUUCCAAAUCCACAUCGUAUAUCCUUCAUUAUUUUCCAUAGUAUCUUUUCCACAUCAUUAUUAAUUAUUUAUUUGUUCAUUUACAUAAUAUUCCCAUAGUAAUUCUCAUAAUUGCCAUUACAUUUCUACUCUCGAUUUGCCAUAGCAUUACCAAAUAUUCAUUAAUUCCACAUAUUGAUUACAUCAUUACUCUACUCAUUGCCAUUGCAUAUUUAUCAUUGACUUUGUCACAACAUUAAUUGUAUUUUAUGAUAAUAACUUGAUCGAUUUUGUGCCUCAAUCUGAUCAUCGUGGGAAUGAUACUCACUCAUCAUUUAUUACUUGAUUCAACGUGUAUACUUGCACAAAUCGCAUAUCAUUUCACAUGCGACAAUGUCCAAUUGAACCCUUUAAGAUAUAAACUCAAACAAACUCAAUUAAUGGCUUUAAUCAACCCACCAAGAAAUAAUCCUUGGCAAAUUGAAGGAUGAAUAAUGAAUUCCCAUGACUCCUUAAAGAAAAUUGAGAAGAAAACUGCUUCUAAAAAUUACAAGAAACAAUCUUGCACAAAGAAACUAACCUUGAGAGUUGGAAAUUUUAGUAACGAACAAAGACAAUUGUGUCUCUAAUGACCAUGAAAGAGCUUUACAUAGGCUAGAUAAGUACAUCCAAAUAAAAUUUCGAAGUAUCUUAAAACUUUAAUUAAUGUAAGCAAAAAGUAAUUUUCAACUAAAAUAGUCAUAAUUUCCGUAAUAAUCCCGUCUAGAAAUUCUACUCACAUAGUCAUCACUAAAAUAGUCAUCAUUUGAGCUCUUGAACUAGAAAUUGAGUGAAUAAAAGUGUGUUUGAUAGACCUUAGAACUCCAUCAAGACAUAUCAAUCGAAAAAUAUUUGGAUCCCAUCCAAAAAGUCAUUGCAAGUUAACUGAUUUUCCAAACUUGAAAAUUGGCAGCUUCAGUGAAUGAAAUUUAAUAAAGUUCACCCCAUCUGCUCAUGUAUAAACUUGCAGUGGUAAAAAGUAAAAAGAAAUAAUCUAUAGAGAAAAUAGUUGAAGAAUUUAUGACAAUUUAUUCAGACCUUUUUUUCUUCUAGCCUUUGCAAGCUUGAAGUUUCCGUUGGUGUGUGAGAGUUGUUCCUUACCCUUUAAGUUAUUUCUUUUCUUUUCCUUCUUUUUCUUUCUCUUCGAUCUCAUCACCUAAGGGUGCUCAAACAACUGAUUCAGUUAAUACCCGAACAAAGCUAUCAUUAAAUGAAAUUUUGAAACCCUUAAUCAUUAAUGAAACCAAUUUUUUGUUGAAACCUAUUAACCGGCCGGAUUGAUUUCGGUUAAUUUGUGCAGUUAACCAGAAUUUAUACAUUGUUUGUUUUUUAUCAAACAAUUUUAAAACAAAGAACAAUCCAUGACAACUUUUUCCUUGUUUUUUAUUCAAAAAUUAUUAAAAGAACUAAAAAAAAUAACAUAAUAACAACACUAAAUUAAAAACAUAAUAGCAUUCAUUACAGUACAAAUCUUUUUUCUUUUUUUUCUUUUUGUUGACUUUUUAGUUUAAUUUUAGUUUUUUUUCAAAUAUUUUAGUUUUCAUAUUCUUGUUAAGCUUAUUAUAAGAAAACUUAUAAAUCCAUUAGUUUUUAUAUAUUAGGUUUGUAUAAUGUAUUGGAGCUAUCUCUAUAAUAUAUUUUUAUUGAUUUCGGUUAAUCAAUUAAUUCGGUUAAUUAGUCGAUUUCAAACGAAACUAAUUGAUAAACAAAAUCUUCAAAAACAUUUAACCAACUCCCAACCAAAUUAGAUUCGUUGAUCGCCUGCUUAAUCAAGUUAAUCAUAUGGUAAAAUGGCAUAGUUUUGGAAUGGUUUUUUGGAAUUAUUGGUAUAGGUUUAAGUUAUGAUCUUGAGAUGUUGAGUUGAAUUAAGUUUGAUAUGUAUAUUGUGAUGCCUUCAUUGGCAUAUUGGUUAGAUAUUAAAGGAUGGUUGAUUUGGUAUGUUUUUAAAAUGGUUGUUGGUAUGUGUGAUCUAAAUUGAUUAAAUGAACUUGUAAUGUUGAAUGGUAUAAUAUUUGUUGGUACAUUAGUUAGUCUUAUAGGUUGAUGGAAUUGGUAUGUUUUAAAUGUGUUUAAAAUGUGUUUUGAUUGUUUAAAUGUUUGUGGAAAUGGUGUGUCUUGGUGUACAAGAUUUGAAAUUGAAAUGGCUUGAUUUAGAAGCAACUUAUGUUGUACACCACCUGGGACACUGGUUGUCACAUGGUUGUGUGUCAUUAUUGUUUUAGGUACAGGUUUCACACAAUCUGAGACUCGGCUCACGACAUAGCUGUGUAUCACAAGUCAGUAUGUAACACGGUUUGGUACAUGGCCUGCGACAUGACCGUGUGUCCAAACUUCGAAUGUCCACACGGUCUGGGCUAUGUCACACGGGUUGGCCACAUGGCCGUGUGACCCUUGUUUUCAAGUUUUCUAAAAUUUUCUAUUUUAUUUCAAAUUGAUCCUAGAAUAUUCUCAAACUGUUUUUAGGGCCCGUAGGUUCGAAUUAAGGCCCAUAAGUGUAUGUUUGCUAUAAUUAAGUUGUGUUAAUUAAUGUUAUUAAUUAAAUGGCAUGAAUAUUUUAUUGUAAGUUAAAUGUUUUAAUUUGAACUAUAAUGCUCCGUAACUCUAAUCUGGCGACGGAGACAGGUUUGGGGUGUUACAAUUUUGGACUUGAAAUUUGUUUUGGGGCUUUGUUCGAUGUUUGUUGGAUUUUAGUGUUUUAACAUUAAACUACAAAAUUGUAUGAUUUAACAAACUAAAAAUUAGGUUUUCAAAAUUAAAACUCUGGAAGUUUCUGUUUCAAAGAUUAAGUAAUCACUUAAGUGUUUUCCCAUAAAUAAUUAAAUGGUUUUUAACAAAUGUUUUCCUUAGUUUUGGAAAUGAUAUGCCAACAUUAGUACUUUUAAAACACAUGAUUUCAAAUUCAAAUUCUUGGUUUUAAGUAAGGGUUUUCAAACUUUGAUUUUUUUUAACAUUUGUGAGAGGUUUUUGCCAAAUUUUAUGUUUUCAGAACGUGUAACUAAGUUGAUUUUUAAUUAGUUUUUCAAACAAGUCAAUGUAAUUCCUCAAAAAUCCAAUCAUAGCGUCUAGGUCGGGUUUGGGUUGUUACACUGACGUUACUAAAGUUAAUCUUAAUCUAUUUAGUCUAGAUCUAAACAUUAAUAUUCUCUUCCAAGAAAAAUCAAGAUUAUCAAAUUAUUACAACUUGGUAGGCAGACAAUCAUAUUAAAUAUGCAUAAAAGUUAAUAAAUAAUUAGCGAAGAUUGAAACAAUCAAAUAAAAAAUAAAUUAAUUAACUAAGAAAUAAGUUCCAUUAUUGUUUCAUGAAAAUAGAGUUUAGUUCAUAUUGAGUUGAGAAAACCAAAAGCGAGAUUCAAAACAAACCUGUGAUAAGGGGAACAAUGUCAAUAGAUUAUAUUCAUGUUGUUUGACUCAAGAAAGAAAUAUUCGAAUCUAACUUGAAAAGAAGAAACCAAAUAGAUUUAGAAAAAUAAGAAAAAAAAACAAAGAAAAUAACUAAAAUGAGAAAUUUAAGAAUAAAUAAUAAAUAUUAAAAAUAAUAAAGAAAUAAAGAAAUUAUAGAAUAAAUAAUGGAAGAUGGAAAUGAAACGACGGAUAUGACAUAUAGAUGGAUAAGUGUCUGAUAAUUCUUGAAAAGAGUUAUAUUUCAUACCUUUAGACCUCACUAAUUGCUUGUACUUAAGUACAUUUUGUUGCAUAUUGAGACAUUUUUGUUCGUAUUUGUAAUAUUGCAUUAGGACUUAGAUUGUGUUAGAAUUAGGUGUUUUUGAUCACUUGUGGUGGAGUUUUUAGUGUGUUGGUAUGGUAGGAACAAUAUUUAGAACGAGGAAAUAAAUGAGUGAAGUUUAGUCAGCGCAAAAGUGCAGAUAGUUUGCCAACACGUAUGCCGUGGCAAUGUCGGGAAGACCAAGUCAACAAAUUUUUGCGCAACAGUCCUAGUUCAAAUUCAAACUUGUACUAGAUAAAUCUCCUUAAAAGAGGAAAAGAUAAUCACAAGUUGUUAACCGACCCUAGCCUAAUCUAUCUAUAAAAGCCAAUGAAGGGGAUCUCACAAAUGGCAGAAAAAAGUGGAAGAGAUCCUUAGGUGCGAAUAAUGGUUCAGCUGCGCAAAGGAAAGGAAGUUGAAGGCAAUCUUUUUUAGCCAUCACAAGACGUUGUGCUGUCGAAGUGUGGACUAGACAAGUGAAAGUUGUUUCCCAAAGUUCUUUCGUUAUUUCCGUCAGUGUUCCUUCAAAAUAUUAAAGUAGUUGAACAUAAUGUUGGAUAAUAUUUUGGUUUGGAAUUUUAAUUCCUAGCCCAUGAGCUAAAUCUCGUAGGGUUGGAAUUACUUUUGAUAAAACCUUAAACUAUUUUUAUGGAUGCAGUAUAUAUGUAAUUUACUUUACUGUUUCAUUUUAUUAUUCUUAUUUCUUAAUUAAAAUGCAAAUGAUCUCUAGACAUUGAAGCCUUUCACAUACUUAUAAACUGAUUUUAAUUCUGAAAGGGUUGGAUUGGUUGGAUUAAAAUUAAAUGAAAUGAGCAAGCAUUCGGUGGACACCUGUAGUAGACUUUAGACAUAGAGUCACGCUCAUACAGAAGGAACCCAUGCAAGAUAUCUAAAAAGCCUUUAGACAUAGGCAAGGUAACUUAAGGUUUUGCUCUCACGAGAGGCAGGCCAUUUUAGUACUCUUUUGUGCUUUAAAGUAGAUACGAUUUUGCCAAGGCAUUAUUGACAGUAAAGGUCGAUUAUGGGUAGUCCCAACCCUCCAAAUCCACAUCGUAUAUCCUUUACUCUUUGCCAUAGUAUAUUUGCCACAUCAUUAUAAGUUAUUUAUUUGUUCAUUUACAUAAUAUUUCCGUUGUAAUUCUCAUAAUUAUCAUUACUUUCUACUCUCGAUUUGCCACAACAUUACUAGUUAUUUAUUAAUUCCACGUAUGGCUUACAUCAUUGCUCUACUAAUUGCCACUGUAUAUUUACCAUUGACUUCGCCAUAGCAUUAAUCAUAUUUUAUUAUAAUAACUUGACCAAUUUUGUGCCUCAAUUCGAUCCUCAUGGAAAUGAUACUCACUCAUCACUUUAUUUGUAACACCCCAAACUCGGCCUAGACGUUAUGGCCGAAUCUGGUGAUGUCACAUGGAGAGGGAUUUGAAGACAAGAUUGUUGAGUUUAAAAACCGUUACAGUAAGUUAGCUUUUAUUUAGGGAAAAUCGUGUUUUGUAGAGUUGUAGUUUUUAGGAAAAAAAUCGUGUUUUGUAGAGUUGUAGUUUUUUUAAAAAACCCAAUAAAAAAUAGUAUAAAGUCCCAAAUUUAAAACCAAUCAGUCCAUAGUCCAGAAGAUACAUCAAAAACUCAAAAUAAGUAAUAAAUUCUAGGCAUUAACGGAAAACAAUCUAAAAUUUACGUGUGGCCACCAUUGAGUCCUCUGCUGCACCGAUUCGUCAAGUCUGAGGAUUACCUAUACAAAUUAAAUAGAGAAAGGGUGAGUUGUCGCAAACUUAGUGUGUAAUCCCCACAGAAAACAUGCAUAGAGAUAAUUAACAAAAUUUAGUUAGAUACAGUCUAGGGCCUGUGCCCAUCAUAGAAUCAGUUUGGGCCUUAGCCCAUUCAGAUAUAGUCUUAGAAAUACAUUAGGGCAUUGACCAGCCUCUACAAACCACCUCCAUCCAACCAUACACACCAUGUGGGGAUUAAAUCAACCAACCCAUCCCUACACACCAUGCUGUACCGAAAUGCGGCACAUAAUUAGAAGGUUGCAGCUGGGCUGCCAGAUAACAUAAGUCAUGCUCGGUAUAGAAAUCAGACAGACAGAUCACACAUAUAGGUGUCUAAGUAAAGCUUACUGACCCUACAGUAGGUCCACAGUUAACUUGGGCGACCCGUGCAAAAUUACAGAACUUUUUAGAAAAAUGGGCUUACACGCCUAUGUGGCCCACUCGGCCCAAAUUGGCCUUGACCACGUGAUCCAUUUUUAAUGUAACCAGUGCUAGUUAAUUAUUCAUAUAUGUUUUCACUAUUUACUUAUAUGUUAAUUUAAAGCUGUCUACUUGAGUCACUGUUACUAAAUUAUUUAUAUCUUGAGCUACAGAAUUUCAAAUUAAGAUCCGCUUAAUGUCUUUGAAACUAGACUCAAAUAUCUUUCUACUAUAAAAUUUUUAUAAUUUUUGGUUGAGCCAACAAGUACAGUAAAAUCUUCAAACCUUCCCCUAUUCUGCUGUCUGACAACUUCAACCCUUCUUUGCUAAGAAUUAAUUAUCUCUUAGUACAAGAUUUGGAUGAUGUUUACAUUUGUUUCUAUUGAAAAUAAACUCAUUAAUAAUUUAAAAAUGUAAAUUUUAAACCCCUAAUUAUUUUUCUCCAAUUUUUGAUGAUUUUCCAAAUUUAGAACAGGGGAACCUUAAUUCUUUCUGACCUUGUCUCACGAAGUUUAUUAUACCUCACAAUUUACAAUUCCAUUACUUACAUCGUUUAAGAUUUAAUUCCAUAUUUUUUUCAUCCUCUAAUUCAAUUUCCACAAUUUAUGGCAAUUUUUCAAAGUUAACCUACUGUUGUUGUCCAAACAGCAAGCAAUUUUGGCUUUUCGCCGAAUCCUUUUUUUUGCAUUUCGGGUACACACCUGGUUUUGUUUGAUGCUAAAACAAUCCCCGAACACUCUAAAGUCACCAAUGAUAACCAUCCAUUUAAAUAUUGUUAACACGAGAACACUGAAUUCACUAGUCCGAGUCUCCCCCUACGCCCAAAUCGCAGAGAAAAUACGUUACCACUUUAGUCGCUAAAAGAUUCAUGAUAGAAAAGAAGAGAAACACUUACCGAACUAAGCGAGCACUAACCGUGUGUGAAAAUGAAGGAAAAUAAAUGGAUUAGGGAAAAAUCAAGAACAAGAAAAAGAAGAAAAAGAAAAACUCAGAGAAUUUCAACAAGAGGAGAGGGAGAAGAAUAGACGGCGAAUAAAAUUCUGAUAACCCCCAAAAUCCCUUAAUCUUCUCCCCUAAUUCCCACUACACAUCCACUAUUCAUAACCCCCUAUUACAUAACUCUAUCCGAAAUCUGAUAAAAAAAAACAUAAUACCCUUGCCUGCAUAGGGGUUCAAACACAAAACCUCUACUAUAAUAACACAUCAUUUAACCACCAGACCAGCAGGCCCAUUCUGAUGUAAUUUACCCAAAAAUCAAAUAAAAGCCUACUCAACAAGAGUAAAGCCUAAUUCAUUCAAAAUACCAAAAUUUGCCCAAGCAAAAGCUUGAACUUGGGACCUCCCAAACACUCCCAGAACACAUAACUACUAAAGCUGACAAAUAUUUGUGUCAUAUUUUCACAAUAAUGAAAUUAGAAAUUUUGGGACAUUACAUUAUUACUUGAUUCAACUCUUGCACAAAUCGCAUAUCAUUUCACACACAACAGUGCUCAAUUGAACCCUUUAAGAUAUGAAAUCUAACAAACUCAAUUAAUGGCUUUAAUCAAUCCACCAAGAAAUAAUCAUUGGCAAAUUGAAGGAUGAAGAAUGAAUUCCCAUGACUCCUUAAAAAAAUUGAUAAGAAAACUACUUUUAAAAAUCACAAGAAACAAAUCUUGCAUAAAGAAACUAACUCUCAGAGUUGGUAAUUUUAGUAAUAAACAAAAACAAUUGCGUCUCUAAUGAACAUGAAGGGGCCUUUACAUAGGCUAGAUAAGUACAUCCAAAUAAAAUUGUCAAAUAUCUUGAAACUUUAAUUAAUGUAAGCAAGAAGUAAUUUUAAACUAAAAUAGUCAUAAUUUUCGUAAUAAUCCCGUCUAAAAAUUCUGCUCACAUAGUCAUCAUUAAAACAAUCAUAAUUUGAGCUCUUGAACUCAAAAUUGAGUGAAUAAAAGUGCGUUUCGAAGUUAAGUGAUAGAUCCUAGAACUCUAUGAAGACAUAUCAAUCAAAAAAAUAUCUGGAUCCCAUCCAAAAAGUCACCGCAAGUUAACUAAUUUUUCAAACUUAAAAUUUGGCAGCUUCGGUGAAUGGAAUUUAAUAAAGUUCACUCCAUCCAUUCAUGUAUCAACUUGCAUUGGUAACAAGUAAAAGAAAAAAAUCUAUAGAGAAAAUAGUUGAAGAAUUUAUGACAAUUUAUUCAAAUCUCUUUUUCUUCUAGUCUUUGCAAGCUUGAAGUUUCCCUUGGUGUGAGAGAGUUGUUCCUUACCCUCUAAGUGAUUUUUUUCUUUUUCUUUCUCUUCGAUCUCGUCACCUAUUGGUGUUCAAACAAUUGAUUCAGUUAAUACCCGAACAAAACUAUCAUUAACUGAAAUUUUGAAACCCUUAAUCGUUAAUCAAACCAAUUUUUUUAAAAAAAACCUAUUAACUAGCUGGAUUGAUUUCGAUUAAUUUUAGCGGUUAACCAGAAUUUAUACAUGGUUUUUUUUUGUUCAAAAAAUUUUAAAACAAAGAACAAUCCAUGACAAUUUUUUCCUUGUUUUUUAUUGAAAAAAUUAAAAGAACUAAAAAAAUAACAUAAUAACAACAAUAAAUUAAAAACAUAAUAGCAUUCAUUACAUUACAAGGCAUAUAUAUAUAUUUUUACUUUUUCUUCACUUUUUAGUUUAAUUUUAUAUUUUUUAAAAUAUUUUUAGUUUUCAUAUUUUUGUUAAGCUUAUUAUAAGAAAACUUAUAAAUCCAUUAAUUUUUCUAUAUUGGUUUUGUAUAAUGUAUUGGACUUAUCUCUAAUAUAUUUGGCCUAUAAUAUAUUUUUAUUGAUUUCGGUUAAUCAAUUAAUUCGGUUAAUUAGUCGAUUUCAAACUAAACUAAUUGGUAAACAAAAUCUUCAAAAACCUUUAACCAACUCCCAACCAAAUUAGAUUUGAUUGCUUAAUCAAAUUAAUUAGGUUUGAUAAAUUAAUUCGUUAAAACCAAAAAAUCCACACCCCUAUCAUCACCUUUAUUUUUAGGGAUUUUAAUCAUGUUGCUGCACCUGAUGCAGAAGUUGAGGUGGAACGAACUGCUUGCUACCACAAUUUAUGAAUUAUAGAGCAUGCUCCACCGUAGUGAAUCAAAUUCGGUGGAGUAGAAGACUUUUCUUCACUACUUUAUGCUCUAUGCUCCAAGUCUUCUAUUCUUCUUCUGAGACCUACAAUGGGAAAAUAAAAACUAAGAAACAAGUCUAAACUAACUUUGAAAAUUAGAAAUUUUCAACAAAAUUGAAAUAAAAUAUAAUUAAUCCAUAAAAAACUAUAAAAUGCAAUAAAAACAAACCUAAAUACUAAAAUUACCUCCUAAAAUGCUGUGGAAACUAUACUAAAAUAACUCUAAAUAUGAUAGUUAUCAGAAGCGACUUGAAUAAGCCAAUCGAGUAGAUGAUUUCAACUAUUGCAAAUAGCAUCAGUCGAUUAACCAUCCUCUUGAGAAGAUCAUAGAGUUGAAAGAAAAAAUCAUACAACUCCAUGAAGAAGAAAAAAUCAUGUUUGAAAAAGAAGUGGCAUUAUCAAACUUGACAUCAAUGCUUUGGUUUCUCAAUACAAUAUUAAGGAGAAAUUCAUCAAAUUUGGCUCUUUCACUCCUAUUACACUAGCUCUAAGUAGAAGUAAGAUGGUGAAUUUCGAAGGGAUUGGGGACAAUCAUCUAUUUUUGGAAUAUCAGAAUGGUCAUGAUUGGACUCAAAGAAGCCAAUGAAAUGCAUCUCUCCUAGGUAUAAGCUUAUAUUGUCACAUUGCUCCUAAGCACGAGCAUAAAUUGUUCAUCCAAAAUGAUGAUGCUCCUAAGCAUGAGCUUAAACUGUUCAUCUAAUGCUCCUAAGAAGGAGCCUAAACUAUUCAUAAAAAAUAAAUGAUGAUCCAGUGAAGCACGAGAUUAAACUAUUCAUACGAAAUAAAUGAUUACCUCCUAAGCAUGAAUUUAAAUUGUUCAUACAUAAUAAAUGAUGAUACUCCUAAGCAUGAGCUUAAAUAGCAGUCCAAAAAAAAUUGAACAACAUUAUAACUUUAUCUUUUAAAAAUGAAGGUACGUAGAUAGCCUGGUUUCAUUGCCAAGUUCAGUCAGUGAAACAAAUUCUUGAAAGUAGGAAGCAAAUAAAAUUUCAAGACUUGUACCCUUUCUACGCCCAACAAAAUUCAGAAUUCAGCAUUUGUUAUUACUGUUUAUCUCUAACUAAAUUAAUGAAAAGAUAAAUCAAGAAAUUAAAUCCUUUUAGAACUGUCUUAUAAAGAAACCAUAUUCUUUAAGGAUUACUUUAUCUAUAAUUAAUUAAAUUAAUAAGAUAUGAAUAAUAAUAAUAGAGUUUAAAUUCUUAUAGAACACUCAAAUGAAAAAGCUAAAUUCUACAACAACUCUCUUAUAUCAAAGUGAUUGGGCACUAUAAAAAUGGGUCACCUCCAAGUCAUUCUACACAUUCACAAGUUCAAGAAGUUCAAAAAUUCUUUACGAAAAUAUGAAGAAACUAAAGAAGUAGAAGAAAUUCUGAUGAACAUCAUAUCAGUUCUAAAGAAAAACUGCCUCCUAUCCAAUUCAAUUGAGAGGAGGAUGUCAACAGAAGAGAAGAAUCGAAGAAGUUUUGUUUGUAAAUAAAUUCAAAACUAUACACUCUUCGAAAUAAUAAAUAAAAUUUGACGCAAAAUUUUCAAGUCAAUUCUCAACUUAAAAUUUGCGUGUACAAUAUAUAUAGGAAAGAAUCCAUUUACAUUAUAUAAAACUAGUGUAUGUAUAAUACAGAAAUAUUUAGUACAUUAUCAAUAAAGUUUUUAAACUAUGCACUGUGAUUAAAACCAAAAUAAUAAUAAUAAUAACAACCAAUCACUUUAUUUGACUAACUUUUCCCUACAAGUCUUUAGUAUGGAGACAAAUCAGUUUAAUCAGCCUUUGGAGCUAUUAACUGACAUUUCCACCAUUGAUUUGAAAAUCCUAACCCAUCAAUUCACUUUAAAUGAAACGAGAUCCACUAGUGUUUGGUGUUAUAUUUUUAAAAUGUAUUUAGAUUAUUGUUUAUUAAUUUUAUUUGUUUAUAUUUAAAUCAAAUGUAAUAAAUUGUUGAAUUUAUAUACUUCAUAUUAUAACAAUAUAUUUUAACUUGCUACUUCUCUUUUUAAUUUAAUUUUUUGUAACUCUUCACAAUUUAUUUUGAAAAAAAUUGAAAAAACUAAAUGAUUAAAUUAAGGCUCAACUUUUCACUAACCUUAGUUUAUUUAGUCUAACUUUUCACAAAUUAAUAUACUCAUUUCAUGUUUCAUACCAACAACUUUUCUUUUUGGUAAAAAGAAAAAACAACUAUACGUUUUUUUUAAUCCCAAAAUUAAGGCUUUAUGAAUGAAAAUAAUAUUAUAUUAACUAUGAUAAUUAAGUCUUUAUUUUUAAUAUGAUUAAUAUUAUAUAUAAUAACUUUAAAUAUGCUUCCACUAAUCAGAUAUACUAAAGGAAAGAGUAACUUUCUUUUUAUGGUAACUAAUUUUCAAUUAUGUAUUUUAAUCUAUCACUAAAUAAUUAAUUAUAAUCAAGAUGUUAAUUUUCCAUAAAAUGUACAUAAUUUUGGUUGGUAUAUUAAUAAAUUUAGCCCUAAAAAUUUACACAUGCAAUUUGGUCUUAAUUUAACAAAAUUUUCCCGCAACAUUUGUGUAAAUAUGUAAAUGUUGAGGUUAAAUUUCUUGAAUUUUUUUUAAAAAAUUAAGGUCAAAAUGACAAAAAUAUAAAUAUUGAAAACUAAAUUUAUUACUGUACCAAUCAAAAUGACAAAAUAUAGCUAGGGACAUGGGCUUGACCGAGCCAACUCAACCUAUUUCAUCUGUUUCUAUUGACUUUUGCUCGACCCUACCCCAAAGACCUGUCAAUUUUGUUAAAAUUGAAAUAUUUAACUUGUUGGAGAAGACUAACUGUAGAAAAGUAAGUCAAUGCUAAAGUGAUAUGUCGACGUUUUGUUGUUUUCAAAAUAGUUGAUAAGCCUGAAAUUAUAAAAGAUAAUCAUGAGGUCUUAAAUGCAAUUAUGAUAUUUCUAAAAAGAUAUUUCUCAACAAUUUUUUUAAUUUCUUGAUUGAUGAAAACAAAUUUAGGUAUUUCCCAAUUUGUAAAAACAUGAUUUUUCUUUGAAUUUCUAGGUUUUUCUUAGCUUUUUUUUAUAUUAUUUUGGAAUUUUUGUAAUCUUCUUAUAAUUUCUUAAAAAAUAAUAUAUUUGUAAAAAUUUUUAAACCAUAAAUACCAAUUAAGAAGAAUGUGAUAAAAUUAGGGGUAAAUGUGUAUUUAAGCCAAAGAAAAUAAAAGAAUAAUAAUGAAAUUCACCUAAAAACAAUUACAAGGACUAGAUGAACAAUUUGACCUAAAACUUUGUUUGAAAUGAUGUCAUUAAUGUGUUACAUCAGCUUUCUUAGAGAGAUAAAAAUUAAAUGAAUAUGAGAUACAUGAAACUUGUAUCUCUUUCCAAUAAUUUAACAUUAUUUCAAUAUUUUCAUCUUGAAUUCACGAGUGAAGCGUACAUCAUAUACCAACUCAAUUGGAAAAAAGUCUUUAAAUUAUUUUUAAAUUGUAACAAAUAUUAUUAUUAAGAUGUUUUUCUUUUUAUAUUUUUUAUAAAAUAUAUUAAAAAACAAUUAAAAUAAUUUUAAGAGAAAAAAACUCAUACAAGGUAGAAUUUAAUCUAAAGAUGUCAAAGUUUUAAAGCCUCAACUUUAACAUUUCAACCGAAAUUCCAUUAGUAUAUAAAUAUUUAUAAAUAUAGAUUUUAUAUAAAAAAUUUUAUGUAAACUUUUUUUUAACCCGCAUCACAAGUACACCAUAUUUAGAGAUAUUCAUAGUUAGGCAGUCCACUUUGAGUCAAGCUUGAGCUUAGGUUUUCAAUCUCAAGUUGGCCCAAUUCAACUUAUUUUACUACUUAAAAAUAUAAAUAUAUGUUAUAUUGAUAUUUAUAUAUGUCUAUAGUUAAAAAAUUAUUAAAAAUAAAUUCAACUUAUUUAUUAAUUAAAAAUAUAAAUAUAUGUCUAUAAUUAAAUUUUAAAGAAAUUUAUUGUUAUUUUCUAAACAUAAAACAAAGAAAACUUUCACCCAAAUUAUAAGUUUGUGGUCAGGCAGCCCACUUUGGGACUGGAAUCAGCUUACUUUUUUAAUCUUGGGCUUUAAAAAUAAUAAAAAUAUAAAAAUAAUGUUCUAUUAAUAUUUAUAAAUUUUAUAAAUUUAAAUUUAAUUAUAUUUUUUAAACAGUAAAAUCAACCAUUUAUAUGGGCUAAAUUGAGUUAAGUUCGGUUUGCAUCAAGCCUUAACUUUGACCAAAUCCAACUAAAAACACCUCUAACCAUAAUCUAGUAUUGUUUUUAUGAAUUCAAUUUUAACUUGUAAUUUUCAAUUCUAUUACAAAAUUUCUUUGCCUACGAUAAGAAAAUAACAUAUUUGUAACUAAGUAAUUAAUUAAGUUAAUGUCACGAGUGAAUCAUACAUUAUAUGCCAACUCAAUUGGAAAAAGUUUUUAAAUUAUUUUUAAAUUGUAACAAAUAUUAUUAUUAAGAUGUUUUUCUUUUUAUAUUUUUUAUAAAAUAUAUUAAAAAACAAUUAGAAUAAUUUUAAGAGAAAAAAACUCAUACACGGUAGAAUUUAAUCUAAAGAUAUCAAAGUUUUAAAGCCUCAACUUUAACAUUUCAACUAAAAUUCCAUUAGUACAUAAAUAUUUUAUAAAUAUAGAUUUUAUAUUAAAAAAAUUAUGUAAACUUACAUAUAUGGUUCGUCAUGCAAAUGUUUAUUAUAUUUAAAAAUUAACAUAUAUGGUUAUUGAAUUUUAAUACUGGCUUGAGGAGUCGACUCUAUUGUAGAUUCUAGAUUAAUCUAAUAUUUCACCCUCUUUUAAUUUUCUUUAUUGGAAGAGUCUUUAAGAGAUAAGUUAAGUAGUAUAGCAGUUUCAUCUAAAACAACAUCUCUGCUAAUCACAACUUUUCUAUUUUUAGGACACCAUAACUUAUACCCUUUUACAUCAGCUUUAUAACCAAUAAAAACACAUUUAAUGAAUCUCGGUUCCAAUUUUUCAUUAUCAACAUGAGCUUACGAAGGACACCCAAAGAAUUUAAUCUAAAGAUAUCAAAGUUUUAAAGCCUCAACUUUAACAUUUCAACCGAAAUUCCAUUAGUAUAUAAAUAUUUUAUAAAUAUAGAUUUUAUAUAAAAAAAUUUUAUGUAAACUUUUUUUUAACCCGCAUCUCAAGUGUACCAUAUUUAAAGAUAUUCAUAGUUAGACGUCCACUUUGGGUCAAGCUUGAGCUUAUGUUUCCAAUCUCAAGUUGGCCCAAUUCAACUUCUUUUACUUUUUAAAAAUAUAAAUAUAUGUCUAUAAUUAAAUUUUAAAGAAAUUUAUUGUUAUUUUCUAAACAUAAAACAAAGAAAACUUUCAUCCAAAUUAUAAGUUUGUGGUUAGGCAGCCCACUUUGGGACAGGAUUCAGCUUACGUUUUUAAUCUUGGGCUUUAAAAAUAAUGUUCUAUUAAUAUUUACAAAUUUUAUAAAUUUAAAUUUAAUUAUAUUUUUUAAACAGUAAAAUCAACCAUUUAUAUGGGCUAAAUUGAGUUAAGUUCGGUUUGCAUCAAGCCUUAACUUUGACCAAAUCCAACUAAAAACACCUCUAACCAUAAUCUAGUAUUGUUUUUAUGAAUUGAAUUUUAACAUGUAAUUUUCAAUUUUAUUACAAAAUUUCUUUACCUACAAUAAGAAAAUAACAUAUUUGUAACUUCUCCAAUUCGACGUAAAUGUUCAGUCUGAAUUCAGAAGAUUACAUCAGCCAUAAAGAUGGCCUAGCAAGGUUAUUAGAGUUUUCAAAAACAGGCAUCUUUAAAAUGCUUGUUUAAUUUAUACAAAAACUUAUUUAAUUUCCAAAUUAUUUAUUACUUGAAAUCUUAAUUAUACUUUGAAAGCAAGAAGUGGUAACUAUUUAUUUUUAAUAAAAAUCAGGGUUCAUGUAUAAUUGAUUAAUAACUGUUAGAAUUAAGCGACCCGAAUCUUUAUUUAAAUGAAAUACAGUGGUAAAAUAAAAUAAAAUUAAAAUCCCUAUAGAACUACACUUAUUUUAUUUUAUUUUAGAAUAAGGAUUUUUAAACCUUAUUAAACUCCAUCCAUUUGAUAUUGAUUAGAAUAAGGUGUUUCAAUCUUACUACACUCCUAUUAGAAUAUGGUUUUACAAGCCUAUAAAUAGACAUAGUCUACUCCUCUUGUAAUUAUUCGAAUUCGACAUAGGGAUUUAUCUUCUCCUCUACCAAUAGCUUUUUCCCUGAAAGGGUUUCCACGUAAAAUCUGUGUGUUUUUUUUAUUUUUCUCCCUUUUAUUCUUUGCAAUACAUUGUCAUUACCAACAUUCUAUUUUUAGCAAAUUGGUAUCCAAGCUUCCAAUUUGUUCAUCUCAAUCAUGGUAAUGGCGUCUUUGAAGUAUGAAAUUCUGCUAUUGGAUCGCAACACCAGAUCCGCAUUGUGGCAGAUAAAGAUGCAGGCAGUUCUUACACAGAUAGACUUAGAGGAAGCCUUGCUAGGGGUAGAUAAAAUGUAUUCAACAUUAACAGAGGAAGAGAAGAAGCACAAGGAUCGAUAGGCGUUAACACAAUUACAUCUUCAUUUGUCCAACGAAAUUUCACAGUAUGGAGAAGACCGUCGCUGGAUUAUGGAAGAGGUUGGAACAAAUAUGUACGUCGAAUACUCUAACUAGCAAGUUGCAUAUGAAGCAGCUUCUUUAUGCUCAUCGUUUGGAGGAAGGUGUCUCUAUGCACGAACACUUAAUAGUGUUUAAAGGAAUUCUCUCGAACUUAGAGGUCAUGAAGGUUCAGUAUGAUAAUGAAGAUCUACGAUUGAUUCUACUUUGUUCGUUGCCUCUAUCUUAUUCAACCAUUAGAGAUGGGAUUUUAUAUAGCCGCGAGUCUCUCACAGUUGAUGAGGUUUAUGAUUCUUUAACCUCGUAUGAUAAGAUGAAGCAUCUUUUUCGUAAAACUGACUCUUAGGGAAUGGGUCUCAUUGUUCAUAGUAGAUAAGAUCAGAAUGCUGAUGAUGAUCGUGAAAGGACACAGGAAUAGAAUUCUCGCGAUAAAUCUAAGGAUAGAUCAAAGAUUUCAAGCAGAGGUAAAACUUGUAACUUCUGCAAGAAGAAAGGGCACAUUAAAUCUGACUGUUAUAAGCUACAAAUCAAUAUCAAAAGGGAGGUUGUGAAACAAAAUGGAAAACAACUAGAAUAUGUUGGUAAAGCUGAUGUUGUAGAAGACUAUAGCGAUGGUGAACUUCUAGUCACUUCUAUCAACAAUUCUAAAAUAAGCGAGGAGUGGAUCCUUGAUUUGGGCUGCACCUUUCACAUGAGUCCCAAUGGAUAUUGGUUUAUAACUUACGAAAUAGUGUUUGAAGGUGUUGUUUUGAUGGGAAAUAAUGCUUUAUGUAGAAUUGCAGGUGUUGGGACAAUAAAAGUUAAGAUGUUUGAUGGAGUUCUCAGAACACUUAAUGACGUACGACAUGUUCUAGAAUUGAAGAGAAAUUUAAUUUCAUUGAGUACUCUUAUUCAAAAGGUUAAAAAUACAUAGCUAAAAGUGGGGUUUUUAAUAUUUCCAAAGGUUCUCUCGUUGUGAUGAAAGGGCAGAGAAAGACUGCCAAGUUAUAUGUUUUGUAGGGUUUAGGAGUUCUUUGGCAUAUACGCCUAGGGCAUAUAAGUGAGAAUGACAUGGCAGAAUUGAGCAAAAGAGGACUUCUUGAUGGGCAAGGAAUUUGCAAACUGAAGUUCUGUGAUCACUGUAUUUUUGAGAAGUAAAAGAGAGUUCGAUUCAUCAGAGGAAUCUAUAACACGAAGGGAACAUUGGAGUAUAUUCAUUCUGAUCUGUCGGGGACACCCAGAGUGCAUUCAAGAGGUGGAGCUAAUUAUAUGCUAACUUUUAUUGAUGAUUUUUCUAGAAAAGUUUGGGCGUUCUUCCUAAAGCAGAAAAUCGAUGUGUUUUUCGCAUAUAAGUCUUGGAAAACUAUGAUUGAAAAACAUAUGGAAAAACAAAUAAAAUAUCUCCACAUAGAUAAUGGCUCAAAGUUCUGUUCUAAUCACUUUAAUAAACUGUGCAAGUCAGAAGGGAUCGUGAGACACUUGACAGUUUGCCACACUCCACAACAAAACGGUGUUGCAGAACGAAUGAACAGAAUGAUCGUGGAGAAGGUUUAAUGUAUGUUUUCAAAUGCCAACUUAACAAAGUUGUUUUGGGCCGAAGUAGCCUCUACUAUAUAUUUUUUGAUCAACCGAUCUCUAUCUAUUGCCAUUGAGAAAAAGACUCCACAAGAGGUAUGGUCUGGUAAUCCUGCUAACUGUUCUGAUUUAAAGAUCUUUGGGUGUCCUGUGAAUGCUCAUGUUGAUAAUGGAAAAUUGGAACUGAGAUCCAUUAAGUGUGUUUUUCUUGGUUAUAAAGCUGGUGCAAAAGGGUAUAAGUUAUGGUGCCCUAAAAAUAGAAAAGUUGUGAUUAGCAGAGAUGUUGUUUUUGAUGAAACUGCUAUGCUACCUAACUCAUCUCUUAAAUACUAUUCCAAUAAAGAAAAUAAAAAGCAGGUGGAGUAUCAGAGUAAUCCAAAAUCUACAACAGAGUCGACUCCUCAAGCCAAUACAAAAAUUCAAAAUAGAGUUGCUUCUUUACCACAAUACUCUAUCGUAAAAAAUAAAACUAGAAGAGAUAUUAAACCCUCAAAGAAAUAUGCCGAGGCUGAUCUAGUUGCUUAUGCUUUAAAUAUUGCUAAAGAUAUAGAUGCAAACCAAGAGCCAUCUAAUUAUUUUGAUCCGGUUAGCUAUAAAGACUCAGAAAAAUGGAUGUUUGCUAUGUAAGAGAAGAUGGAAUCACUCUACAAAAACAAAACAUGGGAUCUUGUAAAACUUCCUAAAGGUAAAAAGGUUGUUCGUUGUAAAUGGGUGUUUAAAAAGAAAAAGGGGACUCUGGGAGUUGAAGAACCCAGAUUUAAAGCAAGGCUUGUUGUAAAGGGUUACAGUCAAAUUCCAAGAGUGGACUUCACAGAUGUGUUCUCCCCAGUUGUGAAGCAUAGUUCGAUUUGAGCUUUGCUUGGUAUUGUGGCCAUGCAUGAUUUGGAGCUAACUGUAAAAACUACAUUUUUGCAUGAAGAACUUGAGGAUGAUACUUACACGCAACAACCAUAGGGUUUUAUAGUCUCAGAAAAAGAGGACUAUGUUUGCCUGUUGAAAAAGUCCUUUUACGGUUUGAAACAGUCACUAAGAAAGUGGUACAAGAGGUUUGUUUCCUUUAUGACUUCUUAUGAUUUUAAAAAAAGUAGCUUUGACAGUUGUGUUUACUUUAAGAAAAAUAGUGAUGAUUCUUUUGUGUAUCUACUUCUUUAUGUUGAUGACAUGUUGAUAGCAACAAAAGAUAAAUGAGAGAUAAGAAAGGUUAAAGCCCGACUAAGUGAAGAUUUUGAGAUGAAAGAUUUGGGACCAGUAAAGAAGAUACUUGAUAUAGAGAUUCUCAGAGAUAGAAAAGUAAGUAAAUUGUACCUAAGUCAGAAGGGGUACAUUGAGAAAGUUCUUUGCAAAUUCAAUAUGCAGAAUGCUAAGCCUGUUAGUACUCCUUUAGCAGCCUAUUUCAGACUUUCAUUGGCUUUGUCUCUACAAUCAAAUGAUGAGAUUGAGUACAUGUCAUAUUUUUCAUACUCUAGUACAAUGGGAUCUCUCAUGUAUGCUAUAUUUUGUUCACGUCCAAAUUUAUUAUAUGCAGUCAAUACAGUUAGUAGAUAUGUGGCAAAUCCUGGUAAAGAACAUUGGAAAAUACUGUUUCCAAAAAUUUAUGGAUUUCUGGUGAGUGAACUUCUAGUGAAAUUAUUGUGCUAAGUCCAUUGGGGCAGUCUGUUUGAGUAAGUACACUUUAUAGGAAUGUACCUUUGGAAGUACAAGGGAUUGUGUUUUCGGCAGAUCUGGUGAGGUUACUUCUAGUGAAAUUAUUGUACUAAGUCUGUUGGGGUAGUCUAUUCGAGUAAGUAGACUUUAUAGGAAUGUACCUUUGGAAGUACAAGGGAUUGUGUUUUCGGCGUUUUAUUCACAUAAAAGCAGCAAAAUUUAGCGACAUUGUCUACAGCGGCAUUUUUUACGGCGCUUGUGAAAGCGCCGCUAUAGGCCUAAAAAACACCGCUAAAAGCCUAUUUUGCUGCAGUGAAUUAAUAUUAUUAUAAGUAUAUUUUCACCUUUUCAUUCUUUUAUAUAAUCUUCAAGUAAAAUGAUUGAAAAAUAUUAUUUGAGAAUCAAACACAAGACUAACAAUAUUCAUAUAGAAAACGCUUAUCACUCCACUAAUAAUCAUUUGUUGAUGUAUUUUUGGUAAAAAGAGCCCUCCAAUCCCUCUUAAUUUCACAACUUCUCAAAUUAGUCCCUCUCAAAAAAAUUGGAGCAAUUUAAUCCCUAUCAAUUUUGAAAGUGAGUAACUAAGGACAAUUAAUUAUGGUGUUAAAUUCUUCAAUCAAUUGUACAUAAUUUUGAUUGGUAUAAUAAUAAAUUUAGCCUUUAAUGUUUAUGUAUUUUGUCAUUUUGGCCUUAAUUUUUUUAAAAAAAAUUCAAGAAAUUGAACCUCAACGUUUACAUAUUUGCACAAAUGUUGCAGGAAAAUUUUGUUAAAUUAAGACCAAAAUGCAAGUGUAAAUUUUGUUAAAUUAAGACCAUAUUUUCCCCCUUUAUUUUUUCAGUGCCGACCGGAAAAAAAAAUUUCAGUCUCAUCUAAAUAAGACAUACUUCAGCAGACCAAUAGACUGCAGAUCAGACCCAAUUCAAGGGUAAUGCAGUCCAAAGUUCCUUGAACUCCCUCCUCCAAAGUGAAAAACAAAUCUAUAUAUUUCUGCAUGAUUCAAACAGAAAGGACUGUUGGACAUGUAACUCAGAAAGAAUGCAAAUACAUUGAAAGUACCAUAGACUUUAUAAAUUAGUUUCAUGUUGUUAAAUUUCAACACUAUAAACCUAAAAAUUCCCAGAACGAAAUGCGGGAAUCAUGCCUUAAACUCCAAUACUCAAAUAAGAGACAGAUAAAUUGCACAUUUUUUAAUAUAAUAUUUACAGACUAGAGAUAAAAAUAUAGAAAAAUAUAAACAUGGACAUCGACAAAAAGACUAAUUGACUGUGCAUGUGUGCUAGAGAGUGGCAAUUAAACAUUAUCCAAACACAAUCAUUUCUCAACAUUUGUAAAACAAAAAGAAGAUUAAGAUUAGCAGUAAACUAAAUAAAACCAAAGAAGUGAGAACCACAAGUAAAUGAGAAAGAAAACAAAAUAGAGAUCCUAGUAGCUUUCCCAUUGAACUUCGUAUAAGAGAAAUAACAACAUUUGAACUUUAAGCAAAUAAAAAUGUAAAAUAUUCAGAAUCAAAACAAUCUUUUAUCAAAAUUCAAGCCAAAAACAAUGAGCUUCACUCUAUACAAGAAGCAUGUUAAAGUCAUAGGCUUUCUCGUUUCUGGAAACCAAAUCCAGAAACGUCUCCCACCAAAAAUCAAGAAAAUAACUUCUGUUUUUGAAAAUCACAUUCAAAUCGUGAAAUAGGAGCAAGGUCCUUCAAAUUCAAGCAAAGUUGGUAGUAAAAGCUUAACUUUCAAAGGUCAAACAACACAGCAUUAAGUAUAAAACUAACCCAAUCUCCACCAAUUCAAAAACAAGAAACCAAACACGAACCCGAAGAUCCAAACACGAUUUCGAAAAAAAAAAAUAGAUAUUCCUGAAAAUCGGAUAAAAAACUAGCAUAUACUUAAUGAAAAGAGAAAUUGACGAAAAAUCACAAGAGAUCUGCAUGCAAAUAUAGGCACACUUUUGCUUGAUUAUUCGCUUAAAAAAGUAACAAUGGAAAACAAGAUGCAAGUGUCACGGGCCGCAGUUCAAAGCCCGUGACCAGCGCACCAAAUGCAUCCAAUAGAGAUCUAUUGCUCAGAUAGGGAUCAUUUGGCCCACAAGAACUGGCUCGAUUCAAGGAGCUAUUGGACAAGCCUGUCAGAUUGAAGCCUGGUUGGCCCGAAAACGAAGAGAUGGCAACUUAGGCUAAUAUGGUAACUAAUCUUAGAAGAUAGAGGGAAUCUUAUCUUGUAAAGAUUAGAUUAGAUUAGAUAAGGCUUAUCUUGUAAAUCCCUAAAAUUAAGGGAUAUGGGUUAAUCUCAUCCGUCGAUGUAAAUGUAUAUUGACCGUCGAUUUUGGGGGAGAUCAACUAUAAAUAGAGAGCCUCCCCCUCAUUUGUACUCACUCUUGUAAUUAUUUCAUUAUUCUUUGUGAAUAAGAGAAUUGAGAGCAUUUACUCAAACACUUUACGAGCGUCCUUUCUGUUGUUCUUUUGUUUAGCUUCUUUUGGCACAAUCGCUUCCGCUAUACAAAUUGGUGCCUUGGAGGAGUUCUAAAAGAAUCCUCACUUGAGUUAAGCCUGACUUGGGCGAGUUUGGAUGAACAAAUUGUCUAAGGCUGCACGAAUUACGAGACGAAAGGUCUAGCCCUGUGACAAGUGGUAUCAGAGCCAAGUUUUGAACCAAGUGACAUUCGAGUUGGUUUGAAGGCACCGUUGGGAUGUCAAGAGAAGAGUUCGAACAAAGGUGGGAGAAGAAGUAUUUGAGGGAGACAUUAUCGGUAGUAGAGAAACGUGUGGGUAAACUCGAGGGAUCCAUGGAGGAUGUAAAGGAGGCACUCGAUGGGGUCGAGGAUCACAUUGCAAACUGGAAGGAGCAGUCUAGAGACUAUGUAAAGAUGUCUCUUAGUUCCAUCAUGGAUAUGGUAAACGAGUUGUUUAAUUCACACAGGGAUAAGCUGUCGGAAAGGAAUGAUGCUCUCGAGGCCAAAAUGAUGGCUUUGAAAGAGGAAACAAUGGCCACGACGAGGGCUUUGAGCACAAGAAUAGAGGAGCUCGAGGGAGAGCUGGCCUUGUGUUGAGCAGCCGUGAGGAAAGGAGUGGCAAAUGUAGCACUCAGUAACGAGGAUGUCCCAAAGCUGAAAGAGUUUGUGGGGACAAGGUCUGCGUGCGAUGUGGAUAAUUUCUUAUGGAGGAUGGAAAACUACUUCCGUGCCAAAGGCGUCAUGGAUGAUACGGUUAAGGUAAACACUACUUCAAUGUUUCUUACUGCCAUUGCACUUUUAUGGUGGAGAGGUAGGACCACAAAUAAAAGGCAAGGUGAGAUUGGGACGUAGCAAGAGUUCCAAUGCGAAUUGAAGGGACAGUUUUACCCAGAGUUUACCGAGGAAGAAGCUCGGGCAAAGUUGCAAGGGAUAACGUAACAGGGCACAGUGGGGGAGUAUGUUCGAGAGUUCAAGGAACUCAUGCUCCAAGUUUUAAAGGUGACCGAAAGAGAGGCAUUGCUUGCUUUUCAAAAUGGAUUGAAGCCGUGGGUCAGACAGGAGGUGGAACAAAGAGGUGUCCAAAAGCUAUCGGAAGCCAUGACGGUAGUUGAGUCUGUGGUUAAGCUUAGUCUAGGGAAAGACAAGCUUGGAUCUUCCAAGUCCGAUGGAAGGGGUAUAUGUGAAAUGGAUCAAAAGGAAGAUAGUGUUGAUGGCAAUGGCAACGGCAACAAUGGUGGUAAUGGGAAACCAUGAGUUGGGAAGAAGAAACCCAAGAGGAAAAGGGACAAGCUAAAAUGCUUUCUCUGCGACGGUCCACACAUGCUGAAGAAAUGUCUGAAAAAUUUGAGCUCAAGGAGAAGCCGGUGGGUAAGGCCUUGGUACUUGGUUCGAGCGCAAGGGGUGUCGAAGCCAAGAAGGCCAAAAGUAAGAAGAAGCCAGUGGAGUGGUUCUUGUGUCAUGGUCCGCAUAGGUUACGAAAGUGUCCGAGGAAGUCUAUCAUCGAGGGGAAUGAUGGAGCAGACAAGGAGCCCAAGAAGCUUGGUUCGAGCAAGGGAAAAGCCGAAGCCAAAGGGGCAAAAGGGAGCAAAAAGAAGCGAGUAAAGUGCUUCUUGUGCCGUGGUCCGCAUGAGUUACGGAACUGUCCAAAGCAAGCCGGAGUCAUAAGAAAGGCAACGUCUGAGCUUGGUGAGUCAUCGGAGGGGCUUCCACCCAAGGAAGAGGUGAGUUUGUCAUCGAACUUAAAGGAAAUAGUUGCGAUGAAAACAGUGAAGCUGGGACCAAUGAGGCUCAAGUUGAGUGAAGCGUCGGAGUUGGCCGAGUCAUCGAUAAGGCUUCCACCUAUGGGAGAGGUGGGUGGUGCAUCAGACUUCAAGGGAAAAGAAGGGAUGCAUGUGGGACAGUUGACCAGAGUAAAUGCGACGAGUAGGACGGUUUGAGUUAAGAAGCGACGUAAGCCGAGGCAAAAAUCCCGAAGGAAGGGAAAGGCUAAGGCAUUGAGACAAGACCGAGGUGAAUCGAGUCAGUGCCAUUCAAAAGUCACAACGAGGACGGUGCAAGAAUGUGUGGGGGAGAAUGUCACGGGCCGCAGUUCAAAGCCCAUGACCAGCGCACCAAAUGCAUCCAAUGGAGGUUUGUUGCUCAGAUGUGGAUCAUUUGGCCCACAAGAACUGGCUCGAUUUAAGGAGCUAUUGGACAAGCCUGUCAGAUUGAAGCUUGGUUGGCCCGAUAACGGAGAGAUGGAAACUUAGGCUAAUAUGGUAACUAAUCUUAGAAGAUAGAGGGAAUCUUAUAUUGUAAAGAUUAGAUUAGAUUAGAUAAGGCUUAUCUUGUAAAUCCUAAAAUUAAAGGAUAUGGGUUAAUCUCAUCCGUCGAUGUAAAUGUAUCUUGACCGUCGGUUUUGGGGGAGCUCAACUAUAAAUAGAGAGCCUCCCCCUCAUUUGUACUCACUCCUGUAAUUGUUUCAUUAUUCUUUGUGAAUAAGAGAAUUGAGAUCAUUUACUCAAACACUUUGUGAGCGUCCUUUCUAAUGUUCUUUUGUUUAGCUUCUUUUGGCACAAUCGCUUCCGCUAUACAAAUUGGUACCUUGGAGGAGUUCUAAAAGAAUCCUCACUUGAGUUAAGGCUAACUUGGGUGAGUUUGAACGAACGGAUCGCCUAAGGCCUCACAGAUUGUGAGACGAAAGGUCUAGCCCCGUGACACAAGUGCUAGGUAAAACCAUCAUGUCUGCUUACUCACCACAAACAAAGGCCCUCUAGGACCUUCAUGAAUUUUUGUCUUAUAAGUGCUUCCAUUGUGAGCCUGAACAGCUUGAUAGCCCACAAGAUAAGGAUAUCGAUCUUUACCCUACAGAUUAACAAGGUUAAAUCCACUUAAAUGAAGCACCAUUAGUCUAUAACAAUUUACUUCAAUUUUCUGCUGUUAGUUCAAAUAUUUAUUUUUUUAAUUUGCCAAAACUUGCUAGGAUCGAAGAUUUGGAAUUCCUAAAUUUCAAUUACAAAUUUACACCGUACUUGCAGAAAAAUAUAUUACUAUUAGAGACACCAGCAAUCAACCAGAGUUCUUUAGUUUUCAAUCAAGUUAUUCGACAGGUAUCUAUAUUGAUUACACAAAAAAAAUCAUACACCGUGAGAAUGUCGAGUAAAUUACAAAUACAAAAGCAAACGAACCCUAAAGGAGCUCCAAUACUUCUUCUCCCAGGGGCCUUUGUAUAGAGAUCCAAUGGAAACGAUCUCUAGAUCCUCUAAUUUCGUUGUUUGUUCUCCUUUUUUUGUUUUCGCCAUUCAAAGAAAUGAGAAGAAAGCAAGAUUUCCAAACAACUAACAAUAAGAGAGUAGAGAGGAUUUUCAAGAUAGACGAAGACAUGGCAUUUUAAAAUAGGGGAACUAAAAUCUUAAAAUGCAUGAUUUCCCUUGAAAUUCUAAAUAAAAACUUUAUUUGAUUAGGAAAAAUGUGAAUUGAUUUUGGGAAAAAGAAGGGAAAAAAAAGAAAAGAUUUCAUUUGAAAUAUUGGGAUAAAAAAAUAUAAUUACAAAACGACGCCGUUUUGAAAAAAACAUAUUCGUGGCGUUUGGAAAAAAAAGUCACUAUUGCUCGACUUUUAGCGACAUUUGGACCAAAAACGCUACUAUUGUUCAACUUUUUUCUGCAUUUACAACAAAAAAGCCGCUAUUGCUUACCUUUUGCGGCGUUUUUUUUAUAAAUGCCGCUAACACUUGACUUUUUUACAAUUUUUAUAUUGAAUUAUUGUAUCUUUCAUAUAAAUUUUAAAUGAAUAAUUUUUAGUUUUUGUAUUUCAUUUUUAUUUUUGUAUUUCAUUUUUAUUUGUUAUAAUUUUGUCCUAUCCAAAAUAGAUAGUUACCUAUCCAUAUCAAUCUGUUACUUUUUUUUAUUUAUUUAUCAAUAUUUUUUUAAAUUUAAUAGUUAAAUAUAUUAAAUGGUUUAGAUUUAAUAUUUUUAAAUAUAAAAGCAUUAAUUGAUUGUAUAAAAUUUUAUCAUUUAACAAAUCUCAAGUAAACCUUAAAUCCUAAACCAUUUAAUAUAUAUAAAGUUUAUCUAUUAUCUCUUAAAUAAUUUAAACUAUAAUCAUAAUUUUAAUAUAUUAAAAUUAAAAUUAAAAUGAUCUCUUUUACAAUUAUAUAAGAAAUUAUUUAAUAUAUAAAUUAAAAAACACUAAUUAACCUAAACCCUAAACCCUAAACCCCUAUCCCCUAAACCUUGAAUUAUAAAACAUAAAACAUAAACCCUAAAUCCCUGAAUCCCUAACCCUUAACCCCUAACCCCUAACCCCUAAACCUUAAACCCCAACCCUUAAACCAUAAUCCCUAAACCCAUAAUCCAUAAUCCAUAAACCUUAAAAUAGUAACUCUUAAACCUUAAACCCUAAACCAUAAACCCUAAACUAUAAUGAUAAUUAAUUCAAUAUUUUAAAAUUAAUACUAUCUCUUUUACGAUUAUAUAAGAAAUUAUUUAAUAUAUAAAUUAAAAACAAUCAGUCAUGUACCCAAGAAACUUUAAAAUUAUUUUAAAUAAUAUAUUUUAAUUUUUUCAUUUUUAACAAAUAUUUUCUAUGUUUUUACUUUCAAAAUUUCUCUACGUGUCAUUAUUUUUUUCUGAAGAAUUUAAAUAUUCAAUUAAAAAUAAAUUUAUUUUAAUUAAUAUAAAUAAAGCGGUUAAAUAAUAAAUAGACAGAUAAAAUACUUUUUGCGGUGAUUUUCAUAAAGUGCCGCUAAAGCUCGAUCUACAGCGGCGUUUUACGAAAAAGAGUCUUACUGAAUUUUUUGGGGCAUUUUUCAAAAAGCGCCACUAAUUCUCGAUCUAUAGUGGCGUUUUUCAAGAAGCGCCGCUAAUGCCACUAAAGCUCAACAUAAAACACCAGCAUUGAGCUUAAUUUUUUUGCGGCGUUUUUCAAAAAGAGCCGCUAAUGGUAGACCUAUAGCGGCGUUUUUCAAAAAGCGCCACUAAAGCUCAACAUAAAACACCGGCGUUGUGCUUAAUUUUUUUACGGCAUUUUUCAAAAAGCGCCGCUAAUGGUCGACUUAUAGCAGUGGUUUUAAAAAAGACCCACUAAUGCUCGAUCUAUAGCGGCAUUUUUCAAAAAGCGCCGCUAAUGCUCGAUCUAUAGUAGCGUUUUUUAUCCAAACGCCGCUAAAAAUGCCACUAAAAACCUAUUUUGCUGUAGUGAUUUGUGGGGUAAGUGGUUGAACAUUUUAAUAUAGACUGACUUUUCUAUAAUUAGUCCUUGCUUUAAUUACUUUGGGUGGAUUCUUCCAACUAGUCCAAGCAUUAUUGUACAAUUACAAUUAAUCUUUUUAAAUGAGACAAACAUUUCAAAUUUGUCAUUACUAUUUGUGAGUGAUUUGGGGGUAAGAAGUUUAACUCUUCUGGAUGUCUUAUAGAAUUGUGAUUAUACUUUUUGAGUAUUGACUCAGUUUUCCACAAUUGUGGGUCUCUAUUUGAGCAAAACAAUUUCAACAUUUCUUCAUCUCGUUUAAUCCAAAUGCAUUUAUGCAUUUCUUAUAUCAUUGAAUUUGCUGCUUCAUAUUCAAUUUUUGGACAAGUAGAAUUUUCUAACCUAUUUUCCAUCAACUUCACUUGAAUUUUCAAUCACAAUCAAUUGCAUUCAAGAGCACCACAUCUUUUUGGAUGAAACAAAAAUUUCAAUUUUAAGAUAAACGGGUCUUUAGGGUUAUAAUUUCAAUUUUUAAAAGUUUAAAAUAAAUUUGUAUUUUUAUUAACAAAAUGUAUAUAAAAAAAAACUUGUUUAGACAAGCCAAGAGACCUUUGGGAUCAUACGGGUGAUUUUGAUGAUGUUAAUGGUUAUUUUGGUGGAGAGAGUGAAAAAGAAACAAAUGAUUCAUUAUAUAUAUUAUAAUUAUGAAAUUCAAGCCAUAUAUUGUAUGUUUCAUACAUAAAAAAAAUUGGAGCAAUUUAAUCCCUAUCAAUUUUGAAAGUGAGUAACUAAGGACAAUUAAUUAUGGUGUUAAAUUCUUCCAUCAAUUGUACAUAAUUUUGAUUGGUAUAGUAAUAAAUUUAGCCUUCAAUAUUUAUAUAUUUUUUCAUUUUGGCCUUAAUUUUUUUUAAAAAAUUCAAGAAAUUCAACCUCAACAUUUACAUAUUUACACAAACAUUGCGGGAAAAUUUUGUUAAAUUAAGACCAAAUUGCAAGUGUAAAUUUUGAGGGCUAAAUUUAUUAUUAUACCAACCAAAAUCAUGUACAUUUUAUGGAAAAUUAACAUCUUGAUUAAUUAUUCUUAGUUGUUCACUUUCAAAAUUAAUAGGGACUAAAUUACUUUGAUUUUUUUAGGGUGACCAAUUUCCUCAAAGUGGAAAUUGAGAGAGACUAUUGAGAUCUUUUGCAUAUUUCUUUUAUAAAUAUAUUUUUUAAAUAUAAAAUAUAUUUGUUCACACACAUCGUGAGUAUGAUCUCAAUAGUCCACAUAAUCCAUUAAAAAAACUUAAAAAAUAUAUUUUAUUUUUUAACACCUAAGUGAUUCUCCAGCUAACGACCACCCAAGACACACCCCGACUUUAUAACACCCCAAUCUUAUUUAAUUAUUAGUUAUUUAUUAAUGCAGAAGUAAAUUAUGAGCCAAUUUUAAUCUUUUCCUCGGUAAUUUAACCUAAGGCCAAUUUCAUCAUUUUACCACCUAUUGUAAAACUAACCCGAUUUUAGAUAUAACAACAUGUUUGGUUUGGUGUAAUAGAUUAGCCAUUACACCCCUAUUUCGUGGGCCCCACUAAUCCCCACUUAUUCUUGUGUUUGGUUUGAUGUAUUGCCUAUUACAGGCCUAUUACAACACGAAUGUAUUCCUCAUUUUCUCUGCUUCAACAAUGAUUAGCCAUUCCGUUCCAAAAGUAAGGAUUAGCUAAUCGUCUCUGUUUUACCCUCCUCAGCCAAAAUCUACUGCUCCACCCCACCCUCUCCCUCCCAACAUCAACAGCAGUUUUCUUCGAACCAAAUCUCCACCGUCUCAGAUCGCCUGUGAGUAAUCUCAACAGCAGUUGCCAGUGAAAAUUGCCCUUUCUUCAAAAACCCAGCCCUAAACCCUUCUUCUCUUUCAAUACUCCAUUCGAACAGGUUGCGGUGUCUCCCUCCUCUGAGGUAUGGCUCUGUUUCUUUAACUUUAGCAUUGAGCGACUCUUUUCAAUUCCAAAAUUAGUCUACUCUGCUAAGGGUUCUUGCUUUUCAAACCAUUUUUUCACCAUUUUUCUUGUAAUUCUUUUUCUUGUUAGAGUUCAGAUUUUAGAUUUUUUUUAAAAAAAAACGAUUAGAUUGUGAGGUUCAGUUAAUUAUUAGGGUUUUCUGUUUUGGGUUUCCCUGUUGCGUGGUAAUUUUGAAGUGCAUAUAAAAUGGAUGCUUUUGAGGAUCUUAAGCAAUUCGGCGAUACUGAUAAAGGUUGAUAUUCGAUUCAUUUUGCUUUAAUUUACUUGGUUUAUGCAUUUUGGGGAUAAAAUUAGCUUUGUUUUCUUCUCUUUUGGUUGGCUUUAAGCUGAGAGUAAAAUUUGAAACCUUUGUGGUGGAGGAGUUACCGUUCUUCUGAGAUCAAAUGUAUAACAGGUUAGAAGGAAAUGAAAUUAGAUCCUUAAAUAUUGUGUUUUCAAUGUUAAGGGCAGGCUUUUGUUGCUAAAACAAUUGUGGUAACACUGUUUGAUUCAGUUAGAAGUCAAAUGUCGUUUCCAUGUGUGAACAAUUUCUGGUUUUUAAGUAGCGACUUUGUUUCAUGUUGGCCUGGACAUUUUCCAAAUUAGUAAUUAUAAGUUUGAAUUUGGCUACUAAAUCACGCCAAUUAAUGAUUUCAGUGUGCUGGUGUUUCAGACUUUCAGUUGAAUUGACUUUGGUUUCGAAUAUUUUUAGUGAUGGAAAUAAGCACGAUUUAUUUAAAUUAUGAUUGAAUUGGAGAAACUGCUUUUUGUACAUUUUGAGAAAUAUCAGGCCCUUGGAUACACAAAGGGUGUUAACUUGCGCCUAUCUCAAUUACCCCAUUCCUGCCCAUUGAAUUGGAGAAAGUUCUUUUUUUUAAUGAUUCUGCGUUGCUACUGAUUUUUAGUGAAAUGGUAUUUUUCUUAUGAUGUGUUUUCUUCUUUAUGAAGAGCUCAUUUCAGUAAAGUUAACCUUUCUAUUAUGCAGAAGGUGCAGUAUUUGAUGCAUCACAAUAUGCAUUUUUUGGAAACAAUGUUCUCGAGGAAGUUGAAUUGGGGGGGCUAGAUGAUGAGGAUGAGGAUUUACCUGCAGCUGGACUUGAUGAAGAGGAGUUUUUGUUUGAUCAAGAGGAGGUUAAUAUUCUUGUUUCUUUCAGUUUUAUUUUUCCUGUUUCGAUUGUUCUUGCAAGUUUCUGCAGCAUAGCACAACCAGUGACUAUUCGAUCGAAAAAUAAAUGUAUCCCUUCCAGGCGUCAUGCUAAAAAAUAGCCUUUUGGAUUAGUGUUGGAUUUUUUCUCCAUGUUCUUUAACAGAUAGAUUCCACUGCAUUCAAUUAGUGGUUGGCAUGCGAGUUUUAUUUGUGGAAUAAAGCUCUGUGGGAGUUCAUAUUAUAUAUUGUUCUAUUUGUCUGUGCAAAACAUUGUGAACCUUGUUCUCUGUAUUUAUAAGUUGACAAUGUAGCCAUCUUGGUUGGCUGCUUUCCGAAGUCAAUUUAUUUGAUUCGUUCUCUUUGCUCUUCACAAUGAGAGGUAGCUCUUUUGUACUUUUUUAAUAAGAUCAUAUUAUACAUGCUCUUUUGCAGUGGUCUAGUGGUUUAGUAUCUUGUUAAUAAAACCAUAUUGUAUAUUUGAAUAGUUUGGAGAUUGUGUUAACUGUAUUUGGUGCAUCUUGAAGUAAUGUUUGUUGUAUCUUAUAUGCUUCCUGAAUCAAAUAUGGAGAGAAGGUAGUAUAUGGAGUUUAUAUUUUCAAGUAUUUUUCACACAAUUGAUUUAUCUGUUCCCUUCAUUGAGGGGAAAACAUGGAAUGAAUUGACUUACACCUCACUUCUUCCUCAAACAUCUUUUGUACCACUUAUUUUCAUAAAAUGAUAAGAAUCUUUUUAGAUUACAACUUCCAGAGGUCUAUGUCACCUUCUUGACAAUCAGGUUUUUAGGAAUAUUUUUACCCAUCAUGCAGAAGUUUUAGACAAAAUCUUGUUCGUGGUUGCUGCUAGAUGCAUGAUACUGCCUCAUUUCCUUUGUGGUGGUUCUUCGCUCUCCCCCUUCUUAGUAUUUUUGGUUGUUGAGUCUUGGAGGCAGUUGUAUUCAGUAAUGGCUGGCUUGCUUUGAUGCAUUGCUUCUGUAUAUCUUUGUAGAAAACGAAUCUGUAUCUAUUAUUAACACAAAUUUGAUUAGUUCAUGCCAAUGGAUUUGUAAAGUUAAAUUAGUUAUUGGCGUUAGAAAUUUACUCUUAUGCCUGGAAGGAGAUCUGGCUUACAGAUCAACUACUGGAGUUAAUUGUGGAAAUUUGUUUGAUUUGGUUUCUUAUAAAAUUGUUACCCUGUUCUAUUUAUGUUGGAGUAGCUGAAAUCUGAGGUUGCAUUUGUCAUUAACAAAUAGAAAUCCAAAAAGAGAGGAAAGUGAUAUCAUCCCCUCCACUUUUUCCUUGGAAUUGCGUACUUCAAACUUUUUUAAUUGUAUAAAUUCAUAUAAGAAAAUUUAUUAUGAUGUUGUAAAACUAUAAAACAUAUGGAUUAUGAUGUAGAAUUUCAUUUUCAUCUAACCUUUUCUUAAUAUAAGUUAAUUAUGUUUAUGCAGAAUAUAAUCUCAAGUUAUAAUUUGAUUUUAGUAAAUUCAUAUAAGAACAUUUUAUUAUUAAAUUAUAUUUAAUAUUAAUUAUUUUAAAUUGUAUAAAUUCAUAUAAGAAAAUUUAUUAUCAAGAAUUUUAUGAAAUUAUAUAUCAUUAUUAAAUUAUAUUUAAUAUUAAUUAUUUUAAAUUAUAUAAAUUCAUAUAAGAAAAUUUAUUAUCACGAAUUUUAUGAAAUUAUAUAUUAUUAUUAAUUAUAUUUAAUAAUAAUUAUUUUAAAUUAUACAAAUUCAUAUAAGAAAAUUUAUUAGUUAUAAUUAUUUUAAAUUUUAUUAAAUCAUAUAUUUUAAUUAAAAUAUUUUUAAUAUUAAUUACUUCAAAUUAUAUUUUAUAGUAUCAUAUAUUAUGAUUUUAGUAAAUUCAUAUAAGAAUUUUGAUUAUUAAGAAUUUUAUUAAAUUAUAUAUUUUAAUUAAAAUAUAUUUAAUAAUAAUAAUGUUAAAUUAUCUUUUAUCGUAUCAUAUAUUAUGAUUUGAGUAAAUUCAUAUAAGAAUAUUAAUUUUUAAGAAUUUUACUAAAUUAUAUAUUUUAAUUAUAAUAUAUUUAAUAAUAAUUAUGUUAAAUUAUAUUUUAUAGUAUCAUAUAUUAUGAUUUGAGUAAAUUCAUAUAAGAUAUUGAUUAUUAAGAAUUUUAUUAAAUUAUAUAUUUUAAUUUAAUAUAUUUAAUAAUUAUUAUGUUAAAUUAUCUUUUAUAGUAUCAUAUAUUAUGAUUUGAGCAAAUUCAUAUAAGAAUAUUAAUUAUUAAUAAUUUUAUUAAAUUAUAUAUUUUAAUUAUAAUAUAUUUAAUAAUAAUUAUGUUUAAAUAUGAUUAAAUUAUUUAUUAUUGAUAUUAUUAAUCUUAUUAAAAUUUAAAUAACAAUAACAAUAAUCAUUUACCCAAACAAAUUUAUGCUAAUGGUAUUCUAGUCAUUUUAGUUUUUUUCCAUUAUGCUAUUACACCUCUAUUCCAUUCAACCAAACACAAGAAUACUAUUACGCCUCUAUUCCAUUACGCCUCUAUUCCAUUCAACCAAACAAUUGAUUUGCUAUUACGCCUCUAUUCCAUUACACCUCUAUUCCAUUACGCCUCUAUUCCAAUACAGCGAACCAAACGUGCUGUAAGUGUUUACCAACCUUCUUUUAGUUAAAUUAUGCAAGCCUAAAAUUUUCAGCUUUAUUUGAGUACGUUUUCUAUGUCUAAUUCAAGUUUUAUUAUUAAGGACUAAAUUGUAACUUAAACAAAUUAGAAUACCAAUUUAAAGAGACAAAAUUCAAAACCCCAAAACCCACACGGGCAUGUGGGUAAGUGGCACGGGCCAGUGGAGACUGGAGCUAUCACAUAAGGCGAGUGAGAUUGAAACAUAUGAAAUAAAUUAAUCCACUUAAUUUUCCAACAACCAUGCUAUACUACCAAACCAAAUAACGAGUGAAGCUUUGAAUAGGGGCGAAUCUAAAAAAAAAAUUAGAAGAAUUAGAAUUAAAUUAUAAAAUUUUGAGAAGUUAUCAUGUAUUAAUUUAUUAUUUUUUUAAAGGGUCCUAAUAGAAUUUUUUUCCCAUUCUGGUUGGGCCAAUACCUUUGACUGCCUCUUUAAAUUUGCUUCAACCCUAAACCCAAUAUUCGAUUUGGAUUAACAACAAUAUAUAGGUUUGUAUUUGUGGGAGUUUGACGAAUAAAAAUUUCUAUUUAAAAGGUUUAAAUUAUAAAUUUUUGAAAGUUUAAAAUAAAUUUGUAUUUUUUAUUAACAAAAUAUAAAAGAAAAAAAACAUGUUUAGACAAGACAAGAAACCUUGGGAUCAUACGGGUGAUUUUGAUGAUGUUAAUGGUUAUUUUGGUGGAGAGGGUAAACACGAAACAAAUGAUUCAUUAUAUAUAAUAUAAUUAUGAAAUUCAAGCCAUAUAUUGUACUUUUGGUUUUUCUGCAAUAUGAUACAUGUAUUUGGUAAAAAGUUAUAUAUUUUGAUACUUAAAAGUAACAUUGUUAAUUUUUUUAGUGCUUAAUCUGAAUUUUAGAGUUUAUUUAAUGAACAUUAAUUGUUAAUAUUGUUAUGUUUAUUUUUUUAUGAUUUUGUUAAUAAAAUAAAUUUUAUGUUUAUCUUGUUAUCUUUUUUAUUUUAGAAUUGAUUACAUGAAAGUUAAUUGCUAAUAUUAUUAGUUAACUAUUAGUUUUCUUCAAAUCAAAUUAAAACCCGAAAGAUCCCACUUUUUUUUUAUAUUAGUUUUAGUUAUCCAUUAAAUUUGUUUCUUUGUAAUAAAAUUAAAUUAUAGAAAUAACAUUAAAAUUUUAAAUAAAAUUAAUUCACAAUAAUUAUACAGAAUUUAAUUUUCUUUCAAAUACUGCAGUUAAUAAGGAAAGUGAAUAUAGUAAAAAGAAAUAUUGUUUAAUUAGUUAAUUUAAAAAUCAAUAGCGUCUAAAAACUGUCAGAAUGGAAUAUUAGAUUUUAUAAGAUUUCAUUAUUCUAAAAAAUAAAAUAUGACAAUGCUUAAAAAUUUUAUCAAAAAAGUUUUAAAUUUUAUAUAAAAUUUUAAAAAAUAAAAAAACAGUAUUAAAAAUUUUUAUAAGCAAAUUAAAUAUUAAUUAGUAAAUUAUUUUUGUAAUAUUUAUAUGUAUUUUCAUUUUUAUAAAUACUAUUAAAACUUUUUUUAAAAAAAUUGAAUGCUAUGUAAAAACAUUAUUAAAAAUAAAAUAUUAUAUGAAAGUUAAAAUGAUGUAAAAACAUAUUUUCAGUGUUGGCGUUGCUCGUUCGUAAAUGGGUUAGUUUCCGUUUUGAUGUGUUUUUACGUGGAUAGUAAAAGAAAUGUGUUAAUUUUUGGAUUAUGGAGUUGAUCGUUUUUAAUCAAUUCUCCAGUAAGUUGACUCGUUUGUUGUUGUUAUGUGCUAGGAUAAGAGAUUAAUUCUGAUUUGGGCCUGUGUGGUUGUGUAGAUUUUCCAUGUGAAAUCGUUUGGUAUUUUUAGGAUAAAUCAUUCUUUAAAUCGUAUUGCUACCAUCGCGAAUGUGAUGUUUUAAUUUAUGCAUUUAGGAUCUGGUAGUCUUAUAGGUGUUUUCGCAUAAAAAAUUGAACCAUGUGUGUAACGAAAGCUAAAAAAUUGCACUGUUGACGCCACACGGCCAUGUGACAAGUCGUGUGCUGGAUCAUGUGUAACACACGAUUUGAGCUAGUUGAGCCAUGUGGAAAACAAAGGUGUGUGUGAAGGCGUGUGCCACACCAUGUGGGCCACACAGGCUGGCCAUUUAGGCCGUAUGGGACCAAAAUUCUAAUUUUUUUCCUAGGGUUAUACACAGUGUGUAUACUUGUCUUUGAAUUGAAAAAUUCUAAACAACUCUAAAUAAAUGGAAAGCAGCAAAUUACCUGACGAGGCAAGCUAGGUCAAUUACGACCAUUGUGUUAUUCUUGUCUCUGAAUUGAAAAUUUUAGAAGAAACUAAAGAGAAAGUGUUAGAAAAUAAUUGAAAACAGAUAAAACUUAUGUCUCAUUGAUUGGAUAAACUACGAUCACCCAUAAUAGACCUUGUACUUGACUUUUUGUUUAGGGAGAUUGACUCUUUUAGGAGAAGUCUUUUGAGUGUUGUUUGCUAGGCAAUCGGUGCUGCCCUCAACAACUAAUGGUAGUGUCCCCAUGUUGGGAUUUUAUCCCCAGCCUCUGCGGAAUAAUCAUUGAGGAUAUGUGCGUAGGGAUUCAAACUACCAAUCAAUGCAUGUGUAGCCUUUACCUUGCAACCAUCUCCAUGAACCCAUAGGGUUCUUAGCGGGAUCAAGAGACGAAACCCUAAUGUGGGAACAAUACCAUUUGUUGAAGGCUUUGUUAAUAGGGUCACACCUAGGGGAGUUGGCAGGGGUCCCAACCCCCCUUAAAAUGAAAAAUUUUCCAUUUAGGCCCUUUAAAAUUUUUAAAAUUUUAAAUUAAUAAAAGUAAAAUUGUACUUUGGCCCCCCAAAAAGUGAUAAAACUUCGAUUUAGUCCUCUAAAAAUUAUAAAAUAUAGGCUAUUAAAAUGGUGAAAUUGCAUUUUUACUAUCAUAAAAAUUAUAAUUUAAUUUCACCCCCUAAAAAGAUUUUCUGGCUUCGCCCCAAAUAAAAUCUUUGCCAAAAGAUUAAAAUAAAAUUAUACCGUAAAUGAAAAAAUAAACUAAGAAAAUCCAAUCUAACAAAGAAAAUAACUUGAUGUCCAAAAGCUACCAUGAACCGUAAUUCAUGGGAAGUCUUGUUGCUCAUUUUAUUGGUUUCCAUUUUGAUUUUGCAAAAUAAGUUUGAAUUUUGAAGAGAGCCUACUACGUGAGAGCAAAAGAAAAAAAUUCUAUAAAGAUUUUGAAUUUUGAAUUUUGAAUUUUGAAUUUUGAAUUUUGAAUUUUGAAGCAGAUUUUCAUUAAGAUUGAAGAUUCCUAAUUGAUUUCUUAGGAGAUUAUCAUGAGUUCCUUAUUUCUUUCAGUUAUAUUGCCCUUUGGAUUUUUUAUUUUUAAUCAUGAACUACUUUUCUAAAUACGUAAGAGAGAUGAACCCUAUGAUAGAUUGUGACACCCCAAAGCUGACCGGGAUAGACCGGCCUGAAUUCAAAGCAUUACAUUAGCCACCUAAGGACCACUCAAGACACACCCCGACCUUAUAACACCUCAAUCUUAUCUAAUUACUAGUUAUUUAUUAAUGCCGAAGUAAAUUAUGAGCCAAUUUUAAAGUUUUCCUAGGUAAUUUAACCUAAGGGCAUUUACAUCAUUUUAUGACCUAUGGUAAAACUAACCUAGAAAUACCGAAAACAUUCCAAAAUAAUAUAAAAAAAAAGCUAAGAAAAACCUAGAAAUACAAAAAAAAAUUCAUGUUUUUACAAAUUGGGAAAUACCUAAAUUUGUUUUUAUCAAUUAAGAAAUUAAAAAAAUUGUUGAGAAAUAUCUUUUUAGUGAUUGUUAGCUUUGACAAGUUCUCUCCACCACUUCUCUUACGCUCCUUCCAGGAUCUUGCUUUUUGUGUGUUGAAAACUCAAAUGAACAAAAUAAAGUGAAUUUACGAGUUUUGUUUUCUUUUAAAAAUAUUUUUAAUAUUUUUGUGGAUACCAAGAGAUACCAAAAAUUAUUUCACUAAGAAGUUUUAAUUCACUCGAAAAGUUAGUGUUUUAUUUCAAGGGGUCAUAAUUAAUCAUUAGAUUUCUCAAUUUUAAAUUUUGAAUUUUUGACAAUUGUGUAAUUAAUAAGUACCAAUUUUGAGUGGUGUAGGGCUAGUACAAUCUCCCUUACACAUAACCGACUCUUGAUCUAAUAAAUAUUUAUCCUUAUACUUUGAUCUAAAUAUUUUGAUGUAAUCAAUGUAAAAAACCUUUUAAACAAAAUAAGGUUGAAAUAAUCUAUUUGUCUUUAUACUUUGAUAAAAUUUGGGAUUUAGUCCUCAUACCUAAUGUUGACACCAUUUUUUUGUGAAAACGGGGUUGACUUGGAUUUUGUAAACGAAAACGAAAACGGGGGUCGCCACCAAUUCUUUUUGAUAAGGUGUGAUCGGGCCACCUUGAAAAGUGGUUGUUUUUAAUAAACAAUUUAAUUUUAUGAAAACAACGAUUUUGGUCCACGAAAUUCAGAAAAACAGGUUCGGGAGUCGGUUACGUACGAGGAAGGAUUAGCACCCUCAUAACGCCCAAAAUUGGUACCUAGUUGAUUAAUUAAUGUCUUAGUGUAGAAGAUUGAAAACUCUAAAGAGAUUUAAAACACGAUCCUUUACUGAAAUGAUAAAAAUUUUCGGCAAAAAGGGCAUAUUUCACAUUAAUCGAGAAAGAGAAUUAUAUCCAAUAAGUUAGAACACAAUGUCUUGAAUUCCGAUGCGCGAAUGAAUACCAAAAAUUUACUUAUUUAAAAGAUAUUUAACUAUCUCGGAUUUAAAAAAGGGAUCAUGCCCAGUAAGUUAGGACACGAUCUUUUCUUAAUUCCCGAGAUCGUUUAAAACUUGAGAAAAAAGGGAUCAUGCCCAGUAAGUUAGGACAUGAUCUCUUCUUAAUUCCCGAGAUCGUUUUAAACUUGAGUUUGAAAAGAUUCGUGUAUUUAAAUUUAUUGUGAAAAUUGAAACCCCGUAAGUUAGGGUACGACCUUCUCGAAUCUAAACAUGAGAUUUUGCUUAUUCAAAAAAUCAUAAUUUAUGCAUUGAAUAAAAUUAAUCUAACACGAAAUAGUAGAAAUGCAACACGGUGUCAAUAUGUGUAACAAGACAAAAAUGAAUAUGAUAAUGUAAGCAUAAAUAGUACGAACGACAUCGUAAAUGAGAUAAAUAAUAGGAGAGACAAAUCCAUCAUAUCACAACAAAUAAAUAAAUGCAAUAUUAAGACAUUCUUUUCAAAUGAUAAUGAACAUAUACGCAAAUAAACAAAUUAACAUCGAGUGAAACAAAAAUGCAAUAACGAAAUUAAUAAAACUAUAAAAAGUAUAAAAAUAUGUGUGUAUGUACGUGUAGGUAUGCAUUAUAAAAAUAUAUGUGCAUAUAUAUAUAUAUAUAUUUGAAAUUACAAAAUAUAAAAGAUAUAUAUAGGUAUGUAUAUGUAUGAGUUAUAAAAUAUAUGUAUGUAUAUGUGUACAUAACUAAAUUUGAAAUAAAUAGAUAUAGAUAAACAUAAUAAUAAUAUAGUAAGACAGAUAUAUUUAAUAUUUAAAUAAGUGAACAUAAUAAAUGGGAGUAUAAUAAAUAAUAAUAAUAAUGCAAAGCUAGUAAUAUGAUAUAAUGAUAUAAUAUUAAUGACUAAGUAAAUAUAAGAAGAAAAUAUUAAUAGAUAAUGUAACAACCCGGUUUUGACCCUAAUCGGAAUAGUGGUUUCGGGACCACAAAUCCGAACUAGAAAAAUAUUAUUAAUAUUAUUUAGUGUGUUUAUAUUGUGUGCAUUUGAAUGUGUGAAAUUUUCGUGUUUUAAUUUCAUCGUUUAAGUGUCCGAUUUAAUAAAAGGGUUUAAUCGCGUAAAAUGAAAAAUUAGGGGUUAAUUAUAAAAGCACCUAAUUGUUGUUGGCUUUAUAAUUUAGAGGUUUUACUAUGAAAUUAGUCCACUAUAUAAGUUAGUGGGUGGCAAAAGACUAAUGUAACCUUAUUAUAUAUGUUUUAUAUAUAUAUUAGUAAAGGUUAAAAUAGUAAAUUAAUUAUAAAGUUAAUAUAUGUUUAAUAUAACAAAUUAAAUGGCUAUGUUCUUCAUCUUUUGGCCGAAUGGGUGAGAAAAUAAAAGGGGUUUAAAGCUUUUUGUAUUUCGGCAGAUUCAAGCUUUGAUUUAGGUAUGUUUUUGCUUCGGUUUUUGAUGAUUUUUACGUUUUUGAGAUCGUUGCUUUGAAUACUUCAAAACCCAUGUCUUAAUUUUGUGAAUUGAUGAAUAUUUUGAAUUAUGUCAUUGAUGAAUAUUUGUGUUUUGGGAUGUUUGAUGAUGAAUAAUGGAAGAUAUGUCUUAGAUUAACAUGUUUUGUAUUGGUAUUUUUGAUGAAUUUGAGUAUUUAGGGCUAAAUUGUGAAAAUAAAUUUUUGAGGGAUUAAAAUGUGAAAUAAAUGCAAUGUGUGGACUUGUAUGAGAACCAUGAAUAUUCGGCCCUUGUGUGGUAUGGGCAAAUUUUGUGUAUUUUGUGUUUUGUGCAAAAAGGACUAAAUUGCAAAAAGUGCAAAAUGUUAGGGGCAAAAUGGUAAUUUUCACAUUUAUGUAUUGAUGGACUCAAAUGAAUGUUUUGAUGAAUAAGAAGGUUAAAUUUGACUAUGUUUAGAUCAAGGAACGAAGAAAACGAAUUUGGAUCGGGGGAAGUCGAAAGUAAUCGAAUAGUCGAUCGUGUUUGCUGAUAUCCGAGGUAAGUCUAUUAGCAACUAAAAGUUAUUAAGUUAAUAUUUAUACAUGCAUACUAAUUUUAUCUUAUGAUUGAGCUAUAAUUUAAAGUAUAAAAGUUGAAUAAACUUUGGACUAUAGAUAUUGUAUAUAACAUGUUCGAAUAUACAAGUAUGAUCUUGUAUAAAUUAUUGGAUUAAUCAAAGAUAUGUAUAAGAUAUAUGUAUAUACAUAUAAGGUUUGAAUGAUUAUAUGAGUAUGUAUAUAUAUGUAUAAACUCUUGGAUUUGAUUUGUGAUAUGUAAUUUAUAAUUGUAUAUAUAUAUAUAUAAAGUCGAAUAAGCAUGCAAUUAUACAUGUAUGUGUUGUGUAUUGAAUUUAGAUAUGUCAUUAUAUAAGUAUAUGAGGAUUGAUUGUGAAUUUAUAUAUGUAUAAGUUUUUGUUUUGAAAUUAAGUAUGAAAUUAUACAUUCAUAUGGUAGAUUCGAAUAUGUAUAAAUGCACAUGUAUAAUUUCUUGAAUUGAAAUUAGGUAUGGAAUUAUAUAUGUAUGUGAAAGUUUCGAUUUGUAUGUAUAUUCACGUAAAAUUUUUUGAAUGGAAGUGAAGAUAUGAAAUUAUUAGUUUGGAUCAUUAUAAAGUGAUUGAAUGUAAUACAGACGUUACGUCUAGCAGGCUUGAUGCCGGUGAAGUAAUUCAGACUUUAAGUCUAGCAGGCUUAAUGCCGGUGAUACAUUUCAGACUAUAUGUCCAGCAGGCUAAGUGCCGGUGUACUGAAUCAGGCUUUAAGCCUAGCAGGCAAAAUGCUAGUGAAUCUUUUUAAAUUAUGUGAGAAUAUGCAAUUGAUAUAUCUAUGAUUUUGAUUAUACGAAAUAGAUGAAUACAUGAACAUUCGGUUUUUUUUUAUAUGCCUGGUGAGCUUACACCUACAUUCGGGUUUUAUAUUGGUUAAACAUAAUUGUAUGGAUUCGGUAUAUACAAUUAAUAAAGGCAUAUGUACAUUAGGUAUAUGCGAUUGCUGAAAUUAUAAAUGCAUAUGGUGAUAUGUGAUUGUUAAAUAUACACGUUGAGCCUAUGUGUUCGAUAAUUAAUUAUGUAUGCAAUUGAGAUAUGUAUAUAUAUACAUGUACUCAUUUAUAGGUAUAUAUAUUCGAAUGUAUAUACUAGCUAUGUAUUCAGGUAUAAAUCCAUAAUGAGUAUAUAUAUAUACAAACGAAUAUAAAAUGUGAUUGAUACAUAUGUGUUAGAUUCGAAUUGAUUUAAAGUUUACCAUGAGUAUACAUACACAUUCGGUUAAGAUAUGUGUAUAAUAUAUAUAUAUGCUCGAUUGUAUACAUUGGGUUGUAAUGUUGUUUUGUAUAAUAUAUAUUCAAUUGAUUUCAUUCGACAGGUAUACAUAUCUGACUAUAAAUAAAAUGGUCUGAGUACAAUAAUGUAUGAAUGUUAGUUGGUCGUGUUAGUUGAAAUUUCAGUAAAAUAGAUUAAAAGGUUAUAUUAAUUAUGUGUUUAUAUAUACAUUUAGUUAUGCUGUAGACUUACUAAGCUAUAAAAGCUUACUUCAUUUGUUUUCGUUCAUUUGUUUUUAUAGAUUUUGGAGACGCGUUACGAGCUCGGGGAUCAUCAGCAUAGUCCAUCACACUAUCGACUUCUUUUGGUAUUUUGUUAAAUAUUUGAACUCGAUCUUAUGGCAUGUAUAGGCUUGAUAAUGUUUUGGUUAGUUUUGGAUCCUAAUAUGUAAAUAGUCAUGCGAAAAGGGUUUAAUUUCCAUGCUUGAAUUUGACUACAUAUGAUCAUGAUUUGGGCUUGCAUUUGAAUGAGAUAUUCAAGUUACAUGUAUGUUAUAAAUUUUGGAUUAUGUUAGGUAUUAAAGUCAUGUUUAUGUGUGCUUUGUUUCGUAAUGCCUCGUAACCCUAAUUCGGCGACGGAGACGGGUUAGGGGUGUUACAGAUAAUAGCUAGGUUAAUAAAAAAAACAAAAUGGACUAAUUCAUGAUAAAAAUUAAAUUUAAAGGUUCAAUCUAUAAUAAAAUAAAUAAAGUGGGUCCAAAAUGAAAAGGCACGAAAGGGCGGAGGGCCAAAUGAGCAAUAAACCCAAAUUCCAGGCCACGCCCAGGGGUCCAACGAAUUGAGGAACGAAUUGAAAACCGCAACAAACCUACGGUCCAAAUUACAAAACGAGGGAAAAAAGAAAAGGAACUAAAUCAAAACAAAUCGAUAAUGCGGAGGGGCCAAAGGAGCAAAUAACCCAACACUUAACAAUGCACGGAUCCUCUGGUCGGGUCGAGUCGACGAGUGGAUCUGGGGGGCAAAACGACGCCGUUUUGGUACCUGGGAGGCCUGCCCAAAACGACGUCGUUUUAGGGCCUAUAUAAGUAAAAAAACAUAAACAAAAAAAUCAUUUUAAAUCCAUUUCAGAAAAAAAAAACUUUCCCUUUUUUAUUUUCUCUCUAGCCCCACUCCCUUCGAUCCAGACUCCGACCGAUGGCCGUCGCACCGCCCACCGACCACCGGCGACGGUGCCGCCCACUGACCACCGAUGACGGCGCCGUCGUGCACAGUUGUCGGAAAGUUCAAAACCCCUUUUUCUCUUCUCUUUUCGAGUAAAGUACCUAUUUGGGUUUAAGACAUCCCAAAAGUCCUUCAAAAUAAAAAAAGAAAGAGAGAAAAAUCUAGAGACCUUUCGGUUUCUCAUCACCGCCGAUGGAGUUUUUGGCGAACCCGUUGGUUUGACCACCCCAAGACCGGAGGUACCUCCGUCCGCGGCAAUAAAGGUAAUAGAUUUCUCUUUUUAUUUACUAUUAUAUUUAUUUUCGAAAUAAAUAAAUAAAUAAAAAUAUAAAAGAGGCACCUUUGUUUUUUCCAAAUCUGUUUCAAACUUUUUUAUUUUCGAAAAAAUCCCAAAAAUCCCCAUGAUUACAUUGAAUUUGUGGCUUUUAUAGCCCAAUGCAUAUUUUCUUUUUUCUUUUUGUUUAUCACUGCUUCUCUGCUAUUUGUGCUGUUGUUGCGUGUUUUUUUCAUGUUUUGCAGGUCUUGACGGAGCAGGUGGGCAGGUGGCAGAGCAAGUGGCGGUGGGUGGUGUCAGAGGUGGCAGAGGCAGAAGGUGACGCCAGAAGAUAGGAACCCCUAGGUGUGGCGCACCUAGGGUUUGACAUUGUUGUUUUUUAUUUGAUUUUUUGGGCUAGGUUUAGACAGUUGGGCCUGUGCAUUUUGCUUCGGGUUUGGGUUUAAUCUCGUUGGGCCGGGUGUAAUUGUGUUAGUUAGGCCGGGGCAUAAAUUGGUUAUUACACCUAAAAGGUUAAAAAUUAAGUCUUCUUAUUUUUUUUUAAAUCUUAGUCCUACCGUUAAUUUUUUUUUGUCAAAAUUUGUUAACUUGACAUAUUAAUUAGGUUUUCCUUAUAUGUCGUGGUAUAUGACCAACACAAAAUUAAACAAGUUGACAAGUUCUGACAAAAAAUAUCAAAGAUGAUAAUAAUUUAAUUAAAAUUUUUAAAUUGAAAAAGUAAGGGAUUAAAUUUAUAACUUUUGAAGUGUAAAGAAUGAACUUAUUGAAAUACAAGAACUAACAACACAUUUUAAAAUAUUACUAGUAAAUUAUAUAUCUACAACGUAAGCUCUUAUAUUAUAUUCUUGUAUCUAUUUUGUAUCUUUCAUUAUAAUAUGAUUUAUUAAUUUUAAUAUUUUUAUAGAAUAAUAUGCUUUAAACUAUUUUUUGUAUAAUUUAUAAAAAUUAUAAUAAACUUGCAAAAUGAUUUAAUGAUAUUUAAUUAUUAAUGGAAAAAAAAAUGAUAACAUAUAUAUUCUGUAUAUAUUAAGAUUUUGAGUCAUUAAUUAUAUAUCUACACAUUAUAAUAAAUUCAUCUUUCAAAAUGUUCCUUAUAAUUAAAGCAUAAAUUAUAUUUAUAAUAUUAUAAAUAUAUUAUAUCAUAAAUAUUCUUUCAAAUAUUUUUUAAUGUUUAAUAAUAAGUUAAUUUAUAAAAUAUUCUUUCAAUAAAUUAACGUGAUGCGAUCGUUAGGUGCUUGGAUUUGGUGAUGGGGGAUGAAGAGAAAAGGGAUGGAAGUGAAGAAAAAUGUUGAGAAAUGGAAAGGGUUAGCAAGGGAAGCUGCCAUGAAAGUUGGUUCUAUGGAUAUGAACCUUCAAGCUUUUGUGGAUGAUGUUACUCAAGGUUGUUGGAAGUAAAUUUUAAAAAAAUUGAGGUAAAAUUAAAAAAAUGUUAGAGCUAAAUUUGUCAUUAUGACUAAAAUGUAAAACCAAAAUUUUUUGAAAAUAAAAAAAAAUGGAAAAUAACAAAUUCUGUCACUCAUGUUUGCUUAAAAUAUAGUUUUGGUCACCAAUCUUUUGAAGUAAAUAUAUGGUCACCAAUAUUAUCCAUUUGUUACUCUGCAAUAACUCACCUCUAUGAAAUUUGGCAGGCCGUGUCAAUUUUGUAGAUUUGCGCUCUGAACUGUGAAAAAAAUGCAAAUUUUAGGUUAUUCAAGCAUUUUAAUACGUAUAUAUGAAAAAAAGAAGAAGAUAGGAGAGAACCUUCCUAGAAUAUUUAAGAAAAUAGCUCCAAAGACACUAUUGAAGUCAACUUUGAAGCAAAUUUUCAUCAAGAUUGAAGAUUCCCAGUUGAUUUCUAAAGAGAUUAUCAUGAGUUUCUUUAUUUCUUUCGGUUAUACUGCCCUUUGGAUGUUUUUAUUUUUAAGCAUGAACUAAUUUUCUAAAUACCUAAGAGAGAUGAAUCCUAUGGUAGAUUGUGGCACCCCAAACCCAAUCGGGAUAGACCGGCCCGAAUUCGAAGCAUUACACUAGCCACCUAAGUGACUCUCCAGCUAACGACCACCCAAGACACACCCUGACCUUAUAACACCUCAAUCUUGUUUAAUUAUUAGUUAUUUAUUAUUGCAUAAAUAAAUUAUGAGCCAAUUUUAAACUUUUCCUAUGUAAUUUAACCUAAGGGCAAUUUUGUCAUUUUACCACCUAUUGUAAAACUAACUCGAUUUUAGAAGUUUUUACCAACCUUAUUUUAGUCAAAUUAUACAAGCCUAAAUUUUUUAGCUUAAUUUGAGUUUGUUUACUAUGUCUAAUUCAAGUUUUAUUAUUAAGGACUAAAUUGUAACUUAAACAAAUUAGAAUAUCAAUUUAAAGAGAAAAAAUUCAAAACCCAAAAACCCACACGGGCAUGUGGGUAAGUGACACGGGCGUGUGGAGACUGGAGCUAUCACACACGGGUGAGUGGGAUUGAAAAAUAUGAAAUAAAUUAAUCCACUUAAUUUUCCAACAACCAUGCUAUACUACCAAACCAAAUAACGCUUGAAGCUUUGAAUAGGGGUGAAUCUUAAAAAAAUUAAAAGAAUUAGAAUUAAAUUAUAAAAUUUGAGAAGUUAUCAUGUAUUAAUUUAUAAUUUUCUAAAGGGUCUUAAUAGAAUUUUUUUUUUCCCAUUUUGGUUGGGCCAAUACCCCUACCUCUUUAAAUUUGCUUCAAUCCUAAACCCAAUAUUCGAUUUGUUGUGGAAGUUUGAUGCAUAAAAUUUCUUUUUUUAGAGGUUUAAAUUAUAUAUUAUUGAAAGUUUAAAAUAAAUUUGUAUUUUUUAUUAACAAAAUAUAAAACAAAAAAACAUUUUUAGACAAACCAAGGAACCUUUGGGAUCAUACGGAUGAUUUGGUGAUGUUAAUGGUUAUUUUGGUGGAGACAAGCCAAGAAAAGAAACAAAUGAUUCAUUAUAUACAAUAUAAUUAUCAAAAUUCAAGCCAUAUAUUGUCUGUUUCAUCCAUAAAAAUUUCAUGGGAGGUCCAAAGGUAAUUAAAUGACUUGUAGGCUUGCUGAAUUUCUUUGAAAGGCCCAAAGGCAAUUUAACACUCACAAAAUAAUCUCUAAAUACUGUAAAGACAAAUCAAAUCCACAGCAGCAUUAGAGUUGAUUAAGCUAAGCAUUGGCAAAUAUUACUUUGAUUUUGCAUGCAAUAUCGGCAAAACCCCCCUCUUACAUUAGAAAAAACAACAUAAUCCAUGUAACAUUGAUAGCCCAAUACAAAUUUCAUCAAGAAAAAAGUCUCUUUGUUUUGUAGAACAUGAUAGUAAAGAUGUGGAGUUUCAUUCUUCUUAUUGGCCUCCUUUAGUUUUCCUUGAUCAACAACCACUAGCCAAAAACACAAUUAGAUUAGAUUAUGAAUGAUACUUUCAACUAUGACAAUAUUAAAUACAAAACACUCCAAAUAACUCUAAAUAAAUGGAAAGCAGCAAAUUACCUGACGAGGCAAGCUAGCUUAAUUAAGACCAUUGUAUUAUACUUGUCUCUGAAUUGAAAAAUUUAGAAGAAAAUAGAGAAAAAGACUUAGAAAAUACUUGAAAACAGAUAAAACUUAUAUGUCAUUUAAAAUAAAAAAAAAUUAUUUAAGCUGUUUAAAAUUUUUAAGAUUUUUAAAAUUUUAAAAUGAUAAAGGUAAAUUGUACUUUGGCACCCCUAGAAAUGAUAAAACUUUGAUUUAAUCCUUUAAAAAUUAUAAAAAUAUAGGCUAUUAAAAUGAUGAAAUUAUAUUUUUACUAUAGUAAAAAUUACAAUUUAAUUUCACCCCCUAAAAAGAUUUUCUGGCUUCGCCCCUAAUAAAAUAUUUGGCAAAAGAUUAAAAUAAAAUUAUACCGUAAUUGAAAAAAGAAACUAAAAAAAUCCAAUCUAACAAAGAAAAUAACUUGAUGUCCAAAAGCUACCAUAAAUCGUAAUUCAUGGGAAGGCUUGUUGCUCAUUUUAUUGGUUUCCAUUUUGAUUUUGCAAAAGAAGUUUGAAUUUUGACGAAUACCGACAUAUUAUAUAUAUGACUAAAAUUCCAGAAUAGGUUAAAAAUGUUGAAUUAAAGAUGAAAUUAAGUGUGAAUUAAUAACCACAAGUGUACUCAUUACUCACCAUCUCUGUUAAAAAUGUUGGAUGUUGUUUAGCAACCUUUGUUUGAUUUUCUUCAGCUCAACCACAACAUCUUUCAUAUCUUUUCUUUCUUCUGGUAACUCAGCUGAACAAUUCAAAGCCAACUCCAUGAUAGAUGAAAUACAAUUUGCUUUAACAACAAUGUACUCAUCCUCUCUUCUUAGUAAAUCAACAUCUGCAAUUUCUAUCGCUCCUUUAGGCAAUGAACUUUCCAUCCAAUGCCUUAUAGUCUCUUCUUCAACAAAAACAUUAUCAGAUGGCUUUUUCUUUGUGAAAGUUUCUAUAAGGACGAUCCCAUAACUAUAGACGUCAGAUUUUAUAGAAACAAUUCCUGCUGAUCCAAAUUCUGCAUUUCAAGUAUAAUUAGAACAUCAUUCAUCCUCAAUUAUUUCUAAAAUGCUUAUUCUAAUAUCUAUCCAUAUACACAUGAAACAAAAAUAUAAAAUUCAAAUUAGGAAAAUAAUCAUACAAAAAUAAAAAAGAAUUCACCUGGUGCCAUAUACCCGAUAGUUGCAAGAGUCAUGGUUUGCUUCAUUACUUCACCUUCUCCCAACAAUUUGGCAACGCCAAAAUCUCCAACAUGUGCAACCAUGUCUUCAUCUAGUAAAAUAUUGCUUGGCUUUAUGUCACAAUGAAUUAUAGGUGUUGGAUGUCCAUUGUGGAGGUGUUCUAUAGCUAACGCAACAUCUAUCAUUAUGUCGACCCUUUGUAUGAUAUCAAGGAAACAAUUUUCAGAAUGUAACCAUUUCUCAAGGUUUCCAUUAGACAUGUAAUCAAGCACCAAGGCUUUGAAGUCAACACUUGAGCAGCAAGUAAUGACCUUCACAAUAUUACGAUGAACUAUAUUAAGCAUAGCAUCACAUUCAAUGUCAAAACUCCUAAAUGCUCCCUCUGUUUGCAAAUUGAAAACUUUUAUUGCAACUUCCAUUCCAUCUGAAAGCCUCCCUUUAUAUACAUAUCCAAAACUCCCUGAACCAAGCAUAUUGCUUUCCUCAAAUCCAUUAGUUGCUCGUGAAAGUUCAGCAUGUGAAAUUCUUCUCGGUGUUUUCAAAGACAACAAAUCAUCUUUAAUUGAUAGAGUUGUACUCCUUCUUUGGCAUCUUCUAUACAUAAUAGUUAAGACUAUUAGUACUACGACAAUGCCAAUUGUUGGUAAACCAUACCUAAAAGCAUGCAAUAUAAUCAUUUGGGAGUUUUUGUGGAUGUCGUUUUUGCAAGGUGGGACUUGCAAUCUAGGUGGACCACAAAGUGCAUAAUUCUUCAUGAAUGAUGUGCUAGAAAAGUUUGAAAAACAUCCUUUGCUGGGAAUUUCCCCUUCAAGUCUAUUGAAAGACACAUUAAAAUACCUUAGAUAUAUAAGUUUUUCCAAAGAUUUGGGAAUGACUCCAGAGAGAUUGUUAUUGCAUAAAUCCAAGAAUUCCAAACUAAUCAAUCCAGCAAAUGAUUCAGGGAUAUGACCAUGUAGUAUAUUAUUUGAUAAAUCUAAUGAAACCAAAGUUAUAAGACCCCCAAAUGUGGAUAAGAUAUCGCCCGUGAGAAGAUUCUUUGAUAAAUUUAGUUUCAGUAGACUCCUCAAAUUUCCAACAUCAAUAGCAUGUGAACUGUGAAGAUGGUUUGAUGAUAAAUCUAUUUCUAAGAUAUCUUUAAGAUUCCACAAAGUUGAGGGUAUUGUAGAACUCAAUCUGUUGGAAGCAAAGUAAAGAUAUCCCAAAGAAGUAAUAUUACCCAAACAAGAGGGUAUGGAUCCAUGCAGCUUAUUCAACCCUAAAAAAAAGUUGUAUAAUCUCUCCAAAUCACAAAGGCUUUCUGAGAUGGGCCCUCCUAAUUUAUUAGAGGAAAGACCUAGACUUUGGAGAUUCCGCAGUCCUCCUAUUGAUGUUGGAAUGAAUCCACUUAAUUUAUUAAAGCCAAGUUCUAAAACCACCAUGUUGCUUAAGUUACCUAUUUCCAUAGGAAUAAUGCCUUGAAGCUCACAAUUAGAGGCAUAAAAGUAUUGAAGGGAUUUUGAAAGGUUCCCAAUAUAAGUAGGAAGAACGUCACUCAAUGGAUUUCCUGAAACAUCUAUUGCGGUCAAAUUCCUACAAUUCGUCAAAGAAGAAAGAAAGCUCCACUCAUGAUCAGUAGCAGAUCCUGUGAUCAAAUUAUUGUCAUUGAUUUUGAGCACUUCAAGGUGUUUUAAGUUGCCAAGCAUUUUAGGGAUUGGGCCAGAGAAUAAGUUAUGUGACAAUUCUAGUUGCUUAAGCAUGGAAGCAUUGGAGAUAGAGUUGGGAAUGUUUCCGCUAAGUUUAUUUCUCCACAAUAAAAGAAUCUCAAGCUUUGGAGCAUUGGUGAUGGGUGGUAAAUUACCUGUAAAAUUGCAUCUUUUAGUAUACAUAUUCAUUGAAUACCAAAUUCACAAAAUAUAUAAGACAUUAAAAUAAAAACUGUAAAACUUUAAAUCAAUUAAGAAUAAAAUUUUGGCAUGGAAAAAUGUGAUGAAAUCAAUUAGAAAGUUGAGACAUAAUAAGAAGUUUUGAGUAGUAAUUAGUAAAACAUAUAAUACAUUAAUAAUUUUUAAAAUAUUGUAAAACUUGAAAUAAAAUAAAAAUAAAAGUUUGGCAUGAGAAUGUGGCAUCUAAUCAAUCUUAAAAAUGAGACUCACAUUGAAUAAUAAUUAGUUAUGAUUUGGGAAACAAAAAUGUUAAAGCCAUUGUUUUUAAUGUAAGCUGGUAUGACUUUUAUCUAUUGGGUUAAUUAUUUAUUUUUAUUAAAUUAUAGUGUAAAAUUUAAAUAUUAUUAUUUGCUUAAAUUUUUUGUAUUUUUCGUAUAUUUAAAAUUUAAUCUUUAUAUUUUUAUUUUCUGUGAUUUAGUCCCUCUACUUUUUGAAUUGAAAAUUUUAGGUUUAUUUAUUAACACCGUUAAAAAGUUUUUGUGUUAGUAUGGCAUUUUGAAAACUAAAAUAAACUUGAUAUCUAUGUUUUUAAUUAUUCCAAAUAUUGUUUUACUAUUUCAAGAUAAAUUAUUUGUGUCUAGACCAAUAUCUUAAGAACUAUUGUUGCAUAUUUAAUUAUUCUAAAGAAUUGUCGAUUGAAUCUUAGCUUGAUUGGCAUGUGCAUUGUUGCCAAUGUAGGAGAAUGUGGGUUCAAGCAUGCAUGCUGAAAUGCAUUAUCCUCCUAUUUAUGAAUUGGUAAAGUACUAAAUUUUGAUAUAUUUUAAAAUAUUAAAAAUUUAUUAAAAUAUUUUUUUAUAAAAAUUGAUUGUACCACAAUAUACAAUUUUAAUAUCAAAUUUUUAAUUUUUUUAAAAAAUAUUAGCGAAUAUGUACUUUAUUUCAAGUUACACAAUUUUUACUAGUUUUUAAAUUUUUUUAAUUUUUAUCGUCUUUUAUAAUUUCUAAUAAUUUUUUAUAAUUUUUUACAAUAUUUAACAAUUUCUAAAAUUUUUUAAUAAUUUUAUUAUUUAUUACAAAUUUAAAAAUUAACAAAUUUUUAAUCUUUAAAACAAUUAUAUAUUUAUAAUGUAGUUAUUUUUUUUAUAAUUUUAUUUGAAAUUUUAAAGAUUUUUUUGGUUUGUUUUCUAGAUUAUGAUGCCAUCAUAAUGUCAUCAUAUGCCACAUGGCAAUUUAUGAUUAGUUGGAUAUCUCAAUCUAUUUUUUUAACGUCCAAUGGACUAAGCCAAGAACACCUGACAAUGUUAGAGACUACACUACGAAUGUUUGAUAAUAUUACGUAUUAAAGUGGACAAAAAAAAUUAAGGACCAAAGUUAUAAAAAAAAAAAAAAAACAGCAAUCGGCUGCAGGGAAUAAACUGUGCAUUAAGCCAUUAAAAAUAUAUCUAUAAUAUAUAUAAAUGCAUGGAUUUUGAGAAACAUUUGAACUGAUAAUUACAUAGUCUUUGAUGUUUACUAUAUUAUUGAAUUUGUUAUUUUAAAUAUUUUUUUAUUACUUUUAAGAUUUAUCAUAUGUAUGGAUAAGAAUUUUGGUUUUACUAAAAUAUUUGGUUAAAUAAAUUCAUUUAAUAAGAAAAUUUAGCAUCCUUAUAAAUAACAAUUUUGAUUCUAUUAAAAAUUAUUUUCAAAAAUAUAUAAUAAAAAUUUAAAAUUUAUAUUGAAUUACUUUAUACUUAAAUUAUUAUUAGAAACUUUAUCAUACACAUACGUGUAUGAGAACCAUGUAUUUAGAACAUAAAUUUGUUUUUUAAAGUAACUUAUGAUAAAUAAUGAAAUGUAUAAUUUGAAACUAUUUAAUAAUAACACAUGUCAUAUCUACCAUAUUAAAAUAAAAAUAGAUUAAAUUGUAAGUAAAACAUAAUUUAAACAUAUGAAUACAUCAAAUUAAGAAUACUAAAUGAAUACAGUUAUUUAUGAUGAUGUUGUUGCCAAUUCUUAAGUUGGUGCCGAGUUAAUUUGUGACAUCAUAAAUUUAGGUGAUAAAUUUAAGGUUUUAUGUAUUGAUGUGGAUUCAAAUAUCACCAUAAUUUUUUUAAAUAAAAAACUAAAAUACCCUCAAAUAAUAUAACUUAUAUUAAAUACGAAAGGGUAUUUUUGUAAUUUCUCUAACCGAGUUGGUGCCCGGUUGACUCAUGACACCAACUCAAUCAAAAGCUUCAAUAAUAAUAUAGAUAUUCACGGUAAAAAAAAUUACUUUAGUUCCAAAUAAUUAUAUAACAAGUAAAUUUAUAAUUGACGAAUAAAUUUAUAAAUAAUAUAUUUAUAUGAUCUAAUAUAUUAUAUUUAUAUUAAUUAUAUAUCAUCUACAAACUUUGAAGAUUAAUUUAUUAAGUAUCAAGAAAAGAAAAAAUGAAAUUUAAUUAACACUAAAUCAAUUUUUAGAUUUUGUACAGAUGAUUUAAUGAUGAUAAAAAAAAUAUUAGCACUAUUUUCGAAUUAACAAAAAAUUAGUGAUAUAUUUUAAUUAUAUUUAUUAUUUAUUUUUUAAUAAUUUUUUUAAUUAUAUGAAGUAAAAUUAUAUUGUAUACUAAAAAUGGUACAUAUACUUUAAUUAUACUUGAAAAUUUAUUAUAUAAAUUAAUAUAUUUUAAUUAUAUUUAACCAUUUGAAUAACAAAAUAAAAAAAAACUAAUUAGAAUAAUUUAUUUUUUAAAGUCUAAUGGAAAUUAAAAAAUUAAAAAUAAAGCAGUUCAUAUAAAACUUAUUGUUUAUUAUCAGAUUAAAAUGAUAAAAGUAUAUGACCAAAAUAAAAGAAACAAAUUCAACUCAAUGUUUUUGGAGUUUGGAAAAAAUUAAAGUUAAAAACAUACCUUCUAAUUUGUUGUUAAAUAGAUCUAUUUCUUCGAGCGUAGUCGAAUUAAAAAUACUUGAUGGAAUCUGACCUGCACACAUAGUCGAAAAUUGAAGUAAAAAACAUACCUUCUAAACUGUUCAACUAAAAAUACUUUAAGCAUAUUUUUUAGUAAACUGUGCAACAGGUGAUAUGAGAAUCUAUGUAUAUAAAUGUAUAUGUAUAUAUAUCGUUGUUUCAUUUUGUAAAAUAAAUAUAUUUUCCACAUUGGUUUCUUUUCUUCUACAGACAAAGGAUUUCUAAUGAUUCUUUUUUAUUUUUACUUAUAAAAUAGGUUAGUUUCUGCAAUAAUAAAAACAAUUUCUAAUGAUUAUUGUUGUUACCAGAUAACUAAUUUUCAUUCAAGUAAAGCCCUUCAAGCUUGGGAAAAUGUUGACACAUAUCAUUAGGCAAACUACCUGAUAGGCUAUUGUUGGAGAGAUCAAUGGUCUUCAGAGAAGAAAUGUUCGAGAUCGAAGUUGGAAUCUGACCUGUAAGGCCUUUAAUUUCUUUAAUAUUAAGCAUUUCCAAACUAAGAAGAUUACCAAUUUCCUUAGGAAUUUGACCUGCAGACAGUCAAAAAAUCAAUGUUUUUCAGCAUAUGUUUUUCAUCAAAUGAAAUAAAAAGUUCUUCCUUUUGUUAUCUAUUACAAAUCAAACUCUUUUAUAAAAAAAAAACUUUAAAUUCAAGAAAUCAAGGAAAUUGAUUACCUUCUAGAUUAUUAAACCCUAAAUAUAACUUCUGGAGUCGUGUUAGAUUUCCAAUACUUCUUGGAAUGAUACCCAUAAAUUGAUUAUAGGACAACGACAAAAUUUGAAGGUUGUUGCAUUUGCCCAUGCCAAAUGGAAUGUUACCAGAUAAUUCAUUCAAACUCAAGUAAAGCCCUUCAAGCUUGGGAAGAUGUUGACACAUAUCAUUAGGCAAACUACCUAAUAGGCUAUUGCUGGAGAGAUCAAUAAUCUUCAGAGAAGAAAUCUUGAAGAUGGAAGAUGGAACCUGACCAGAUAAUUGAUUGAAUCCCAAGUUCAAGAUCUCUAGAUUAGACAUGUUAACAAGUGUUUCAGGGAUUGUGCCUGUAAAGUUAUUGUUUUUCAUUUUCAGCCUUCGAACUCUUUGUAAGUUCCCAAGCCAUGAUGGAAUUUCCCCAUUCAGACGGCUGUAGCUUAAUUGAAGGAUCCUCAAACGAUGCAAUUGGCCCAAUUCUUUAGGGAGAUGGCCAUAGAAAUGGUUGCUACUCAAGUCGAGAGAGAGUAGAAAUGAAAGAUUUCCAAGGUGUGGAGGGAUAGUACCCCUAAGAUUCAUGCUUGUAAGAUUCAAAGCUAUAACUCUUUUAAGAAGGAUGCCACAAGAAACACCAAUCCAAUUGCAAACAGAGGUUGAGACUGUCCAAUUGUUUGGCAAGACAUUUUGAGGACCGACGAUGCGAUCCUUAAACUCGAGAAGUGCAAACUGAUCGGAGUUUAGAUUCCUGACUGUCAUAGCCAAGCAAAGUACGAAACAUGGUAUGAAUAAAGCUAAAAGAAGAUGAAAGCAAGUGUUGUAGUUCAUGAUUGCAAGACGGAAUAAGCCAAGAAAAUAAAAAAAAGUAGGAAAAGGGAAGUUGAGUUGAUAAAAUAGUUUGGAUGAUGAAGAAAAGCCCUGAGAGCAUGCUUUAAUAUGUUUCAAUCAUCGCACACUUGAUAAACUUGAUAAAUUUAAGACUACCCUAAAAAUUAAAAAGGAAAGCAAAGUUUUGAAGAAAUUUCAAAAUAAAUGUCAAGUCUUCUUCUUUUAAAAAUACGUACAAAGAAGCGAAUUUUCAAAAUUUCUACUAAAUUUUCUUCACAUUACUCCACAUAAUCCAUUAAAAAAACUUCAAAAAAAAAUAUUUUAUUAAUUACUAUAUAUUCUUUUAUUUUCAGAAUAAUAAUUGUUUAAAAUAUGCUAUUAGUCCCUGUAAUUUUAAAGUUAAAAAAAAUCCAAUCCUCCUAUUUUUCUAAUUUAAAAAUUCUAGUCCAAUCAUUUUUAAUUCCAUUAAAAAAUUUCACCUUAAUAGGUUUUUUGAUUAUCAAUCGUAUGCAACAUUAUAUGAAGGCAGUCUAAUCAGCAUAUAUCCAAGUUUAUAGAUUUUAAUAGAAAAUACUUACAAUCCUAAUGGUAGGACUAAGUUUUUUAAACUAGAAAAGUAAGAAGACUUAAUUUUUAACUUUUUAAGUACAAGGAUUAAAUUUUAAAUGUUGUCAAAGUACAAGGAUUAAAUUUUAAAUGUUGUCAAAGUACAAGCACUAACAAAAUAUUUUGAUCUAAUAAAUGUAAAUGAACUUUUUAAACAAAAUAAGGUUGAAAUAAUCUAUUUGUCGUUGUAUUUUGAUAAAAUUUGAGAUUUAGUCUUUAUACCUAAAAGGUUAAAAAUUAAGUCUUCUUGUUUUUAUUUAAAAAUCUUAGUCCUAUCGUUAAAUUUUUUUGUCAAAAUUUGUCAACUUUACAUAUUAAUUAGGUUUCCCUUGUAGGUCGUGGUAUAUGACUAACACAAAAUAAGCAAUUAAGUUGACAAAUUUUGACAAAAAAUAUCAAAGAUGAUAAUAAUUGGAUUAAAAUUUUUAAAUUGAAUUUAUAACCUUUAAUGUAUAAGGAAUGGAUAUCAAAUUUUUAUAGGAAUAAAGGGACUAACAACAUAUUUUAACCACAAAAUAAUAUGGGUGAUUAGAAUGAAUCUAAAAUUUUAUAGAAAUAAAAGAGACUAACAACAUAUUGAUAACUUUGAAAUCUCCUUCGAUAAUCCUUUUUCUACGUAGAAAAAGAAAAUUAAUUAGCAUCUAAAGUGUCAAUUAAUGAAACCUUCAAGAGAAAAUGUGAAAUUGAUUUACCAAACAAUAAUAUUCUAACUUAUAAUAUAUUUAAUUACAUUUAGUAAUUUGUCAAUCAAAACUUAAUUAACAUCCAUCAAUACUUUAUAUAUAAAAAACGCAAGCAUAAAUUACAGUUUAAAGUAAUUGGGAUCUCGAGUGCAACAAAUUCCUCCUUUUAUUAUUAAAUGUUUUAUUUUAGUUACUCUAAUCAAAACUUAAUUAACAUCCAUCAAUACUUCAUACAUAAAAAACGCAAGCAUAAAUGACCAUUUAACUCAUAUUUAACUUUGCAAGUAAACUUCACUAAUUAUAGAGUUAUAGUGUAAACUUUGAAAAUAUAAGUAAAUUUACCAUUUAACUCAGACUUAACUUUGCAAGUAAACUUAAAAUUUUAUUUAAUUUUGUCACUAAAUUUGAUUUGUUCAAUAUAGAUUUUGGUGACUUAAAACAAAAUUAAUAAAAAAUUAUUCUUUCGGAUAUCUUUUUAAUGUUUAAUAAUAAGUUAAUUUAUAAAAUAUACUUUCAUUGGGCACAGGCCUCCAAGCCGGUGAACCACUGAUCAAAUUAAUUUGGAGAUAUCUUUUUUCUGAAUAAAGUGAAUUUACCAGUUUUGUUUUCUUUUAAAAAUAUUUUUAAUAUUUUUGUGGAUAUCAAGAGAUACCAAAAAUUAUUUCUCUAAAAAAUUUUAUUUGACUCGAAAAGUUAGUGUUUUAUUUCAAGGGGUCAUAAUUAAUCAUUAGAUUUCUCAAUUUUAAAUUUUGAAUUUUUUCACAAUUGCGUAAUUAAUAAGUUCCAAUUUUGAGUGUUGUGGGGCUAGUAAAAUCUUCCUUACACAUAACCGACUCUUGAACCUACUCUUUUCUUUAGAAUUCAAUGCAGACCUCAAAUUUAUCUUUUGAAAAGAAUUUUAAAAUCUCUGUAUAAAAGGUGUUUCUUUUUGUUACCGAUCACAUUUAACAAAAAUUUAAAAAUUAUUAAAAAAUAAUUUCUUUUUGAAAUUUAAAAUGAUCUAAAAACAUAUUUUUAAUUGCUUUGGACCAUCUAUUGCUGAUUUCCUUAUUAUAUUAAGUGUUUGCAAUCACUCUUAAUAUAUUGUGCUUGAGUUGUGACAAAGCCGAUCGUCAACGUGCCAUAAUGAUCAAUUGACGCUGAAACUGAAGUUUUUGUUAUAUUGAUAGAGCUUGUCCUUCAACGCAUACAACGUGUUUGUUAUUUUUCUCCCUUCAAAUUGUAUGAUCUUAUUCAUUAAAUGAAUUAAUGAAUAUCCCUUUUAAAAAGAUAUAUUUUUAAAAAUUAAAUACUUCAUAAAAUAUUUAAAACCAUUUAAAAAUUUGUUAGCCUUAAAACAAUCAACAAAAUAUAUUUUUCUCUAAAAAAUCAAUAAAAAUAUGUUUGAAAUUUUAUAUGAAAUUUAAAAUUUUUUAACAAUAAUAUAUUUUAAAAUUAUAGUAACGCUACAAAAUAUAUAUAUUUACUAAUUAUAUACACCUUUUUUAUAUUUUUUCCUAACAUAUCAUUAUUUUCAACAUUAUCGUAAUCCUGUUUUUAUAAUUCCCUUGUCAUACAUCCUUUUUCUACUUAGAAUUUCAAAAGAAAAUGUGAAUUAAUGUAGACGUGAGAAGACUUCAAGGUAAGUCACCCAAUGAAAGUGACCUAAACCGACUUAUGGAAGAAUCAAACAAUAAUUUUGUGUCUUGUAAUAUAUUUCUUGUAAUAUAUUUAAUUACAUUUAUUAGUUUAUCAAUCAAAACUUAAUUAGAAUCCAUCAAUAUUUCACACAUCAAAAACCCAAACAUAAAAUUCACUUCUAAAUUAUUUGGGAUAUAUUUGUAUUAUAGGAAAUGGAUUAAAUUAGUCUUUUUAUUAUAAAAUGUAUUAUUUUAAUCUUUGUAUUAGGUAUGAAUGAUAUCUCCUAGAUUGAACCCAAAGCUAUUCUUGAAAGACUGAAAUUAGGAUUUAGAUGUGUUGAGAUGGAAAGUGACAACACAAUGUUGAUUGAAACUAUUUGUAAUGGGUUGGCUACAAUAAGUAGUGCUGUCGAAAUAAGACAGAUUCACGAUUAGUCUUCCAAAAAUUGGGAAGUCAAAUUUCGACAUAUUUAGCGGAAUGCCAAUAAAAUUGUUGAUUGCUUAGCUAAGGCAAAUGGAGGGGUAAUUGAGCAGCUGGUUAUCUUGGAAGAUCCUCCGCAUUAUGUGAGAUGCUAGCUUGAAGAAGAUAUUAACAGUCACUGGUCUGAUGAUAAUUUUCAUUUGGACUGAUGAGCGCUUAAUUUUCUAAGCUUAUGGUCAACAAAAAAAAAUUAAAUACGUCUAAAUUGUAAUAGAGUUAACAUUUAGUGUUUAAAAAAUAUCUUAAAAUUUAUUUUUUCCAAUUGCAGUUCAAUUCCACAAAUAUCGACGAUGAACCCGAACAUAAAAAUUACAAAAAAAAACACAUCUAUUAUCAAACCAACAAUCCAUGUCUAAACUUAAAUUAACAAAAUUCACCACGCAACCUGGUACACUAUUUUAUAUAUAUAUAUAUACUAGAUUUAUUCUAGAUGCACAUGUUUUAUUAUAUUUAAAAAUUAAAAUAUAUGGUUGACUAAGUUUUAGUUGAAUUAGUAUUUGUUAAAAAUAUAAUGUUGGUAAUGACAAUAUAUAGCAAAGAAAAUAGAAAUAGAAAAAUAAAGAACACACAUAUUUUACGUGGAAACCCUUUCGGGAAAAAACCACAGGCAAAAGAGAAGAAAAUUCACUAUGUCGAAUUCAAAUCAAUUACAAGAGGAGUAGACUAUGCCUAUUUAUAGGCUUGGAAACCUUAUUCUAAUAGGAGUGAAACUCUUUAUUCUAAUAAUAUCAAAUAGAUGGAGUUUAAUAAGGUUUAAAAAACCUUAUUCUAAAAUAAAAUAAAAGAAGUAUAAUUCUAUAGGGAUUUUACUUUUAUUUUAUUUUACCAUAGUAUUUAAUUUAAAUAAGGAUUUGGGUCACUUAAUUCUAACAAUCUCAACCUUGACACGAAUUCUUAAUGAACAAGUUCUUCAUCGCGAACUCUCAACGAACAAGUUUCUCCACCUCUUCCAUAAAACCCCUUAAGGGUUUAUUUUCAACAAUGAACACCAACCAAGUCUAAGCAGUGCUCAAACUUGGUUAUAGGAAGUGACUUAGUCAUCAUAUCUACAGGAUUUUCAUGAGUACUAAUUUUGCUCACAACAAUAUCACCACGAGCAAUAAUAUCACGAACAAAAUGAUACCGAACAUCAAUGUGUUUUGUUCUCUCAUGAAACAUUUGAUCUUUUGUAAGGAAGAUGGCACUUUGACUGUCACAAAAUACUGUAUUAAUUUGAAGGUCUUCAUUGAGUUCACUAAAGAGUCCGUUCAACCAAAUAGCUUCUUUGCAAGCCUCAGUAAUCGCCAUGUGCUCAGCUUCAGUGGUAGACAAAGCGACUGUAGUUUGCAAAGUGGCUUUCCAACUGAUUGCACAACCUCCGAUUGUAAAGACAGAACCUGUGAGAGAUCUUCUUCUAUCCAGGUCUCCAGCAAAAUCAGCAUCAACAUACCCAAUGACUCCAUCUCUAGUUCUUCCAAACUGUAAGCAAACAUCGGUAGUACCUCGUAAGUAUCUUAAAACCCACUGAACUACUUUCCAAUGUCUUUUAUCGAGAUUCGCCAUGUAUCUACUAACUGCACUAACUACAUAUGAUAAAUCUAGAUGUGAACAAACCAUGGCAUACAUGAGAGAUCCUCCUGCACUAGAGUAUGGAACAUGUGACAUGUACUCAAUCUCAUCAUUUGAUUGUGGAGACAAAGCUGAUGAUAGUCUGAAAUGGGCUACUAAAAGAGUACUAACAGGCUUAGCAUUCUGCAUAUUGAAUCUAGAAAGAACUUUCUCAAUGUACCCUUUCUGACUUAGGUACAAUUUACUUGCUUUUCUAUCCCUGAGAAUCUCCAUACCAAGUAUCUUCUUUGCUGGUCCCAAGUCUUUCAUCUCAAAUUCUUCACUUAGUUGGGCUUUGACCUUUCUUAUCUCUCAUUUAUCUUUCGCUGCUAUCAAUAUGUCAUCAACAUAAAUGAGUAGAUACACAAAAGAACCAUCAUUGUUUUUCUUAAAGUAAACACAACUGUCAAAGCUACUUCUUUUAAAAUCAUGAGAAGUCAUAAAGGAAUCAAACCUCUUAUACCACUGUCUUGGUGACUGUUUCAAACCGUAAAGAGACUUUUUUAGCAAGCAAACAUAGUCCUCUUUUUCUGAGACUGUAAAACCCUCUGGUUGUUGCAUGUAAAUAUCCUCCUCAAGUUCUCCAUGCAAAAAUGUAGUUUUUACAUCUAACUACUCAAGCUCCAAAUCAUGCAUGGCCACAAUACCAAGCAAAGCUCGAAUCGAACUAUGCUUCACAACUGGAGAGAACACAUCUGUGAAGUCCACUCCUGGAAUUUGACUGUAACUAUUUGCAACAAGCCUUGCUUUAUAUUUGGGUUCUUCAACUCUUGGAGUCCCCUCUUUCUUUUUAAACACCCAUUUACAACGAACAAUCUUUUUAACUUUGGGAAGUUUCACAAGAUCCCAUGUUUUGUUUUUGUGGAGUGAUUCUAUCUCCUCUUGCAUAGCAAACAUCCACUUUUCUGAAUCUUCACAACUAAUCGCCUUAGAAUAAUUAGAUGGCUCUUGGUUUGCAUCUAUAUCUUCAGCCACAUUUAAAGCAUAAGCAACUAGAUCAGCCUCAACAUACUUCUUUGGAGGUUUAAUUUCUCUUCUAGUUCUAUUUUUGGCGAUAGAGUAUUAUGGUGAAGAAGCAACUCUAUUUUGAAUUUUCGUACUGGCUUUAGUAGUCGACUCUGUUGUAGAUUCUAGAUCAAUCUGAUGCUCCACCUGCUUUAGAUUUUCUUUAUUGGAAGUCUUUAAGAGAUAACUUAGGUAGCAUAGCAGUUUCAUCUAAAACAUCUCUGCUAAUCACAACUUUUCUAUUUUCAGGACACCAUAACUUAUACCCUUUUACACCAGCUUUAUAACCAAGAAAAACACAUUUAGUAGAACUCGGUUCCAAUUUUCCAUUAUCAACAUGAGCAUACGCAGGACAACCAAAGAUUUUUAAAUUAGAAUAGUCAGCAAGAUUACCAGACCAUACUCUUGUGGAGUCUUUUUCUCAAUGGCAACGGAUGGAGAUCGGUUGAUCAAAAAACAUACAGUAGAGGCUGCUUCUGCCCCAAAAUGACUUUGAUAAGUUGGCAUUUGACAACAUAUAUCAAACCUUCUCCAUGAUCAUUUUGUUUAAUUUUUCUGCAAUGCCGUUUUUCUAUGGAGUAUGACGAACUGUCAAGUGUCUCACGAUCCCUUCUGACUUGCACAGUUUAUUAAAUUCAUCAGAACAGAACUCUAAGUCAUUGUCUGUGCAGAGGCAUUUUAGUUGCUUUCCUAUCUAUUUUUCAAUCAUGGUUUUUCAAGACUUAAAUGAGGAAAACACAUCACUUUUCCGCUUUAGGAAGAAUGCCUACACUUUUCUAGAAAAAUCAUCAAUUAAAGUUAGCAUAAGUAGCUCCACCUCUCGAAGGCACUCUGGAUGGCCCCCACAGAUCAGAAUGAAUAUACUCUAACGUUCCCUUCAUGUUAUGGAUUCCUCUGGUGAAUCAGACUCUCUUUUGCUUCCCAAAAAUGCAGUGCUUACAGAACUUCAGUUUGCAAAUUUCUUGCCCAUUAAGAAGUCCUCUUUUGCUCAAUUCUGCCAUGCCAUUCUCACUCAUAUGCCCUAGGCGCAUAUGCCAAAGUUUAGUAAUAUCAUCAUCUGACAAGGAAGAGGAUGAGACAGUUGCAUCACCAGUAACAGUAGAACCCUGCAAAACAUAUAACUUGGCAGUCUUUCUCUGCCCUUUCAUCACAAUGAGGGAACCUUUGGAAAUCUUCAAAACCCCACUUUCAACUGUGUAUUUGUACCCUUUUGAAUCAAGAGUACUCAACGAAAUUUAAUUUAUUUUUAAUUUUAGAACAUGUCGUACGUCAGUGAGUGUUCUGACAACUCCAUCAAACAUCUUAACUCUGAUUGUUCCAACACCUGCAAUUCUACAUGAAGCAUUAUUUCCCAUCAACACAAUACCUUCAGACACUAUUUCGUAAGUUGUAAACCAAUCCCGAUUGGGACUCAUGUGGAAGGUGCAACCCGAAUCAAGGAUCCACUCCUCGUCACUUUGGAAUUGUCGAUUGAAGUGACUAGAAGUUCACCAUCGCUGUAAUCUUCUACAACAUCAGCUUUACCAGAAUUUUCUAGUUGUUUUCCAUUUUGAUUCGCAGCCUCCCUUUUGAUCUUGUUCUGUAGCUUAUAGCACUCAGUUUUAAUGUGCCAUUUCUUCUUGCAAAAGUUACAAGUUUUACCUCUGUUUGAAGACUACUUUUAGAUUUACUGCGAGGAUUCCGUUCCUGUGUCCUUCCAUGAUCAUCAUCAGCAUUCCGAUCUUGUCUCCCAUGAACAAUAAGACCCUCUCCCCGAGAGUCGAUUUUAAGCACAAGAUGCUUCAUCUUAUCAUACGAGGUUAAAGAAUCAUAAACCUCAUCAACUGUGAGAGACUCGCGGUUAUAUAAAAUCGUAUCUCUAAAGGAUGAAUAAGAUGAGGGCAACGAACAAAGUAGAGUCAACCCUAGAUUUUCCUUAUCAUACUGAACCUCCAUGGCCUCCAAGUUUGAGAGAAUUUCUUUGAACACUAUUAAGUGUUCGUGCACAGAUGCACCUUCCUCCAAACGAUAAGCAUAAAGACGCUGCUUCAUAUGUAGCUUGAUAGUUAGAGUUUUCGACAUACAUAUCUAUUCCAACCUCUUCCAUAAUCCAGCAGCAGUCUUUUCCUUCAUCACAUCCUGCAAAAUUUUGUUAGACAAAUGCAGAUGUAACUGUGUUAAUGCCUUUCAAUCCUUGCACUUCUUCUUUUCUUUCGUCAAUGUUGAAGGCAUCUUAUCUACCCCUAGUAGGGCUUCCUCUAAGUCCAUCUGUGCAAGAACUGCUUGCAUCUUUAUCUGCCACAAUGCAAAUCUAGUAUUGCGAUCCAACAGCAGAAUUUUGUACUUCAAAGACGUUAUUACCGUGAUUGAGAUGAACAACCCAGAAGCUCUGAUACCAAUUUGUUAAAAAUAUAAUGUCGGUAAUGACAAUAUAUAGCAAAGAAAAUAGAAAUAGAAAAAUAAAGAACACACAGAUUUUACGUGGAAACCCUUUCGGGAAAAACCCACGGGCGGAGGAGAAGAAAAUUUACUAUGUCGAAUUCAAAUCAAUUACAAGAGGCGUAGACUAUGCCUAUUUAUAGGCUUGUAAACCUUAUUCUAAUAGGAGUGAAACUCCUUAUUCUAAUAAUAUCAAAUAGAUGAAGUUUAAUAAGGUUUAAAAAACCUUAUUCUAAAAUAAAAUAAAAGAAGUAUAAUUCUAUAGGGAUUUUACUUUUAUUUUAUUUUAUCACAGUAUUUAAUUUAAAUAAGGAUUUGGGUCACUUAAUUCUAAUAGUAUUGAUAUUAUUGUCAGUGUAGGAAAAUAUGAGUUUAAUCAUGCUCAAAUGUGUUUUAUCCUCCAAUUCAAGAGUUAGGAAAAGGUUAUUGAUAAUUAAAUUAUACCAACUUUUAUGAUAUUAAAAAAGGGUUUAUAAAUAAUAUAAGGAAAAGAAAAAAAAGCGAGAAACAUAUUCAUAUUGAUAUUAGACUUUUUUUUUUCUAUCACAAGUAAAAAUAUCAAAGGUGAUAAUAAUUAAAUUAAAAAAUUUAAAUUGAAAAAAUAGGGGAUUGAAUUUAUAACUAACAACAUAUUUUAACCACAUAAUAAAAGUAGUUAUGAAGAGGAUCAUGUAAAAUAAUGACCUGAAUAAUUUUAAACGUCUCAUUCUUGCAAAAAUGAAAUAAUAGAAAAGAAAUAAGUGUUGGGUGUAGUGACAAUGUACAUUAUACUUCUAAGGGGAGAUCAGGGUUUUAGGCAAGGGAAGAAUUUAAUUUAAACCUACUUUUUUUUCUCUAGAACUCAACCCAAACCUCAAAUUUAUCUUUUUAAAAGAAUUUUAAAAGAUCUAUAUAAAAGGUGAUUUUUUUUUAUCGAUUACACUUAACAAAAUUUUAAAAUUUCUUUUUUUGAAAUUUAAAGUGACCUAAAAACAUAUUUUUAAGUCCUUCAGACCAUCCUGUGCUGAUUUCUUUAUUAAUUUGAUUUGUUCAAUAUAGAUUUUGGUGACUUAAAACAAAAAUAAUAAAAAAUUAUUUUUUCAGAUAUGUUUUUAAUGUUUAAUAAUAAGUUAAUUUAUAAAAUAUACUUUCAUUGGAUACAGGCCUCCAAGGCGGUGAACCACUGAUCAAAUUAAUUUAGAGAUACCUAAAUUUGCUUUCAUCAAUUAAGAAAUUAAAAAAAAAUUGCUGAGACCUCAUGAUUAUCUUUUAUAAUUUCAGGCUUAUCACCAAAAACUAAAAAAUAAAAACGUCGACAUUAAAUUUGUUGGUAUGCAAUCAAUUUUAAGAUGGUUUUUGGAGUUAUAUAUCACUUUAGCAUGGACUUACUUUUCUACAGUUAGUCUUCUCCAACAAGUUAAAUAUUUAAAUUUUAACAACAUUGACAGGUCUUUGGGGUAGGGUCGAGCAAAACUCAAUAGAAACAGAUGAUAUAGAUUGAGUUGGCUCGGCCAAGUCGAGUCGACUUGUUCAAAUUAGUUAAAUUAGUAAAUUUUAGGGUGCAGUUAGUAUUUUUUGUUUUGAGAUGCUAAGAUUAAAAAAUUUCAGUUGUUAAAACAAAAAAAUUGUAUUAAAAAAAGGCAUAAAUUAAAUUAUUAAGUUUUUCAAGUUUCCAUUUAAUCAAAGGUUAAAAGGACUAAAUUGAAGCUUUUUAUUUUUAAGAAAGGCUGAAUGACAAAUUGCCCAAAGCCCAUGCCCCUAGCUAUACGCCCCUGGUAAAAUCAAUUUUAAAAUUAGUUAUAAUAGUUGAAGCGAAUUGAUUAUUGAGUAAUGAAAUACAUAGUUCAACAAAAAAAAUAAGUUGACAAAUUUUGACAAAAAAAUAUCAAAAAUGAAAUAAUAGAAAAGAAAGAGUAGGCAUUUUAUGAAAUUUAUAAUUCCAUGAAUAAAAUAUAAAUUUUAUGAAUGUGGACGAGCCAUUUUUUUAUAAUUUUCAGUGUUUUUCUUCUUUUUCUUACUUUUUUUAAAGUAUUUUUCUUUGUUUCCUAACCACCAUGAAAUUACUUGUCACAAUUCAUCUUUUCAAAUGAGAAACAUUUUCCACAAUUUGCCAUCACUUCAACAUACACUAACUUUUCUAUGAUUAGUCCUUGGUUUGCUUCGGGUGCAAUCUUCCAACUAGCCUUAUCCUUGGUUUUACUUUCCAACAUUUAGUGUAUCACGAGUUUUGUUUUCUUUAAAAAAAUAUUUUCGUGGAUAUUAGGAGAUAAUGAAAAUUAUUUUACUAUGAAAUUUUAAUAAAACUGGAAAAUAAGUAAUUUAUUUUAAGCGAUCACAAUUAAACAUUAGAUUCCAAUUUUUUAAUUUUUUUUUUACAAUUGCAUAAUAUUUUGAGCAUUGUAGGAAUGCCAUAACCUUCCCUACGCAUAAUAUACUCUUGAGCAUGAUGGAUCCUAGACCUUCUUUAUUCUCGUACCACAAAUUGCUUCAAGUGUGGGUUCGAACAAUCACAAAUUAAACACAAAACCAGAAAUGAUUUAUUACUUUCAAUAGCAAAGUAAUUCUCUUUCAAUAGAAACCAAUAAAAUUGUAAUUCCUAGAAAAUUAAAAUUUAUUUUUUCAAAAUAUCUUCUCUCUACUUUCUAGCAGAAUAACAAUAUGCGAAACUUAUGUCUUGUGUUAAUAGCCCUACCGGUACUAUCUAUUUAUAGGGAGAGACACGAGAAUCCUAGUUGAAUUAGUAAAACACAAAUAAUAUUUAUUUCAUAGAAACCAACAUUCUACCCUAAGUAGAUCAAGUUUGGAUGACGCAUGGAUCGAAGCUCAAUCUAGGGGAAAAAAAUAAAGGAAUUUUCUUUGUAAAGAAAAUCUGAGAUUAUACUAUUUUCGAAGUUAUAAAUAAAAUUAUACGCCAAAUUUUGAAGUCAAUUUUCAACUCAAAUGUUGUAUGUACAAAUUUCUAAUACACUUGGUGGGACAUUCUUUAACUUUUAUCUAUUCUCUCAAAACGUUAAAGUUCAAAGUUGCAUUAAACUCAAAAAAGAUAAUCAUUAGUAAACCAGCACACAAGCCUACUCAAGCUAAUCCUACAACUCGUUCCACUUCAUCAUCAAACACCAAUGUUCUUGCUUAUCCUUAUGGAAUUAAACAAAAGACAAAAGCUCUUUAAAGUUAUUUGAACAGACUUCUUUAAUGGUAAAUGAUAAUCCACUCUAUGAUGCUUCUUCGCCCAACUCAUGAUUUAAAAGAAGUUUCUACUCAUAGAUCAAGUGUAGCUCGCCAGUUAUCAUUAAGGAGAAAAAGGAGUCAAUCAAGUGAAAAUUAUAUUCCAACAUCUCCCCAGAACCAAAUUUCAUAGUGAUGAAUGUCAUGACAACUGACACUACAUUCUUAGAAGAAUAAGUAGAUUUCUAGCAAAAACGAUGGAGAGUUUUACUACAAGCAUAAAAGAAAUGGAUGAUCAAAUUGAACAUCUUAGUGGAAGUAACCAAACCUUUUCCAACGAAACUCAACAUCCUCUUCACAAAGUUGUUGGAAUCUUAAUUGUUGAAGGACUUUAAAGUGUUUCUUUAGAUCAACUCAAGGAGUUUAUUAAAAAAACCAUCAAAGAUCAAGUCAAAAGUGUUACUUUGCCUUCAUAUACAUACUCAAAGUCAUACAUCUGAAGGAUUUAUCAUUUGAAUAUGCCUGAGCAUUAUCCACCUUUAAAAUUGUAAUAGUUUGAUGGUAAAGGAAAUCCAUGUAAACAUGUCGUUCACUUCAUGGAAACUUGUGAUCGCGUCGAUGUAACACCCCACUCGUGACCCAAUCGCUGGAUUCAAGAAGAGAGAUACCAAAAUCAUGUUGGAAAAAAUCUUCGAUAAGUGUAGCAUGAGUGCUCACACUCUCCAAACACUCCAUACUAUCUUUGGUAUUGAAGUUAAGCUUGACACUCCCUUAUCUCUCUAAUGUUAUCUUCAGGCCAUAAUGCCCUAUCACAUAGUAAAAAAGGUGAGUACUCACAAUCCUAUGGCAUGCCAAUGAUAUCUAAUGGUUUCAAGUGUUCACAAUGCCAACAUAUGUUUUGUAUCACAUUCACUUUACACAAUUUAAAAGGGCUCACAAUACAGCAGAUCUCACGUAUAAUAGUUUUUAAUAACACAAUUCACAUUUCUGUAGGGCUCGUAUUAUAUAUAAGUUCGUAAUAACAUGGAUUCGCAUAACACUUAUGGCUCGCAUAUAUUUAGGGCUCAUAUGUAACAGUUGGGAUCCUAUAUAUUUAAACUCGCAUAAUACAGGGGCUCGCACGACAUAUUUUGGCUUGCAUGCAAUAUAGGGCUUGAUCACAUAUAUAGGUUCACAUGAUCUUAGGGCUCGCAUCACAUAUAUAAGCACGCAUGAUACAUGGGUUCACUCAACAUGUAUAUAUCAACUCGUGCAUCAAAGUAUAGGCUCGCAAGCAUUAAGGUGAUAGAGUUUGCAAACAAUUUAGAGCUCGCACACAUCAUAGGCUUGCAUACAUACAUGUUAGCAAGGUCUGCAGGUUACAAAUCGAGGCUCACAUAACUAUAGAGGCUUGCAUGGAAAUAUAAAAUUGUUCAGAUAUCAUUUUAAUCGGCUUCACACAUUAAAUCAAAUGGUUUGCAUGCAUUCCUUGGCUUUCAUUAGCAUGCGAACUCGUGUUUUUAACACAGUGUGCAAGGACACUCACUAGUUGUUUGUUGAUACUGUCGAACCUAUACCACCUUUUGCUUGACUUUUUCCUUGCUCAUGGAUGCACCUUCACAUUGAAAGGAUUUGCAUAAAACAAGAAAUAAUACAGAUUACUACUUUCACAGACAUAAUAACCUUCUUAACAAACAUAGUAGCGAAUCUUCCAAUCUUCCUUAAUAAUUCCUUAAAUGAAGCUAAACCAAAAUGCAUUAUAAAUUCAAUCAAUUUACCAUUAAACCAGCCCCCAAACACCCACUUAUAAGUUCAAACUGAUCAUUGAAAUUAUAAUUAUUUUAUGAAUCCAAACUAGUUAGAUUCCUUAAACUGUAUUGAUGCGAAUUGUAUGUACAAUCGUUCUUCACCUUUACGGAUGAUUUGGGGUGUUUGGGUCAACACCUAAUUCAAUAAUAUACUGGAAAACUAGUAGUUAACCAAUUCAUAACCUUUACCCAACAACUAUGUCGAAAUAACAAACUAGUUUAUAAUUAAUCGUACUUAUACCAAAUUGCGAGAUCUGAAUGGCUAAUUGAUCAAGAAUGUGUUUUGUAACAUCCCAAAAAUUAGGUUAGAAGAAAUGGGGCUUUGAAACCAAGAGUGGUCAUCCCCCGAUUAUGAGUUUAGAUCUUGGAAAAUUUGACAAGUAAACUGAUCUGGUUAAUGGUUAAGUGUCUUGGUUAUAUGUGUCAGGUUUUGGGUUCAAAUCUUGUUUUUGGAAAUUUUGUUACUUUGCUUAAACUCUUACCUUGAAUGUUUGGUUUAUAAGUUAAAUUUAGUCAAUUGAUGUCAAGAAUGAGUCUAUUGGUUCAAUGGUUAAGUUUUUGUAUAAUCAUUGGUCUUGUGUUCGAAUCUCAACAAAAGUAAUAGGGAAUGUUUUGUUUUUAAAUUUUUUUUAUAGGGUAGUUAGUUUCGAUUGGUUAUUUAAAGCCUUCCAGAAACCUCUAUUGCUUUUAUUUUUAUUUUGUUCUUUCUUUUUCUGCGACAUUUUCUAUCAUUUUGUUUCUGUUCUUUAGUUUCGUCAUAUUGGUUUUUUAUUUUCAAGCAACUUUUUUUUUGUUAUGUUACAUUACGCCGAUUGUGUACGGAGUCUAACUUCACCCUCUAGUUAAUUCGCUGGCCGGUAAGUUCGAUUUAAAGUUUUGGUGUUGAAAGUUUUUUAACGUAAAUUUAAUUUUGAAAUGUUAGUUUUUAGUGGUUUAGCUGCAAAUUAAUCGUUUGUUGGAAAAUUGCUUGUCGUUCAGGGACAUGAAUUUAUCCUUGUUACUCUUGCAUCAAGUUCGUAUCAAGUGGGUAUCAGAAAACCCUUCUUCUUUAAAUUUUAGUUGUCAAAUAAUGGCACUAUCGAUGCCACAUAGCUGUGUGGCAGGCCGUGUAACUUACUGUUCAAAAAAAUUAGAGGCAUACGAGCGUGGGCCCAAAUUGUGUGUGGUUAUGAAUUGUGUAGGGUUCACACAGGCCAGUGACACUAGCAUGUGUCAGGUCGUGUGGGACACACGGGCAAGUACACGAGCGUUUACCAGACUGUGUGGAGUCACAUGGGCCAGUUCUCUAGGCCGUGUAAAACCAUAUAGGUAUGUGAAGCAAUAUUUGGAAUUUUUCCCUUGGGUUACAAGAGUUGUUUGAAACAAACGCAUAAAUACUGUAGGGUCCGUACGAUUUGGAUUAGGCUAUAUAACUUGAUAUUUGAUGAUAUGAUGAUGAACAACUUGUGAUCUAUACGUAUAUUUGUUAUGUUUGAACCUAUGUGAGUAGGAUCUGUUAGAAUGUAACAUGUUAUUUUUUGUUGUGUGUGAACUAUCCAGGUACAAUUUGUAUUCUAUUAAGUUUUUUGGUACGCCUAUGUGUUACUCUAUUGAUGAAGAAUAUGUGACAUUUGAUUAUGUUAGAUUGAUUGUUACUGAUUAUAAUUUAUAACCCUCUACGUUACUUCAUUGAUGAGGAAUACACGUAUAUGAAAAUGUUAGAUUGAUUGUUACUGAUUCUAAUUUAUAGUCGUGUAUGUGACUUCAUGGCAAAUAUGAUAUGAUUUGUUGAGGUUUGAUAAGUCUAUUUUACAAAACAUGGACCCUCAUGUCUCCUGAUUCUGUUAUUGAAAGAUAUCAUGACUUACAUGCUCAUCACUCUAAUUCUUCAUAUGUAUGUCAUGACACGUUGCAUGGGAUUUGGGUUGAUGUGAAAGGAGGAAGUUUUUGGCAGUUAAUGAUCUGUAUUAUCUGGUGGUUUAUCCAUGAUUCUGUUCCGGCAACUUAGUUGUACUAUAGUGGCUUGACCAAAUGUAACCGAUCUGGCAGUCUUAACUGCAAAAUUUUGGUGGCACCAUUCACAAUUAUCUAUUGGUGUAAUUUGGCCGGAUGAGUUAUGGGGGAACUCUAUUUUGGUUAGUAGCAAAGUUUGGGUAUGAUGUUUUCUGAUAAUUUUGCAUUCUAAUCUAUUUGAAAAAUACAAUAUUUGCAUAACACAUUUUCUACUCUGCUCUAUUCUGUUCUACUCAGUUCUAUUCUGCUUGAUUUAUUAUGUUCUGCUUCAUUCUGUUGUGUUCGGUUCUGUUGGACUGUUGUUGUGAAAAUUUUCGUGAUACUCUAGAUCUAUUCCAUACUGGUUAUAAAUUUGUUAUUAAGUUCUUUGCGUUACUUUGAUUUAUAUAAUAAAAUCUGUUUAUUUGUAUCUAAGUUUCAUUAUACACGACGCUUGGUGUUUCACCCUUUGUCUUAUCUUAAUCUGUUCAAGUGCACAUCUUACUUACGACUAGAUGUACAGGAGCUCAGAUUGUUUUGCAUUGAUAUAACUAUGAUUUGAUCUUUUAGGUUGUAAUUUGUUUUUGGACUUGUCUUGCUUUUCUUUUGAUAAUCUCGUCAAUAUCUGUCAUUUUCUAACACAAAAAUAAAAAACCACCUAAGUCGACUAAAAUGAAUUUCUGGUUUUCAAAGUUGAAAUUUUGAAAAGAAACUAGUUUUCUGCACGUUGGCGUAACUCGUCCAAAUUUGGCUUAAAUUUGUAGGUCGAGUUUGGGGUGUUACAUCUUUCCCUAAUUAACAUGUGAUUAAAUAUUUAUUAGAAGGAUUCAAAAACUCAACUUAAUGCUGGAAAAAUAUGGGCAAGAACCAAGAAACAAAACAACCCCCUUUCUUACACAUAGCCGUACGAACCACCACCCAUGAUGGCCAAAAUUGGGGUUGAAUUUUAAAAUGGUUUGAGAUCUCAUUAAAAAUAUAGAAAAACACAUUUGUGUCGAAACCACUAUUUAUUUUUGAAAAAUGGGAAUCAACUUUAAAAAAUGAAAAUGGGAGUCACCACUGAUCUUUUAUUGAGGUGUGAUCAGAUCACCUUAAAAAUGAUUUUAGGUCUACGAAUUUUAAGAAAAUAGGUUUCGGAGUUGGUUACACACGAGGAAGGGUUAGCACCCUCAUAACGCCCAAAAUUGGUAUCGAAUAGACUGUUUAAUGUCUUAGUGUCGAAAAUUUGAAAACAUUUUAAAAUACGAUCCUUUUUUAAAGAAAAUUUGAAUAAGUUGACUUAGAAGAUAAGACCCUUUUAUUUCGAAGAAGUAAAAUAUCACAUCCAGUGAGUUAGGGUGCAACAUUUCUAAUCCUUAAAAUUAAGUUUGUCUUUUGAUUUUUAAAACUCAUGCAUUUAAAUUUGAAAAGGAUAUUCAGUUAUUUGGGUCAAAUGAAAAAUCAAAACCCAAUAAGUUAGGGUUCAACUUCCAAAAAUUGCUAAAUACCGAAUAUUGCCUUUAUUUUUUUUAGAAAUCCAUAACUCAAGAUAACCAAAUGACAUAUCCAGUAAGUUAGGAUCCAACAUUUUGAAAUCCCAAUAGAGAACUUUUUAUUUAGGAUUUGUAUGGUUUUAUUGCAAAAGAGAUACUUGGCUAUCUAAAUUCAUCGAAGAGAAUUGAAGCCCACUAAGUUAGGGCAAAAUCUUCUCGAAAAUCGUGAAUACCGAGUAUUUUGAAAAUUUACGAAAUAAGAUGAUUUUAAUGCUUUAAGGAAACAUAAUUUUUAAAACAAAUGUAGUGUGAUUGAACGACAAUGUACAAUGCAAAAGGAUAAUUAAAAAAAAACAUGUAUACAUUAGUGAAUAACUAUCAAUCAAUAAAUAUAAAUAAGUAAAAUGAUACAUACGAGAACAAUAAUCUUACAUUCCAGAUUAUGCAAAUACUAAAUUUUAAAACUAAUGAAUUAUAAAUUAAUUUUGAAAGAAAUGCCAAGCAAACUAACACAAAUAAAAUAUAACAAGUUUUAAAAAUAAAAAGAAAUAAAAAAAGUACACAGAAAGAAAUUUAAAAUCAUCAGUACAAACAAUAAGUUAUAUGAAUAAUAUUUCAAAAUAAACAAUAUAUAUAUGAAUUUGAAAUAGUUCAAAAAUAAAGGUAAAAAAAUACUAUGUGAAAAGAAAUAAUAUCUAAAUGAAUUUUAAACAAAUAUUGUAUACAAAGAAAAUCAAAAUAAGUAAUACACAAAAUAAUACACGUAUAUCAAUCUAAAUGAAUAAUACAUAUUAAAAAAUCUUUAAAUCAUAGAAAUAUAAAUAAGUGAAUUUUUUAAAAAAUUUAAUUAUACUGCAAAAUAAAACCAUUAAAGAAUGUGUACAAUUCUAUUGAAUUUAUAUAAAAUAAUAUAUGACAAAUUAUAAUAAUAAUACAUAAUAAAUCUGAAAUAACAAUAUACAAUAAACUUAGAUAAUAUUAAUGAUAAAUUUAAGAUAAUAAUAAGUUUUAACAUUCAAAUAAUAUUAGAUUUAAAAUUAAAAAUAAAAAAUAGCAUAAUAAAAAAUACUUAAAUAAGUAAAAAGCAAGCAAAUUAAAAUAAAGUAAUGAGGAUUAAAUUGAAUUUAAAACAAAAUUUAAAAUAAAAAAAUGAGAAUAAAACAAAACUGAGAGCCAAAAAAAGACGCGCGGAUAACAUGGGGACCAAAUGGGAAAUAUUCCCUUCCUUCAAAACGCAGCGUUUUGACACGGACCAAAUUGGAAUGAAACAUAGAAUGCGUGGCCAAAUCUAAAUAAAAUAAAAGGAUAAAUUUGAAAGAGUUAUAAAAAGAACGGGGACCAUUUGCGCAAAUUUCUCCUACGCUAUAAAACGCGCGGAUACUUCUCCGGGUAGGGUCACCGGGCGCGUAUAGGCCAAUAUAGUGUCGUUUUGAAGCCACUGAAGCAGGCUGAAAAUGACAUCAUCACAAAAUUAGUAUAAGAUUAAAAUUAAAGCAAACAUUAAGCCAUUUAACCACAGAAACCCUAGCCCCUUUCGCCGUUCUGAACUUUGCUAAUUCUUUUAGCCUUGAAACCCUUGCCAAACUCUGAUCACGGCGAAGCAAACAAGGAUUUCGCGGCGGUUUUAUUAAGGUAACUUAUUCUUUUGUUAAUCGCCUCUUUUUUAUAUCUAGUAAUAAACAAAAUAAGGAUUCAAGAGCAGAGAAGAGAACUAUCAAGAGAAAAAGAAAAAAAUGAAAACUCAAAUCACCUUUCGAGAUUUCGUAUUUUUUGCCUAUUAGAUUUCUUUUUCUGAAUCAGUAUAUGUAAUCCUUUUACAAAUGAAUCAAUCGGCUUUAUAUAGCCGAAUAAAACCAAAAAAUUACAAAAUUAUUAUUUUUGUUAUUUAUCACUGCUGCUAUUCUCGUUUUUUCUUUUAUGUUAUUGCCUUCCUUCGUUUGCUUGUUUGUUGCGUCUAUUGUAGGUACCAAACCAGCUGGAGCACACGCAUGGAGGCACAAUGGAUGGGGGGCACACGCGUGUGGGGUUGGAGCUGCUGCGGCGUUGGGGCAACAGGCUAGGGUUUUUGGAAACUGCUUAGGUUUAUCUAGGUUUGGGCUUGUUGGGCCAAAUGGGGUUAGUUUUGGGUACUUUAAGUUAAAAUGAUUUGGGCUAUGUAUUUGGGUAUGGGUUUUAGGCUAAUACUGGACUACUAUUAUUUUUAUUUUAUUUUGGUUUAUUAUUGAUUGGGCCUAGGUUUUAUUAGAUUUGUAAUUGUAUUUGGUUUUUUAGUAUUUGGUUUGGGCUAGGCAAAAUUUGGUAUUACAAUUUGAAUUCAUUUAAAAUCCCCCAAAUUCCAGAUCUAAAAUUUUUUCUUUUUAAUUGACAAGAUUAAUUAAGAAAUUGAAGAGAAAAGAGAUCUUACCCAAGCCAGUUGAGAGAAAUGACGAUGACACUUUCUUUGCAAUGCUCAAGAUCGAUCUUAGGGUUCAAGAUUUUAGAUUUGGGGAUGAUUUAAAUGAGGAUAAAUGAUAGCAAUAGAGUAAAGGAGAUGGUGCACAAUCUUGAUGCAAAAAGAAGAAGAAAGAGAUGGUAAAUGGGAGGUGUAAGCAAUGACAACAAUGGGAGAAAGAAAGAAAAUAAGAGAAAAGUGGGGAGGAAGAUGCUGAACAGAUAGGGUAGGGAAAAAUUGAAUUUUAGGCUAAAAAUAUACUUAGGGUUCAAGGUUAUGGACAGCACACACAUUUAAAAAACAAAGGAUUUUGCAAAAUUUACUAUUUUGCAAGGGAAAGGAUUCGAAAUUGGGACCUCAUUUAAUUUUCAUGUUUUCUCAUAUUUCUUUUAACCAUUAGGAUUUUUCCUCAUUCUUAAAAUCAUUUUGAAAUAUUUAUUUUAAAAAUAAGGCAUGUCACACUAGGGUUUAAGGCAAAAUUAGCAAAAUAAUAAAAAAAAUGAGAGAGAAGGGGGUUUCAAGGAACGCUUCACUAAAACUUAUCCAACAAACCAACACCUCAUUAUUUUCCUAAAUAUGCAUAGGUAAUCAUCAAAAUUAAGGCAUCACCACUCUUUCUCGAUUCACAAACCCGAUUCUACUAACCCUUGAUUUUUGGGAUGUUAUAAGGUGAGUUCGUAGUGUAACAAUAUAUAUGUGUGUGUUUUGGGGAUACGAUUGGCAUGCCAAUAGGGUUAGUUACACUUCAAUGCCUCUCUUUACAAUUUGGUGCCACUGUAUUUGCACUACAGUGCCUCUGUUAGUAUUUCGAUGUUUAGGGGAAACCCGAGUAUCCAAGUCAUUUUAAUAUAGUUCAAAAGGCCAUGAAAUUUUAUGUUUAAAUGUUAAAUUACUCUUGAGUUUGAUUUAUGUAUAAAAUGAUAUAUUUGUGUAUAUACGUAUAUAAGCAUGGAUUGCUUUGGUUUGAGCCAUUGUUUAUAUUGAAUCAUAUGAGACAAAUGUUUUGAUUAGUAUAGUUUGAGAAUAAAUAUUAAUGCUUUGGUGUAAUUAUAUGAUUCAUAUGUCUAUAAACAUGAAUCUAAUUAUGUUUAUGGUGUGUUUAGAGAAUUAAAUGGUUAUAUGAUUAUUUUCCAGGUAUUCGAGGUUGUUUAAUUUGGUUUAAUGGGUAAAUAAAGCUUUAAAGGGUAUGUGAUUACAUGAAAUGAACUAUCAUAUUUGAGUAAUGAUAUGGAUUAUGAUGAAAUGUUUAAUUGAAAAGAAAAUAUGGUUUAGUAUAUAUGUAUGAGUGGUGAAUUAUGAAAGUGAAAUGUAGAUAUGUUUUAUACCAUGUUUUGAUUUGAAUUAUAUAUGAUAUGUUACACCAACUAACCUUGUGAGGUGGUGUGUAUAGGAAAGGAAAGUUGGCUUAAAACAUAAUGAAAUUAUGCUUGGUUUUUUAACUUAAAAUAUUCAAUAAGUUAAGUUUCAUUUAUAUGAACUUACUAAACAUUAAUUGCUUACAUAGUUAUUUUUCUUUAUUUUGUAGUUCAUCAGAAGCUCGGCCGGUUGGAAUCAUGUCAGAGCACGAUCACACUAUCCAUUCAACAUUUUGAUAGUUUUUGGUUAUUUUGGUAAAUGGUUAUAAAUGACAUGAAAUAGGGUUUAAAGGUCAUUCCAGUGAUUUGACUUGUUUUGAGUUGUGUCAAGCUUAUUGUGAUUAAUGUUGUUAGUUGCUGGCAUGUAAAUAAUGGUGUAAAUAUGUGUGGUCGGACCCUUAUGCAUGCUUUAUUGAUUAAAGAUAUCAUAUGUUAAAAUGGCAUGUUUUUGGAAUGGUUAUUUGGCAUGAUUGGUAUAGGUUUAAGUUAUGAUCUUGAGAUGUUGAAUUGAAUUAAGUUUGAUAUGUAUAUUGUGAUGCCUUCAUUGACAUAUUGGUUAGAUAUUAAGGGAUGGUUGAUUUGGUAUGUUUUUGAAAUGGUUGUUGGUAUGUUUGAUCUAAGUUGAUUAAAUGAACUUGUAAUGUUGAAUGGUAUAAUAUUUGUUGGUACAUUCAUUAGUCUUAUAGGUUGAUGGAAUUGGUAUGUUUUAAAUGUGUUUUAAAUGUGUUUUGAUUAUUUGGAUGUUUGUGGAAAUGGUGUCUCUUGGUGUACAAGAUUUGAAAUUGAAACGGCUUGAUUUAGAAUCAACUUAUGCUGCACACUGCCUGGGACAUGGAUUGUCACAUGGCUGUGUCAUAAUUGUUUUAGGUACGGGUUUCACACAAUCUAAGACUCGGCUCACGACACAGUUGUGUAUCACAAGUCAGUAUGUAACACAGUUUUGCACAUGGCCUGCGACACGAUCUUGUGUCUAGACUUCGAAUGUCCACAUGGUCUGGGCUAUGUCACAUGGCUUGGCCACAUGGUCGUGUGACUUUUGUUUUCAAGUUUUCCAAAAUUUUCUAUUUUAUUUCAAAUUGAUCCUAGAAUAUUCUCAAACUAUUUUUAAGGCCCCGUAGGUUCGGAUUAAGGCCCCGUAAGUGUAUGUUUGCUAUAAUUAAGUUGUGCUACUGAAUGUUACUAAUUCAAUCACAUGAAUAUUUUGUUGUAAGUUAAAUGUUUUAAUUUUUACUAUAAUGCUCUGUAACCUUAAUCUUGCGAUGAAAACAGGUUUGGCGUGUUACAAUUUUGGAUUGUAAAUUUGUUUUGGGGCUUUGUUCUUUGGUUCUUGCGAUGUUGGUUAGAUUUUGGUGUUUUAACAUUAAACUGCAAAAUUGUAUAACUUAAUAAACUAAAAAUUAGGUUUUCAAAAUUAAAACUCUGGAAAUUUUUCUUGCAAAGUUUAAGUAAUCACUUAAGUGUUUUUCCAUAAAUAAUUAAAUGGUUUUUAACAAAUGUUUUCCUUAGUUUUGGAAAUGAUCUGCCAAUAUUAGUACUUUUAAAACACAUGAUUUCAAAUUCAAAUUCUCAGUUUUAAAUAAGGGUUUUCACACUUCAGUUUUUUUUAAACAUUUGUGAGAGGUUUUUGCCAAAUUUUAUGUUUUCAGAAUGUGUAACUAAGUUGAUUUUUAAUUAGUUUUUCAAACGAGUCGAGUAAUUCCUCAAAAAUCCAGUCAUAGCGUCUAGGCCGGGUUUGGGAUGUUAUACUGACGUUACUAAAGUUAAUCUUCAUCUAUUUAGUCUAGAUCUAAACAUUAAUAUUCUCUUCCAAGAAAAAUCAAGACUAUCAAUUUGUUAAAACUUGGUAGGCAGACAAUCAUAUUAAAUAUGCAUAAAACUCAAUAAGUAAUUUGCGAAGAUUGAAACAAUCAAAGAAAAAAUUAAUUAAUUAACUAAGAAAUAGGAUACAUUGCUGUUUCAAGGAAACAGGGUUUAGUUCACAUUGAGUUGAGAAAACCAAAAGGGAGAUUCAAAAUGAACUUGUGAUAAGGGGAAUAAUGUCAAUGGAUCAUAUUCAAGUUGUUCAGCUCGAGAAAGAAAGAUUCAGAUUUAACUUGAAAAGAGUAAACCAAAAAGAUUUAGAAAAACAAAGAAAAUAACUAAAAUGAUAAAUUUAAGAAUAAAUAAUCAAUAUUAAAAAUAAUAAAGAAAUUAUAGAAUAAAUAGUGGAAGAUGGAAUGAAUAAACGAUGGAUAUGACAUAUAGAUGGAUAAGUGUCUUAUAAUUCAUGAAAAGAGUUAUAUUUCAUGCCUUUAGACCUAACUAAUUGCUUGUACUUACGUACAUUUUGUUGCAUUUUAAGACAUAUUAGUUAGCAUUUCUAAUAUUGCAUUAGGACUUAGAUUGUGCUGGAAUUAGCUGUUUUUAAUCGCUCGUGGUGGAGUUUUUUUUGUGUUUUGGUAUAGAAGGAACAUGUUUUAGAUCGAGGAAAUAAAUGAGUGAAGUUUUGUCAAGGCAAAACUGCAGAUAGUUUGCCAGCACGGAUGCCGUGACAAUGCCGGGAAGACCAAGUCAACAUUUUUUUGUGCAAUAGUCUCAGUUGAAAUUAAAACUUGUACCAGAUAAAUCUCCCUAAAAGAGGAAAAGAUAAUCACAAGACCCUAGCCUAAUCUAUCUAUAAAAGCCAAUAAAGGGGAUUCUCACAAAUGGCAGAAAAAAGUGGGAAGGAUCCUUAGGUGUGAAUAAGGGUUUAGCUGCGCAAAGGAAAGGAAGUCGAAGGCAGUCCUUUUUAGCCAUCACAGGACAUUGUGUUGCCGAAGUGUGGACUAGGCAAGUGAAAGUUGUUUACCAAAGUUCUUUUGUUAUUUCCAUCAGCGUUCCUUCAAAAUAUUGAAGUAGUUGAACACAAUGUUGGAUAAUAUUUUGCUUUGGAAUUUUAUUUCUCAUCCCACGAGCUAAAUCUCGUAGGGUUGGGAUUACUUUUGAUGAAACCUUAAACUAUUUUUAUGAAUGCAGUAUAUAUCUAAUUUACUUUACUGUUUCAUUUGAUUGUUCUUAUUUCUUAAUUAAAAUGCAAAUGAUCUCUAAACAUAGAAGACUGUUCACAUACUUAUAAAUUGAUUCUAAUUCUGAAAGGGUUGGAUUGGUUGGAUUAAAAUUAAAUGAAAUGAGCAAGUAUUCGAUGGACACUUGUAGUAGACUCUAGACAUAGAGUGGCGAUCAUACAGAAGGAACCCAUGCAAGGUAUCUAAAAAGUCUUUAGACACAAGCAAGGUAACUUGAGGGUUUGCUCUCACGAGAGGCAAGCCAUUUUAGUACUCUUCUGUGCUUUAAAGUAGAUACGAUUUUGCCAAGGCAUUAUUGACAGUAAGAGUCGAUUUUGGGUAAUCAACCUUCCAAAUCCACAUCGUAUAUCCUUUAUUCCUUACCAUAAUAUAUUUGCCACAUCAUUAUUAGUUAUUUAUUUGUUCAUUUACAUAAUAUUCCCGUAGUAAUUCUCAUAAUUGUCAUUACAUUUCUACUCUCGGUUUGCCACAACAUUACCAGUUAUUUAUUAAUUCCACGUAUUGCUUACAUCAUUACUCUACUAAUUGUGACUAUAUAUUUAUCAUUGAGUCUGCCAUAGCAUUAAUCAUAUUUUAUUAUAAUAACUUGAUCAAUUUUGUGCCUCAAUUCGAUCCCCAUGGGAAUGAUUCUCACUCAUCAGUUUAUUACUUGAUUCAACUGUAUACAUGCACAAAUCACAUAUCAUUUCACACACGACAGUGUUCAAUUGAACCCUUUGAGUUAUAAACUCGAACAAACUCAAUUAAUGGAUUUAAUCAACCCACCAAGAAAGAAUCAUUGGAAAAUUGAAGGAUGGAGAAUGAAUUCCCAUGACUCCUUAAAAAAAUUGAGAAGAAAACUACUUCUAAAAAUCACAAGAAACAAAUCUUGCACAAAGAAACUAACUCUCAGAGUUGGAAAUUUUAGUAAUAAACAAAAACAAUUGCGUCUCUAAUGAACAUGAAAGGGCCUUUACAUAGGCUAGAUAAGUACAUCCAAAUAAAAUUGUCAAGUAUCUAGAAACUUUAAUUAAUGUAAGCAAGAAGUAAUUUUAAACUAAAAUAGUCAUAAUUUUCGUAAUAAUCUCGUCCAAAAAUUUUGCUCACAUAGUCAUCAUUAAAAUAGUCAUAAUUUGAUCUUCUAAACUCAAAAUCGAGUGAAUAAAAGUGCGUUUCGAAGUUAAGUGAUAGAUCUUAGAACUCUAUGAGGACAUAUCAAUUGAAAAAUGCCUGGAUUCCAUCCAAAAAUUCACCGCAAGUUAACUAAUUUUUCAAACUUGAAAAUUGGUAGCUUCGGUGAAUGGAAUUUAAUAAAGUUCACCCCAUCUAUUCAUGUAUCAACUUGCAUUGUAAAAAGUAAAAAGAAAUAAUCUAUAGAGAAAAUAGUUGAAGAAUUUAUGACAAUUUAUUCAGAUCUCGUUUUCUUCUAGUCUUUACAAGCUUGAAGUUUCCCUUGGUGUGAGAGAGUUGUUCCUUACCCUCUAAGUGAUUUUUUUUCUUUUUCUUUCUCUUCGAUCUCGUCACCUAAGGGUGUUCAAACGAUUGAUUCAGUUAAUACCCGAACAAAACUAUCAUUAACUAAAAUUUUGAAACCCUUAAUCAUUAAUCAAACCAAAAUUUAUUUGAAACCUAUUAACCAGCCAGAUUGAUUUCGAUUAAUUUGAGCGGUUAACCAGAAUUUAUACACUGUUUGAUUUUGUUCAAACAAUUUUAAAACAAAGAAUAAUCCACAACAAUUUUUUCCGUAUUUUUUAUUCAAAAAAAUUAAAAGAAUUAAAAAAAAUAACAUAAUAACAACACUAAAUUAAAAACGUAAUAGCAUUCAUUACAUUACAAAGCAUAUAUAUAUAUUUACUUUUUCUUGAAUUUUUAGUUUAAUUUUAGUUUUUAUUCAAAUAUUUUUAGUUUUCAUAAUUUUGUUAAGCUUAUUAUAAGAGAACUUAUAAAUCCAUUAGUUUUUAUAUAUUGGGUUUGUAUAAUGUAUUUGACCUGUCUCUAAUAUAUUGGGCCUAUAAUAUAUUUUUAUUGAUUUCGGUUAAUCAAUUAAUUCGGUUAAUUAGUCGAUUUCAAACUAAACUAAUUGGUAAACAAAAUCUUCAAAAACCUUUAACCAACUCCCAACCAAAUUAGAUUCGUUGAUCAACUGCUUAAUCAAAUUAAUUAGGUUUGAUAAAUUAAUUCGUUAAAACCGAAAAAUUGACAUCCCUAUCACCACCUUUGUUUUUAGGGAUUUUAAUCAUGUUACUCCACUUGAUGCAGAAGUUGAGGUGGAACGAAUUGCUUGCUACCAAAAUUUAUGAAUUAUAGACCAUGCUCCACCCGGUGAAUCAAAUUCAGUGGAGUGGAAGACUUUUUCUUCACUACUUUGUGCUCUAUGCUCCAAGUCUUCUAUUCUUCUUCCGAGACCAACAAUGGGAAAAUUAAAAAUAAGAAACAAGUCUGAACUAACUUUGACAAUUAGAAAUUUUCAACAAAAUUGAAAUAAAAUAUAAUUAAUUAAUAAAAACUAUAAAAUUCAACAAAAACGAACCUAAAUACUAAAUUUACCUCCUAAAAUGCUAUGGAAACUAUAUUAAAAUAACUCUAAAUAUGAUAGUUAUCAAAAGCGACCUGAAGAAGCCAAUAUUCGAGUAGAUGAUUUCAACUAUUGCAAAUACCAUCAGUCGAUUAGCCAUCCUCUUGAGAAGAUUAUAGAGUUGAACGAAAAAAAUCAUACAACUCCAUGAAGAAGAAAAAAUCAUGUUUGAAAAAGAAGUGGCAUAAUCAAACUUGACAUCAAUGCUUUGGUUUCUCAAUACAAUAUUAUGGACAGAUUCAUCAAAUUUGGCUCUUUCAAUCCUAUUACACUAGCUCUAAGUAGAAGUAAGAUGGUGAAUUUCGAAAGGAUUGGGGGCAAUCAUCUAUUCUUGGAAUACCAGAAUGGUCAUUAUUGGACUCUAGCCACAUGUCAAAGAAGCCAAUGAAAAGCAUCUCUCCUAGGUAUAAGCUUAUAUUGUCACAUUACUCCUAAGCACGAGCAUAAAUUAGUCAUCCAAAAUGAUGAUGCUUCUAAGCAUGAGCUUAAAUUGUUCAUCUAAUGCUCCUAAGAAGGAGCCUAAACUAUUCAACCCAAAUGGUCAUGCUUUAAGAAAAAUCUUAAACUAUUUUUAAGGCCUUAUAGUUCGGAUUAAGGCCCGUAAGUGUAUGUUUGUUAUAAUUAAGUUGUGUUAUUGAAUGUUAUUAAUUCAAUCACAUGAAUAUUUUGUUGUAAGUUAAAUGUUUUAAUUUGUACUAUAAUGCUCCAUAACCCUAAUCUGGCAAUGGAAACAGGUUUGGCGUGUUACAAUUUUGGGUUCUUGCGAUGUUGGUUGGAUUUUCGUGUUUUAACAUUAAACUGCAAAAUUGUAUGAUUUAACAAACUAAAAUUAGGUUUUCAAAGUUAAAACUCUGGAAAUUUUUGUUGCAAAGUAUAAGUAAUCACUUAAGUGUUUUUCCAUAUAUAAUUAAAUGGUUUUUAACAAAUGUUUUCCUUAGUUUUGGAAAUGAUCUGCCACCAUUAGUACUUUUAAAACACAUGAUUUCAAAUUCAAAUUCUUUGUUUUAAAUAAGGGUUUUCACACUUCGUUUUUUUUUAACAUUUGUGAGAGGUUUUCGCCAAAUUUUAUGUUUUCAGAACGUGUAACUAAGUUGAUUUUUAAUUCGUUUUUCAAAUGAGUCGAUGUAAUUCCUCAAAAAUCCAGUCAUAGCAUCUAGGCCGGGUUUGGAUGUUAUACUGAUAUUACUAAAGUUAAUCUUCAUCUAUUUAGUCUAGAUCUAAACAUUAAUAUUCUCUUCCAAGAAAAAUCAAGAUGAUCAAAUUGUUAAAACUUGGUAGGCAGACAAUCAUAUUAAAUAUGCAUAAAACUUAAUAAAUAAUUAGCGAAGAUUGAAACAAUCAAAGAAAAAAUAAAUUAAUUAACUAAGAAAUAGGAUCCAUUAUUGUUUCAAGAAAAUAGAGUUUAGUUCACAUUGAGUUGAGAAAACCAAAAGGGAGAUUCAAAAAAAACUUGUGAUAAGGGGAAUAAUGUCAAUAGAUCAUAUUCAAGUUGUUCGGCUCGAGAAAGAAAGAUUCAGAUCUAACUUGAAAAGAAGAAACUAAAAAUAUUUAGAAAAACAAGAAAAAACAAAGAAAAUAACUAAAAUGAUAAAUUUAAGAAUAAAUAAUCAAUAUUAAAAAUAAUAAAGAAAUAAAGAAAUUAUAGAAUAAAUAGUGGAAGAUGGAAUGAAUAAAUGAUGGAUAUGACAUAUAGAUGGAUAAGUGUCUUAUAAUUCAUGAAAAGAGUUAUAUUUCAUGCCUUUAGAUCUAACUAACUGCUUGUACUUAAGUACAUUUUGUUGCAUUUUAAGACAUUUUAGUUAGUGUUUCUAAUAUUGCAUUAGGACUUAGAUUGUGUUGGAAUUAGGUGUUUUUAAUCGCUCGUGGUGGAGUUUUUCUGUGUGUUGGCAUGGCAAGAACAUAUUUUAGAAUGAGGAAAUAAAUGAGUGAAGUUUUGUUAGGGAAAAAGUGCAGACAAUUUGCCAACACGGAUGCCGUGACAAUGCUGGGAAGACCAAGUAACAUUUUUUUGCGCAAUAGUCUCAGUUGAAAUUAAAACUUGUACCAGAUAAAUCUCCCUAAAAGAGGAGAAGAUAAUCACAAGAUGUCAGCUGACCCUAGCCUAAUCUAUCUAUAAAAGCCAAUAAAGGGGAUCUCACAAUUGGCAGAAAAAAGUGGGAGAGAUCCUUAGGUGUGAAUAAGGUUUUAGCUGCGCAAAGGAAAGGAAGUCAAAGGCAGUCCUUUUUAGCCAUCAUAGGACGUUGUGCUGCCGAAGUGUGGACUAGCCAAGUGAAAGUUGUUUCCGAAAGUUCUUUUUUUAUUUCCAUCAGCGUUCCUUCAAAAUAUUGAAGUAGUUGAACACAAUGUCGGAUAAUAUUUUUCUUUGGAAUUUUAUUUCUCAGCCCAUGAGCUAAAUCUCGUAGGGUUAAGGUUACUUUUGAUGAAACCUUAAAUAUUUUUAUGGAUGCAGCAUAUAUCCAAUUUACUAAACUGUAUCAUUUGAUUGUUCUUAUUUCUUAAGUAAAAUGCAAAUGAUCUCUAAACAUAGAAGACUGUUCGCAUACUUAUAAACUGAUUCUAAUUCUAAAACGGUUAGAUUGGUUGGAUUAAAAUUAAAUGAAAUGAGCAAGUAUUCGAUGGACACUUGUAGUAGACUCUAUACAUAGAGUGACGAUCAUACAGAAGGAACCCAUGCAAGGUAUCUAAAAAGUCUUUAGACACAGGCAAGGUAACUUGAGGUUUUGCUCUCACGAGAGGCAGGCCAUUUUAGUACUCUUCUGUGCUUUAAAGUAGAUAAGAUUUUGCCAAGGAAUUAUUGAGAGUAAGGGUCGAUUUUGGAUAAUCAACCUUCCAAAUCCACAUCGUAUAUCCUUUAUUCCUUACCAUAGAAUAUUUGCCACAUCAUUAUUAGUUAUUUAUUUGUUCAUUUACAUAAUAUUCCCGUAGUAAUUCUCAUAAUUGUCAUUACAUUUCUACUCUUGGUUUGCCACAACAUUACUAGUUAUUUAUUAAUUCCACGUAUUGCUUACAUCAUUACUCUACUAAUUGCGACUGUAUAUUUAUCAUUGAGUUUGCCAUAGCAUUAAUCGUAUUUUAUUAUAAUAUCUUAACUAAUUUUGUGCCUCAAUCUGAUCCCCAUGGGAACGAUACUCACUCAUCACUUUAUUACUAGAUUCAACUGUAUACUUGCACAAAUCGUAUAUCAUUUCACACACGACAAUGUUCAAUUGAACCUUUUGAGUUAUAAACUCGAACAAACUCAAUUAUUAGCUUUAAUCAACCCACCAAGAAAGAAUCAUUGGCAAAUUGAAGGAUGAAGAAUGAAUUCCCAUGAAUCCUUAAAGAAAUUGAGAAGAAAACUACUUCUAAAAAUCACAAGAAACAAAUCUUGCACAAAGAAACUAACUCUCAGAGUUGGAAAUUUUAGUAAUAAACAAAAACAAUUGCGUCUCUGAUGAACAUGAAAGGGCCUUUACAUAGGCUAGAUAAGUCCAUCCAAAUAAAAUUGUCAAGUAUCUAGAAACUUUAAUUAAUGUAAGCAAGAAGUAAUUUUAAACUAAAAUAGUCAAAAUUUUUGUAAUGAUCUCGUCCAAAAAUUCUGCUCACAUAGUCAUCAUGAAAAUAGUCAUAAUUUGAUCUCUUGAACUCAAAAUCGAGUGAAUAAAAGUGCGUUUCAAAGUUAAGUGAUAGAUCUUAGAACUCUAUGAGACAUAUCAAUUGAAAAAUGUCUGGAUUCCAUCCAAAAAUUCACUGGAAGUUAACUAAUUUUUCAAACUUGAAAAUUGGUAGCUUCAGUGAAUGGAAUUUAAUAAAGUUCACCCCAUCUAUUCAUGUAUCAACUUGCAUUGUAAAAAGUAAAAAGAAAUAAUCUAUAGAGAAAAUAGUUGAAGAAUUUAUGACAAUUUAUUCAGAUCUCUUUUUCUUCUAGUAAUAUAUUGGGCCUAUAAUAUAUUUUUAUUGAUUUCGGUUAAUAAAUUAAUUCGGUUAAUUAGUCGAUUUCAAACUAAACUAAUUGUUAAACAAAAUCUUCAAAAACCUUUAACAAACUCCCAACCAAAUUAGAUUCGUUGAUCGACUGCUUAAUCAAAUUAAUUAGGUUUGAUAACUUAAUUCGUUAAAACCGAAAAAUGCACAUCCCUAUCAUCACCUUUGUUUUUAGGGAUUUUAAUCAUGUUGCUCCACCUGAUGCAGAAGUUGAGGUGGAACGAACUACUUGCUACCAAAAUUUAUGAAUUAUAGAGCUUGCUCCACCGCAGUGAAUCAAAUUCGGUGGAGUGGGAGACUUUUCUUCACUACUUUAUGCUCUAUGCUCCAAGUCUUCUAUUCUUCUUCCGAGACCUACAAUGGAAAAAUAAAAAAAUAAGAAACAAGUCUGAACUUACUUUGAAAAUUAGAAAUUUUCUACAAAAUUGAAAUAAAAUAUAAUUAAUCAAUAAAAACUAUAAAAUGCAAUAAAAACGAACCUAAAUACUAAAAUUACCUCCUAAAAUGCUAUGGAAACUAUACUAAAAUAACUCUAAAUAUGAUAGUUAUCAGAAGCGACCUGAAGAAGCCAAUCGAGUAGAUGAUUUCAACUAUUGCAAUAAUAUUGGUCGAUUAGCCAUCCUCUUGAGAAGAUCAUAGAGUUGAAAGAAAAAAAUCAUACAACUCCAUGAAGAAGAAAAAAUCAUGUUUGAAAAAGAAGUGGCAUUAUCAAACUUGACAUCAAUGCUUUGGUUUCUCAAUACAAUAUUAUGGACAGAUUCAUCAAAUUUGGCUCUUUCAAUCCUAUUACACUAGCUCUAAGUAGAAGUAAGAUGGUGAAUUUCAAAAGGAUUGGGGGCAAUCAUCUAUUUUUGGAAUAUCAGAAUGGUCAUGAUUGGACUCUAGCCACAUGUCUUCGGAACAUCAGAAUGGUCAUGAUUGGACUCUAGCCACAUGUCAAAGAAGCCAAUGAGAAGCAUCUCUCCUAGGUAUAAGCUUAUAUUGCCACAUUACUCCUAAGCACAAGCAUAAAUUGUUCAUCCAAAAUGAUGAUGCUUCUAAGCAUGAGCUUAAACUGUUCAUCUAAUGCUCCUAAGAAGGAGCCUAAACUAUUCAACCCAAAUGGUCAUGCUUUAAGCAAAUAUUAAACUAUUCUUAAAAAAUAAAUGAUGAUCCAAUGAAGCACAAGCUUAAUCUAUUCAUACGAAACAAAUGAUGACCUCCUAAGCAUGAAUUUAAAUUGUUCACACAUAAUAAAUGAUGAUACUCCUAAGCGCGAGCUUAAAUUGCAGUCCAAAAAAUAUUGAACUACGUUAUAACUUGAUCUUUUAAAAUUGAAGGUAAGUAGAUAGCCUGGUUUCAUUGCCAAGUUCAGUCUAUAUGAUAAAAAAAAUUUGAAGGUGAUCUUUGAAACAAAUUCAUCAAAGUAGGAAGCAAAUAAAAUUUCAAGACUUGUCCCCUUUCUACGCCCAACAAAAUUCAGAAUCCAUCAUUUGUUAUUACUGUAAUAAUAUCUCUAACUAAAUUAAUGAAAAGAUAAAUCAAGAAAUUAAAUCCUUUUAGAACUCUCUUAUAAAGAAACCAUAUUAAGGAUUACUUUAGAUCUAAUUAAUUAAAUUAAUAAGAUAUGAAUAAUAAUAAUAGAGUUUAAAUUCUUAUAGAACACUCAAAUGAAAAUGUUAAAUUCUACAAGAACUCUUAUAUGAAAGUGAUUGACACUAAAAAAAUGGGUCACCUCCAAGUUAUUCUACACAUUCACAAGUUCAAGAAGUUGAAAAAUUAUUUACAAAAAUAUUUGAAGAAACUAAAGAAGUAGAAGAAAUUCUAAUGAACAUCAUAUCAAUUGAGAGGAGGAUGUGAACAGAAGAGAAGAUUGAAAAGAGUUUUGUUUGUAAAGAAAUUCAAAACUUGUUAUAAAAUUUGACGCAAAAUUUUCAAGUCAAUUUUCAACUUGAAAUUUGUGUGUACUAUAUAUAUGGGAAAGAAUCCAUUUACAUUAUAUAAAACUAUUGUAUGUAUAAUACAAAAAUAUUUAAUACAUUAUCAAUAAAGUUUUUAAACUAUGCACCUGUGAUUAAAACCAAAAUAAUAAUAUUAAUAACAACCAAUCACUUUAUUUGACUAACUUUUCCUCACAAGUCUUUGGUAUGGAGACAAAUCAGUUUAAUCAGUCUUUGGAGCUAUUAACUGACAUUUCCACCAUUGAUUUGAAAAUCAUAACCCAUCAAUUCACUUUAAAUGAAACGAGAUCCUCAAGUGUUUGGUGUUAUAUUCUUAAAAUGUAUUUAGAUGAUUGUUUAUUAAUUUUAUUUCUUUAUAUUUAAAUCAAAUGUAAUAAAUUGUUGAAUUUAUAUACUUCUUAUUAUAACAAUAUAUGGACUAUCUUCCUACUUCUUUUUUUAAUUUAAUUUUUUGUAACUCUUCACAAUUUAUUUUGAAAAACAUUGAAAAAAAACUAAAUGAUUAAAUUAAGGCUCAACUUUUCACUAAUCUUAGUUUAUUUAGUCUAACUUUUCACAAUUUCAUAUACUCAUUUCAUGUUUCAUACCAACAAUUUUUCUUUUUGGUAAAAAGAAAAAAACAACUAUACUUUCUUUAAUCCCAAAAUUAAGGCUUUAUGAAUGAAAAUAAUAUUAUAUUAACUAUGAUAAUUAAGUUUUUAUUUUAAAUAUGAUUAAUUUUAUAUAUAAUAACUUUAAAUAUAAAUAUAUAUAUAUCUAUAAUUAAAUUUUAAAGAAAUUUAUUGUUAUUUUCUAAACAUAAAACAAAGAAAACUUUUUACCCAAAUUAUAAGUUUGUGGUUAGGCAGCCCACUUUGGGACAGGAUUCAGCUUACGUUUUUAAUCUUGGGCUUUAAAAAUAAUAAAAAUAUAAAAAUAAUGUUCGAUUAAUAUUUAUAAAUUUUAUAAAUUUAAAUUUAAUUAUAUUUUUUAUACAGUAAAAUCAACCAUUUAUAUGGGCUAAAUUGAGUUAAGUUCGGUUUGCAUCAAGCCUUAACUUUGACCAAAUCCAACGAAAAACACCUCUAACCAUAAUCUAGUAUUGUUUUUAUGAAUUGAAUUUUAACUUGUAAUUUUCAAUUUUAUACAAACUUUCUUUGCCUACGAUAAGGAAAUAACAUAUUUGUAACUUCUCCAAUCUGGCGUAAACAUUCAGUCUGAAUUCGGAAGAUUACAUCGGCCAUAAAGAUGGCCUAGCAGGGUUAUCAGAGUUUUUGAAAAUAGACAUCUUUAAAACGUUUGUUUAAUUCAGUAAAAAACUAAUUUAAUUUCCAAAUUAUUUAUUACUUGAAAUCUUAAUUACACUUUAAAAGAAGGAAGUGGUAACUAUUUAUUUUUAAUAAAAAUUAGGGUUCAUGUAUAAUUGAUUAAUAACCAUAAUUCGAAAACAUUAAAACUUAAAUUAAAUGUCAUGCAAAAUAAAACAAGCUUAAACCUAAAUCUCAUGCCACAGUUCAAAAUAAUUUAUUGUAGUCUUCAAAAAUAAAAUAAAUCAUAUAAUCAACCAAAAAUAAGUUUUGUAAUUUAGCAAUGUAUCGAGACCUUCUAGAUGUCAUGCCCGCGUCCUAACUUGGUUAUUUGUAAGUGUAACGACCCGAAUAAUUUAUCUCUAUUUCUGUAAAUAUUUGACGCAAAUACUUGUUUGCUUCAGUGGUUAAAUGUUUUGGGUGUGUUUGAGAGGUCUUGGGUUCAAGUCUCAUUUUUGUAAAAUUUUGUUAUUUUUAUGAUUCAAGCCUUAGCCUUGUUGAGUGGGCUUUUAUGAAAUUGUUUGCUACUUCAUAUUAGAAUGAGCUUGCUAGUUCAAGUGGUAAGGAGUUGGUGUGAAGGAGGUUCUGUGUGUGAAUCCCUGCACGAGCGUGGGUAUUAUUUUUUUGCUCAGUUAUAUGGUAGAGUUUCGGUGCUUUUGGGAUUAUAGGGUAGUUGGAUGUGAAUUAGUGGGGAGUUAGGAUAUUAGUGGGUUUUUAAUUAGAUUUUAUUUAAUUUUUAUUCUUUUUGUUUUUCCCAAUUUUUCUCUUAGCUUUUGACGUUCUGUUUCCCUUUUCUCCUCUGCUGAAUUUUUGCCGCUCCCUCUCAUUUUUGAUUUUUCCAAUUCGUCUCCUUUUUGUGCAAUGUUUGAUUGCAUUCGUUCGGUAAGUCUUGUAUUGUUACGAUCUUAUUGUUUGGUGGUUAAUGUUUUAAUGGGGGUUUUGUGUUUACUCUCGAUUAAGGGAAGGGCAAGAAGAGUUGGUACUCCUGCAAGAUUUGAGCGUUAAGGGUGUCUGUUCGUUGGCGGUAAGUUUUCAAAUUCUUUGUUGGUUAUUGUAAGGCUCCGUUUGUGGAAUGGUUUCGGAUUGAGUUUCGUAAGUGUGUAUCGAAUUUGGGCUUCUGGAUACUGUUUCUUAGGUUCGGUGGUCUCAGGGGUGCUUGUGCAUCAAAAUGAUAUCAGGUGUGUACCCGAAACGUAGAAAAUCGAGUUUCGAUGAAAGGUAAAAAACCUUAUUUUCGAUGCCACACGGGCGUGUGCAUGGCCGUGUGGUUGGCCGUGUGCAGGACACAGUCAUGUGUUCGACGAGGGUAGGGCCGUGCGCAAGACACGGCUGUGUGACGAUGUGGGUGUGGCCGUGUGGGCCACAUAGGCUAGGCCAAGUUGGGCUUGUGGGUUUUGGGCCACACGUGCAUGUGCCUUUUAAACAAGUCCGUGUGGACCACACGGGUAGGGCUAAUAUGGGCGUGUUGGCCACAUGGGCAUGUGGGCCGAAAAUUCUAAAAUUUUCCUUAAGGUCGCACAGGUCGUUCUAGUCGACUGUGGGCCUACCGUAGGGUCGGUAAGGGCUAACCAAACCCUAAAACUAUGUGAUCUGUUAGUUUGAUAUUUUGUUCUGAAUAUGAUACUGCUAUGCAUGUUUGAUUAGUUUGGUGUAUGUAUAUAUAUAUAUAUCUGAUAUCUAUGUAUGAGCAUGUGAGCAUGGUAACUCUAAUUAUCUAUAUCUGAUUGGGGUGGGAUUUGUAUAUGUGGAGGAAGUGUUCUGUAUGGCGGUCAUCGCUUAUAUUCUGGCAGCUUGGCUGCACAUUAUCUGACAUGUGUCGUAAUGGCACGAUAUGGUGUGUAGGGAUGGGUGGGUGUUUUUAACCCCACAUGAUGUGAUGGGAUAGUUGGAGUUGGUGUGUAGAGGAUGGAGUUAGGAUUUUGUAUUUCUGAUCUGAUCUGCAUAUCUGUUAUGUUAUCUGAAUCUGUAAAGGACUUAGGUCUGAAUCCGAAUCUAAAAUUGUAUCUGACUAUGUAUGAGUUUACUGCAUGUAUUGCAUGCAUUUUUUUAUUGGCUUACACACUAAGUUUACAAAAACUCACAUUUGUUUGUCUGUUAUGUUCAGGUAAUCCACAGAUUUAGGCGGGUCGGUGUGACGGAGGCUCAGUGGUGACCACCUGAUUGAGAACUAUUUUACUUAGUAAAUUAUGUUUUAUUUAUAAUUUCUAUUUCAUUUGAGAGUUUUUAAUUUUUGAGACUCUCAGUACUGCUGGUUUUUAUUUUGGUUUUGGAUGCGAUUUUAGACUAUUUUGUUGCGAUGCAUGAUGGAAAACACGAUUUUAUGAAAAAAAGUUAUUCUGAAAAUACGAACUGGAUUUCUAAAAUAUAACGGUUCAAAAACUUUCACUAAAAAUCACGUUUUGGUAAAUAAAUGAAUUAAAUAAUACUUUCAAAAAUGGUUAUAAAUAAUUAUGAACUAUGAAUCUUUAAUGAUUUGAUGAAACGACCUUAUUUUCAAAACCAUACCUUGUGACCACUCCGGAUUCAGCCAUAACGUCUGGGCUGGUUUGGGGUGUUACAGUAAGGAUGAAAAUUUAAGGGAAUGAGCUAUGACGCUUACUAUGAGUUCAUUCACAAUAAAUUCAACGCAAACGGUUGGUAGGACACAUUAAAUAAUAUCGCAUAAAAUAAUCACAAUUAGAUAAUAGUUCAGAAUGUCGGUUUUACAAUUUAACCACCAAUAUAAUCACAGUAUUCACAGUUGUAAUUUUAGAAUAUCAAAUUUCCACAUCAUUCACAAUAUUCAGAUAUAUAUAAAUAUAUCAUAACAGAAUUCUGGAUUUGUAUGCACAUGAUUUAGAAGAUGCCAUACAAUUUCAGGUUUUAACAGAAUAAAUCCUACCCCACGUUACAUACCAUAAUGGGAGUUCCCCUAAACUCCCUUCUGCAACACACUGGGUUAUGGAUAAACCACUACCGGUUUACAGAUAAUAACUAUCAUUUGGUUGUGGACACACAGCAAGUCUCCACAAUUGGAUUCUAGAUUUGGUUGUGGGUUCACAGCAAAAAAAAUCUACAAAUGAAGCCUGCUUUUGCCUGUAGAUUAUACAACAUAUACCCAUAGUUGGAAUCUGCCUUCGGCUAUGGAUGCACUGUAACACCUCAAACCUGACCUGGACGUUAUGACCGAAUCCUGAGGAAUUACUUUAACUCACUAGAAAACCCAAGAGUUUACUAUGAAAUCAUGUGGUUAAACUAGUGUUCACUUUGAUAAAUCGUUUUCCAGUUUUAGGGAAAAUUAUUGUUAAAACUGUUACUUUAUUACAAUAAAACAUUAAAGUGAUUAUAUCAUUUUGUAACGGAAUCUACUGAGCUAUAAGGUUAUGAAAAUCGUGGUUUAAUUUGCAACAAAUCAUUUUGUAAAUAGAAAUUUAAUACUACUUAAUUUGGAAAAGCAUGCUAAAACGAAAGCAAAGUCCAAACUAAUUUAUGAUUUAAAAUUCUAAAAAGUCCAAAUUAAACAUAAAGUCAAUUUAAACCAGUUUAUCGAACGUGUAACACCCCAAACCUAGCCUGGAUGUUAUGGCUAAAUCUGGAUGUGUUACGAAAAAAAAGUUUAUAAAACGACUUCCUUAUUAUUGGCAAAUCAUCGCAACCAUUAUUACUUAGUAUGCUCGAUUUGUUUGGAAAACUUAUUGAUAUACUUAUUUGAUUUAAAAUCAUUGCUCGCUUAUGCCUUUCUAUUAAACUGAAUGUUUUGUAGUGGAGUUUCUUUAAAACACCAUAUUUUGGCAAAUCAAUUUGUUUCUUGAAAAUCGUUAUUUCAAAAAAAUUGUCAUUUUUAGAAAAAACUAUUUUAUCAGUUGUUACGCUUAGAAACCAAAAUAAAAUCCAAAACCAAAAAUAGUCCCAAAAAGUCCAGAGAGUCCCGAAAUUACAAAACUCUCAAAACCAGAAAAGUUUGAACUAAUUUAAAAAGAAUGAAAUUUUACGGAAAUAUGGUUAACACUGAGCUUCCAUCACACCGACCCACCUAAAUCUGAGGGUUACUUGAAUAGAACAAACAAAUAGAGAGAGUUUUGAAACUCAGUGUGUAACGCGAAUAUAAACAAAAAUUCAGAAUCAAUCUCAUGCAGAACAUAUACAAAUGUAAACCAUUUAUAGAAUAAGAAUUAUACAGAUACAAAUAUGCAACAUCCUACCCUCAUCCUAUACACACCAAUUCUGACCAUCCCAUCACACCACGUGGGGUAUAAAACACCCACCCAGCCCUACACACCGUAUAGUGUUUAUACAACACUUUUCAAAAUAAUCGCAGCAGAGUUGCCAGUAUAUAGGUGAGAUAUCGCUUCACACAGAACACUUCCUCCUCAUAAUACAAAUCCCGCUCCAUAGCCAGAUACAGAUAGAAUAUCAGGUAAAACAAAUUAAUAGAUACCAGAGUUAACAUAUCACGCGUGAGCGUAUAACAGAUAUUACACAUGCUUAUACAUAACAGAACAAAUCAUACAUACCGUAUUCCAUAAUACUCAUAUAAAUGUUAUUUUUUAAAUUGUAACAAAUAUUAUUAUUAAGAUGUUUUUCUUUUUAUAUUUUUUUAUAAAAUAUAUUAAAAAACAAUUAGAAUAAUUUUAAGAGAAAAAACACUCAUAAACAGUAGAAUUUAAUCUAAAAAUAUCAAAGUUUUAAAGCCUCAACUUUAACAUUUCAACCAAAAUUCCAUUAGUAUAUAAAUAUUUUAUAAAUAUAGAUUUUAUAUAAAAAAAUUUUAUGUAAACUUUUUUUUAACCCACAUCACAAGUAUACCAUAUUUAGAGAUAUUCAUAGCUAGGCAGCCCACUUUGGGUCAAACUUGAGCUUAGGUUUCAUCUCAAGUUGGCCCAAUUUAACCUAUUUUACUAUUUAAAAAUAUAAAUAUAUGUUAUAUUGAUAUUUAUAUAUUUCUAUAAUUAAAUUUUAAAUAAAUUUAUUGUUAACUUUUAAACACAAAACAAAGAAAACUUUCACCCAAAUUAUAAGUUUGUGGUUAGACAGCCCACUUUCGGGGCAGGAUUCAGCUUACGUUUUUAAUCUUGGGAUUUAAGAAUAAUAAAAAAUAUAAAAAUAAUAUUGUAUUAAUAUUUAUAUAUUUUAUAAAUUUAAAUUUAAUUAUAUUUUUUAAACAGUCAAAUGAACCAUUUAUAUGGGCUAAUUAGAGUUAAGUUUGGUUUGAAUCAAGCCUUAACUUUGACCAAAUCCAACUAAAAACACGUCUAACAAUUAUCUAGUAUUGUUUUUAUGAAUUGAAUUUUAACUUGUAAUUUUCAAUUUUAUUACAAAAUUUCUUUGCGGACGAUAAGAAAAUAACAUAUUUGUAACUUCUUCAACCCGGCGUAAAGGUUAAGUCUGAAUUUGGAUUACAUCAGCCAUAAAGAUGGCCUAGCAGGAUUAUCGGAGUUUUUAAAAACAAACAUCUUUAAAACGUUUGUUUAAUUUAUAGAAAAGCUUAUUUAAUUUCCAAAUUAUUUAUUACUUGAAAUCUUAAUUACACUUUAAAAGUAGGAAGUGGUAACAAUUUAUUUUUAAUAAAAUUCGGGGUUCAUGUAUAAUUGAUUAAUAACCGUAAUUCGAAAACAUUAAAACUUAAAUUAAAUGUCAUGCAAAACAAAACAAGCUUAAAUCUAAAUCUCAUGCCGCAGUUCAAAAUUAUUUAUUGUAGUCUUAGAAAAUAAAAACAAUCAUAUAAUGAACCUAAAUUUUUUAUUUUACUUUAAUAAUGUGUCAAGGUCUUACAGAUGUCACGCCUGCGUUCAAUCUUGGUGGGUUAUCUGUAAGGAUGAAAAUUUAAGGGGGAGUGAGCUAUGACGCUUAGUGUGAGUUCAUUCACAAUAAAUUCAAUGCAAACGGUUGGUAAGACACAUUAAAUAACAUUGCAUAAAGUAAUCACAGUCAGAUAACAGUUUAGAAUGGCGAUUUUACAAUUUAACUACCAAUAUUAUCACAAUAUUCACAGCUGUAAUUUCAGAAUAUCAAAUUUCCACAUCAUUCACAAUACUAACAUAUAUAUAAAUAUAUCAUAACAGAAUUCCAGAUUUGUAUGCACAUGAUUUAGAAGAUGCCAUACAAUUUUGGGUUUUAACAGAAUAAAUCCUACCCCACAUUACAUAUCAUAAUGGGAGUUCCCCUAAACUCCCUUCUCCAACACACUAGGUUGUGGAUAAACCACUACUCGUCCACAGAUAAUAACUAUUAUUUGGCUGUGGACACACAACAAAUCCCCACAGUUGGAUUCUAGCUUUGGCUGUGGGUUCACAGCCAAAAGUCCUGCAAAUGAAGCCUGUUUUUGCAUGUAGAUUAUACAACCUAUACCCGCAGUUGGAAUCUGUCUUUGGCUAUGGAUGCACUAUAACACCCCAAACCCGACCUGGACGUUAUGGCUCAAUCUUGACGUAAUGCCCCAAAAUUUCUAAUUUCGUUAUUGUGAAAAUAUGACACAAAAUAUUUGUCUGCUUUAGUGGUUAUGUGUUCUGGGAGUGUUUAGGAGGUCCCAAGUUCACGCCUUCACAUGGGAAAAUUUUGGUAUUUUGAAUGAAUUAGGUAUUACUCUUAUUCAGUAGGCUUUUAUUUGAUUGUUGGGUAAAUUAUAUUAGAAUGGGCUUGCUGGUCUAGUGGUUAAAUGGUUUAUUAUUAUGGUGGAGGUCUUGUGUUCAAGUCCCUAUGUAGGCAAGGGUAUUAUUAUUAUUAUUAUUUGCUCAAAUUUCUGGAUAGAGUUGUGUAAUAGGGGGAUUCUGAGUAGUAGAUGUGUAGUGGGAAUUAGGGGAGAAGAUUAAGGAGUUUCAGGGGUUAUCGAGAUUUUAUUUUAUUUUUUCCCAUAACCGAAUUUUGACUUUCUUUUUCCAAAAAAAAUCUGCCAUCUAUUCUUCUCCCUCUCCUCUUGUCGAAAUUCUCUUAGUUUUUUCACCUUUCUCUUCUUUUUCUUCUUCUUGAUUUUUCCCUAAUCCAUUUAUUUUUCUUCAUUUUCGCACGCGGUUAGUUUUCGCUUAGUUUCGAUAAGUGUUUCUCUUCGUUUCUAUCAUGAAUCUCCUAGCGACUAAAGUGGUAACUUUUUUUCUCUGUGAUUUGGGUGUAGGGGAAGGCUCGAACUGUUGAAUUCAGUAUUCUCGUCUUAACAAUAGUUAAAUGGAGGGUUAUCGUUGGUGGUAAGUUGGGUUUCUGUUCAUUCUUAGUUGUCAAUUUGCUUGUAAAUCUGUUAAAUUGAUGUUGAGUAUCUUGAUUAUAGGCUUUGGAGUGCUUGGGGACUGUUUUAGCAUCAAACAAAACCAGAUGUGUACCCGAAACGCAAAAAAAAAGGGAUUCGAUCGAAAGCCGAAAUUGUUUGCUGUUUGGACAGUAGCAGUAGGCUAACUUUGAAAAAUCGCCAUAAAUUGUGGAAAUCGAAUUAGAGGAUGAAAAAAAUAUGAAAUUAAAUCUUAUUGAGUCUAGUUUCUCAUAGAAGAACGGUGUAAGUAAUGGAAUUUUAAAUCGUGAGAUAAUAAACUAUGUGAGACAAGGUUAGAAUAAAUUCGGGUUCCCUUGUUCUGACUUUGGAAAAUCAUCAAAAAUUGGAUAAAAAUAAUUAGGAAUUAAAAUUUACAUGUUUAAAUUAUUAAUUAGUCUUUUUUCAAUAGAAACAAAUGGGAACUUCAUCCAAAAUUUUUACUAAGAGAUAAUUAAUUUUUAGCAAUGAAGGGUCGAAGCUGUCAAACAGCAGAACAAGGGUAAGUUUGAAGAUUUUACCAUACUUAUUGGCUGAGCCAAAAAUUUAAAAAUUUUAUGGUAGAAAGGUAUUUGAGUCUAUUUUCAAAUACAUCAAGUGAAUUUUAAUUAGGAAUUCUUUAGCUCAAGAUAUAAAUAAUUUAGUUACAGUGAGUCAAGUAGAAAGCUUUGAAGGAACACAUAAGUAAAUUGUGAUAAGAUAUAUGAAUAUUUAGCUAGCACAGGUUACAUUGAAAAUGGAUCACGCAGCCAAGGCCAAUUUGGGCUGAGUGGGCCACAUGGGCAUGUGAGCCCAUUUUUCUGAAAAAUUCUGUAAGGUUGCACGGGUCGCCCAAGUCGACUAUGGACCUACUGUAGGGUCGGUAAGCUUUACUUAGACGCCUAUAUGUGUGAUCUAUCUGGCUGAUUUCUAUACCGAGCAUGACUUAUGAUAUUUGAAUGUAUGUACUUUUAAUUACAUAAUGGCAUGACAAAUUUUGUAUGUUGCAUUGCAUCGGAGUGGGUUGAUGAUAUUUGGAGGAAGUGUCUAAAAGGCUAUUAAGCCUGUUAUCUGGCAGCUCAGCUGUAACCUUCUGAUUAUGUGCGCAUUUCAGUACAACAUGGUGUGUAAGGAUGGGUGGGUUGAUUUAACCCCCACAUGGUGUGUAAGGUUGGACAAAGAUGUGCGUAGAGGCUGGUGGGUAGGAUUCUGAUUUCUGUAUCUACAUUAUGUAUCUGAUAUGGGCCAAGGCUCUAAUGUAUUUCUGAGACUGUAUCUAAACGGGCUAAGGCCCAAACUGAUUGUGUGAUGGGCCUAGGACCCAGACUGUAUCUAACUAAAUUCUGUUGAUUAUUUGUAUGCAUGAUUUCUAUGGGGAUUACACACUGAGUUUGCGAAAACUCACCCUUUCUCUAUUUAAUCUGUACAGGUAAUCCCCAGACUUGAUGGGUCAGUGCAACAAAGGAUUCGACAGUGGCCACACGUAAAUUAUGGAUUGUUUUCCGUUAAUACCUAGAAUUUAUUAAUUAUUUGGGGUUUUUGAUGUAUCUUCUGGACUAUGGACUGGUUGGCUAACAUACCUUUUUGCAUUGCAUCAUGUGCACGACAUAUUUGAAUAUUAUUGGUUUAUGCUACGUAGUGUAUUUUGUUGUAUUGAAUGGUAUCAAAAUUAAUGAUUGUCACUCGAAUGAAUUAUGACCUAUGCUCAUACACUGUUUGACAUCAAUUUGAUAAUGGCUAUGUAACGAUAUGAAAUUCCUAUAAUGGUUCUAUUUUCUUCUGUUAAAGCUAAUUAGUUUUACUGUAUUUGAUAUUUAUGUUUGUUUCAAUAAUUGUUCGACUCACGCUGAGCUUUUCAUAAGCGCACCCCUAAUAUGUUAAACUUUUCAGGUAAACCUCGAAAUUAAGACCAGACUUGGCAUUCGAAGAAUCACCUUAGACCUUGAAUUAUUUUUCUAAUAAGUAUUAAUCAAUCUCUAAUGGUUUUCGUUUGUAAUUUUUAAUUAUAUCUAGUCUGUGGCUUGAUAACUUUUCUUCUGGGAUUUUUGCAUGCAUGGAUUACUCAAGCAUAGUAACCGGAUAAUGCAUGAUAUUAGGCUUAAGUAAAAUUUGAUAUUGUUCCCUAGAUUCCGCUGCAUUGCAAAGGAUUUGUUUUUGAAAAACAAAUUGAUAAGGUAACUAAGUUUUCAAAAUGACUUGAAAAAUGGUUUUUCCCCUGCAUUAGUUUAACAUCGAAUUUUUUUUAAAGGAGAGCAACAAGCAAAUGAUUUUUCUAAAACAACACUAUCAACAAUAAAAUGAAUUCUAAGUAUACACAACCUAAUGAAUGAAUGCUUUUAAGCUAACUUAAAGUACAACUAUGGUUUUCUCUAAAAUGAGUUUAUUUAAAGUUUUCAUAAGUAAUGUAAGUUAGCUUAGCCAUUUCGGUGGCUAAUGUAGCCUUCUCAUUCUAGCCAUAACGUCUAGGCCAGGUUUGGGAGGUUACAGUAUUGAUAGGAACUGUGGUAUAAAUUUUAUUUUGGACAUUCUUAAAUUGUUAUUUGGACUAAACUUUAGAAACUAUGGAUUUUAUACUGAGCCUAAAUUUACGAAGUUCAUGCGUGGUUUUUACGAAAAUGAAACUCAUAUGAAAUUUCAAAACCGUGAUGUUUUUUUUAACGCUCCAAUUUGAAAUUGUACAAGAAAUGUCAAUUUGAAUUAUUUUUGAAUGUUUUUUAUGCCAAUUAAAUAUUGUUUCAAAACAUAGCUAAGUAUUAUUUAAUUUCGUAAAGAUGAAGCAAACUCCGAACAAUCUAAAACUUCAAGGACUAGUUUGCAAUUUUUUUUUCCUCAAUUGUCUCCGGUUUGAUUCAAUUCUUGAUCUAUACAAUUAUUCCAUUCAAUUCAUCAAUAUUAAACAUUUAUACAUUAUGUCAUGUCAUGAAUGAACCUAGAUAAAUUCAUUUUUUGAUACCCUUAAAGUUUUACAUUUAUUUCAAUUUAGUCUCUAAAAUCGAAAUAGUCAUAACUUUAAAUUCUGAACUUCGGUUUGAAAAUCGACCUCAAUUUCAUUAUAGACUCUCUACUAUCCAUUAUUAUCAAAAUUUCACAUCAAUUUCACAAUUUAUUUACUUUAGUUAUUAUGUACAAAAUUAACAACCAAACAUCACAAUUUAGUCAUUUUUCAUAAUUUAAGCUUAAAAUCUAUCAAUUUAAUACCAAUUUCUUCAAGAAAUCAACCAUGAUAACUAUAAAAAAAAAUUAACAGUUUUGCAAAUUGAUACAUAGGUCAUUUAAAUCAAACUUUCAUGACCUCAGAAACACAAAAAAAAAUUAUACGAAAAUGAUUUAGAAAUGCAUACCAAUUGAGGACCGAAAGCUUGAAGCUCAAAAUGGCUUUUUCCCUUGAGGUUUUAUGUUGAUUAAAUGAUGAAGAAGAAGAAAUAAAGAUGACAACUUGCACUAAGUCACCUUUAUAUACUUAGAUUAAAUCUUAAUUAAUCAAAUUUAAUUAAUUAAAUCUUAAUUAAUUAACCUUAAUCACAAUUAAAAAAAAUUAGUGGAUGUUAACAUCAUCCUACACUAUUUCAUAUAACCAAAUGAUCUAUUUACCAUUUUGAACCUUUAGCUAAUUAGAAAUCUAUAGCGAUAAGACUUUUAAAAUUUAGUUUCUGUAUCUUAAUUAUGCAAUUAAUAGACAAAGUUGAAGGUUUAAAAUUUAAUGUUCUAUUAUACCAACUCUGUAAAUAUUCAUAUUUAAUAUUUACAGACCCGAAUUACGAAAAUGAGAUUUUGAAAUUGUAUUUUCCAAUACCACUGAAAAUCGAACAAUUAUGUAACCUAUUUGCACCAAAGGGCCAAACAUGGCAAAUACUUGACAUGUAUGUCUUAAUAUCCUCAUCUAUUCUCUUCAAUAUAAUAACAUCCAAUAAUUGUUUCAUCCACUGUAACUAUCACGAAGAUUAGAUUUACCAAUACAGCCUACAAUUUGCAGAAGCGCGACAUUUUCAUUCUAGAGAAAGGUAUAAUUGAAACAAAAUUGAAAUAAAGAUUUCAAUACAGAAUCAACAGACAUUCCAGCUAAUACUUAUCAAUUAUUUGCAGCUUCAUUGCUCCAACUAAGAUGGUUUUUAGUCGAAUAUGGUAAAUGAAAUCAAUGAACACCAGCUACUUGAUGAACGAGUGAAUCAAAGUCCUGAUAUGUGCCGGCUUAUUGGUGAAAAAAUACAUGGGUUAGUUUUGCAGCAAUUCAUGAUCUUACAUUUUAUAACCUUUGCUUACAAUUAUUCACUGACUAAUCAUUCAAUGAAUGUAGGCCUCAAAUUUAGCCACUAAACUUUGUUCUUUAUUUUUAGAUACAUAUUAUUUGAUCACUUCAUACAGCCUAUUACUCAUAAUAACUUCCAAUUUCCCUUCUUUAGGUUAGUUGCAAAUGUACAGCUUUUUCUAGAAGAAGAAAAUUGUCAAGAGCCACCUGUUCAAGAGAGGCGCAAACAGAAUGUAACAAUACCUGACCUACUUACGGUACAGCCAAGUAAUCAUGUGUUUCUAUGCUAGAACAUUAAAUCAAUGACUACAAAUUUCAUGUCAUGGUUGUGUAUCAUUUAUGCCACUGAUGCUGCUAUUUUCUAUUCUAAUGCAUAAUAGGGAUUUAGUGUUUUUACCGUUAAAAUUGUGUCCUUUAAUUUUGGCUUUUUUCAAUUGUUGAUCAUGUCCACCUAUGCUUUAUUUUACUACUAUUGCUUUCUUCAAUGAUAGAUGAUUGAAUCGGUAGAAUUUUAUUAAUCCUCUACAUGUUUUAGCUUGAUAUGUGGAUCCUAAGCAUUCCUUGGAUUGUGCCCUCUUUGUUCAUUUAUUUUUUUUCCUGGAACCUUAUUACAUGUUGUAACACUCCAGUUUUUUGGAGACAUUGAAGACGACUAACUGCUGAAUUCUUUCUUCUGCAGAGGAACCAAUGGCAAGAGACUCUAAAACUCCUACUCUUUUUUAUACCUUCCUCACCUCUUUGUGACAUUAUAGCUGAAAAAUGAUGUAUGCUAAUACAUGAAAUGUUUCCUCUUGCCUUUCUUUUUGUAGUACUAAAACUACAAAUAGUGUCUGUAAAUCUCUUUUCCCGUAAUCUUAUCUUUUCCUCAUUGUAAUAGUUGGAAAACAGCUUUGUUGAAGACAAUGUCAACUACUGGGAUAAGUUACAAACACUGUUAUUGUUUAUUUUGUAGUCUAAAUUAUGAUAAUUUCUGCACAAAAUUCACAUAAAUGGUUACCCUCCCGAAGCGGAGCGAGGGUGAUGCUUACUAGUUAUUAAGAAAACAGGACCUUGUAGGGCUUAACUGUUGAAUCGAGAAAGAAAUUUCUUUUAAUGCCUUCAAUUUUUUUUAAAGCUGAUUUUUUUUUACAAAUUAAAGUUUUGAUUGUAUGUUAAUUGCUUGAGGGAAGGUCGGAUACUUUAUUAUCCCUAUUUUUAUUUGUUAUAUAUUUUAACCAUAAUGAUUUUUUUGGCCCUACAAUUUUACCAAAAAAAUCAUAUUAGCUUUCAUUUAAUUUUCGUCUCUUUUAACCCUUUAACUUGUAUUUUUUUUGUCAAAUCACCCCAAAAUGGAUCGAAAACUUUAACAUUUGUGAACUUUGAUUAUGUGACAUACACAUGAAUUGUCACAUGGAUGACAAGUCAACAUUUCUUUUAAAAAAAAACUUAAAAAAUAUUAAAUAAAAUAUUUUUGAUAUUUUUUAAUGAUUUUUAAAUUAAAAAAAGUUUUUAAAUAUUUUUUAAUUUUUAAAAAUUAAUUAGACGCAGGCAUGGAAAUUCACAUCUAUGUGUCACAGGCCGUGGAUUAAAGCCUGUGACCAUUGCGCAUAGAACACCCCAUAGAAUUUUGGCUUUUUAUUUGGUCAAUCAUGUCCACCUAUGCUUUAUUUUACUAUUAUUGCUUUCUUUAAUGAUAGAUGAUUGAAUCGGUAGAAUUUUAUUAAUCCUCUAUGUAAUAACCAAAUUUUGCCCGGGCCCAAUGCCAAACAAAUAAAACCCAAACCAAAUAAAUAAAAUAAGAGUCCAAAUUACAGUCCAUUAGAGCUCAAUUCAGACCAGCCCACUAUUCAAUCAGACUGGCCCAACACCCAAAUAACCUAACAACCCUAGCCCAACAAAAUCAGAAAAAUGAACAGCAAAAAAACCUUAGGUGCGCCGCACCUAGGUCUUUUGGCCUAACCGCCGCUGUUCGCCUAUCACCAGCCUCCUCGCUGCCACCGCCGCAUGCGCACCAGGCCUCCUCCAUGUGUGUCUGACACCUGCAAAGAGAGUCACACGCAACAGUAGAAACAAAAACAAAAAACAAAUAGCAAAACGACAAAAAAAAUAAUGAUUAAGGAGUUCGUAAUCCGACUAUAAAAGCCCUAAUCUGUGACUUGUAAUUUUUUGACACACAUUAGAAAAUAAAAACCAAAAAAAAAAAACUUUAAGGUGAUACUCAUUUCAUUUUAUUUUUGUUUUAUUUUAUUUUAUCAUUUUUAUCUUUUUAUUUCGAAAUAACAUAAAUAAAAAGGGGAGGCUGGGUUGCCGUUGCCAGAGCAUAUUUUGUGCUAAAGGGGGUUGCGCAGGAGGAAAAGAGGAAACUUUUCAGUUUCCCGCCGCCGUGAUGGCCGAACCUCUGACUGGCGCUUGGAGAAAGAAGGGGAGAGUUUGAGAGAAUUUUAGGUUUUUUGUUUAAGAAAAGUGAAAAAUGAAGAAUUCUGAAAAAAUUAAUAUUUAUAGCACCUAGAAAUGGCGUCGUUUUGGCCAGUUUCAUUUGGCCCCAAAAUGACACCGUUUAAUGGCCUAUACCGGCACAGUGACCCGACCCGGGGAAGGAUCGGAGUGUUUUGUGCUAUUGGGUAAUUUUCGCAUUUGGUCCCUCUUAUUUUGUAGUGUUUUCAAAUUAGAUUUUAUUUAUUUUAAAUUUCAACAUACAUUUUUGUUUUUGUUUCACUUAGAUCCUGAACAAUGCGCAGCGUUUUGGGGGCGAGGAAAUAUUUCCAAUAUGGCCCCAUGUAAUCUGCAUAUUACACUUUAACCCCUCGUCUUGUUUAUAAUUCUAUUCUUUUCUUGUUAAUUUAGAUUCAAUUGCGAUUUAAUCUUUUGUUAAAACAUUUGUUUUCUUUAUUAAUUUAUUAACUAUUUUAUUAUUAUUUUAGUGGUAUAUUCGGUCAUAUUUUCAUUAUCUUAUUAUAUAUUAUCAUUUUGAGUUUUACUUAUAUUAUUAUUAUAAUUUUAUAAUGUGUUAUUUUAUUAACUCAAUAUAACAUAUAUAUAUAUGUAUUUUUUUGUGGUUUUAUUUUUAUAAUAUAUUUUUUUAAAUCCAUUUUUAUGCACUUUAUAUUUAAGUAUUUAUACAAUAAUAUUCUUAUAAUAUUUUUAUACAUGUACAAUUUAUAUAUAAUUAUUUCUUAUACGUGUAUAUAUACAUAAUAAAUCAUCGAUUACAUGUUAUUAUAUUAUUUCCACUUAUUUCAUAUAUAAUUUAUUUCUUUUAAAAUACUCUAUUAUAUACUUCAUUUAUUUCAACCUUUUAUGUGUAUCAUUAUAGAUAUACUAUUAUAUGAAGUUUUUCAAUCCCUAUGCAUUACUUAUUUAAAUUAAUAUAUGUAUAUUAUUUUAUGUAUUUAGAUUUAUUUUGUAUAUAAUAUCUACUUUUAAAUUUAUUUGGAUACUAUUAUUUUAAGUGGAAUUUAUUUUUAACUAUAUUUUUUUAUUUAUUUCAAUUUUUCAUAUAUGUAUAUAUUAUUUAUUUUAAAUUUAUUUUAAUCAUAAUUUCCCUUCUUUCAUAUUUCUUAAGUUUAAAAAAAAAAACUUGUACAAUUUCAUGUGCGUCAAUUUGUUUGGUGCUUUGAUUGUUUUUUAAUUCAUUAGCCUUUGAAUGUUAGCAUAAUACAUUAUGUGAGAUUAUUGCUCUUAUACGUAUUAUAUUGCUUAUUUUUAUUUACUAAUUAUUCGUAGAUCAUUAGAAUACAUUUUGGUUUACAAAUUAUCGCUUUGUAUUGUACAUUAAUAUUCAAUUGUUUUUUUAUUCGUUCGAAAGAUUACGUUUAAUAUCAUUUAAGUAUCAAAAUCGAUUUAUUCAAAAACUUUCAAGAUAACGUAAUAUUCUGUAUUUGGGAUAUUCGAGAGAAUUGAGCCUUAAUGUAUUGGGUUCCAAUUUUCCUCGUUGAAUCUAGAUAAUCGAGAAUAAUCUUCAAUCAAAAUACAUACAUAAAAAGCUCAUUAUCGGGAAUUCGAUACAUUGUGUCCUAACGCAUUGGAUACGACAUGUUGUUUUCUCGAGAUGAGGAUUUUUCUAAAAAAAAUAAUAAAGGCAAUAUUCCGUAUUUGGGAAAUUUGAGAGAUCGUGCCCUAACUUACUGGGUUUCGAUUUUUCUCCUUUAACCCAAAUAAUCAAAUAUCCUUCUCAAAAUGCAUAGGUUUUAAAAGUCAAAAGAUAAACUUAAUUUUGAAGAUUAAGAAUGUUGCGCCCUAACUCACUGGGUGUGACAUUUUAUCUCUUUGAAAUAAGAGUGUCUUAUCAUUUAAUUCAAUUUAUUCAAGGUUAAAAGGAUCGUAUUUUAAAACCUUUUCAAAAUUUCAACACUAAGACAUUAAGUAAUCAACUAGGUACCAAUUUUUGGGCGUUACGAGGGUGCUAAUCCUUCCUUGUACGUAACCGACUCCCGAACCUAUUUUUUUGAAUUUCGUGGACCAAAAUCAUUAUUUUAAUAAAAUCAAACCAUUUAUUAAAAACAACCACUUUUCGAGGUGACCCGAUCACACUUCAUCGAAAAAGAUCGGUGGCGACUCCCAUAUUCAUUUUCAUUUUCAAAAUCCAAAUUGACCCUGUUUUAUCAAAAAAUGGUGUCAACACUGCACAUGUUUUAUCUUGACAUAUGGAUCCUAAGCAUUCCUUGGAUUUUGCCCUCUUUGUUCAUUUAUUUUUUCUUGGAACCUUAUUACAUGUUGUACCAUUCCAGUUUUUUGGAGACAUUGAAGACGACUAACUGCUGAAUUCUUUCUUCUGCAGAGGAACCAAUGGCAAGAGACUCUAAAAAUCCUACUCUUUUUUAUACCUUCCUCACCUCUUUGUGACAUUAUAGCUGAAAAAUGAUGUAUGCUAAUACAUGAAAUGUUUCCUUUUGCCUUUCUUUUUGUAGUACUAAGACUACAAAUAGUGUCUGCAAAACUCUUUAGAGAAAAACAAAUGUCUGUAAAUCUCUUUUCCCGUAAUCUUAUCUUUUCCUCAUUGUAAUAGUUGGAAAACAGUUUUGUUGAAGACAAUGUCAACUACUGGGAUAAGUUAUUGUAAGCAUCUUUUCUUUAAGUGUUUCAUAUUAAAAACAAACACUGUUAUUGUUUAUUUUGUAGUCUAAAUUAUGAUAAUUUCUGCACAAAAUUCACAUAAAUGGUUACCGUCCCGAAGCGGAGCGAGGGUGAUGCUUACUAGUUAUUAAGAAAACAGGACCUUGUAGGGCUUAACUGUUGAAUCAAGAAAGAAAUUUCUUUUAAUGCUUUCAGUUUUUUUAAAGCUGAUUUUUUUUACAAAUUAAAGUUUGGAUUGUAUGUUAAUUGCUUGAGGGAAGGUCGGAUGCUUUAUUAUCCCUAUUUUUAUUUGUUAUAUAUUUUAGCCAUAAUGAUUUUUUUGGCCCUACAACUUUACCAAAAAAAUCAUAUUAGCUUUCAUUUAAUUUUCGUCUCUUUUAACCCUUUAACUUAUAUUUUUUUGUCAAAUCACCCCAAAAUGGAUCGAAAACUUAACAUUUGUGAACUUUGAUUAUGUGGCAUACACAUGAAUUGUCACAUGGAUGACAAGUCAACAUUUAGUUUUUUUUUUAAAAAAAAAAACUUAAAAAAUAUUAAAUAAAAUAUUUUUGAUAUUUUUUAAUGAUUUUUAAAUUAAAAAAAGUUUUUUAAUAUUUUUUAAUUUUUAAAAAUUAAUUAAAUGCAAACAUGGAAAUUCACAUCUAUGUGUCACAGGCCGCGGAUUAAAGCCCGUGACCAUUGUGCAUAGAACACCCCAUAGAGGUCAACUUAUUAAACAAGGUUCAUUUGACCCGCAUGAACUGGCCCGACCCAUGGAACCCGUGGAGAAGCCCAUCUACUUGAAGCCUUGGUGGUCUAGUGAAAUAUAGUUUAAUUUUUUUUAAACAUAGGGUAAGGGAAGAAGAAUGCCUUAAAAUUAAUUUUUGUUAGAAAACUAAUAAGAAUGAGUUUGUUGGUUUAGUGUUAAGGCCUUAUCCUAUCCAUAGAUCCCAAGUUUGAAUCCCUUGGUGAGCAUUCAACCAAAAUAUUUUUAUUUCCUUGUUUUUACCACACUAAAAGUGACAAAUUUUAAAAUAACCCAGCCCAAAAACUAUUUUUUUUUAAUUUUAGUCCUUAAUUUAAAAUUUUCCCAAACCUACAUAAAUUUUUAAAACCUAUUCCAAUUAGGAAAAAUAAGUAUUAUAAAUAGACAAUUUCAAAACAAACUCUAGAAUUUCAUCUAGCAAAUUUUCAAGAAAACAUCCAUAAACACUUUCUUUUCCAAAUCAAACUUUCAAGCUAAAGAAAUCAGAAUCUUCAAAAUCAUCCCUCAAGUAGAUCUUCAAUCUUUUCUCCAGCACUAAGGUUUCUAAGUAUUCAAAAUAGGUGUGGGAACUAAACCUAAAUCUUUGUGUAUAAUUGAAUCUAAUAGCAAGUAGAGAACCAGUAUAGGCUAACCCUAGGAGAAACCCCCUGUAUGUGCAAUCAUGUAGGUGUGAGCCUAUAGAUGCAAAACCCAUUGUACAUGAAAACCCCAUGCAUGCAAACCCUUACGUGAAACCCCCCUUUCAUGCGAACCCUGUAUGAAUACCAUGUGAACCCUAGAUUAUAGUUGCGAACCCUAGGUUGUUAUGUGGAUACCCAUACUGUGAACCCAAGUGCACAAACAUAUAGGAAUAUUCAUGCGAGCCCCCUUGCAUGCGAACCCUAGUUAGUGUACAUACGGGUCUCAUAUUUACAUGCAAACCACUACUAGUGCGAGUCAAUUAUAUGAUAUCACAUACGAACCCUACUAUUACAUGCAAACCUUUAUACAUGUUAUAUUCGAACCUUUUUUUGUUAAAACUGGUGAGACUUGUCUAGUAUUACAUACGACCUAAUUUGCGAACUCAUAUGUUAAAAGUAUGUGAACCUAUCUAUGUUUGUUAUGCGAGCUCACAUGUUAGCAGUAUGUGAACCUAUAUAUAUCAGUUAUGCAAACUCACAUGUUAGCAGUAUACGAACCAUAAGUCUGUUAUGCAAACUCACACGUUGGCAGUAUGCGAACCCUAUAUACACCUUUAUGCAAACUCACACAUUAACAGUAUGCGAACCCUAUAUACGCCUUUAUGCAAGCUCACACGUUAGCAGUAUGCGAACCCUAUAUACGCCUUCAUGCAAACUCAUAUGAUUUGCAGCAUGCGAUCUCUAUAUUUAUGCGAACCCUUGUAAUAAAAAAUAUGCGAACCUUAACUUGCGAACCCUUGGCAGGAACCCUGCACUCGCAAAGCCUUCUUCCGGACCUGUACAUAUGCUAGAUAACCAAGCCUAUUAGUUUACAUUAAAUCACUGUACAUAUGAGACUGUUUGUUUACUUGCACAAGUUAUAUGUGUAUUUACUAUUCGAUACAAGAGUACCUAUCGACCUUUUGAUGAGAAUUCAGAGAUUAACGAUGAUAAUUCCAACAAUCGGUGUAAGAACGAGUUAAAUCGAGAGUUGAUGUAAUUUAAGGUAAUAAAGUUAAUUUUUCAGUAAUAAAUGUAAAAUUGUUAUGGAAAGAAACGAUGGGUAAAAAAAAAAAUGAGAGUUUUAAAGAAAAGAGAGGAAAACUUCAAUUUAGGGUUGAAGAGGAACUAAAAAUCUACGUGAAAUUAGGAAAAAAUAUAAAAUACCUAGGAUUAAGAAAUUUGAGGGGGUUGAAUGGUAAAAUACCCUUUUUUCUUAAAAAUGAAAAAAAUGGAAAUGGGUAUUAAGUUUGGCACGACUUGAAACUUGGAAGCAAAGGAAAAAAUUACAAAGGCCUUACCAUUUGGGUUGCUACCCACAUUUGGCAUAUUUUUACACUAUUUAAAAUAUAUCCUAGCUUAGUUUUGAUCAUAGGUUGUUGAAAAAAAAAAACAAGGGGUAAGAGUGUGGCUUCAACCUUAAUUCUCUAGUUAGUAUACUAAGCUCUGAACCAUUAAAAUUAAGGCUCAUGUCUUAGUCAAUUAAUUCAUCUAACUCUAUAUAUUUUGAGGUAUUACAUCUUGAAUUAGAAAAACCCAUAAAAUGCAUGUAGACUUGUAUUGCUCGGUACUUGGUACUAUAUAUGUAGACUUGUAUGUUGAUUAAGCUAGCUUAAUUAAGACCAAUGUGUUAGACUUGUCUAUGCAUUGAACAAUCUAGAAGAAAAUGAAGAAAAAGACUCUGAAAAUACUUGAAAACAGAUAAAACUCAUAUGUCAUCGACUAGUUAAACUAUGAUCACCCAUAAUAGACCUUGUAUUUGACUUUUUGUUGAGGGAGAAGUUUCGUGAGUGUUGUUUGUCAGGGAGUCAGUGUUGCCCUAAACAACUAAAGGUAUUGUCCCCAUGUCGAGAUUUUACCCCCAGCCUCUGCAAAAUAAUCAUGAAGAAUACGUGCGAAGGAAUUCAAACACCAACCAAUGCAUGUGUAGCCUUUACCUUCCCACUAUCUUUGGGAACUCAUAAGGAUAAAAUCCCAACAAGAGAAUUGUAUCAGAGGGGUCUGUCAACACAAUGAAUGAAAUUUCAUACUUUUUUUUUAAUGAAAGUAAAUAUCAUAUUUAGUUAGAGAAAAGCAACGAAAAAUCUAACAAUAAAAUCCUUAGCAAAAGAUUAAAACACAAUUGUACCAUAAAUUAAAUAAGAAAUUAAAAAAAUUCAAAUCUAACAAAGACAGUAACUUGAUUCCUCAAAGCUACCACAAACAGUAAUUCAUAGGAAGGCCUGCUGCUCAUUUAUAACACAAACUUCAUGGUGACGGAUACCAACAUACUAGAUACUAUGAUUAAAAUGCUAGAAUAGAUUAAAAAUGUUGAAUUAAUGAUAAAAUUAAGAGUGAAUUAACACAAAGUACUCAUCCUCUCUUUUUAAUGAAUCAACAUCUGCAAUUUCUAUCACUCCUUUAGACAGUGAACUUUCCAUCCAAUGCCUUAUAGUCACUUCUUCAGCAAAAUAAUUAUCAGUUGGCUUUUUCUUUGUGAAAGUUUCUAUAAGGACAAUCCCAUAACUAUAGACAUCACAUUUUCUAGAAACAAUUCCUGCUGAUCCAAAUUCUGCAUUUCAAGCAUAAUUAGAGCAUCAUUAAUCCUUAAUUAUUUCUAAAAUGUUUAUUCAAAUAUACACAUGAAACAAAAAUAUAAAAUGAAAAUCAAGAAAAUAAUCAUAAAAAGAAUUCACCUGGUGCCAUAUACCCGAUAGUUGCAAGAGUCAUGGUUUGCUUCACUACAUCACCUUCUCCCAAAAGGUUGGAAAAGCCAAAAUCUCCCACAUGUGCAACCAUGUCUUUAUCUAGUAAAAUAUUGCUUGGUUUGAAGUCAGAAUGAAUCAUAGGUGUUGGAUGUCCGUUGUGGAGAUGUUCUAUAGCUGUCGCAACAUCUAUCAUUAUGUCAACCCUUUGUAUGAUAUCAAGGAAACAGUUUUUACAAUGUAGCCAUUUCUCAAGAUUUCCAUUUGACAUGUAAUCAAGCACCAAGGCUUUUUUAAAAAUAAAAUAAAAUAAACUUGGUAUCCAAAAUGUUUUUGUGUUGACAUGGCAUUUUUAAAAAUAAAAUAAACUAGGUAUCCGUGUAACAAAAAUAAAAUUGUAAUAUAUAGGCCUAAUUUUAGUAAAGAAUGUUAAUGAUGUUAAGAAUUCUUUAAAUUUCACAUAAUCAUUUUUAUUAGAAUAAAGUAUUUAGACUAACUAAUUAUAUUAUAAAAAUUAAGAUACCAAAUUAUGUCAAAAUUAAAGUUAUAGAUUAAAUCUCAAUUUUAACAUUCUUAUAAUUUAAAAAAGUAGAAGAUUGGAAUUAAAUAAAUUUAUAAUCCUUAAUUGUAAAUUUGAUAAUUCCUAUUAAUCUAAAUUAUUACAAUAAUGUGCUUACUAUGCUUGGUUUUACUCAAUGAGUGAUAUUAAAUUAAUUAAAAAAUUAGAUAAAAAUCAAAUAUCUUAUUUCUAAUAAUAAUAUUAUUACUCCCUCACAAAACUAUAUUUCACUUGAAAGAAAUUCUAUUCCCUUCAAAAAAAAAUUACCAUCUUAAAACACUUCCAUCUUUUAAAAAAUCUUAAUGCACACUUUAAUCCUUGAAUUAUAUCACUUUUUCAACUUUAGUCUUAAAUUUUUUUUAUUGAUUUUAGUCCCUAAUAUUAUUAAACGUUUCCAAUUUAGUUCAUUGGACAAUAAAAAUUGAUUGUCGUUGGGAUAUCCAACCAAUCAUACACUACCAAAUAUUGUACGAUGAUAUCAUUAUGACAUCAUCAACAAAAAAACCUUAAAAAUCUUUAAAAAUGAAAAAAAUUAUUAUAAUUAUUUAAAAAUAGAAAAAAAAUAAAAUUGUAAAAAUAAAAAAUCUAUGUAAAAUAUAAAAAUUUACAUAAAAUUUAAAAAUAUAUUAGAUAUUUUAAUAUCUUUAAAAUUUUAUAAAUCACAUUUACUAGAGUUUGAACCUAUGAUUAUUGUCAACAAUUGUUUUAUGACUCAAUUAAUCAUAAUUUAUAAUUGGUAGAUCUUUUUAUGUGAUAAACUUGGAUAAUUUUUUUUUCAAAUUAUUUAAAUAAUGAAAAGUAAUAUUAUUUCAAAUAAAUAAUAAAUUAUAUAAUAUUUAUAAUUAUUCCAAAUAUUUUUUUUUACUAUCUUAAGAUAAAUUAUUUGUCUCUAGACCAAUAUCUUAAGAACUAUUGUCGUGUGUUUAACUAUUCUAAAGAACUUUGGUAUAAAAUAGAAAAAGCAUGUGCACAAUGGUAAAUAGGGAGUCGAGUCAAAUAAACUUGUUGCCAGUAACGCUGGUAAAGUACUAAAAAUUGAUGUAUUUUAAAAUAUUAAAAUUUUGAUAUAAAAAUUUAUUCAAAUUUUUAUUAUAAUAAUUUUAAAUAAUUUUUUAUAAAAAUUGAUUGUAUUACAAUAUACAAUUUCAAUAUCAAAUUUUUAAUAUUUUAAAUGUGAUUAGCGAAUGUAUACUUUAUUUCAAGUUACAUAAUUUUUACCAGUAUUUUAAAUUUUUUAUUUUUUUACAAUCUUUUAUUAUUUCUAAUAUUUUUUAUAUUUUUUACAAUAUUUAAAAAUUUAUAAUAACUUUUAAUAAUUUUAUUGUUUUUAGAAAUUAAAAGAAUUAACAAUUUUUUAUUUUUUAAAAAAAUUAUAAAUUUAUAAUGUAGUUAAUUUUAUUUAAGUUUAUUUGAAUUUUAUGAUAUUUUUAAAAAAUAUUUUUUUAUUUUUGCAAUCGUGACAUCAGCAUAUGACACGUGGUAAUUUAUGAUCAGAUGAAUUUUUAGUUUUUUUUUUAACGUCCAAAGGAUUAAGCUGAGAACACCUGGUAACGUUAGGGACUACACUAAGAGCAUUUGAUAAUAUUAGGUACUAAAGUGGGCCAAAAAAACAUUAAGGACCAAAGCAAAAAAAAUGCUAUACUUGAACUUUCAAAAUUAUCUUUCAUUUAGUUAGGAUUAAUAUUUAAUGAUUUACUUAAAAAAUAGAAAUUUAAAAAUUUGUAGUAUUGAGGUUAAAAAAUGAGUAAGAGGUGGUGGAUGGUUCAUACAAUGGUGAGGCACAAAGAACCAUUUUAAAAUAAGAGAAGGGAGGGGUGCUUAUUCUUGAGGUUAAGAAUGAGUAUUUAUAGGUGAGGUUAAUCAUCCUUGAUCAUUAGACCUUGACAAGUGUUUGAUGCCAGUCUUAUCGUGGUUGGCCACUAAGGGAAUGAUGGACCUCUAGGUAGUGAUGGAAUUGACAUGAAUUAGAUGAGAUUAGGAUGACAAUUUGGAUUUUGAAUUCGGAUAAUAUUGGAAUUAAAAUUUUGAAAUUACUAUCUGUUGCAUAUUUGAAGUGAAUGCGGAAAGAUAUUUCAGAAUUAUAUUAGUCGAAUCUACUUUACUUAUUCGAAUAGAUGUAGAUUGGAAUUUAGAUAUCUGAAUCAACUAGUCACGAAAUGUGUAUAGUUUUGAUUAUAUAUAAAAAAAAUUUGGUGGAUUCAAUUUUGAAUUUUCGUGGAUUUGGAUAUCCAAAACAUGAUUGAAAUUUUUAAAAUUACUCCUUUUCUGUUGAUUCAGAUAUUUGACGAAUAAUAGUACUUAACUUAAGCCAAAUUUAGACAGUAAUACUCGGAUAAUUUGUAUAUAAUAAAUAAAUUUUGAUUUUCAAGCAAAUAUGCAUAUUCUAAUUCAAAAAAUGUAGUUACUAACCUAUUGCCAUUCCUAGGCAAGAGUACCCUACGUGUGAUCCAUGCACAGAAGGAUCCAACAUCUUUCACUGACGAGGUAGAUUAGAAGCGUCACGUACCAGGCAUAUAUGUAUCAAUGAGGUCUAUAGCUGGCAAAGUGUAGCCCACAACUGAAAUCAUAGUUGACGAGGUAGUAGUUGGGCGACAUGAUGGUGACAAAAGCCACUCUGGUAAAAUAUUAAUAGCAAUCACCCUCCAAUUAAUGAGAAGUUAUAAAAUGACCUAAUUAAAUGGUAGCAUAGUUUACCAUAAGUGUCAUAUGUGUUGUAAGGCAUGAGCUCAAACCCUACCAAACUCAAAUGAUCAAAUUUCCUUGGUAGGUGGUCAUACGUCACGUACCGUUUGUCCCAACAAGGCGCUCCCACUCUGUUGAACCUGUCACCUCUUUAGGUAGCUUUAGGCACUUGAGAUCUUUACAAAGUCGAGAGGUAAAAUUAUUGGAAAAAAAAAACUCGGUUUGAAAAUAGUUUUCUUACACAGUAGAAAAAUAAAAUUUUGAAAAUCGACCUGGUUUGUGAUAUUUAUAACAAAAAAACCUUAACUGAAUUCAUACAUGUGUUUUUGGAUAAGUGGAUCCUUGAUGUUUUCAGGCUUUCAACCAAAUGAUCUUUUGCACUAUUCUCGUACCACGAACUGCUUCGAGUGUGGCCUCGAACCAAUUGAAUCAAAACACAAAACUAGAAAAGGUUUUCCUUUUUGGGUGAAAACCAAAAUUCUCUCUUCUUUAAUAGAAAUCAGUAAAAUUAUUAUUAUGAAAAAUAUGUUUAUAAGUUGAGAAUAAAUUCUCUCUAUUUUUCGACAGAAUAAAAAUCUCUCAAAAGUUGUGUAAAUAGCUCUACUGGUGCCAUUUAUUUAUAGGAAGAGAAAGUAGAACCCUUGUAGAGUUGUAAAAGUUUAUAUCCACUAGAAAAAUAAUAUCCUAGCCUAUCUAGGAUAUAGGGAGCAACAACCGUAGUUAAUGAUACUAGGGUUUUGUCAUCCCACCUCUUUAUAUGAGGGGUUUUAGGCCUCUCUCACAUCAGAUCCAAGUACAAGUACUUCUUAAAUAUAAAUUUGAAUUUGAUAUAUUGAUUACAUAUGAAUUUAUAUAUUGUGAGUAAAAUUUUUAUUUGAUAUAUUAAUAAUGUAUAAAUUUAUAUAUUGUUAAUACAUCAUAUGUUUAAAAAAUCUAAUAAUUAUAUAUUAUUUUCAAUAAUUUUUAAAUUUAUUAAUUGAUUUAUUGGUAUAUUAAUAUUAUUUAUUAGUAAUAUGUAAAUUUAUACCCUGUCAAUUUAUGAAAUAACAUUUAGUGAGUGGAAUAUAUAUAAAAGAAGAUAUUCUAAAUCUUUCUAAAUUCUUCCUUAAAAUAGAAAAAGAAAUAAAUUGUUGAUAUAGAUAUGUUGAUAAGAUUUUCAUGUAGGGCUUUUCUGUAAUUCAUGAUUUUGUUACAUGCAUAAAUUGUAAUUGUGAUAUUUUAUAUUUUAUUUAUAUAAAUCAUGUUAAAUUUGAUUUAAAUUCCUUUUUUAAUUAUUUAUUCUUUUAAGAAAUUUCAAGUAUUCAAUAAAUAUUAAUGUAUACUUUUUCUUAAAUUGAUAUAAUAGUGAUAUCAGAUUAGUUUAAAAUUUUGCGUGUAUGACAAGUACAAUUAUAUCGAUAGAUUCAAUAGUCGGAUUAUUCAAAUAUUACUCCUACAAAUAUAUAUAUGAAGAAGUAUAAACUGCUUUAAUUUUACAUUGGUAUAAGUAGAUCUCUCUCUUACAUCUGUUGUAUAUAUGAAAUUUUGAUUUUGAUUCAAACGUACUCAUUUAAAGAAAUAAAUACAUCAAUUUAUUUUUAUAUUGAAUAAGUAUAAUUAUUUGGAUAUGCUAUAUAUAGAUGUAAAAUGAUGGUAUAUAAAUAACGAUGUUAGAUGUUUGUAAAAAUUGAAUCAAAUCAAUAUUUCAUGUAUAAAAUUGCACAAUGGACCAAAGUUCAUGUACAAUUUUGAUCUUUAUAUCUGAAAUUUAUUAAUGCAAAUUAUUUUCCAAAAGAUCACAUUGAGUAAGAUUAAUUUAAAUUUCAAUAUUUAAAUUUUUUCUCAUAUAGAAAUAUAAUUUUUUUAAAAGAAGUGUAUACUAAUUGUUGAAAGAUUUCCGACUCUUUUGGAAAGUCUUCGAAGUGGCAUAUUUUGAAGAUGGUGGACCCUCAACACGUCCAAUAUUAUCAUUGGUUAAGGUUUUUUUUGGAUCUAGUGUCCUAAGUGUAGUACUUUUCAUCAAUAUACAGUUGUAAAUUUUUUUAACAAAUUGGUUAAUAAAACAAAUUUAUUGAUUAUAUUAAUAUACUUUAUAUAAUUGUCCUAACAUAGUUUUUGCACGCAAAGCAAAAUGGAAGUAAAUGUUGCUCAUUGGUUGCCUAAAUAUUUAAUUAAUACUAAGCGGUAUUAUGUGUAUAAAAAGACAGCUUGUAUUAGUAGACAAACCUAAACAUGUCCUUAGCAUAAUUGGAAAUUAGUAAAUUGAUUGAAAGACUAAUAUGUCGUCUAUCAAGUGUAUUUGGGGAGAUGCCUUGUCUUGGGCAUCGAAGCAGAUGACUCCCAAAAGGUAGAGACAUAGAUGUGACUGACUGGACUGGUAGUAAAUUGGAUAGCACACAAACAGAAUAGAUCCUGAAUUCGUUUAUGGACUUAUUCACUUGUGAUGUCCAUAGUGUGGCAUACAUAAAUCUUGAAUGGAUAGCGGAGUACGUAUGUGUGACUUUUACACUUUGAUGUAAGUAAAAACAUAAGUUCAAUUAGAUAAGGAACCAGAAUCUGGUACAUUUGGUUUACGACUUCUAUAGUAUGUAGCAUCAUUCAUAAUAGUGAAAUUCAUAGCGCAAAACAUGGGUAAAUGAUAUCCUCUCAUUGACAUUACAUGGUUAAUGAAAAGUAAACGUGGCCACGGGUUGUCCGUCUUUGUGAUGGAAACUUGAUCACUAAUUGAUAAUGAUUGAUUUUUCACGAAAGAAGAUGUAAUGGCUACCAUGAGAUAAAAUAUGAUAUAUUGGGAGAACAAAUAUUAUCCCAAAGAGAUCAAGGAUAUCCUAUGAGGGUAACACACUAAUGACAAGGUUAUUGGACGAGCAUUAAGUAGUUGCUUUCGUAAUGGUAUGUCGUUGGGGAUAUUUCAUUCACGACACUAUAGUGGAAUGACUUCAUCACUAAAUGAUUUUAUAAUUAAUAGGUGAAAAAAAUAGAAUUUAAAUAUAAAUCAUUUGAGCCUCAACUUUAUAUGUCUACUCGGUCCCCCAACUGUUAGUUCAUUGAAACCAAAAAUUAAUUGCACGUUUGAAUGGAAAUCAGCGAAAUGGAUAGAAAAAGAGAAAUGAGAAACAUUCAGGAAUGAUUAUGGUUUCCUCUAAAAUGGAGAAAUGGAAUAAUUUGAAAAUGAAUGUAGGUUUCCAAAAACGGAAAUAGAAAUGAAAAUGGAAACUUGCAAUUUUAUAUAUGAUUACUUAAAAAAUGAUGGAAGAAUGAGUUUAUAUUUUUGGACUAUUUUGAAGCUCGAAAAUGAAAAUAAAUCAUUCAGUCAUAGUGAACAUAUUGAGUUGUGUCAUAUUAAACGAAUUUUCUUGAAAUUUUAUUGGAGGUAAAAUUGCCAAAAUUUUACUGGGUAAAAUUGUCGUGAGAAAAUAAUUUAAUAUGUAAAUAUUAAAAUUUAUUUUGGAAAUAGAAAAAUUGAAUCGGGUUGGACCAUAUUACAAAGUACUAGAUCAAAAAGGCCCAGAAAGUACUCGUACUUGGACCCGAUGUGAGAGAGGCCCAAAACCCCUCAUGUAAGGUGGGACGGCAAAAACCUAUUAACUAGGGUUGUCGACCCUUAUAUCUUAGAUAGGCUAGGAUAUUAUUUUUCUAGCGGAAAUAAACUUUUACAACUCUACAUGGGUUCUACUUUCUUCUCCUAUAAAUAGAUGGCACCAAUAGAGCUAUUUAUACAACUUUUGAGAGAUUAUUAUUCUACCGAAAAGUAGAGAGAAUUUAUUCUCAACUUAUAAACAUAUUUUUUAGAAUAACAAUUUUACCGAUUUCUAUUAAAGAAGAGAGAAUUUUCGUUUUCACCCUAAAAGGAAAACCUUUUCUAGUUUUGUGUUUUGAUUCAAUUGGUUUGAGCCCACACUCGAAGCAGUUCGUGGUACGAGAAUAGCGCAGAAGAUCGUUUGGUUGAAAGCCUAAAAACAUCAAGGAUUCACCCAUCUAAAAACACAUGUAUGAAUUCGGUUAAGUUUUUUUUGCUACAAAUAUCACAAACUGAGUUGAUUUUCAAAAUUUUAACUUUUGAUGUGCAAGAAAACCAUUUUCAAACUGAGUUUUUUUUUUCAACAGUUUUAUCUCUCAACUUUGUAAAGAGCUCAAGUGCCUAAAUCUACCUAAAGAGGUGAUAGGUUCAAUAGAGUAGGAGUGCCUUGUUGGGACAAACGGUACGUGAUGCAUGACCACCUACCAAGGAAAUUUGAGCAUUUGAGUUUGGCAGGGUUUGAGCUCAUGCCUUACAACAGAUAUGACACUUAUGGACAACUGCUACCAUUUAAUUAGGUCACUUUAUAAAUUCUCAUUAAUUGGAGGGCGAUUGCUAUUAAUAUUUUUCCAGAGUGGCUUUUGUCACCAUCACCUCGGCCAACUACAACCUCGUCAACUAUGACUUCAGUUGAGGGCUACACUUUGCCAGCUAUAGACCUCAUCAAUACAUAUAUGCCUAGUACACGAUACUUCUAAUAUACCUCGUUAGUGAAAGAUGUUGGAUCCUUCUAUGCAUGGAUCAUACGUAGGGUACUCUUGCUUAGGAAUGGCAAUAGGUUAGUAUCUACAUUUCUUGAAUUAUUAGAAUUUGGAUAUGCAUAUUUGCUUAAAAAUCAAAAUUUGCUUAUUAUGUAUAAAUCAUCUGAGUAUUACUAUCUAAAUUUGGCUUAAUUUAAGUACUAUUAUCUGUCAAAUAUCUGAAUUCGCAAAAAAAGAGCAAUUUUAAAAUUUUCAAUCAUUUUUUGGAUAUCCAAAUUCACGAAAAUUCAAAAUUGAAUCCACCAAAUUUUUUUAUAUAUAAUCAAAAAUAUACACAUUUCGUGACUAGUUGAUUUAGAUAUUGAAAUUCCAAUCUACAUCUGCUAUUCGAAUAAGUAAUGUUGUAACACCUUAAAUAAUUUAAGUUUGUUUUUGUGAAAUUUAACACAAAAUGUGUACUUGCUUCAGUGGUUAAGUGUUCUAGGUGUGUGUGUGAGGUAUUGGGUUCAAUUCCCACUUUUGGCAAAACUUUGUUAUUUUAUAUCCAAGCCUAACUCUUAUUGAGUAGGCUUAUGUUAAAUUGUUUGUUAAUCCAUAUCAGAAUAAGCUUGUUGGUUUGAGUGGUAAGGAGUUGGUGUGUAGGAGGUCCUGUUUUUGAAUCCCUACGUGAGCGUAGGUAUUAAUUUUUUCUCGGUUGUCUGAUAGAGUUUGAGUGGUCUUGAAAGUCUGAGGUUGUUAAGGCUGGGUGUUAGUCUGAAGUUAGGAUAUUGUGGGGGGGAUUUUUAUGUUGAUUAUUAUUAUUUUAUUUUAUUCCUUUUUCAAAUUUUCCUCUCUCUUUCCAAAAUUUCCCUUUAAUGUUAUUCUUCAAGUUUUUUUUAUUGUCUCUGAUAUUUUUCCCCCUUUUCAUUAAAUCUUUGUUUUGUUCUUCUUUUUUGAUUAUGUUCGUCAACCUAUCAUUCGAUCGUGCCAUUGGAGUUGUCGGGUUAUCUAAUCGGUUGGUAAGUAAAACUUUGCUUCCCUUUAACUUUUGAUUUGGGAUUAUAGUGAUUUCAAUAUGUAGCAAUUGAUUAGUGGAACUUCGUGUUUAGGAGAAGAUUAUGGAGCAAUGAAUUGCACUCCAACAGUUUAGUGUGCAUUGAAGUGGUUUGUCAUCGACGGUAAGUCAGUUUCGUGUUGUUUCUUGUUGUCAAAUUCAUUAAUCAAACUACUAAAUCAAUGUUGGGUACUUUAAUUUUAGGAUUUGGAAGGCUCGGGAGUAUUUUUGCAUUAAAAUCGUAAUAGGUGUGUCCCCAAAACAUAGAAAGUCAGGUUUCGAUAAAAGUCAAAAAUGCAUUUUGUCGAUGCGACAAGGGCAUGUGCCUGGUCAUGUGGCUAGUCGUGUGUGAGACACGGCCGUGUAUUUGACGAGGGUGUGGCUGUGCGCAAGCCACGGUCAUGUGGUAGUGUAAGUGUCGCUAUGUAGGCCAUACGGGCUAGGCCAGUCUAGGUUUGUGGGCCUACAUAGGCAUGCCACACGGACGUGUAGGCCCAUACGGCCAUGUAGGCCCACAAUUUUGAGAUUUUCCCUUAGGUCGCACGGUUCGUUUCGAACGAUUGUGGACCUACCAUAGGGUCAGUAAGGGCUAAUCAAACCCUAAAUUAUGUGAAAUGAUAUUUUGAUAGUUCGCCUUGUGUAGGAUGUCGAUAUGUACAUCUGUUUUAUUUACGUAUAUAUAUGCUAUCUGUAUAUGAGCAUGUUAUGCAUGAUAUUACUGUAUCUGUUAUUUCUGUAUUAUGUAUUUGUAAAUGGGGUGGGUUUUGUAUAUGUAGAGAAAGUGAUCUGUACGAUAACACUUCCAUUAUAUUUUGACAGUUGACUGCAUAUUAUUUGUAAUGUGUCGUAUUGACACUAUAUGGUGUGUAGGGAUGGGUGGGUGCUUUUAACCCUAUAUGGUAUGAUGGGAUAGUCGAAGAUGUUGUGUAGAGGAUGGGGGUAGGAUUCUGUAUAUCUGUACUACUUAUCUGAUUUUGUUAUCUGUAUCUGGAAUGGAUAUAAGUCCGGAUCUUGAUCUGACUGUAUAUAAGACUUCUAUUUGUAUUGCAUUUCUAUUUUUGUUAGGUUACACAAUAAGUUUACGAAACCUCACAUCUGUUUGUCUGUUCUGUUCAGGUCUAUAGACUUAGGCGGAUCAGUGUGACGGAGCCUCACAGUAACCACGAGAUUGUAAACUAUUUAAUAUUACGGUUUUUAUUUAAUUUAAGGAUUCUUUCUGGAAGUUUGUAAUAAUUGGACUUUCUAGAAUAUUUGACUUUUAUUUCAGUUUUGGAGGUGUUUUAACUUUUAUGGCCACGUUUGACCAAAUUCACGGUUUUACUAAAAUAAAGGAUUUUCUGAAUACACGAAUUAGAUUUCCAAGAUUCAAUGCUUUUUGAAAACUUCCGCUAUAGAUUAUGUUUUGGAAAAUGAAUGAAUUAAAUAACGCUUCUAGUAACAGAUAGUACACUUGGGGUGAUUUAUUGAACGACUAAACAAAGCUUUAUUAAAAGAUCACUAUUUUAAAAACCCUUCCAUGUAACACUCUUAGAUUAGGCCACAACGUCUAGGCCAGGAUUAGGGUGUUACAUUUAAUGGUAUCAGAGUUAGGUUACAAAACUCGAGCUGUGAAUUUUGGGUUUCAAAAUUAUGUUUUGAAAAAGAACAGGUUUUCAAAUAAUUUGGAUCAUUUUGAAUAAGUAUGUGGUACACUGAGUCUCCGGCAUUGAUCCUAUAAGUACUUUUGAACUUAGAUAAAACUUUCUGAAAACACUAUAGUUAGUACUUUCUGAAACUGUACUGAGUUAGUUAAAAAAUAAAAACUUUUGAAAUAUGUUCGAACUUCUGAUAAUUUGAGCAUGAAAUAUAUGUUAAUAAACAUUGGAGCUGAUGCAUAAAAUUUUAUAAUGUAGAUAAAUUUGAAAAUAUACGAUGAGCGCUUAUGGAACUUGCGGUCAUGGUAUUCGUGGGCUCAGUGGGAGCCGUAAGGGGCUGGAGCUGAGUCUUUUUCUCUGGGCAGUAUGCCAAACUUAGAUAUGAGUAAGCCACCAGUGUCACUUGCUACUGAGACAAGGUCUCAAAGCCACUUUGGUGGGGACGACGCACUAUCCCAAGCCAUGUUGAGGGUGUUGGAGAGGGUCAUUGGACCCCAUUCUGGAUCUGUGGGCCGUAGGACGGUAACUGAACGACUCUGGUCCAAUAGAGCUGAGUUGUUUAGGGGUGUCAUUGAAGUCGCCCCUAUUGUGGUCGAGUAUUGGUUGGAGGGCACAAAGAGGAUUAUGAACGACAUCGAUUGUACUCUUAAGUAGAAAUUUAAUGGUGCAGCCUCUCUACUUCGCGAUGAGGCAUAUCAGUGAUGGUUGUCGGUUGAGGAGGGUACUCAACGGGACUGUCUGAACUGGGAUUAUUUUAAGACUACCUUUCAGGGGAAGUAUGUGGGUGCAAGCUAUCUUGAUACUUGUAGGCGUGGGUUCAUGAAUCUCACGCAAGGUGAUAAAUCUGUGGCUAAGUAUGAGGCCGAGUUUCUAAGGUUAAGCCGCUACGCUUAAGGCAUGGUGGUGACUAAAUAUGAGAAAUUCAUCUAUUUUAAGGAUAGCUUGAGGUAUAAUCUGAGGGUAUUGAUUGCUCCACAGAGGGAAUGAGAGUUUGAGUUCUUGUGGAUAAGGUGAAGAUCGCCGAGGAGAUUAAGUGCGUGGAGCGCUAAAAUAGGGAUCGUGAGUGAGGCAAGAAUAAGAGGGAUUCAGAGCCCUCUAGUUCUGUUUAGAGGGCUAUUAGAGUAGGGGUUCCUAUUACUUCUAAUAGGAUUCAGCCACGUGAUGAUUGUGGUAGGCACCAUCCGGGUGAGUGUUAGAGGAGGUUGGGGGCUUGUUUGAGGUGUUGGUCUUUGGAGCACCACAUUAGAGAAUGUUCACUCCAUGCGGAUUAGAUGCAAGCUGUAGGAUCAAGUUUUAUACAACCUUAGAGGGCAGUUCAGCAGCCAUCUAAGGGUCGUGGUCCUACUAGGGGUGGUAAUGGUAUGGGUCGAGGACAUAGAAUAUCGGGAAAAGGUGUUAGUUAGAUUGAAUCCUAAAUUAGAGUUAAGUUUGGUUUGAAUCAAGCCUUAACUUUGACCAAAUCCAACUAAAAACACGUCUAACAAUUAUCUAGUAUUGUUUUUAUGAAUUGAAUUUUAACUUGUAAUUUUCAAUUUUAUUACAAAAUUUCUUUGCGGACGAUAAGAAAAUAACAUAUUUGUAACUUCUUCAACCCGGCGUAAAGGUUAAGUCUGAAUUUGGAUUACAUCAGCCAUAAAGAUGGCCUAGCAGGAUUAUCGGAGUUUUUAAAAACAAACAUCUUUAAAACGUUUGUUUAAUUUAUAGAAAAGCUUAUUUAAUUUCCAAAUUAUUUAUUACUUGAAAUCUUAAUUACACUUUAAAAGUAGGAAGUGGUAACUAUUUAUUUUUAAUAAAAUUCGGGGUUCAUGUAUAAUUGAUUAAUAACCGUAAUUCGAAAACAUUAAAACUUAAAUUAAAUGUCAUGCAAAACAAAACAAGCUUAAAUCUAAAUCUCAUGCCGCAGUUCAAAAUUAUUUAUUGUAGUCUUAGAAAAUAAAAACAAUCAUAUAAUGAACCUAAAUUUUUUAUUUUACUUUAAUAAUGUGUCAAGGUCUUACAGAUGUCACGCCUGCGUUCAAUCUUGGUGGGUUAUCUGUAAGGAUGAAAAUUUAAGGGGGAGUGAGCUAUGACGCUUAGUGUGAGUUCAUUCACAAUAAAUUCAAUGCAAACGGUUGGUAAGGCACAUUAAAUAACAUCGCAUAAAGUAAUCACAGUCAGAUAACAGUUUAGAAUGGCGAUUUUACAAUUUAACUACCAAUAUUAUCACAAUAUUCACAGCUGUAAUUUCAGAAUAUCAAAUUUCCACAUCAUUCACAAUACUAACAUAUAUAUAAAUAUAUCAUAAUAGAAUUCCAGAUUUGUAUGCACAUGAUUUAGAAGAUGCCAUACAAUUUUGGGUUUUAACAGAAUAAAUCCUACCCCACGUUACAUAUCAUAAUGGGAGUUCCCCUAAACUCCCUUCUCCAACACACUAGGUUGUGGAUAAACCACUACUCGUCCACAGAUAAUAACUAUCAUUUGGCUGUGGACACACAACAAAUCCCCACAGUUGGAUUCUAGCUUUGGCUGUGGGUUCACAGCCAAGAGUCCUGCAAAUGAAGCCUGUUUUUGCAUGUAGAUUAUACAACCUAUACCCGCAGUUGGAAUCUGUCUUUGGCUAUGGAUGCACUGUAACACCCCAAACCCGACCUGGACGUUAUGGCUCAAUCUUGACGUAAUGCCCCAAAAUUUCUAAUUUCGUUAUUGUGAAAAUAUGACACAAAAUAUUUGUCUGCUUUAGUGGUUAUGUGUUCUGGGAGUGUUUAGGAGGUCCCAAGUUCACGCCUUCACAUGGGAAAAUUUUGGUAUUUUGAAUGAAUUAGGUAUUACUCUUAUUCAGUAGGCUUUUAUUUGAUUGUUGGGUAAAUUAUAUUAGAAUGGGCUUGCUGGUCUAGUGGUUAAAUGGUUUAUUAUUAUGGUGGAGGUCUUGUGUUCAAGUCCCUAUGUAGGCAAGGGUAUUAUUAUUAUUAUUUGCUCAAAUUUCUGGAUAGAGUUGUGUAAUAGGGGGAUUCUGAGUAGUAGAUGUGUAGUGGGAAUUAGGGGAGAAGAUUAAGGAGUUUCAGGGGUUAUCGAGAUUUUAUUUUAUUUUUUCCCAUAACCGAAUUUUGACUUUCUUUUUCCAAAAAAAAUCUGCCAUCUAUUCUUCUCCCUCUCCUCUUGUUGAAAUUCUCUUAGUUUUUUCACCUUUCUCUUCUUUUUCUUCUUCUUGAUUUUUCCCUAAUCCAUUUAUUUUUCUUCAUUUUCGCACGCGGUUAGUUUUCGCUUAGUUUCGGUAAGUGUUUCUCUUCGUUUCUAUCAUGAAUCUCCUAGCGACUAAAGUGGUAACUUUUUUCUCUGUGAUUUGGGCGUAGGGGAAGGCUCGAACUGUUGAAUUCAGUAUUCUCGUCUUAACAAUAGUUAAAUGGAGGGUUAUUGUUGGUGGUAAGUUGGGUUUCUGUUCAUUCUUAGUUGUCAAUUUGCUUGUAAAUCUGUUAAAUUGAUGUUGAGUAUCUUGAUUAUAGGCUUUGGAGUGCUUGGGGACUGUUUUAGCAUCAAACAAAACCAGGUGUGUACCCGGGACGCAAAAAAAAGGGAUUCGAUCGAAAGCCGAAAUUGUUUGCUGUUUGGACAGUAGCAGUAGGCUAACUUUGAAAAAUCGCCAUAAAUUGUGGAAAUCGAAAUAGAGGAUGAAAAAAAUAUGAAAUUAAAUCUUAUUGAGUCUAGUUUCUCAUAGAAGAACGGUGUAAGUAAUGGAAUUUUAAAUCAUGAGAUAUAAUAAACUAUGUGAGACAAGGUCAGAAUAAAUUCGGGUUCCCUUGUUCUGACUUUGGAAAAUCAUCAAAAAUUGGAUAAAAAUAAUUAGGAAUUAAAAUUUACAUGUUUAAAUUAUUAAUUAGUCUUUUUUCAAUAGAAACAAAUGGGAACUUCAUCCAAAAUUUUUACUAAGAGAUAAUUAAUUUUUAGCAAUGAAGGGUCGAAGCUGUCAAACAGCAGAACAAGGGUAAGUUUGAAGAUUUUACCAUACUUAUUGGCUGAGCCAAAAAUUCUAAAAAUUUUAUGGUAGAAAGGUAUUUGAGUCUAUUUUCAAAUACAUCAAGUGAAUUUUAAUUAGGAAUUCUUUAGCUCAAGAUAUAAAUAAUUUAGUUACAGUGAGUCAAGUAGAAAGCUUUGAAGGAACACAUAAGUAAAUUGUGAUAACAUAUAUGAAUAUUUAGCUAGCACAGGUUACAUUGAAAAUGGAUCACGUAGCCAAGGCCAAUUUGGGCUGAGUGGGCCACAUGGGCAUGUGAGCCCAUUUUUCUAAAAAAUUCUGUAAGGUUGCACGGGUCGCCCAAGUCGACUAUGGACCUACUGUAGGGUCGGUAAGCUUUACUUAGACGCCUAUAUGUGUGAUCUAUCUGGCUGAUUUCUAUACCGAGCAUGACUUAUGAUAUUUGAAUGUAUGUACUUUUAAUUACAUAAUGGCAUGACAAAUUUUGUAUGUUGCAUUGCAUCGGAGUGGGUUGAUGAUAUUUGGAGGAAGUGUCUAAAAGGCUAUUAAGCCUGUUAUCUGGCAGCUCAGCUGCAACCUUCUGAUUAUGUGCGCAUUUCAGUACAACAUGGUGUGUAAGGAUGGGUGGGUUGAUCUAACCCCCACAUGGUGUGUAAGGUUGGACAAAGAUGUGCGUAGAGGCUGGUGGGUAGGAUUCUGAUUUACUGUAUCUACAUUAUGUAUCUGAUAUGGGCCAAGGCUCUAAUGUAUUUCUGAGACUGUAUCUAAACGGGCUAAGGCCCAAACUGAUUGUGUGAUGGGCCUAGGACCCAGACUGUAUCUAACUAAAUUCUGUUGAUUAUUUGUAUGCAUGAUUUCUAUGGGAAUUACACACUGAGUUUACGAAAACUCACCCUUUCUCUAUUUAAUCUGUACAGGUAAUCCCCAGACUUGAUGGGUCAGUGCAACAAAGGAUUCGACAGUGGCCACACGUAAAUUAUGGAUUGUUUUCCGUUAAUACCUAGAAUUUAUUAAUUAUUUGGGGUUUUUGAUGUAUCUUCUGGACUAUGGACUGGUUGGCUAACAUACCUUUUUGCAUUGCAUCAUGUGCACGACAUAUUCGAAUAUUAUUGGUUUAUGCUACGUAGUGUAUUUUGUUGUAUUGAAUGGUAUCAAAAUUAAUGAUUGUCACUCGAAUGAAUUAUGACCUAUGCUCAUACACUGUUUGACAUCAAUUUGAUAAUGGCUAUGUAACGAUAUGAAAUUCCUAUAAUGGUUCUAUUUUCUUCUGUUAAAGCUAAUUAGUUUUACUGUAUUUGAUAUUUAUGUUUGUUUCAAUAAUUGUUCGACUCAUGCUGAGCUUUUCAUAAGCGCACCCCUAAUAUGUUAAACUUUUCAGGUAAACCUCGAAAUUAAGACCAGACUUGGCAUUCGAAGAAUCACCUUAGACCUUGAAUUAUUUUUCUAAUAAGUAUUAAUCAAUCUCUAAUGGUUUUCGUUUGUAAUUUUUAAUUAUAUCUAGUCUGUGGCUUGAUAACUUUUCUUCUGGGAUUUUUGCAUGCAUGGAUUACUCAAGCAUAAUAACCGGAUAAUGCAUGAUAUUAGGCUUAAGUAAAAUUUGAUAUUGUUCCCUAGAUUCCGCUGCAUUGCAAAGGAUUUGUUUUUGAAAAACAAAUUGAUAAGGUAACUAAGUUUUCAAAAUGACUUGAAAAAUGGUUUUUCCCCUGCAUUAGUUUAACAUCGAAUUUUUUUUAAAGGAGAGCAACAAGUAAAUGAUUUUUCUAAAACAACACUAUCAACAAUAAAAUGAAUUCUAAGUAUACACAACCUAAUGAAUGAAUGCUUUUAAGCUAACUUAAAGUACAACUAUGGUUUUCUCUAAAAUGAGUUUAUUUAAAGUUUUCAUAAGUAAUGUAAGUUAGCUUAGCCAUUUCGGUGGCUAAUGUAGCCUUCUCAUUCUAGCCAUAACGUCUAGGCCAGGUUUGGGAGGUUACAGUAUUGAUAGGAACUGUGGUAUAAAUUUUAUUUUGGACAUUCUUAAAUUGUUAUUUGGACUAAACUUUAGAAACUAUGGAUUUUAUACUGAGCCUAAAUUUACGAAGUUCAUGCGUGGUUUUUACGAAAAUGAAACUCAUAUGAAAUUUCAAAACCGUGAUGUUUUUAUUAACGCUCCAAUUUGAAAUUGUACAAGAAAUGUCAAUUUGAAUUAUUUUUGAAUGUUUUUUAUGCCAAUUAAAUAUUGUUUCAAAACAUAGCUAAGUAUUAUUUAAUUUCGUAAAGAUGAAGCAAACUCCGAACAAUCUAAAACUUCAAGGACUAGUUUGCAAUUUUUGUUUUUCCUCAAUUGUCUCCGGUUUGAUUCAAUUCUUGAUCUAUACAAUUAUUCCAUUCAAUUCAUCAAUAUUAAACAUUUAUACAUUAUGUCAUGUCAUGAAUGAACCUAGAUAAAUUCAUUUUUUGAUACCCUUAAAGUUUUACAUUUAUUUCAAUUUAGUCUCUAAAAUCGAAAUAGUCAUAACUUUAAAUUCUGAACUUCGGUUUGAAAAUCGACCUCAAUUUCAUUAUAGACUCUCUACUAUCCAUUAUUAUCAAAAUUUCACAUCAAUUUCACAAUUUAUUUACUUUAGUUAUUAUGUAAAAAAUUAACAACCAAACAUCACAAUUUAGUCAUUUUUCAUAAUUUAAGCUUAAAAUCUAUCAAUUUAAUACCAAUUUCUUCAAGAAAUCAACCAUGAUAACUAUAAAAAAAAUUAACAGUUUUGCAAAUUGAUACAUAGGUCAUUUAAAUCAAACUUUCAUGACCUCAGAAACACAAAAAAAAAUUAUACGAAAAUGAUUUAGAAAUGCAUACCAAUUGAGGACCGAAAGCUUGAAGCUCAAAAUGGCUUUUUCCCUUGAGGUUUUAUGUUGAUUAAAUGAUGAAGAAGAAGAAAUAAAGAUGACAACUUGCACUAAGUCACCUUUAUAUACUUAGAUUAAAUCUUAAUUAAUCAAAUUUAAUUAAUUAAAUCUUAAUUAAUUAACCUUAAUCACAAUUAAAAAAAAUUAGUAGAUGUUAACAUCAUCCUACACUAUUUGAUAUAACCAAAUGAUCUAUUUACCAUUUUGAACCUUUAGCUAAUUAGAAAUCUAUAGCGAUAAGACUUUUAAAAUUUAGUUUCUGUAUCUUAAUUAUGCAAUUAAUAGACAAAGUUGAAGGUUUAAAAUUUAAUGUUCUAUUAUACCAACUCUGUAAAUAUUCAUAUUUAAUAUUUACAGACCCGAAUUACGAAAAUGAGAUUUUGAAAUUGUAUUUUCCAAUACCACUGAAAAUCGAACAAUUACGUAACCUAUUUGCACCAAAGGGCCAAACAUGGCAAAUACUUGACAUGUAUGUCUUAAUAUCCUCAUCUAUUCUCUUCAAUAUAAUAACAUCCAAUAAUUGUUUCAUCCACUGUAACUAUCACGAAGAUUAGAUUUACCAAUACAGCCUACAAUUUGCAGAAGCGCGACAUUUUCAUUCUAGAGAAAGGUAUAAUUGAAACAAAAUUGAAAUAAAGAUUUCAAUACAGAAUCAACAGACAUUCCAGCUAAUACUUAUCAAUUAUUUGCAGCUUCAUUGCUCCAACUAAGAUGGUUUUUAGUCGAAUAUGGUAAAUGAAAUCAAUGAACACCAGCUACUUGAUGAACGAGUGAAUCAAAGUCCUGAUAUGUGCCGGCUUAUUGGUGAAAAAAUACAUGGGUUAGUUUUGCAGCAAUUCAUGAUCUUACAUUUUAUAACCUUUGCUUACAAUUAUUCACUGACUAAUCAUUCAAUGAAUGUAGGCCUCAAAUUUAGCCACUAAACUUUAUUCUUUAUUUUUAGAUACAUAUUAUUUGAUCACUUCAUACAGCCUAUUACUCAUAAUAACUUCCAAUUUCCCUUCUUUAGGUUAGUUGCAAAUGUACAGCUUUUUCUAGAAGAAGAAAAUUGUCAAGAGCCACCUGUUCAAGAGAGGCGCAAACAGAAUGUAACAAUACCUGACCUACUUACGGUACAGCCAAGUAAUCAUGUGUUUCUAUGCUAGAACAUUAAAUCAAUGACUACAAAUUUCAUGUCAUGGUUGUGUAUCAUUUAUGCCACUGAUGCUGCUAUUUUCUAUUCUAAUGCAUAAUAGGGAUUUAGUGUUUUUACCGUUAAAAUUGUGUCCUUUAAUUUUGGCUCUUUUCAAUUGUUGAUCAUGUCCACCUAUGCUUUAUUUUACUACUAUUGCUUUCUUCAAUGAUAGAUGAUUGAAUCGGUAGAAUUUUAUUAAUCCUCUACAUGUUUUAGCUUGAUAUGUGGAUCCUAAGCAUUCCUUGGAUUGUGCCCUCUUUGUUCAUUUAUUUUUUUUCCUGGAACCUUAUUACAUGUUGUAACACUCCAGUUUUUUGGAGACAUUGAAGACGACUAACUGCUGAAUUCUUUCUUCUGCAGAGGAACCAAUGGCAAGAGACUCUAAAACUCCUACUCUUUUUUAUACCUUCCUCACCUCUUUGUGACAUUAUAGCUGAAAAAUGAUGUAUGCUAAUACAUGAAAUGUUUCCUCUUGCCUUUCUUUUUGUAGUACUAAAACUACAAAUAGUGUCUGUAAAUCUCUUUUCCCGUAAUCUUAUCUUUUCCUCAUUGUAAUAGUUGGAAAACAGCUUUGUUGAAGACAAUGUCAACUACUGGGAUAAGUUACAAACACUGUUAUUGUUUAUUUUGUAGUCUAAAUUAUGAUAAUUUCUGCACAAAAUUCACAUAAAUGGUUACCCUCCCGAAGCGGAGCGAGGGUGAUGCUUACUAGUUAUUAAGAAAACAGGACCUUGUAGGGCUUAACUGUUGAAUCAAGAAAGAAAUUUCUUUUAAUGCCUUAAAAAAAAGAAAUUUCUUUUAAUGCCUUCAAUUUUUUUUAAAGCUGAUUUUUUUUUUACAAAUUAAAGUUUUGAUUGUAUGUUAAUUGCUUGAGGGAAGGUCGGAUACUUUAUUAUCCCUAUUUUUAUUUGUUAUAUAUUUUAACCAUACUGAUUUUUUUGGCCCUACAAUUUUACCAAAAAAAUCAUAUUAGCUUUCAUUUAAUUUUCGUCUCUUUUAACCCUUUAACUUGUAUUUUUUUUGUCAAAUCACCCCAAAAUGGAUCGAAAACUUUAACAUUUGUGAACUUUGAUUAUGUGACAUACACAUGAAUUGUCACAUGGAUGACAAGUCAACAUUUCUUUAAAAAAAAACUUAAAAAAUAUUAAAUAAAAUAUUUUUGAUAUUUUUUAAUGAUUUUUAAAUUAAAAAAAGUUUUUAAAUAUAUUUUAAUUUUUAAAAAUUAAUAAAACGCAGACAUGGAAAUUCACAUCUAUGUGUCACAGACCGUGGAUUAAAGCCUGUGACCAUUGCGCAUAGAACACCCCAUAGAAUUUUGGCUUUUUAUUUGGUCAAUCAUGUCCACCUAUGCUUUAUUUUUACUAUUAUUGCUUUCUUUAAUGAUAGAUGAUUGAAUCGGUAGAAUUUUAUUAAUCCUCUAUGUAAUAACCAAAUUUUUCCCGGGCCCAAUGCCAAACAAAUAAAACCCAAACCAAAUAAAUAAAAUAAGAGUCCAAAUUACAGUCCAUCAGAGCUCAAUUCAGACCAGCCCACUAUUCAAUCAGACUGGCCCAACACCCAAAUAACCUAACAACCCUAGCCCAACAAAAUCAGAAAAAUGAACAGCAAAAAAACCCUAGGUGCGCCGCACCUAGGUCUUCUGGCCUAACCGCCGUUGUUCGCCUAUCACCAGCCUCCACGCUGCCACCGCCGCAUGCGCACCAGGCCUCCUCCAUGUGUGUCUGACACCUGCAAAGAGAGUCACACGCAACAGUAGAAACAAAAACAAAAAACAAAUAGCAAAACGACAAAAAAAAUAAUGAUUAAGGAGUUCGUAAUCCGACUAUAAAAGCCCUAAUCUGUGACUUGUAAUUUUUUGACACACAUUAGAAAAUAAAAACCAAAAAAAAAAACUUUAAGGUGAUACUCAUUUCAUUUUAUUUUUGUUUUAUUUUAUUUUAUCAUUUUUAUCUUUUUAUUUCGAAAUAACAUAAAUAAAAAGGGGAGGCUGGGUUGCCGUUGCCAGAGCAUAUUUUGUGCUAAAGGGGGUUGCGCCGGAGGAAAAGAGGAAACUUUUCAGUUUCCCGCCGCCGUGAUGGCCAAACCUCUGACUGGCGCUUGGAGAAAGAAGGGGAGAGUUUGAGAGAAUUUUAGGUUUUUUGUUUAAUAAAAGUGAAAAAUGAAGAAUUCUGAAAAAAUUAAUAUUUAUAGCACCUAGAAAUGGCGUCGUUUUGGCCAGUUUCAUUUGGCCCCAAAAUGACACCAUUUAAUGGCCUAUACCGGCACAGUGACCCAACCCGGGGAAGGAUCCGAGCGUUUUGUGCUAUUGGGUAAUUUUCACAUUUGGUCCCUCUUAUUUUGUAGUGUUUUCAAAUUAGAUUUUAUUUAUUUUAAAUUUCAACUUACAUUUUUGUUUUUGUUUCACUUAGAUCCUGAACAAUGCGCAGCGUUUUGGGGGCGAGGAAAUAUUUCCAAUAUGGCCCCAUGUAAUCUGCAUAUUACACUUUAACCCCUCGUCUUGUUUAUAAUUCUAUUCUUUUCUUGUUAAUUUAGAUUCAAUUGCGAUUUAAUCUUUUGUUAAAACAUUUGUUUUCUUUAUUAAUUUAUUAACUAUUUUAUUAUUAUUUUAGUGGUAUAUUCGGUCAUAUUUUCAUUAUCUUAUUAUAUAUUAUCAUUUUGAGUUUUACUUAUAUUAUUAUUAUAAUUUAUAAUGUGUUAUUUUAUUAACUCAAUAUAACAUAUAUAUAUAUGUAUUUUUUUGUGGUUUUAUUUUUAUAAUAUAUUUUUUAAAUCCAUUUUUAUGCACUUUAUAUUUAAGUAUUUAUACAAUAAUAUUCUUAUAAUAUUUUUAUACAUGUACAAUUUAUAUAUAAUUAUUUCUUAUACGUGUAUAUAUACAUAAUAAAUCAUCGAUUACAUGUUAUUAUAUUAUUUCCACUUAUUUCAUAUAUAAUUUAUUUCUUUUAAAAUACUCUAUUAUAUACUUCAUUUAUUUCAACCUUUUAUGUGUAUCAUUAUAGAUAUACUAUUAUAUGAAGUUUUUCAAUCCCUAUGCAUUACUUAUUUAAAUUAAUAUAUGUAUAUUAUUUUAUGUAUUUAGAUUUAUUUUGUAUAUAAUAUCUACUUUUAAAUUUAUUUGGAUACUAUUAUUUUAAGUGGAAUUUAUUUUUAUCUAUAUUUUUUUUAUUUAUUUCAAUUUUUCAUAUAUGUAUAUAUUAUUUAUUUUAAAUUUAUUUUAAUCAUAAUUUCCCUUCUUUCAUAUUUCUUAAGUUUAAAAAAAAACUUGUACAAUUUCAUUUGGUGCUUUGAUUGUUUUUUAAUUCAUUAGCCUUUGAAUGUUAGCAUAAUACAUUAUGUGAGAUUAUUGCUCUUAUACGUAUUAUAUUGCUUAUUUUUAUUUACUAAUUAUUCGUAGAUCAUUAGAAUACAUUUUGGUUUACAAAUUAUCGCUUUGUAUUGUACAUUAAUAUUCAAUUGUUUUUUUAUUCGUUCGAAAGAUUACGUUUAAUAUCAUUUAAGUAUCAAAAUCGAUUUAUUCAAAAACUUUCAAGAUAACGUAAUAUUCUGUAUUUGGGAUAUUCGAGAGAAUUGAGCCUUAAUGUAUUGGGUUCCAAUUUUCCUCGUUGAAUCUAGAUAAUCGAGAAUAAUCUUCAAUCAAAAUACAUACAUAAAAAGCUCAUUAUCGGGAAUUCGAUACAUUGUGUCCUAACGCAUUGGAUACGACAUGUUGUUUUCUCGAGAUGAGGAUUUUUCUAAAAAAAAUAAUAAAGGCAAUAUUCCGUAUUUGGGAAAUUUGAGAGAUCGUGCCCUAACUUACUGGGUUUCGAUUUUUCUCCUUUAACCCAAAUAAUCAAAUAUCCUUCUCAAAAUGCAUAGGUUUUAAAAGUCAAAAGAUAAACUUAAUUUUGAAGAUUAAGAAUGUUGCGCCCUAACUCACUGGGUGUGACAUUUUAUCUCUUUGAAAUAAGAGUGUCUUAUCAUUUAAUUCAAUUUAUUCAAGGUUAAAAGGAUCGUAUUUUAAAACCUUUUCAAAAUUUCAACACUAAGACAUUAAGUAAUCAACUAGGUACCAAUUUUUGGGCGUUACGAGGGUGCUAAUCCUUCCUUGUACGUAACCGACUCCCGAACCUAUUUUUUUGAAUUUCGUGGACCAAAAUCAUUAUUUUAAUAAAAUCAAACCAUUUAUUAAAAACAACCACUUUUCGAGGUGACCCGAUCACACUUCAUCGAAAAAGAUCGGUGGCGACUCCCAUAUUCAUUUUCAUUUUCAAAAUCCAAAUUGACCCUGUUUUAUCAAAAAAUGGUGUCAACACUGCACAUGUUUUAUCUUGACAUAUGGAUCCUAAGCAUUCCUUGGAUUUUGCCCUCUUUGUUCAUUUAUUUUUUCUUGGAACCUUAUUACAUGUUGUACCAUUCCAGUUUUUUGGAGACAUUGAAGACGACUAACUGCUGAAUUCUUUCUUCUGCAGAGGAACCAAUGGCAAGAGACUCUAAAAAUCCUACUCUUUUUUAUACCUUCCUCACCUCUUUGUGACAUUAUAGCUGAAAAAUGAUGUAUGCUAAUACAUGAAAUGUUUCCUUUUGCCUUUCUUUUUGUAGUACUAAGACUACAAAUAGUGUCUGCAAAACUCUUUAGAGAAAAACAAAUGUCUGUAAAUCUCUUUUCCCGUAAUCUUAUCUUUUCCUCAUUGUAAUAGUUGGAAAACAGUUUUGUUGAAGACAAUGUCAACUACUGGGAUAAGUUAUUGUAAGCAUCUUUUCUUUAAGUGUUUCAUAUUAAAAACAAACACUGUUAUUGUUUAUUUUGUAGUCUAAAUUAUGAUAAUUUCUGCACAAAAUUCACAUAAAUGGUUACCGUCCCGAAGCGGAGCGAGGGUGAUGCUUACUAGUUAUUAAGAAAACAGGACCUUGUAGGGCUUAACUGUUGAAUCAAGAAAGAAAUUUCUUUUAAUGCUUUCAGUUUUUUUAAAGCUGAUUUUUUUUACAAAUUAAAGUUUGGAUUGUAUGUUAAUUGCUUGAGGGAAGGUCGGAUGCUUUAUUAUCCCUAUUUUUAUUUGUUAUAUAUUUUAGCCAUAAUGAUUUUUUUGGCCCUACAACUUUACCAAAAAAAUCAUAUUAGCUUUCAUUUAAUUUUCGUCUCUUUUAACCCUUUAACUUAUAUUUUUUUGUCAAAUCACCCCAAAAUGGAUCGAAAACUUAACAUUUGUGAACUUUGAUUAUGUGGCAUACACAUGAAUUGUCACAUGGAUGACAAGUCAACAUUUAGUUUUUUUUUUAAAAAAAAAAACUUAAAAAAUAUUAAAUAAAAUAUUUUUGAUAUUUUUUAAUGAUUUUUAAAUUAAAAAAAGUUUUUUAAUAUUUUUUAAUUUUUAAAAAUUAAUUAAAUGCAAACAUGGAAAUUCACAUCUAUGUGUCACAGGCCGCGGAUUAAAGCCCGUGACCAUUGUGCAUAGAACACCCCAUAGAGGUCAACUUAUUAAACAAGGUUCAUUUGACCCGCAUGAACUGGCCCGACCCAUGGAACCCGUGGAGAAGCCCAUCUACUUGAAGCCUUGGUGGUCUAGUGAAAUAUAGUUUAAUUUUUUUUAAACAUAGGGUAAGGGAAGAAGAAUGCCUUAAAAUUAAUUUUUGUUAGAAAACUAAUAAGAAUGAGUUUGUUGGUUUAGUGUUAAGGCCUUAUCCUAUCCAUAGAUCCCAAGUUUGAAUCCCUUGGUGAGCAUUCAACCAAAAUAUUUUUAUUUCCUUGUUUUUACCACACCAAAAGUGACAAAUUUUAAAAUAACCCAGCCCAAAAACUAUUUUUUUUUAAUUUUAGUCCUUAAUUUAAAAUUUUCCCAAACCUACAUAAAUUUUUAAAACCUAUUCCAAUUAGGAAAAAUAAGUAUUAUAAAUAGACAAUUUCAAAACAAACUCUAGAAUUUCAUCUAGCAAAUUUUCAAGAAAAAAUCCAUAAACACUUUCUUUUCCAAAUCAAACUUUCAAGCUAAAGAAAUCAGAAUCUUCAAAAUCAUCCCUCAAGUAGAUCUUCAAUCUUUUCUCCAGCACUAAGGUUUCUAAGUAUUCAAAAUAGGUGUGGGAACAAAACCUAAAUCUUUGUGUAUAAUUGAAUCUAAUAGCAAGUAGAGAACCAGUAUAGGCUAACCCUAGGAGAAACCCCCUGUAUGUGCAAUCAUGUAGGUGUGAGCCUAUAGAUGCAAAACCCCUUGUACAUGAAAACCCCAUGCAUGCAAACCCUUACGUGAAACCCCCCUUUCAUGCGAACCCUGUAUGAAUACCAUGUGAACCCUAGAUUAUAGUUGCGAACCCUAGGUUGUUAUGUGGAUACCCAUACUGUGAACCCAAGUGCACAAACAUAUAGGAAUAUUCAUGCGAGCCCCCUUGCAUGCGAACCCUAGUUAGUGUACAUACGGGUCUCAUAUUUACAUGCAAACCACUACUAGUGCGAGUCAAUUAUAUGAUAUCACAUACGAACCCUACUAUUACAUGCAAACCUUUAUACAUGUUAUAUUCGAACCUUUUUUUGUUAAAACAGGUGAGACUUGUCUAGUAUUACAUACGACCUAAUUUGCGAACUCAUAUGUUAAAAGUAUGUGAACCUAUCUAUGUUUGUUAUGCGAGCUCACAUGUUAGCAGUAUGUGAACCUAUAUAUAUCAGUUAUGCAAACUCACAUGUUAGCAGUAUACGAACCAUAAGUCUGUUAUGCAAACUCACACAUUGGCAGUAUGCGAACCCUAUAUACACCUUUAUGCAAACUCACACAUUAACAGUAUGCGAACCCUAUAUACGCCUCUAUGCAAACUCACACGUUAGCAGUAUGCGAACCCUAUAUACGCCUUCAUGCAAACUCAUAUGAUUUGCAGCAUGCGAUCUCUAUAUUUAUGCGAACCCUUGUAAUAAAAAAUAUGCGAACCUUAACUUGCGAACCCUUGGCAGGAACCCUGCACUCGCAAAGCCUUCUUCCGGACCUGUACAUAUGCUAGAUAACCAAGCCUAUUAGUUUACAUUAAAUCACUGUACAUAUGAGACUGUUUGUUUACUUGCACAAGUUAUAUGUGUAUUUACUAUUCGAUACAAGAGUACCUAUCGACCUUUUGAUGAGAAUUCAGAGAUUAACGAUGAUAAUUCCAACAAUCAGUGUAAGAACGAGUUAAAUCGAGAGUUGAUGUAAUUUAAGGUAAUAAAGUUAAUUUUUCAGUAAUAAAUGUAAAAUUGUUAUGGAAAGAAACGAUGGGUAAAAAAAAAUGAGAGUUUUAAAUAAAAGAGAGGAAAACUUCAAUUUAGGGUUGAAGAGGAACUAAAAAUUUACGUGAAAUUAGGAAAAAAUAUAAAAUACCUAGGAUUAAGAAAUUUGAGGGGGUUGAAUGGUAAAAUACCCUUUUUUCUUAAAAAUGAAAAAAAAUGGAAAUGGGUAUUAAGUUUGGCACGACUUGAACCUUGGAAGCAAAGGAAAAAAUUACAAAGGCCUUACCAUUUGGGUUGCUACCCACAUUUGGCAUUUUUUUACACUAUUUAAAAUAUAUCCUAGCUUAGUUUUGAUCAUAGGUUGUUGAAAAAAAAAAAAAGGGGUAAGAGUGUGGCUUCAACCUUAAUUCUCUAGUUAGUAUACUAAGCUCUGAACCAUUAAGAUUAAGGCCCAUGUCUUAGUCAAUUAAUUCAUCUAACUCUAUAUAUUUUGAGGUGUUACAUCUUGAAUUAGAAAAACCCAUAAAAUGCAUGUAGACUUGUAUUGCUCGGUACUUGGUAGUAUAUAUGUAGACUUGUAUGUUGAUUAAGCUAGCUUAAUUAAGACCAAUGUGUUAGACUUGUCUAUGCAUUGAACAAUCUAGAAGAAAAUGAAGAAAAAGACUCUGAAAACACUUGAAAACAGAUAAAACUCAUAUGUCAUCGACUAGUUAAACUAUGAUCACCCAUAAUAGACCUUGUAUUUGACUUUUUGUUGAGGGAGAAGUUUCGUGAGUGUUGUUUGUCAGGGAGUCAGUGUUGCCCUAAACAACUAAAGGUAUUGUCCCCAUGUCGAGAUUUUACCCCCAGCCUCUGCAAAAUAAUCAUGAAGAAUACGUGCGAAGGAAUUCAAACACCAACCAAUGCAUGUGUAGCCUUUACCUUCCCACUAUCUUUGGGAACUCAUAAGGAUAAAAUCCCAACAAGAGAAUUGUAUCAGAGGGGUCUGUCAACACAAUGAAUGAAAUUUCAUACUUUUUUUUUAAUGAAAGUAAAUAUCAUAUUUAGUUAGAGAAAAGCAACGAAAAAUCUAACAAUAAAAUCCUUAGCAAAAGAUUAAAACACAAUUGUACCAUAAAUUAAAUAAGAAAUUAAAAAAAUUCAAAUCUAACAAAGACAGUAACUUGAUUCCUCAAAGCUACCACAAACAGUAAUUCAUAGGAAGGCCUGCUGCUCAUUUAUAACACAAACUUCAUGGUGACGGAUACCAACAUACCAUCAACUGAAGUCAUAGUUGACGAGGUUGUAGUUGGCCGAGGUGAUGGUGACAAAAGCCACUCUGGAAAAAUAUUAAUAGCAAUCGCCCUCCAAUUAAUGAGAAUUUAUAAAGUGACCUAAUUAAAUGGUAGCAGUUGUCCAUAAGUGUCAUAUCUGUUGUAAGGCAUGAGCUCAAACCCUACCAAACUCAAAUGAUCAAAUUUCCUUGGUAGGUGGUCAUACGUCACGUACCGUUUGUCCCAACAAGGCGCUCCCACUCUGUUGAACCUCUCAUCUCUUUAGGUAGCUUUAGGCACUUGAGAUCUUUACAAAGUCGAGAGGUAAAAUUAUUGGAAAAAAAAACUCGGUUUGAAAAUGGUUUUCUUGCACAGUAGAAAAAUAAAAUUUUGAAAAUUGACUUGGUUUGUGAUAUUUAUAACAAAAAAAAACCUUAACUGAAUUCAUACAUGUGUUUUUGGAUAAGUGGAUCCUUGAUGUUUUCAGGCUUUCAACCAAACGAUCUUUUGCACUAUUCUCGUACCACGAUCUGCUUCGAGUGUGGCCUCGAACCAAUUGAAUCAAAACACAAAACUAGAAAAGGUUUUCCUUUUUGGGUGAAAACCAAAAUUCUCUCUUCUUUAAUAGAAAUCGGUAAAAUUAUUAUUAUGAAAAAUAUGUUUAUAAGUUGAGAAUAAAUUCUCUCUAUUUUUCGACAGAAUAAAAAUCUCUGAAAAGUUGUGUAAAUAGCUCUACUGGUGCCAUUUAUUUAUAAGAAGAGAAAGUAGAACCCUUGUAGAGUUGUAAAAGUUUAUAUCCACUAGAAAAAUAAUAUCCUAGCCUAUCUAGGAUAUAGGGAGCAACAACCCUAGUUAAUGAUACUAGGGUUUUGUCGUCCCACCUCCUUAUAUGAGGGGUUUUAGGCCUCUCUCACAUCAGGUCCAAGUACAAGUAAUUCUUAAAUAUAAAUUUGAAUUUGAUAUAUUGAUUACAUAUGAAUUUAUAUAUUGUGAGUAAAAUUUUUAUUUGAUAUAUUAAUAAUGUAUAAAUUUAUAUAUUGUUAAUACAUCAUAUGUUUAAAAAAUCUAAUAAUUAUAUAUUAUUUUCAAUAAUUUUUAAAUUUAUUAAUUGAUUUAUUGGUAUAUUAAUAUUAUUUAUUAGUAAUAUGUAAAUUUAUACCCUGUCAAUUUAUGAAAUAACAUUUAGUGAGUGGAAUAUAUAUAAAAGAAGAUAUUCUAAAUCUUUCUAAGAUUUCUAAUUCUUCCUUAAAAUAGAAAAAGAAAUAAAUUGUUGAUAUAGAUAUGUUGAUAAGAUUUUCAUGUAGGGCUUUUCUGUAAUUCAUGAUUUUGUUACAUGCAUAAAUUGUAAUUGUGAUAUUUUAUAUUUUAUUUAUAUAAAUCAUGUUAAAUUUGAUUUAAAUUCCUUUUUUAAUUAUUUAUUCUUUUAAGAAAUUUCAAGUAUUCAAUAAAUAUUAAUGUAUACUUUUUCUUAAAUUGAUAUAAUAGUGAUAUCAGAUUAGUUUAAAAUUUUGCGUGUAUGACAAGUACAAUUAUAUCGAUAGAUUCAAUAGUCGGAUUAUUCAAAUAUUACUCCUACAAAUAUAUAUUUGAAGAAGUAUAAACUGCUUUAAUUUUACACUGGUAUAAGUAGAUCUCUCUCUUACAUCUGUUGUAUAUAUGAAAUUUUGAUUUUGAUUCAAACGUACUCAUUUAAAGAAAUAAAUAUAUCAAUUUAUUUUUAUAUUGAAUAAGUAUAAUUAUUUGGAUAUGCAAUAUAUAGAUGUAAAAUGAUGGUAUAUAAAUAACGAUGUUAGAUGUUUGUGAAAAUUGAAUCAAAUCAAUAUUUCAUGUAUAAAAUUGCACAAUGGACCAAAGUUCAUGUACAAUUUUGAUCUUUAUAUCUGAAAUUUAUUAAUGCAAAUUAUUUUCCAAAAGAUCACAUUGAGUAAGUUUAAUUUAAAUUUCAAUAUUUAAAUUUUUUUCUCAUAUAGAAAUAUAAUUUUUUUAAAAGAAGUGUAUACUAAUUGUUGAAAGAUUUUCGACUCUUUUGGAAAGUCUUCGAAGUGGCAUAUUUUGAAGAUGGUGGACCCUCAACACGUCCAAUAUUAUCAUUGGUUAAGGUUUUUGUUGGAUCUAGUGUCCUAAGUGUAGUACUUUUCAUCAAUAUACAGUUGUAAAUUUUUUUAACAAAUUGGUUAAUAAAACAAAUUUAUUGAUUAUAUUAAUAUACUUUAUAUAAUUGUCCUAACAUAGUUUUUGCACGCAAAGCAAAAUGGAAGCAAAUGUUGCUCAUUGGUUGCCUAAAUAUUUAAUUAAUACUAAGCGGUAUUAUGUGUAUAAAAAGACAGCUUGUAUUAGUAGACAAACCUAAACAUGUCCUUAGCAUAAUUGGAAAUUAGUAAAUUGAUUGAAAGACUAAUAUGUCGUCUAUCAAGUGUAUUUGGGGAAAUGCCUUGUCUUGGGCAUCGAAACGGAUGACUCCCAAAAGGUAGAGACAUAGAUGUGACUGACUGGACUGGUAGUAAAUUGGAUAGGACACAAACAGAAUAGAUCCUGAAUUCGUUUAUGGACUUAUUCACUUGUGAUGUCCAUAGUGUGGCAUACAUAAAUCUUGAAUGGAUAGCGGAGUACGUAUGUGUGACUUUUACACUUUGAUGUAAGUAAAAACAUAAGUUCAAUUAGAUAAGGAACCAGAAUCUGGUACAUUUGGUUUACGACUUCUAUAGUAUGUAGCAUCAUUUAUAAUAGUGAAAUUCAUAGCGCAAAAAAUGGGUAAAUGAUAUCCUCUCAUUGACAUUACAUGGUUAAUGAAAAGUAAACGUGGCCACGGGUUGUCCGUCUUUGUGAUGGAAACUUGAUCACUAAUUGAUAAUGAUUGAUUUUUCACGAAAGAAGAUGUAAUGGCUACCAUGAGAUAAAAUAUGAUCAUAUUAGGAGAACAAAUAUUAUCCCAAAGAGAUCAAGGAUAUCCUAUGAGGGUAACACACUAAUGACAAGGUUAUUGGACGAGCAUUAAGUAGUUGCUUUCGUAAUGGUAUGUCGUUAGGGAUAUUUCAUUCACGACACUAUAGUGGAAUGACUUCGUGACUAAAUGAUUUUAUAAUUAAUAGGUGAAAAAAUAGAAUUUAAUUAUAAAUCAUUUGAGCCUCAAGUUUAUAUGUCUACUCGGUCCCCCAACUGUUAGUUCAUUGAAACCAAAAAUUAAUUGCACGUUUGAAUGGAAAUCAGCGAAAUGGAUAGAAAAAGAGAAAUGAGAAACAUUCAGGAAUGAUUAUGGUUUCCUCUAAAAUGGAGAAAUGGAAUAAUUUGAAAAUGAAUGUAGGUUUCCAAAAAUGGAAAUAGAAAUGAAAAUGGAAACUUGCAAUUUUAUAUAUGAUUACUUAAAAAAUGAUGGAAGAAUGAGUUUAUAUUUUUGGACUAUUUUGAAGCUCGAAAAUGAAAAUAAAUCAUUCAGUCAUAGUGAACAUAUUGAGUUGUGUCAUAUUAAACGAAUUUUCUUGAAAUUUUAUUGGAGGUAAAAUUGCCAAAAUUUUACUGGGUAAAAUUGUCGUGAGAAAAUAAUUUAAUAUGUAAAUAUUAAAAUUUAUUUUGGAAAUAGAAAAAUUGAAUUGGGUUGGACCAUAUUACAAAGUACUAGAUCAAAAAGGCCCAGAAAGUACUCGUACUUGGACCCGAUGUGAGAGAGGCCCAAAACCCCUCAUAUAAGGUGGGACGGCAAAACCCUAUUAACUAGGGUUGUCGACCCUUAUAUCCUAGAUAGGCUAGGAUAUUAUUUUUCUAGCAGAAAUAAACUUUUACAACUGUACAUGGGUUCUACUUUCUUCUCCUAUAAAUAGAUGGCACCAAUAGAGCUAUUUGUACAACUUUUGAGAGAUUAUUAUUCUACCGAAAAGUAGAGAGAAUUUAUUCUCAACUUAUAAACAUAUUUUUUAGAAUAACAAUUUUACCGAUUUCUAUUAAAAAAGAGAGAAUUUUCGUUUUCACCCUAAAAGGAAAACCUUUUCUAGUUUUGUGUUUUGAUUCAAUUGGUUUGAGCCCACACUCGAAGCAGUUCGUGGUACGAGAAUAGCGCAGAAGAUCGUUUGGUUGAAAGCCUAAAAACAUCAAGGAUUCACCCAUCUAAAAACACAUGUAUGAAUUCGGUUAAGUUUUUUUUGCUACAAAUAUCACAAACCGAGUUGAUUUUCAAAAUUUUAACUUUUGAUGUGCAAGAAAACCAUUUCCAAACUGAGUUUUUUUUCAACAGUUUUAUCUCUCAACUUUGUAAAGAGCUCAAGUGCCUAAAGCUACCUAAAGAGGUGACAGGUUCAAUAGAGUAGGAGUGCCUUGUUGGGACAAACGGUACGUGAUGCAUGACCACCUACCAAGGAAAUUUGAGUAUUUGAGUUUGGCAGGGUUUGAGCUCAUGCCUUACAACAGAUAUGACACUUAUGGACAACUGCUACCAUUUAAUUAGGUCACUUUAUAAAUUCUCAUUAAUUGGAGGGCGAUUGCUAUUAAUAUUUUUCCAGAGUGGCUUUUGUCACCAUCACCUCGGCCAACUACAACCUCGUCAACUAUGACUUCAGUUGAUGGCUACACUUUGCCAGCUAUAGACCUCAUCAAUACAUAUAUGCCUAGUACAUGAUACUUCUAAUAUACCUCGUUAGUGAAAGAUGUUGGAUCCUUCUAUGCAUGGAUCACACGUAGGGUACUCUUGCUUAGGAAUGGCAAUAGGUUAGUAUCUACAUUUCUUGAAUUAUUAGAAUUUGGAUAUGCAUAUUUGCUUAAAAAUCAAAAUUUUUUUAUUAUCUAUAAAUCAUCUGAGUAUUACUAUCUAAAUUUGGCUUAAUUUAAGUACUAUUAUCUGUCAAAUAUCUGAAUCCACAAAAAAAGGGCAAUUUUAAAAUUUUCAAUCAUUUUUUGGAUAUCCAAAUUCACGAAAAUUCAAAAUUGAAUCCACCAAAUUUUUUUAUAUAUAAUCAAAACUAUACAUAUUUCGUGACUAGUUUAUUUAGAUAUUGAAAUUCCAAUCUACAUCUGCUAUUCGAAUAAGUAAUGUUGUAACACCUUAAAUAAUUUAAGUUUGUUUUUGUGAAAUUUAACACAAAAUGUGUACCUGCUUCAGUGGUUAAGUGUUCUAGGUGUGUGUGUGAGGUAUUGGGUUCAAUUCCCACUUUUGGCAAAACUUUGUUAUUUUAUAUCCAAGCCUAACUCUUAUUGAGUGGGCUUAUGUUAAUUGUUUGUUAAUCCAUAUCAGAAUAAGCUUGUUGGUUUGAGUGGUAAGGAGUUGGUGUGUAGGAGGUCUUGUUUUUGAAUCCCUACGUGAGUGUAGGUAUUAAUUUUUGCUCGGUUGUCUGAUAGAGUUUGAGUGGUCUUGAAAGUCUGAGGUUGUUAAGGUUGAGUGUUAGUCUGAAGUUAGGAUAUUGUGAGGGGAUUUUUAUGUUGAUUAUUAUUAUUUUAUUUUAUUCCUUUUUCAAAUUUUCCUCUCUCUUUCCAAAAUUUCCCUUUAAUGUUAUUCUUCAAGUUUUUUUUGUUGUCUCUGAUAUUUUUCCCCCUUUUCAUUAAAUCUUUAUUUUGUUCUUCUUUUUUGAUUAUGUUCGUCAACCUAUCAUUCGAUCGUGCCAUUGGAGUUGUCGGGUUAUCUAAUCGGUUGGUAAGUAAAACCUUGCUUCCCUUUAACUUUUGAUUUGGGAUUAUAGUGAUUUCAAUAUGUAGCAAUUGAUUAGUGGAACUUCGUGUUUAGGAGAAGAUUAUGGAGCAAUGAAUUGCACUCCAACAGUUUAGUGUGUAUUGAAGUGGUUUGUCAUCGACGGUAAGUCAGUUUCGUGUUGUUUCUUGUUGUCAAAUUCAUUAAUCAAACUACUAAAUCAAUGUUGGGUACUUUAAUUUUAGGAUUCGGAAGGCUCGGGAGUAUUUUUGCAUUAAAAUCGUAAUAGGUGUGUCCCCAAAACACAGAAAGUCAGGUUUCGAUAAAAGUCAAAAAUGCAUUUUGUCGAUGCGACAAGGGCAUGUGCCUGGUCGUGUGGCUAGUCCUGUGUGAGACACGGCCAUGUAUUUGACGAGGGUGUGGCUGUGCGCAAGCCACGGUCAUGUGGUAGUGUAAGUGUGGCUGUGUAGGCCAUACGGGCUAGGCCAGUCUAGGUUUGUGGGCCUACACAGGCAUGCCACACGGACGUGUAGGCCCAUACGGCCAUGUAGGCCCACAAUUUUGAGAUUUUCCCUUAGGUCGCACGGUUCGUUUCGAACGAUUGUGGACCUACCAUAGGGUCGGUAAGGGCUAAUCAAACCCUAAAUUAUGUGAAAUGAUAUUUUGAUCGUUCGCCUUGUGUAGGAUGUCAAUAUGUACAUCUGUUUUAUUUACGUAUAUAUAUGCUAUCUGUAUAUGAGCAUGUUAUGCAUGAUAUUACUGUAUCUGUUAUUUCUAUAUUAUGUAUCUGUAAUUGGGGUGGGUUUUGUAUAUGUAGAGAAAGUGAUCUGUACGAUAACACUUCCAUUAUAUUUUGACAGUUGACUGCAUAUUAUUUGUAAUGUGUCGCAUUGACACUAUAUGGUGUGUAGGGAUGGGUGGGUGCUUUUAACCCCAUAUGGUGUGAUGGGAUAGUCGAAGAUGUUGUGUAGAGGAUGGGGGUAGGAUUCUGUAUAUCUGUACUACUUAUCUGAUUUUGUUAUCUGUAUCUGGAAUGGAUAUAAGUCCGGAUCUUGAUCUGACUGUAUAUAAGACUUCUAUUUGUAUUGCAUGUCUAUUUUUGUUAGGUUACACAAUAAGUUUACGAAAACUCACAUCUGUUUGUCUGUUCUGUUUAGGUCUAUAGACUUAGGCGGAUCAGUGUGACGGAGCCUCACAGUAACCACGAGAUUGUAAACUAUUUAAGAUUACGGUUUUUAUUUAAUUUAAGGAUUCUUUCUGGAAGUUUGUAAUAAUUGGACUUUCUAGAAUAUUUGACUUUUAUUUCAGUUUUGGAGGUGUUUUAACUUUUAUGGCCACGUUUGACCAAAUUCACGGUUUUACUAAAAUAAAGGAUUUUCUGAAUACACGAAUUAAAUUUCCAAGAUUCAAUGCUUUUUGAAAACUUCCGCUGUAGAUUAUGUUUUGGAAAAUGAAUGAAUUAAAUAACGCUUCUAGUAACAGAUAGUACACUUGGGGUGAUUUAUCGAACGACUAAACAAAGCUUUAUUAAAAUAUCACUAUUUUAAAAACCCUUCCAUGUAACACUCUUAGAUUAGGCCACAACGUCUAGGCCAGGAUUAGGGUGUUACAUUUAAUGGUAUCAGAGUCAGGUUACAAAACUCGAGCUGUGAAUUUUGGGUUUCAAAAUUAUGUUUUGAAAAGAACAGGUUUUCAAAUAAUUUGGAUCAUUUUGAAUAAGUAUGUGGUACACUGAGUCUCCGGCGUUGAUCCUAUAAGUACUUUUGAACUUAGAUAAAACUUUCUGAAAACACUAUAGUUAGUACUUUCUGAAAUUGUACUGAGUUAGUUAAAAAAUAAAAACUUUUGAAAUAUGUUCGAACUUUUGAUAAUUUGAGCAUGAAAUAUAUGUUAAUAAACAUUGGAGCUGAUGCAUAAAAUUUUCUAAUGUAGAUAAAUUUGAAAAUAUACGAUGAGCGCUUGUGGAACUUGCGGUCAUGGUAUUCGUAGGCUCAGUGGGGGCCGUAAGGGGCUGGAGCUGAGUCUUUUUCUCUGGGCAGUAUGCCAAACUUAGAUAUGAGUAAGCCACCAGUGUCACUUGCUACUGAGACAAGGUCUCAAAGCCACUUGGCUGGGGACGACACACUAUCCCAAGCCAUGUUGAGGGUGUUGGAGAGGGUCACUGGACCCCAUUCUGGAUCUGUGGGCCGUAGGACGGUAACUGAACGACUCUGGUCCAAUAGAGCUGAGUUGUUUAGGGGUGUCAUUGAAGUCGCCCCUAUUGUGGUCGAGUAUUGCUUGGAGGGCACAAAGAGGAUUAUGAACGACAUCAAUUGUACUCCUAAGUAGAAAUUUAAUGGUGCAGCCUCUGUACUUCGCGAUGAGGCAUAUCAGUGGUGGUUGUCGGUUGAGGAGGGUACUCAACGGGACUGUCUGAACUGGGAUUAUUUUAAGACUACCUUUCAGGGGAAGUUUGUGGGCGCAAGCUAUGUUGAUACUUGUAGGCGUGGGUUCAUGAAUCUCACGCAAGGUGAUAAAUCUGUGGCUAAGUAUGAGGCCGAGUUUCUAAGGUUAAGCCGCUACGCUUGAGGCAUGGUGGUGACUAAAUAUGAGAAAUUCAUCUAUUUUAAGGAUAGCUUGAGGUAUAAUCUGAGGGUAUUGAUUGCUCCACAAAGGGAACGACAGUUCGCAGUUCUUGUGGAUAAGGUGAAGAUCGCCGAGGAGAUUAAGUGCGUGGAGCGCUAAAAUAGGGAUCGUGAGUGAGGCAAGAAUAAGAGGGAUUCAGAGCCCUCUAGUUCUGUUUAGAGGGCUAUUAGAGUAGGGGUUCCUAUUACUUCUAAUAGGAUUCAGCCACGUGAUGAUUGUGGUAGGCACCAUCCGGGUGAGUGUUAGAGGAGGUUAGGGGCUUGUUUGAGGUGUUGGUCUUUGGAGCACCACAUUAGAGAAUGUUCACUCCAUGCGGAUUAGAUGCAAGCUGUAGGAUCAAGUUUUAUACAACCUUAGAGGGCAGUUCAGCAGCCAUCUAAGGGUCGUGGUCCUACUAGGGGUGGUAAUGGUAUGGGUCGAGGACAUAGAAUAUCGGGAAAAGGUGUUAGUUAGAUUGAGGCAAGGCAGCCUGCACUGGUUUAUGCUACUCGAUGCCGAGAGGAUAGAGACGCUCCUGAUGUUAUCACAGGUACUUCUUUAUUUUUGGUGUUCCAUAUACUGCUCUGAUAGACAUAGGUUCUACUCAUUCCUAUGUAGGUAGUACUAUUUCUAAAAAUUUAGGGAUUUUUGGUGAGGGUACUUCUAGUGAAAUUAUUGUACUGAGUUCGUUGGGGCAGUCUGUUCAAGUAAGUAGGCUUUAUAGGAAUGUAACUUUGGAAGUACAAGGGAUUGUGUUUUCGGCAGAUCUGAUGGAGUUACUGUUUAGGGAGUUUGACUUAAUUUUGGAUAUAGAUUGGUUGGUUGAGCUUCGAGUUAGCUUGGAUUGCACGACUAAGAGGGUCAGUCUAAGGGCUGUGGAUGAAAGAGAGAUAGUAGUGAUCGGUGAGCAUCGAGAUUAUCUACUUAAUGUGAUCUCUGCUAUUGUGGCUGAAAAAUUGGUUCAGAAAGGGUGUGAGGCGUAUUUAGCUUACGUCAGUGUUCCAGUUUUUGGGGACUCUUCUGUCCGGGAUAUCAGAACAAUAAGGUAAUUUUUGGAUGUAUUUCUUGAGGAAUUAUCGGGUUUACCUCCGAAUUGAGAAGUUGAGUUCGAUAUUGAGCUUCUACCAGGUAUAGCUUCAGUGUCCAUCGCUCCCUAUCGAAUGGCAUCGAAGGAGCUUACAGAGCUUAAGGCUCAACUUCAAGAGCUUUUGCAUUGUGGUUUCAUCUAUCCUAGUGUGUCUCUAUGGGGGGCACCGAUUCUGUUUGUAAAGAAAAAGGAUGGUACCACAAGGAUGUGUAUUGACUACCUGCAGUUGAAUAAACUAACAGUAAAGAAUAAGUAUCCACUUUCGAGGAUUUAGGACUUGUUUGAUCAGUUCCGAGGGGCUGCAGUGUUUUCAAAAAUAGACCUUCGUUCUGGGUAUCAUCAGCUUAACAUUAGAUUUUCAAAUUUAAAAAUUAUUUUUUUUACAGCUGCAUAAUUAAUAAGAUAUCAAUUUUGAGUGCUGUAGAAGUGUUAUAACCUUCUCAACGCAUAACCAACUCUUGAAUUCACUUUUUUCUCUAAAAUUCUACAUAGAACACAAAUUUAUUUUUUAAAAGAAUUUUAAAUCUCACAAUUUUUUUAGGUGAUUCACCAAAGAAUAAAAAGAUAGGAGGUGAUUCCUCCUUUUUCAUAAAACCUUGUGCUUUUGCAAACACCAAAUUAUUGCUAAGCUUUACAUUAAUAGACAUGAUUUAUUUGUUCGUUAUUACUAUUUCUAUGAUUAUAAUACUAAACUUAUCGGACUACAAUCAUAACCAUGUUUAUUAUAAUUCAAUAAAAAGAAAUAAGUGUUGGGUGUAAUGGCAAGGUUCAUUACACUCUUAAUAAGAGAUCAGGGUUUUGGACAAAGGAAGAAUAUGAUUCGAAUUUUGGAGAUGCCAUUCUUAAAAUGAGCAACCACGAAGCCCGAUUAUGAACCAUAAAAUGAACAAGAAAAGUACAAAAAAUACGUCUAUUAUCAAAUUAGUAAUCCAUCCCAAGGCUUAAAUUAACAAAAUUCACCAUGCAACCGUGUAGACUAUUUUACGUAUAUACUAUAUUCAUUCUUCAUGCAAAAUGUUUAUUAUAUUUAAAAAUUAAAAUAUAUGGUUGAUUGAGUUUUAGUUGAGUUAAUAUUGAUAUUGUUGUUAGUGCAGAAGAAUGUGAGUUCAAUCAUGUUUAAACGCGUUUUUCUUUCAAUUUAGGAGUUGGAAAGGGUUCUCAAUAGUUAAAUUAUAUAAGUUUUUUUGUCUAUUUAAAAUUGAUUUAUAAACAAUAUAAAUAAAAAGAUUUAAAAUAUAUAUAUUCAUAUUGAUGGGCUUUUUCAUUAUUAGACUUUUUUCCUUACAGGUAAAAGUAUAUAUGGACAUGAUGAUGUAAAAUUAUGACCUGAAUAAUUUUAAACCUUUCAUCACUGCAAAAAUGAAAAUAAUAGAAAUGAAAGACUAGCCAUUGUAUGAAAUUUAUAAUUGAACUGCCAACAAAAUUGGGAGAAAUUUUUAAAUUUUAUGAAAUUUUAAAAUUAAACUAUCAAUAAUAGAAAAUUGCCUGAGUGACUUGGGAUUAGAGGUUGAACAUUUCUGGACCACAAUACAUUUAAGAUGGGUCUUUAAAGUUAUACUUUAGUUAUUGAGAACAUUUUCCACAAAUUGUCAUUAUUGUUUACUGCAGCAAAACAGGCUUUUAGCAUCGUUUUUUUAGGCCUAUAGCGGCGUUUUCACAAGAGUCGCAAAAAAUGCCACUAUAAAAAACGCUGUUAAAUUUUGCGGCGUUUUAGAACAUGACCUUUAGCGGCACUUUACCCACAAAUGCCACUGAAGAACAUGAUCUUUAGCGGCGCUUUCCCAUAAACACCACUAAAGAACUUGAUCUUUAGCGACACUUUUAUCACAAACGCCGCUAAAGAACAUGACCUUUAGCGGCGCUUUUAUCACAAACGCCGCUGAAGAGCAUGGCCUUUUGUGGUGCUUUUAUCACAAACGCCGUUAAAAGUACCAUUCUUUAGCGGCGUUUAUGAAAAAACACCACUAACUUUGGCAGAUUUGUAACAUCCAAUUUUCAUCCAUAUACAACCCUUCCUGUAGCAUGAAAUCCAACCAAAAACAACAAAUCUAAAUGAUACUUCAAAUUCUACAAAAGAUAUAUGAUAUAAAUUGAUAACUGAAGUAUAAUUCAAAAUAUUCUUACAAUAAUGUUAAAAGUUACAACGUUAAAAAUAUUCUUACGAUAAGAAAGCAAUGUCUAAGAUGGCGGAUUUUGCGACUGCUGAAACAUCUUCAUCAUAUUCUGAAGCUGUAGCUGGAGUGCGUAGUACUUUUUGACUGAAUAAACACAAAUCUAUUUUUCGACAGCUAUAUCAAAUUAGCUAUAAACCUUCAACAGGACCAGUACUUGCAAAAACCUCUUGGAGUAGUGGUUCAGCCCACCAACCUGCAGUUUCUCAAAAAUUAAAAUAAAAAAUUAAAAGUUAAAGAAAAAAUAGAAAAAAGAAGAGAUAAAUAAAACUAUAUAAGUAACUUUCUAAGUUGUUAAAAAGAUGCAAGAACAUGCAAGCAUCUAUCAGAUUCCAAAAACCAUUUAACUAGCAAUUAAAAGAGCCAUUAGCUUAGAAUUUUGCACAGAGGGUCAUAGCCACAUAUCCAAUCAGCAACUCAUGAAGGAAAGUGUCUCUAAUUCAUGCAGUUAUAAGCACAAAAGUGACUAGGGUAUGUGCUUAAGCAAGAAGGGGAAAUAAGAGACUCACAAUAUACAAAUAAAACAAAAUGGAAAAAAGGGGAAAAAGAAGUAAAAAAAACCUAGGCAAACACUCACACACUGCGGCAAGUACUUGGAUCAAAACCAUGAGGCAAAUUUCCACUUGGUAUUGGCUCUGUUUGUAGAAUAGAAAAGUGAAAAAUAAAAAAGAGGAGAAAAGAAGAAACGAUGUACAAAAAAUUCAAAUCCCACUCAACUCAAUUCUAAAGCCUCCAUAUCCAAGAAAAAGGAUGAGUUUUUGAAGAAAUCCAAUAGUCAACCUAAAUGAACAAACAAGAUGCUAACUACGACCAUGACAAAUGUAAGCAUCACUUCUCCUACUUUGGAAACACUUUCCACUUGAAAAGACAACAGACUUCCUUGCUUUUACUAUUAUCACAUUUUCCCCCUUCAUUUUUUUAGUGCCGACCAGAAAAAAAAUAUUUUAGCCUCAUCUAAAUAAGACAAAUUUCAGCAGAACAAUAGACAGUAGAUCAGACCCAAUUCAAGGGUAAUGUAGUCCAAAGUUCCUUGAACUCCCUCCUUCAAAGUGAAAAACAAAUCUAUAUCUUUCUGCAUGAUUCAAACAAAAAUGACUGUUGGACAUGUAACUCAGAAAGAAUGCAAAUACAUUGAAAGCACCACAGACUUUAUAAAUUAGCUUCAUGCUGCUAAAUUUCAACACUAUAAACCUAACAAAGCCCAGAAUGAAAUGCGGGAAUCAUGUCUUAAACUCUAAUACUCAAACAAGAGACAGAUAAAUUGCACGUUUUUUUAUAUAAUAUUUACAAACUAGAGAUAAAGAUAUAGAAAAAUAUAAACAUGGACAUGGACAAAAAGACUAAUUGACUGUGCAUGUGUGCCAAAGAGAUGGCAACUAAACAUUAUCCAAACACAAUCAUUUCUCAACAUUUGCAAAACAAAAUGAAGAUUAAGAUUAGCGGUAAACUAAAUAAAACCAAAGAAAUGAGAACCACAAGUAAAUGAGAAAGAAAACAAAAUAGAGAACCUAAUAGCUUUCCCAUUGAACUUCGUAUAAAAGAAAUAACAACAUUCGAACUUCAAGCAAAUAAAAAUGUAAAAUAUUUAGAAUCAAAACAAUCUUUUAUCAAAAUUCAAACCAAAAACAAUGAGCUUCACUCUAUACAAGAAGCAUGUUAACCUCAUAGGCUUUCUGAUUUCUGGAAACCAAAUCCAGAAACGUCUCCCACCAAAAAUCAAGAAAAUAAAUUUUGUUUUUAAAAAUUACAUUCAAAUCGUGAAAUAGGAGCAAGGUCCUUCGAAUUCAAGCAAAGUUGAUGGUAAAAGCUUAGCUUUCAAAGGUCAAACAUCACAGCAUUAAAUAUAAAACUAACCCAAUCUCCACCAAUUCAAAAACAAGAAACCAAACACGAACCAGAAGAUCCAAACACGAUUUCGAAAAAAAGAAAAAUAGAUAUUCCUGAAAACUGGAUCAAAAACUAGCAUAUACUUAAUAAAAAGAGAAAUUGACGGAAAAUCAUAGGAGAUCUGCAUGCAAAUAGAGGCACACUUUUGCUUGAUUAUUCGCUUAAAAAAGUAACAAUGGAAAAUAAGAUGCAAGUUCUAGGUAAAACCAUCAUGUCUUCUUACUCACCACAAACAAAGGCCCUCUAGGACCUUCAUGAAUUUUUGUCUCAUAAGUGCUUCUAUUGUGAGCCCGAACAGCUUGAUAGCCCACAAGAUAAGGAUAUCGAUCUUCAUCCUACAGAUUAACAAGGUUAAAUCCACUUAAAUGAAACACCAUUAGUCCAUAACAAUUUACUUCAAUUUUCUGCUGUUAGUUCAAAUAUGUAUUUUUUUUAAUUUGACAAAACUUGUUAGGAUCGAAUAUUCGGAAUUCCUAAAUUUCAAUUCAAAUUUACACCAUACUUGCAGAAAAAUAUACUACUAUUAGAGACACCGGCAAUCAACCAGAGUUCUUUAGUUUUCAAUCAAGUUAUUCGGCAGGAAUCUAUAUUGAUUACACAAAAAAAAAAUCAUACACCGUGAGAAUGUCGAGUAAAUUGCAAAUAGAAAAGCAAACGAACCCUAGAGGAGCUCCAAUACUUCUUCUCCCAAGGGCCUUUGUAUAGAGAUCCAAUGGAAAUGAUCUCUAGAUCGUCUAAUUUCGCUGUUUGUUCUGCUUCUUUAGUUUUUGCCAUUCAAAGAAAUGAGAAGAAAGCAAGAUUUCCAAACAACUAACAAUAAGCGAGUAGACAGAAUUUUCAAGAUAGAUGAAGAGAUGGCAUUUUAAAAUAGCGGGAACUAAAAUCUUGAAAUGCGUCAUUUCCCUCAAAAUUCUAAAUAAAAACUUUAUUUAAUUAGGAAAAAUGUGAAUCGAUUUUGGGAAAAAUAAGAGGAAAAAAAAAGAAGAUAUUUCAUUUGAAAUUUUGGGAUAAAAAAUAUAAUUACAAAACGACGCUGUUUUGCAAAAUAUAUAUUCGUGGCAUUUGGACCAAAAACGCUACUAUUGUUCAACUUUUUUGCGACGAUUGCAACAAAAACGCCGCUAUUGCUUACCUUUUGUGGCAUUUUUUUUAUAAACGCAGCUAACGCUCGACUUUUUUACAAUUUUUAUAUUGAAUUAUUGUAUCUUUCAUAUAAAUUUUAAAUAAAUAAUUUUUUAAAUUUUACGUAAUAUUUAAAAGAAUUAGAUAAAAUUAUAAUUUUUUAUUUUUUGUAUUUCAUUUUUAUUUUUGUAUUUCAUUUUUAUUUGUUAUAAUUUGGUCCUAUCCAAAAUAGAUAGUUACCUAUCCAUAUCAAUCUGUUACUUUUUUUAUUUAUUUAUCAAUGUUUUUUUAAAUCUAAUAUUUAAAUAUAUCAAAUGGUUUAGAUUAAAUAUUUUUAAAUAUAAAAGCAUUAAUUGAUUGUAUAAAAUUUCAUCAUUUAACAAAUCUCAAGUAAACCUUAAAUCCUAAACCAUUUAAUAUUUAUAAAGUUUAUCUAUUAUCUCUUAUAUAAUUUAAACUAUAAUCAUAAUUUUAAUAUAUUAAAAUUAAUAUUAUCUCUUUUACAAUUAUAUAAGAAAUGAUUUAAUAUAUAAAUUAAAAAACACUAAUUAAUCUAAACUCUAAACCCCUAUCCCCUAUCCCCUAAACCUUAAAUCAUAAAACAUAACCCUUAACCCUUAACCCUUAACCCUUAAUCCUUAAUCCUUAACCCCUAAACCUUAAACCCCAACCCUUAAACCAAAAAUCAUAAACCAUAAACCAUAAUCCCUAAACCCAUAAUCCAUAAACCUUAAAAUAGUAACUCCUAAGCCAUAAACCAUAAACCAUAACCCUAAACCCUAAACUAUAAUGAUAAUUAAUUCAAUAUUUUAAAAUUAAUACUAUCUCUUUUACAAUUAUAUAAGAAAUUAUUUAAUAUAUAAAUUAAAAAACAAUAAGUCAUGAACCCAAAAAACUUUAAAAUUAUUUUAAAUAAUAGUAUUUUAAUUUUUUUCAUUUUUAACAAAUAUUUUCUAUGUUUUUACUUCCAAAAAUUGUCUACAUGUCAUUAUUUUUUUUUGAAGAAUUUAAAUAUUCAAUUAAAAAUAAAUUUUAUUUUAAUUAUAUAAAUAAACCAGUUAAAUAAUAAAUAGACAAAUAAAAUAUUUUUUGCGGCAUUUUUGAUAAAGUGCCGCUAAAGCUCGAUCUAUAGCAGCGUUUUACAAAAAAGCGUCGCUAAUGCCACUAAAGCUCAUUACUGAAUUUUUUGCGGCAUUUUUCAAAAAGCGCUGCUAAUGCUCGACCUAUAGUGGCGUUUUUCAAGAAGCGCCGCUAAUGCCACUAAAGCUCAACAUAAAGGUACUUGAGUCUAGUUUCAAAGACAUCAAGCGGAUAUUAAUUCGGAAUUCUGUAGCUCAAGAUAUAAAUUUAUGUUAAUCUUGUUAUCUUUCUUAUUUUAGAAUUGAUUACAUGAAAGUUAAUUGCUAAUACUAUUAGUUAAUUAUUAGUUUUCUUCAAAUCAAAUUAAAACCCGAAAGGUCCCUCUUUUUUUAUAUUAGUUUUAGUUUUCCAUUAAAUUUGUUUCUUUGUAAUAAAAUUAAAUUAUAGAAAUAACAUUAAAAUUUUAAAUAAAAAUAGUUCACAAUAAUUUAUUAUUUAAAAAACUCCCUGAAAUUUAAAAUUAUUGUUAUAAGUAUACCAUUAAAUUAUACAGAAUUUAAUUUUUCUUUCAAAUACUACAGUUAAUAAGGAAAGAGAAUAUAGUUCAUAUCAAUAAAACUUUAAAAAAGAAAUAUUGUUUAAUUAGUUAAUUUAAAAAUCAAUAGCGUCUAAAAACGGUCAGAAUGAAAUAUUAGAUUUUGUAAGAUUUCAUUAUUCUAAAAAAUAAAAUAUGACCAUGCUUAAAAAUUUUAUUAAAAAAGUUUUAAAUUUUAUAUAAAAAUAAAAAAAUAGUACUAAAAAUUUUUAUAAGCAAAUUUAAAUAUUAAUUAGUAAAUUUUUUUUGUAAUAUUUAUAUGUAUUUUCAUUCUUAUAAAUACUAUUAAAACUUUUUAAAAAAAUUUGAAUGCUAUUUAAAAACAUUAUUAAAAAUAAAAUAUUAUAUGAAAGUUAAAAUGAUCUAAAAACAUAUUUUAAAAAUUUAAAUACUUUAUAAAAUAUUUAAAACUGUUUAAAAAUUUCUAAACCCUAAAAAAAUAAUAAAAUAUAAUUCUUUCUAAGAAAUCAACAAAAAUAUAUUUAUAAUUGAACUCUCAACAAAAUUGUGAGAAAUAUUUAAAUUUUAUGAAAUUUUAUACUUAAACUGUCAAUAAUAGAAAAUUGCCUGAGUGACAUGGGAUAAGAGGUUCAACAUUUCUGGAUCACAUUGCAUUUAAGGCGGGUCUUUAGGGUUAUACUUUAGUUUUUUAGAACAUUUUCCACAAUUUGCCAUCAUUACUUGUGAGUGAUUUGUGGGGUAAGAGGUUGAACACUUCUGGAUCACAUUGCAUUUAAGACUGGUAUCAUUCAUAAAUUAUAUAUCUACAACAAGAAUGGUAGCCUCUUAUAUUAUAUUCAUGUAUCUAUUUUGCAUCUUUCAUUAUAAUAUGAUUUAGUAAUUUUAAUAUUUUUAUAGAAUAAUAUGAUUUAAAUUUUUUUGUAUUUUUCGUAAAAAUUAUAAUAAACUUACAAAAUGAUUUAAUGAUAUUUAAUUAUUAACGGAAAAAUUAUAUCAUAUAUAUUCUGUAUAUAUUAAGAUUCUGAAUUAUUAAUUAUAUAUCUACAUAUUAUAAUAAAUUCAUCUUUCAAAAUUUUCCUAAACUAUAUUCACAAUAUUAUAAAUAUAUUAUAUCAAAAAUAUUCUUUCAAAUGUUUUUUAAUGUUUAAUAAUAAAUUAAUUUAUAAAAUAUUCUUUCAAUAAAUUAACGUGAUGAGAUCGUUAAUUAGGUGCUUGGAUUUGGUGAUGGGGACGAAGAGAAAAGGGAUGGAAGUGAAGACAAAUGUUGGGAAAUUGAAAGGGUUAGCGAGGGAGGCCAGCGUGAAAGGUGGUUCUACGGAUAUGAACCUUCAAGCUUUUGUGGAUGAUGUUACUAAAGGUUAUUGCAAGUAAAUUUAAAAAUGUUUUUUAAUUAUUUUUUGUUAAAAAAUAUUUUUUUUUCUAUGUGGCUUUCCACAUUAGCAUGCUACCAUGUGGUAACUUCUAGUGAUUUCCGUCUGUAAUAUUAGACAGGUUAACAGUUAAACCAUUCAACUGACAAAUUUCGUUAAAGGAAGAGGUCAAUUAAUUUUUUUUGGACUCAUUGAGUACUCAAUUGGUGCAUUUUUUUAUAAAGACUAAAUUAAUUUUUUUAAUUUGUUAUUGCUGAGGGCUACAGUAAUAAAAAGUUUUGAGGUAAAAUUGGAAUAACGUCCCAAAAAUCUAAUACUUAAUUUUUAAAAUUUUAUCAUUAAUAAAUAUUUGUCUUAGUGAUUAAGUAUUUGAGUCGUGUUUAUAAGAUAUUGUAUUCAAGUUCCUACGUGAAUGGAUUGUUAUUAUUAUUAUUUUUUAAUUUUUGAGUUUGAGUCCAUUUCGAACUCUGGAAAAAGGUGGUUACUUAUCUGAGAUGGGGUUAGUGCUUAGUAGAUUUGGAUUUGGUUUAUUUUAAAAUUUAUUAAUUAAUUUGUUAAAAAAUUAAAUUAGUUUUUUCCUAAUUUUUGGCUCACCGUUCUUUCUCUUGUUUUUCUUUAUGCUUUCUUUUUCUUUUCUUUUUCUGUUACCUUUCAAAUCACGUCGAUUUGUUCCUAUUUCGCUUUUGAGUUUUUCUUUUCUUUCCUUUACGCUCCUCUACGAUCGUGUCUUAAUUCCUUCAUUAUUUUCUCUUUGUUGGCGUUGCUCGUUCGUAAGUGGGUUAGUUUCCGUUUUGAUGUAUUUUUACGUGGUUAGUAAAAGAAAUGUGUUAAUUUUUGGAUUAUGGAGUUGAUCGUUUUUAAUCAAUUCUCCAGUAAGUUGACUCGUUCGCUGUUAUUAUGUCCUAGGGUAAAGGAUUAACUCUGAUUUGGGCCCGUGUGGUUGUGUAGAUUUUUCAUGUGAAUUCGUUUGGUAUUUUUAGGAUAAAUCAUUCUUUAAGUCGUAUUGCUACCAUCGCUAAUGUGAUGUUUUAAUUUAUGCAUUUAGGAUUUGAUAGUCUUAUGGGUGUUUUCGUAUAAAAAUCAAACCAAGUGUGUAACGAAAAACCCGACAACAACGAGCGACGAAAGUCAAAAAAUUGCACUGUCGACACCACACGGCCGUGUGUCGGGCCGUGUGACAAGCCGUGUUUCAGACCGUGUGCGACAUAUUGUUUGGGCUAGUUGAGCCGUGUGGAACACACAGGUGUGUGUGAGGAUGUGUGCCACGCCAUGUGAGCCACACGGGCUGGCCAUUUAGGCCGUUUGAGACCAAAAUACUAAAUUUUUCCCUAGGGUUAUACACAUCGUUAUGAUCGAUCGUAGGCCUUUCGUGGGGUCGAUAUAUAAUCAAAUAGACUGUAAAGUAUGAAAUCCGGUCAACUAAUAGUAUAAAUUCUGAUAUCUGUUCAUAUAUUUGAGAUGUUAUUUGUUCAAUAAACCUUGUAAUAGGCUAUGAGAAACUUGAGAAAUAUUAUGUAUGCUUUGUAUCUGUUAUGUCAUACAUGUAUAACUGUAUUAUGUCUGAUUUUGUUCUAUUCUUUUCUGUAUUUGCAUUUGGGGUGGGUUAUAUUAUGUGGAGGAAGUGUUUCUUUGAAUGGCGAUAAUUCGCCUAUUACACUGGCAGCUCAGCUACAAAUAUUCUGAAAAGUGUUAUAUCGACACUAAAUGGUGUGUAAGGUUGGAUGAGUGUUUCAUACCCCAUAUGGUGUGUUGAGCUGGUCGGAGAUAGUGUGUAGCAGAUGGGGGUAGGAAUAUAUGUUUGUAUCUGUACUGCUCUGAUAUGAAUAUGUUCUGCUAAAUCUAUCUGAUAUAAAUUAACUGUUUAAAGUUAUUUGUUAUACAUUGAGUUUUGUAAACUCACUUUCUGUUUGUUUGAUAUUUUUAGGUAACCCUCAGACUUUGGCAAAUUGGUGCGAAGGAGCUCGGUUAAAUUGAUUUAGUUUCAUCAUCUAUUAUAAUCAAAUUUUGUGUUAUUGUGUUUCAUUAUUUUUGAACUUUUGGGACUUUUUGGACUGUUUUGGUUUUUGAGAUUUUAUUUUCAAUUUUUGCAUGAUAUUAUUAAAAAUGUUUUAUCGGAAAUGUCUGUUUUCUUGAAAAACAACUGAUUUCAAAAAAAUAAACUUAGUUUUCCAAACAUAAUGAUUUGAGAAUUUCCGCUGCUAAGUAUUCAUUUUAGAAAAUGUAAGCAAACAUCGUUUUCAACUACAAAGUUAAGUUAGAUGUAUUUUCUCUUAAAUCGAGGUUUAAGUAAUAAAAGAUUAUGUCAUUUUUCCAAAUUUUACGAAAAAUUGGAUUUACAAUUGUUUUAUGUAACAUCUCUAGAUUUGGCCAUAACGUCUAAGUCGGAUUUCGGGCGUUACAUUUUGUGAUAUCAGAGUCAGGUUGCAAAACUCGGGCUGUGAAAUUUUCGGUUCAAAAUUUUGUGAAAACUAUUUUUCGAGUAAAGUUCAUUUCUGCAUUAAUUUGAAAAAUUAAUUAUAUGAAGUAUCGAGUCUCUAACGUUGAUCCUGUAAGUACUUUUGACUUAGAUAAACUUUAGUUUAGAAAACUCUGAAAUGAUUAGAACUAUACUUGGAUAGUUAGAGACUGAAACAUCUUUAUAAAUUCUUUUGAUAACUUUUUGAGAACAAAAUAUCUGCUAAUAAAUACUAAAAUUGAUACAUAAAAUUCGUAAUGUAAGUAAUAUAUACGAUGAGUACUUGUGGAACAUGUGGAUGCGUUACCCGUAGGCGUGGCGGGCGCCGAAGAGGGGCUCGAGCUGAGUCAUCCUCGAUGGGUACCUGAUAGGCUAUUGCUGGAGAGAGCAAUAGUCUUGAGAGAAGAAAUGUUGAAGAUCGAAGUCAAAAUCUGACCUAUAAAGCCUUUAAUUGCUUGAAUGAUAAGCAUUUCUAAACUAAAAAGAUUACCGAUUUUUUCAGGAAUUUGACCUGCAGACAUAGUUGAAACAUCAAGGUGUUAAAUUACCUAUUUUGUUAGUGUAAAUCAAAGAGGCGUUUUAUUUUUUUCGUUUUGAAAUAAUAUGGAUAUGUUAGAUUCUAAUCAUAUUUAAGUAUAUAUUAGUUCUUGAAAGAAAGAGUUCUUAUUUUUGGUAUUUAUAUUGCAAAUAUAUUUUUUUAAAUUUAAAAAAGGGGGGGGGCAAAUGUGUUUAAAACUAAAGACAUCAAGGAAAAGGCAUACCUUCUAGGUUAUUUAACCCCAAGUAUAAUUGUUUAAGUUGUGUCAAAUUCCCAAUGCUUUUUGGAAUGAUCCCACUAAAUUGAUUAAUAGACAAUUCCAAAAUUUGAAGGUUGCAGCAUUUGUCUAUACUUGAUGGAAUAGAACUUGAUAAUUCAUUUCUACUCAAGUAAAGCUCUUUAAGCUUGGGAAGAUGGACACACUAAAUUGAUUAAUAGACAACUCCAAAAUUUAAAAGAUAUUCUGGCUUCGCCCUUAAUAAAAUUUUUGGAAAAAGAUUAAAAAAAAGUUAUACGGUAAAUGAAAAAAAGAAGAAAAUAACUUGAUGUCCAAAAGCUACCAUAAACAGUAAUUCGUGGGAAGGCUUGUUGCUCAUUUUAUUGGUUUCCAUUUUGAUUUUGCAAAAGAAGUUUGAAUUUUGAAGAGAGCAUACUACGUGAGAGCAAAAGAAAAAAUAUAGUUUAUUAAUUUUUACGAAUACCGACAUAUUAUAUAUACGAUUAAAAUUCAGAAUAGAUUAAAAAUGUUCAAUUAAAGAUAAAAUUAAAUGUGAAUUAAUAACCACAAGUCUACUCAUUACUCAUUACUCACCGUCUCUGUUAAAAAUGUUGGAUGUUGUUCAGCAACCUUUGUUUGAUUUUCUUCAGCUCAACCACAACAUCUUUCAUAUCUUUUCUUUCUUCUGGUAACUCAGCUGAACAAUUCAAAGCCAACUCCAUGAUAGAUGAAAUGCAAUUUGCUUUAACAACAAAGUACUCAUCGUCUCUUCUUAGUAAAUCAACAUCUGCAAUUUCUAUCGCUCCUUUAGGCAAUGAACUUUCCAUCCAAUGCCUUAUAGUCUCUUCUUCAACAAAAACAUUAUCAGUUGGCUUUUUCUUUGUAAAAGUUUCUAUAAGGACGAUCCCAAAACUAUAGACGUCAGAUUUUAUAGAAACAAUUCCUGCCGAUCCAAAUUCUGCAUUUCAAGUAUAAUUAGAACAUCAUUCAUCCUCAAUUAUUUCUAAAAUGCUUAUUCAAAUAUAUAUCCUCAUACACAUGAAACAAAAAUAUAAAAUGCAAAUUAGGAAAAUAAUCAUACAAAAAUAAAAAUGAAUUCACCUGGUGCCAUAUACCCGAUAGUUGCAAGAGUCAUGGUUUGCUUCAUUACUUCACCUUCCCCCAACAAUUUGACAAGGCCAAAAUCUCCAACAUGUGCAACCAUGUCUUCAUCUAGUAAAAUAUUGCUUGGUUUUAUGUCACAAUGAAUUGUAGGUGUUGGAUGUCCAUUGUGGAGGUGUUCUAUAGCUACCGCAACAUCUAUCAUUAUGUCGACCCUUUGUAUGAUAUCAAGGAAACAAUUUUCAGAAUGUAACCAUUUCUCAAGGUUUCCAUUAGACAUGUAAUCAAGCACCAAGGCUUUGAAGCCAACACUUGAGCAGCAAGUAACGACCUUCACAAUAUUACGAUGAACUACAUUACGCAUAGCAUCACAUUCAAUGUCAAAACUCCUAAAUGCUCCCUCUGUUUGCAAAUUGAAAACUUUUAUUGCAACUUCCAUUCCAUCCGAAAGCCUCCCUUUAUAUACAUAUCCAAAACUCCCUGAACAAAGCAUAUUGCUUUCCUUAAAUCCAUUAGUUGCUCGUGAAAGUUCAGCAUGUGAAAUUCUUCUCGGUGUUUUCAAAGACAACAAAUCAUCUUUAAUUGGUAGAGUUGUACUCCUUCUUUGGCAUCUUCUAUACAUAAUAGUUAAGACUAUUAGUACUACGACAACACCAAUUGUUGGUAAACCAUACCUAAAAGCAUGCAAUAUAAUCAUUUGGGAGUUUUUGUGGAUGUCGUUUUUGCAAGGUGGAACUAGAAAUCUAUGUGGACCACAAAGUGCAUAAUUCUUCAUGAAUGAUGUGCUAGAAAAGUUUGAAAAACAUCCUUUGCUGGGAAUUUCCCCUUCAAGUCUAUUGAAAGACACAUUAAAAUACUUUAGAUAUAAAAGCUUUUCCAAAGAUUUGGGAAUGACUCCAGAGAGAUUGUUAUUGCAUAAAUCCAAGAAUUCCAAACUAAUCAACCCAUCAAAUGAUUCAGGGAUAUGACCAUGUAGUAUAUUAUUUGAUAAAUCUAAUGAAACCAAAGUUUGAAGACCCCCAAAUGUGGAUAAGAUAUCACCCGUGAGAAGAUUCCUAGAUAAAUUUAGUUUCAGUAGACUCCUCAAAUUUCCAACAUCAAUAGCGUGUGAAUUGUGAAGAUGGUUUGAUGAUAAAUCUAUUUCUAAGAUAUCUUUAAGAUUCCACAAAGUUGAGGGAAUUGCGGAACUCAAUUUGUUGGAAUCUAAGCAAAGAUAUCCCAAAGAAGUAAUAUUACCUAAACAAGAGGGUAUGGAUCCAUGCAGCUUAUUCAACCCUAAACACAAGUUGUAUAGUCUCUCCAAACCACAGAGGCUUUCUGAGAUGGGCCCUCCUAAUUUAUUAGAGGAAAGAUCUAGACCUUGGAGAUUUCGCAGUCCUCCUAUUGAUGUUGGAAUGAAUCCACUUAAUUUAUUAGAGCCAAGUUCUAAACCGAACAUAUUGGUUAAGUUACCUAUUUCCAUAGGAAUAAUGCCUUGAAGCUCACACUCUUCGGCAUAAAAGUAUUGAAGGGAUUUUGAAAGGUUCCCAAUAUAAGUAGGAAGAACGCCACUCAAUGGAUUUCCUGAAACUUCUAUGUCUUUCAAAUUCUUACAAUUCGUCAAAGAAGAAAGAAAGCUCCACUCAUGAUCAGUAGCAGAUCCUGUGAUCAAAUUAUUGUCAAAGAUUUUGAGCACUUCAAGGUGUUUUAAGCUGCAAAGCAUUCUAGGGAUUGGGCCAGAGAAUAAGUUUUGUGACAAUUCUAGUUCCUUAAGCAUGGAAGCAUUGGAGAUAGAGUUGGGAAUGUUUCCGCUAAGUUUAUUUCUCCACAAUAAAAGAAUCUCAAGCUUUGGAGCAUUGGUGAUGGGUGGUAAAUUACCUGUAAAAUAGCAUCUUUUAGUAUACAUAUUCAUUGAAUACCAAAUUUACAAAAUAUAUAAUACAUUAAAAUAAAAACUGUACAACUUUAAAUCAAUUAAGAAUAGAAUUUUGGCAUGGAAAAAUGUGAUGAAAUCACUUAGAAAGUUGAGACAUAAUAAGAAGUUUUAAGUAGUAAUUAUUCCUUGUGAUUUGUAUAGAAAAAACAUAUAAUACACUAACAAUUUUUUAAAAAUAAAAAUAAAAGUUUGGCAUGAGAAUGUGGCAUCUAAUCCAUCUUAAAAAUGAGUCUGACACUGAAUAAUAAUUAGUUAUGAUUUGGGAAAAAAAUGUUAAAGCCAUUGUUUUUAAUGUAAACUGGUAUGAUUUUUAUCUAUUGGGUAUAUUAUUUAUUUUUAUUAAAUUAUAGUGUAAAAUUUAAAGAUUAUUAUUUGCUCAAAAUUUUUGUAUUUUUCGUAUAUUUGAAAUUUAAUCUUUAUAUUUUUUAUUUUCUGUGAUUUAGUCUCUCUACUUUUUGAAUUGUAAAUUUUAGGUUUAUUUAUUAAUGCUGUUAAAAAGUUUUUGUGUUAGUAUGGCAUUUUGAAAAAUAAAAUAAACUUGAUAUCUAUGUUUUUAAUUAUUCCAAAUAUUGUUUUACUAUUUCAAGAUAAAUUAUUUGUGUCUAGACCAAUAUCUUAAGAACUAUUAUUGCAUGUUUAAUUAUUCUAAAGAAUUGUCGAUUGAGUCUUAGCUUGAUUGGCAUGUGCAUUGUUGCCAAUGUAGGAGAAUGUGGGUUCAAGUAUGCUGAAGUGUAUUAUCCUUCUAUUUAUGAAUCAAGGAGUUGGCAAAGUAUUAUAUUUUGAUAUAUUUUAGAAUAUUAAAAAAUUAUUAAAAUAUUUUUUUAUAAAAAUUGGUUGUACCACAAUAUACAUCAAAUUUUUAAUUUUUUUAAAAAUAUUAGCGAAUUUAUAUUUUAUUUCAAGUUACACAAUUUUUACUAGUUUUUAACUUUUUUUUAAAAAUUUUUAUCGUCUUUCAUAAUUUCUAAUAAAUUUUUAUAUAUUUUUGACAAUAUUUAACAAUUUCUAACAAUUUUUAAUAAUUUUAUUAUUAAUUACAAAUUUAAAAAUUAACACAUUUUUAUUUUUUAAAACAAUUUUAUAUUUAUAAUGUAGUUGUUUUUUUUAUAAUUUUAUUUGAAAAUUUAAAGCUUUUUUGGUUUUUUUAAGAUAAUGAUGCCAUCAUGAUGUCAUCAUAUGCCACAUGGCAAUUUAUGAUUAGUUGGAUAUCUCAAUCUAUUUUUUUAACGUCCAAUUGACUAAACCAAGAACACCUGAUAAUGUUAGAGACUACACUAGAAAUGCUUGAUAAUAUUAGGUACUAAAGUGGGCAAAAACUCAUUAAGGACCAAAGUAAAAAAAAAAAAAGAGCAAUAUGCUGUAGGGAAUAAAUGCAUGAAUUUUGAGAAACUUUUGAACUAAUAAUUACAUAGUAAUUAUUAGUGAAUUUGUUAUUUUAAAUAUUUUUAUUACUUUUAGGAUUUAUCAUAUGUAUGGAUAAGAAUUUUGGUUUUACUAAAAUAUUUGGUUAAAUAAAUUCAUAAAAAAAUUUAGCAUCCUUAUAAAUAACAAUUUUGAUUCUAUUAAAAAAAUCAUUUUAAAAAAUAUAUAAUAAAAAUUUAAAAUUUAUAUUGAAUUACUUUAUACGUAAAUUAUUAUUAGAAACGUUAUCAUACACAUAUGUAUAUGAGAACUACGUAUUUAGAACAUAAAUUUAUGUUUGAAAAUAACUUAUGAUAAAUAAUGAAAUGUAUAAUUUGAAACUAUUUAAUAAUAACACAUGGCAUAUCUACCAUAUUAAAAAUAAAAAUAGAUUAAAUUGUAAGUAAAACAUAAUUUAAACAUAUGGAUACAUCAAAUUAAGAAUACUAAAUGAAUACAGUUAUUUAUGAUGAUGUUGUUGUCAAUUCUUAAGUUGGUGUCGAGUUAAUUUGUGACAUCAUAAUUUUAAGUGAUAAAUUUAAAGUUUUAUGUAUUGAUGUGGAUUCAAAUAUCACCAUAACUUUUUUAAAAUAAAAAAUUAAAUUCAACACAAUAAAAUGAAACAAAUUCAACACAAUGUUUUUGGAGUUUGCAAAAAAUUAAAGUGAAAAACAUACCUUCUAAUUUGUUGUCAUAUAGAACUAUUUCUUCGAGCGUAGUUGAAUUAAAAAUACUUGAUGGAAUCUGGCCUGCACACAUAGUCGAAAAUUGAAGUGAAAAAUACACCUUCUAAACUGUUCAACUAAAAAUACUUUAAGCAUAUUUUUUUUUCCAUCAAAUUAACUAUUUUGCCUUGAAUGAAAUAAAAUGCUCUUACUUUUGUUAUCUAUUACAAAUCAAACUCUUUUGUGAAUAAAAUAUUACCAGAUAAUUCAUUCCAACCCAGGUUAAGCCCUUCAAGCUUGGGAAGUUGUUGACACAUAUCAUUAGGCAAACUACCUGAUAGGCUAUUGCUGGAGAGGUCAAUGGUCUUCAGAGAAGAAAUGUUGAAGAUCGAAGUUGGAAUUUGACCUGUAAGGCCUUUAGUUGCUUCAAUAUCAAGCAGUUCCAAACCAAGAAGAUUACCGAUUUCCUUAGGAAUUUGACCUGCAGACAUAGUUGAAAAAUCAAUGUUUUUUAGCAUAUAUUUUUCAUCAAAUUAACUAUUUUUCUUCGAAUGAAAUAAAAAGUUCUUCCUUUUGUUAUCUAUUACAAAUUAAACUCUUUCAUAAAAAAAUACUUUAAAUUCAAGAAAUUAAGGAAAUUGAUUACCUUUUAGAUUAUUAAACCCUAAAUAUAAUUCCUGGAGUCGUGUUAGAUUUCCAAUACUUCUUGGAAUGAUCCCCAUAAAUUGAUUACCGAACAAUGACAAAUUUUUAAGGUUGUUGCAUUUGCCCAUGCCAAAUGGAAUGUAACCAGAUAAUUCAUUCCAACUCACGAAAAGCCCUUCAAGCUUGGGAAGAUGUUGACACAUAUCAUUAGGCAAAGUACCUGAUAGGCUAUUGCUGGAGAGAUCAAUAAUCUUCAGAGAAGAAAUCUUGAAGAUGGAAGAUGGAACCUGACCAGAUAAUUGAUUGAAUCCUAAGUUCAAGAUCCCUAGAUUAGACAUGUUAACAAGUGUUUCAGGGAUUGUGCCUGUAAAGUUAUUAUUUUUCAUUUGCAGCCUUCGAACUCUCUGUAAAUUCCCAAGCCAUGAUGGAAUUUCCCGAUUAAGACGGUUGUAGCUUAAUUGAAGGAUCCUCAAACGAUGCAAUUGGCCCAAUUCUUUAGAGAGAUGGCCAUAGAAAUGGUUGCUACUCAAGUCGAGAGAGACUAGAAAUGAAAGAUUUCCAAGGUGUGGAGGGAUAAUACCCCUAAGAUUCAUGCUUGUAAGAUUCAAUGCUAUAACUCUUUUAUGGAGGAUGCCACAAGAAACACCAAUCCAAUUGCAAACAGAGGUUGAGGCUGUCCAAUUGUCUGCCAAGACAUUUUGAGGACCGGCAAUGCGAUCCUUAAACUCGAGAAGUGCAAACUGAUCAGAGUUGAGAUUCCUGGCUGUCAUAGCCAAGCGAAGUACGGAACAUGGUAUGAAUAAAGCUAAGAGAAGAUGAAAGCAAGUGUUGUAGUUCAUGAUUGCAAGACGGAAUAAGGCAAGAAAAAAGGAAAAAAAAAGUAGGAAAAGGGAAGUUAAGUUGAUAAAAUAGUUUGGAUGAUGAAGAAAAGCCCAGAGAGCAUGCUUUAAUAUGUUUCAACCCUCGCACACUUGAUAAACUUGAUAAAUUUAAGACUACCCUAAAAAUUAAAAAGGAAAACAAAGUUUUGAUGAGAUUUCAAAAAAAAUGUCAAGUAUUCUUCUUUUAAAAAUACGUACAAAGAAGCGAAUUUUCAAAAUUUCUCCUAAAUUUUCUUCAAAUUACUCCACAUAAUCCAUUAAAAAAACUUAAAAAAUAUAUUUUAUUAAUUACUAUAUAUUCUUUUGUUUUCAUAAUAAUAAAUUGUUUAAAAUAUGCUAUUAGUGGCCGUAAUUUAAAGUUUAAAAAAAAAUCCAAUCCUCCUUUUUUUUAAUUUAAAAAUUCUAAUCCAAUCAUUUUUAAUUCCAUUAAAAAGUUUUCAACUUAAUAGAUUUUUUAUUAUCAAUCUUAUGCAACAUUAUAUGAAGGCAGUCUACUCAGCAUAUAUCCAAGUUUACAGAUUUUAAUAGAAAAUACUUACAAUCCUAAUGGUAGGACUAAGUUUUUUAAACUAGAAAAGUAAAAAAAAAAAAAACUUAAUUUUUAACUUUUUUAAGUACAAGGAUUAAAUUUUAAAUGUUGUCAAAGUACAAGCACUAACAAAAUAUUUUGAUCUAAUAAAUGUAAAAAAGCAUUUUAAACAAAAGAAGGUUGAAAUAAUCUAUUUGUCCUUAUACUUUGAUAAAAUUUGAGAUACCAUAAAAUUUGUAUCUUUUUUCGAAUUAUUUAAUGACAUUUCAACAUUUUCAUUCAAAAAAAAAUAUCAUUUUGAAUUUGAUCUUUUUCAAGAUGAAAUAUUGAAAUGAUGUUAAAUUAUUAGAAAGAGAUACAAGUUUCAUGGUGUCCCAAAUUCAUUUAAUCUUAUCUCUCUAAGAAAGCUGAAUUAAGAUAUUAAUGACAUCAUUUGAAACAAAGUUUUAGGUCAAAUUAUUCAUCUAUUCCUUGUAAUUGUUCUUUAAGGUGAAUUUCAUUAUUAUUCUUUUAUUUUCUUUGGCUUAAAUACACAAUUACUCCUAAUUUUAUCACAUUCUCCUUAAUUGGUAUUUAUAGUUUAUAAAAUUUUAUAAAUAUAUUAUUUUUUAAGAAAUUAUAAGAAGAUUACAAAAAUUCCAAAAUAAUAUAAAAAAGCUAAGAAAAACCUAGAAAUUCAAAAAAAAAAAUCAUGUUUUUACAAAUUGGAAAAUACCUAAAUUUACUUUUCAGCCCGUCCGAUGCUAUGAAAGAAGAAGAAAGAGAGUCUUUGCUAACAUUUUUUUUUCUUCGUCAUCUCUAUGUUUCUUGGCAAAUACAAUGAAAGAAGAACAAAGAAAACUGUUGGCUAUUUAUUUCCCAAUAAUCCUGAAAUUACUUGCCAUAGGCGUAGAAUUUGCUAACCAAUUUUCAAGCAAUCUGACAUGAAUUCUUGUUAAGUAUGACUCCUAUUUUCAGUCAAAUUUGAGAAAUAAUCUUCUAGUUAAUUCUGUUUAUUUGUUUCAAUCAAACACUGAUUAGUUUAGAUUAUUUUAUUAUUAUUUGACAUAUGAAUUUAGCCUAUAAAUAGGUUAUUUUACAACCUUAGAAAAUACACCCAAUAGAGUUUAGAACUCAUAACAUAUUUAGAGAAUUUUGUGUUUACGUUUUGAGAGUUCUUUGUUUUCGGAUUUUCGGGGUUUAGUUUUUAUCUCCAUCUCUUGUAUUCUUUGUUCUUUUGCCAUUAUAAUAAAAUUAUCUUUACCCGUGGUUUUUUAUCCUUUUUGGAGGAGUUUUUUCACGUUAAAUUUGUGUGUUCAAUUUCUCAAUUUAUUCCGCUAUUUUGUUACUUGUUGCUUAAUCGGGUCGAUCCCUAACAAUUCUCAAUCACAAUUAAUUGAAUUCAAGAUAUAUUUGGAUGAGAACACAAAUAUUUCAAUUUUACCACAAUCCAAUGUUUGGGAUGAUUUGGGAUAAGAACUCCAACAUUUUAAGAUCACAUUUUCUUUUAUAAUUUCAGGCUUAUCAACUAUUUUGAAAACAACAAAACGUCUUACACCAAAAACUAAAAAAUUAAAACGUCGACAUUAAAUUUGUUGGUAUGCAAUCAAUUUUAAGAUGGGUCUUGGAGUUAUAUAUCACUUUAGCAUUGACUUACUUUUCUACUCUUAGUCUUCUCCAAUAAGUUAAAUAUUUCAAUUUUAACAGCACUGACAGGUCUUUGGGGUAGGGUCCAGCAAAACUCAAUAGAAACAGAUGAUAUAGGCAGAGUUGGCUCGGCCAAGUCGAGUCGACUUGUUCAAAUUAGUUAAAUUAGUAAAUUUUAGGGUGCAGUUAGAACUUUUUUUUUUUUUUUGAGAUGCUAAUAUUAAAAAAUUUUAGUUGCUAAAACAAAAAAUUUAUAUUUAAAAAGGAAUAAAUUAAAUUAUUAAGUUUUUCAAGUUUCCAUUUAAUCAAAGGUUAAAAGGACUAAAUUGAAGCUUUUUAUUUUAAAGAAAGGCUGAAUGACAAAUUGCCCAAAGCCCAUGCCCCUAGCUAUAUGCCCCUGGUAAAAUCAAUUUUAAAAUUAGUUAUAAUAGUUGAAGCGAAUUGAUUAUUGAGUAUUGAAAUACAUAGUUCAACAAAAUAAACAAACUGACAAAUUUUGACCAAAAAAAAAAAUCAAAGGUGAUAAUAAUUAAAUUAUAAAAUUUAAAUUGAGAAAAUAGGGGAUUGAAUUUAUAAUUUUUAAAGUAUAAAGAAUGAAUUUAUAACUAACAUCAUAUUUUAACCACAUAAUAAAAGUAGUUAUGGAGAGGAUCAUGUAAAAUAAUGACCUGAAUAAUUUUAAACGUCUCAUCCUUGCAAAAAUGAAAUAAUAGAAAAGAAAGAGUAAAGAGUAGCCAUUUUAUGAAAUCUAUAAUUCCAACUGUGAAUAAAAUAUAAAUUUUAUGAAUGUGGACAAGCCAUUUUAUUUAUAAUUUUCUGUGUUUUUCUGACUUUUUUUUAAGUCAUUUUCUUUGUUUCCUAACCAAAAAGUUUGCCCAUCACUUUCAAUAUAAAUUUAAAUCUAAAUUUUCUUUUUAAAAUAUAAGUUACUCGUCACAAUUCAUCUUUCGAAAACAAUUUGCCAUCACUUUAACAUACACUAACUUUUCUAUGAUUAGUCCUUGGUUUGCUUUGGGUGCAAUCUUCCAACUAGCCACAUCCUUGGUUUUACUUUCCAACAAUUAGUGUAUCACGGGUUUUGUUUUCUUUAAAAAAAUAUUUUUGUGGAUAUUAGGAGAUAAUGAAAAUUAUUUUACUAUUAAAUUUUAAUAAAACUGGAAAAUAAGUAAUGUCUUUUAAGUGAUCACAAUUAAACAUUAGAUUUUUAAUUUUAAAAUUUUAAAAUUUUUUGAUAAUUGCAUAAUUAAUAAGGUACCAAUUUUUUGAUAAUGCUAUAAUCUUCUCCACACAUAAUCGACUCUUGAGCAUGAUGGAUCUAGACCUUAUCCUGUAUUCUCGUACCACAAAUUGCUUCGAGUGUGGGUUCAAACAAUCACAAAUUAAACACAAAAUCAGAAAUGAUUUAUUACUUUCAAUAGCAAAGUAAUUCUCUCUCAAUAGAAACCAACAGAAUUGUAAUUCCGAAAAAUAAAAUUUAUUUUUUGAAAAUAUAUUCUCACUACUUCCUAGCAUAAUAACAAUAUUUAAAACUUAUGUCUUGUGUUAAUAGCUCUACCAGUACUAUCCAUUUAUAGAGAGAGACACAAGAAUCCUGGUUGAAUUAGUAAAACACGAGUAAUAUUUAUUUCAUAGAAAACAAUAUUCUACCCUAAGUAGAUCAAGUUUGGAUGACGCAUGGGUCGAAGUUCAAUCUAAGAGAAAAAAAUAAAGGAAUUUUCUUUGUAAAGAAAAUUUGAGAUUGUACUAUUUUCGAAGUUAUAAAUAAAAUUAUAAGCCAAACUUUCAAGUCAAUUUUUGACUCGAAUUUUGUACGUACAAAUUUCUAAUACACUUGGUGGGACAUUCUUUGACUUUUAUCUAUUCUCUCAGAAAGUUAAAAGUUAAAAGUUGCAUUAAACUCAAAGAAGAUAAUCAUUAGUAAACCAGCUCACAAGCCUGCUCAAGCUAAUCCUACAACUCGUUCCACUUCAUCAUCAAACACCAAUGUUCUUGCUUAUCCUUAUGGAAUUAAACAAAAGACAAAAGCUCUUUAAGAGUUAUUUGAACAGACAAAAGAUUCAGACGUGUUGAGAUGGAAAGUGACAAUGCAAUGUUGAUUGAAGCUAUUCGUAACCGGUUGGCUACAAUAAGUAGUGUUGCUGAAGUAAGACAGAUUCACGAUUGGUGUUCUAAAAAUUGGGAAGUCAAAUUUUGAUAUAUUUAGUAGAAUGCCAAAAAAGUUGUUGAUUGCAUAGCUAAGGCAGAUGGAGGAGUAAUUGAGCAGCUAGUUUUUUGGAAGAUCCUCCGCAUUUUGUGAGAUGUUGGCUUGAAGAAAAUAUUAGACAAUCGCUGGUGACUUAUGAUAAUUUUCAUUUGGACUGAUGCUCGCUUAGUUUUCUAAGGUUAUGUUCAACCAAAAAAAAAUAAUUUAAAUAUGUCUAUAUUAUCAUAGAGUUAGCAUUUAGUGUAUAAAAAAAUAGUGUAUAAAAUUUUUUCAAUUGCAGUUUAGUUCCACAAAUACUGACGAUGAACCUUAAAACGAAAAUGAAAAUUACAAAAAGAAAAACAAACCACAUCUAUUAUCAAACCAGCAAUCCGUGUCUAAACUUAAAUUAACAAAAUUCAUCAUGCAACUCGGUACACUAUUUUAUAAUAUAUAUAUUAGAUUUAUUCUUGAUGCACAUGUUUUAUUAUAGUUAAAAAUUAAAAUAUAUGAUUAACUGAGUUUUAGUUGAGUUAGUAUUGGUAUUAUAUCAGUGUAGAAAAAUGUGAGUUCAAUCGUACUUAAAUAUGUAUCCUCCAACUCAACAGUUGGGAAAAGGUUAUUGAUAAUUAAAUUACACCAAUUUUUACAAUAUCUAAAAAGCAUUCAUAAACAUAUUCAUAUUGAUGGGCUCUUUCAUUAUUAAACUUUUUUUCUCUCACAAGUAAAAGUACUUGUGGUGAGGAUCAUGUAAAAUAAUAAACUGAAUAAUUUUAAACGUCUCAUCAUUGCUAAAAUGAAAUAAUAGAAAAGAAGACAUUUUAUGAAAUUUACAAUUCCAACUGUGAAUAAAAUAUAAAUUUAUGAAUGUGAACAAGCCAUUUUAUUUAUAAUUUUCUGUGUUUUUCUUCUUUUUCUGACUUUUUUUUAGUCAUUUUCUUUGUUUCCUAACCACCAUGAAAUUACUUGUCACAAUUCAUCUUUUUAAAUGAGAAGCAUUUUCCACAAUUUGCCAUCACUUUAACAUACACUAACUUUUCUAUGAUUAGUCCUUGGUUUGCUUGUCACCAUGAAAUUACUUGUCACAAUUUUCCACAAUCUUCCAACUAGCCUCAUCCUUGGUUUUACUUUCCAACAAUUAUUGUAUCCUUCUCAUUACUUGUACUUACCCGACUGAUAAAAAAUUCACUGAUCAAAUUAGUUCAAAGUUUUUUUUUUUUUUCUAAAUCAUGUGAAUUCACGAGUUUUUUUUCUUUAAAAAAUAUUUUUGUGGAUAUUAGGAGAUACUGAAAAUUAUUUUACUAUGAAAUUUUAAUAAAACUGGACAAUAAGUGAUUUAUUUAAAGGGAUCACAAUUAAACAUUAGAUUUUUAAUUUUUUAAUUUUAAAACUUUUUGACAAUUGCGUAAUUAAUAAGGUACUAAUUUUGAGCGUUGUAGGAGUGCUAUAAACUUCACUACGCAUAAUCGACUCUUAAAUCCACCUUUUUCUCUAGAAUUAUAACAAAUUUACAAAAUGAUUUAAUGAUAUUUAAUUAUUGACCGGUAAAAAAAUUAUAUCAUAUAAAUUCCGAAUUAUUAAUUAUAUAUCUACAUAUUAUAACCAAUUCAUCUUUCAAAAUUAUUUCCUUAUAAUUAAAGCAAAAAUUAUAUUUAUAAAAUUCUAAAUAUAUUAUAAUUCUUGUAAAUAUAUAUAUUUAUAUAUAUAAGUUCAAAUUGUAAUAGAGUUAACAUUUAAUGUAUAAAAAAUGUCUUGAAAAUUAUUAUUUUUUUCAAUUCCAAAAGAACUAUUCCAUUUAUAGAACCAUAAAACUUUAAAAAUAUAAACUCUAUUAAAUAAAAAUAAUAAUAUAUUUAAACAAUAAAUAUUGACUUUAUUUUAAAUUGACAUUAUCUAAUUCUUUUUAAUAAAUAUAGCUAAGCUUUACAUUAAUAUACAUGAUUUAUUUGUUCGUGGUUGUUAUUAUUAUUAUUAUUAUUAUUAUUAUUAUUUCUAUGAUUUUUAUAUCAUACUUAUCGGACUACAAUCAUAACCAUGUCUAUUAUCAUUUGAUAAAAAAAAUUAAGUGUUGAGUAUAAUGACAAGGCACGUUACACUCUUAAGGGGAGAUCAAGGUUUGGACAAGGGAAGAAUAUCAUUUAAAUUUUGGAGACAACAUUCUUUAAAUGAGCAACCACAAACCCCGAUUAUGAACCAUAAAACGAGCAUGAAAAGUACCCAAAAAAACAAGUUUAUUAUCAAAAUAGUAAUCCAUCCAAGGAUUAAAUUAACAAAAUUCACCAUCCAACCGUGUAGACUAUUAUAUAUAUAUAUACCAUAUUUAUUCUUCAUGCAAAUGUUUAUUAUAUUUAAAAAUUAAAAUAUAUGAUUGAUUGAGUUUUAGUUGAGUUAAUAUUGAUAUUAUUGUCAGUGCAAAAGAAUAUGAGUUCAAUCAUGUUUAAAUACAUUUUAUACUCCAAUUUAGGAGUUGGAGAGGAUUCUCAGUAGUUAAAUUAUAUCAGUUUUUGUCUAUUUAAAAUUGAUUUAUAAAUAAUAUAAGUAGAAAAUUUUAUAAAAAUAUACAUACUCAUAUUGAUUGGCUUUUUCAUUAUUAGACAUUUUUCCCCAUAGGUAAAAGUAUUUAUCGAAUUCAAAUUUUGGGUUUUAAAUAAGGGUUUUCGGAUUUUUUUUUAACAUUUGUGAGAGUUUUUGCCAAAUUUUAUGUUUUCAAAAACGCAUAACUAAGUUGAUUUUUAAUUAGUUUUUCAAAUGAGUCAAUGUAAUUCCUUAAAAAUCUAGUGAUAGCGUCUAGCCUGGGUUUGGGGGUGUUACACUGACGUUACUAAAGUUAAUCUUAAUCUAUUUAGUCUAGAUCUGAACAUUAAUAUUCUCUUCCAAUAAAAAUAAAGAUCAUCAAAUUAUUACAAUUGUGAAGCCAGACAAUCAUAUUAAAUAAGCAUAAAACUUAAUAAAUAAUUAGCGAAGAUUGAAACAAUCAAAGAAAAAAUAAAUUAAUUAACUAAGAAAUAAGGAUCCAUUAUUGUUUCAAGAAAACAGAGUUUAGUUCAUAUUGAGUUGAGAAAACCAAAAAUUAGAUUCAAAACAAACUUGUGAUAAGGGGAACAAUGUCAACAGAUCAUAUUCAAGUUGUUCGACUCGAGAAAGCAAGAUUCGGAUUUGACCUGAAAAGAAGAAACCAAACAGAUUAGGAAAACAAGAAAAAAACAAAGAAAAAAAAAUAAAAUGAGAAAUUUAAGAAUAAAGAAUAAAUAUUAAAAAAUAAUAAAGAAAUAAAUAAAUUAUAGAAUAAAAAGUGGCAGAUGGAAUGAAUAAAUGAUGGAUAUGACAUAUAGAUGGAUAAGUGUCUGAUAACCCUUGAAAAAAAGUUAUAUUUUGUUAGGGAUCGACCCGAUUAAGCAACAAGUAACAAAAAAAGGGAAUAAAUUGAGAAAUUGAACACACAAAUUUAACGUGAAAAAAACCUUCCGAAGAGGAUAAAAAAACCACGGGAAAAGAUAAAUUUACUAUAAUGGCAAAAGAACGAAGAGUACAAAAGAUGGAGAUAAAACUAAACUCCAAAAACCCGAAAAUAAAGAACCCUCAAAACGUAAACACAAAAUUCUCUAAAUGUGUUAUGAGUUCUAAUCUCUAAUGUGUGUCAACUAAGGUUGUAAAAGAGCCUAUUUAUAGGCUAAAUUCAUAUGUCAAAUAAUAAUAAAAUAAUCUAAACUAAUCAGUGUUUGACUGAAAUAAAUAAACAAAGUUUAACUAAAAGAUUAUUUUUUAAAUUUGACUGAAAAUAGGAGUCAUACUUAACAAAUCUCCACCUUGACUCAUAUUUCUACAAUGCCAUCUUUGCCAAAGCCCGCUACGAGCCUAUCUUGAACUAUACAGGGAAUUAACUGAGUCGAAUCUGUGCUUAGAAACUGGAAGACUUCUAGCUUUCGACUUGUACACUGCCAAAUCAAAACUAACCCGAGUUUGAUUUUCACGAACACAGUGUCCUAACUUUUCAAAACCUGCAUCCAAAAGAGAACCUCUCUUCAAUGAAACGGUCAUACAUUUUUCCCUCCUAUGACCAAGUUGCCUCUGCUCCAAACGAGUUGACUUCGACUCUGUAACAGACGAGGGAUGUCCGAUUUCACCGGUCAUUGUAGAACCUUCCAGAAUAUAAAGACUGCCAUUUCUUUUACCUUUGAACAAAAUGAGAGCUCCACGAGAUACUUUAAUGCUGCUCGACUCGAUGUUGAUUCUGCAUCAUUUCAAGUCUAAAAUACUCAAGGAGAUGAGAUUCUUUCGUAAAUUAGGUACAUACCUGACAUCUGAGAGUGUCCUAAUCGUCCCAUCGUGUGUCCUAAUUUUAACAGUACCAACACCAAUUACCUUACUAGAUGAAUUGUUUCCCAUGCGCACAACUCCACCUUCAACCGAACUGUAUGUGGAGAACCAUUCUCUAUUGGGACACAUGUGGAAAGAACAUCCCAAAUCUAGGAUUCACUCGAACGUGAGCUUGGAGUUAUCACUCGUUGACACUAACAAGAAAUCAUCACCACUUUCAUCGAUCAAAUUAGCACUAGCUACAUCUUCCUCGUUACUCUCAGCAGCUCCUUUAUUUCGCAGUUUAUAACAAUUUGCUUUGACAUGACCUAACUUUUUACAAUAGUGACACCUUUUGUCUCGUUUCUUUGAUGCCAUCAAAAUGGAAGAUUGCCUAUCUGCCUUGCUAUCUAAAUGAAACUCAUUUUCGAGUUUGUCUCUACUCAACAAAUGACCCUUCACAUCUUCGAACGAGAGUUUGUCUCUGCCAUAGGGUCUCCUUGAAAGAUUUGUAUGAAGGGGGUAAAGAGCAUAAUAAUAGCAUAGCUUGAUCUUCAUCAUCAAUAUGAACCUCAAAGUUCUUUAAAUCAUUUAAAAGAAUAAUGAAUUGACUGAUGUGAUCUCUAAGAAGCUCACAUUCGUUCCUGCGAAACGUAAAUAGACGUUGUUUCAACAGUAAACGGUUAGCCAGAGACUUAGUCGCAUAAAGAGUUUCUAACCUUUUCCAUAAGGUGGAUGAGGUCUUCUCCAUCAAUACCUCCUGCAAUACCGUAUUCGCGAGGCACAACUGGAUUGCAGACAAGGCAUUUUCAUCAAGCUCUUCCCAUUCUGUUUUAUUUAGAUUCUCAGGCUUUUUUUGGUAACAACCUUUUUCAAACCGGAUUGAACUAGAAUUGCCAUCAUCCAAACUUGCCAUAGAUUGAAAUUGGUCUCACCAUCGAACUUCUCAAUUUCAAACCUUGUUGUUGCCAUAUCUGAAUGGGCUGAUUUAUGAAAAUUGAACUAGCUCUGAUACCACUUGUUAGGGAUCGACCCGAUUAAGCAACAAGUAACAAAAAAGGAAAUAAAUUGAGAAAUUGAACACACAAAUUUAACGUGAAAAAAACCCUCCGAAGAGGAUAAAAAAACCACAGGAAAAGAUAAAUUUACUAUAAUGGCAAAAGAACGAAGAGUACAAAAGAUGGAGAUAAAACUAAACUCCAAAAACCCGAAAAUAAAGAACCCUCAAAACGUAAACACAAAAUUCUCUAAAUGUGUUAUGAGUUCUAAUCUCUAAUGUGUGUCAACUAAGGUUGUAAAAGAGCCUAUUUAUAGGCUAAAUUCAUAUGUCAAAUAAUAAUAAAAUAAUCUAAACUAAUCAGUGUUUGACUGAAAUAAAUAAACAAAGUUUAACUAAAAGAUUAUUUUUUAAAUUUGACUGAAAAUAGGAGUCAUACUUAACAAAUCUCCACCUUGACUCAUAUUUCUACAAUGCCAUCUUUGCCAAAGCCCGCCACGAGCCUAUCUUGAACUAUGCAGGGAAUUAACUGAGUCGAAUCUGUGCUUAGAAACUGGAAGACUUCUAGCUUUCGACUUGUACAUUGCCAAAUCAAAACUAACCCGAGUCUGAUUUUCACGAACACAGUGUCCUAACUUUUCAAAUCCUACAUUGAAAAGAGAACCUCUCUUCAAUGAAACCGUCAUACAUUUUUCCCUCCUAUGACCAAGUUGCCUCUGCUCCAAACGAGUUGACUUCGACUCUGUAACAGACGAGGGAUGUCCGAUUUCACCGAUCAUUGUAGAACCUUCCAGAAUAUAAAGACUGCCAGUUCUUUUACCUUUGAACAAAACGAGAGCUCCACGAGAUACUUUAAUGCUGCUCGACUCGAUGUUGAUUCUGCAUCAUUUCAAGUCUAAAAUACUCAAGGAGAUGAGAUUCUUUCAUAAAUUAGGUACAUACCUGACAUCUGAGAGUGUCCUAAUCGUCCCAUCGUAUGUCCUAAUUUUAACAGUACCAACACCAAUUACCUUACUAGAUGAAUCAUUUCCCAUGCGCACAACUCCACCUUCAACCGAACUGUAUGUGGAGAACCAUUCUCUAUUGGGACACAUGUGGAAAGAACAUCCCAAAUCUAGGAUCCACUCGAACGUGAGCUUGGAGUUAUCACUCGUUGACACUAACAAGAAAUCAUCACCACUUUUAUCGAUCAAAUUAGCACUAGCUACAUCUUCCUCAUUACUCUCAGCAGCUCUUUUAUUUCGCAGUUUAUAACAAUCUGCUUUGACGUGACCUAACUUUUUACAAUAGUGACACAUCUCGUUUCUUUGAUGCCAUCAAAAUGGAAGAUUGCCUAUUUGCCUUACUAUUUAAAUGAAACUCAUUUUCGAGUUUGUCUCUACUCAACAAAUGACCCUUCACAUCUUCGAACGAGAGUUUGUCUCUGCCAUAAGGUCUCCUUAAAAGACUUGUAUGAAGGGGGUAAAGAGCAUAAUAAUAGCAUAGCUUGAUCUUCAUCAUCAAUAUGAACCUCAAAGUUCUUUAAAUCAUUUAAAAGAAUAAUGAAUUGACUGAUGUGAUCUCUAAGAAGCUCACCUUCGUUCCUGCGAAACGUAAAUAGACGUUGUUUCAACACUAAACGGUUAGCUAGAGACUUAGUCGCAUAAAGAGUUUCUAACCUUUUCCAUAAGGUGGAUGAGGUCUUCUCCAUCAAUACCUCCUGCAAUACCGUAUUCGCGAGGCACAACUGGAUUACAGAUAAGGCCUUUUCAUCAAGCUCUUCCCAUUCUGUUUUAUUUAGAUUCUCAGGCUUUUUUUGGUAACAACCUUUUUCAAACCGGAUUGAACUAGAAUUGCCAUCAUCCAAACUUGCCAUAGAUUGAAAUUGGUCUCACCAUCGAACUUCUCAAUUUCAAACCUUGUUGUUGCCAUAUCUAAAUGGGCUGAUUUAUGAAAAUUGAACUAGCUCUGAUACCACUUGUUAGGGAUCGACCCGAUUAAGCAACAAGUAACAAAAAAGUGAAAUAAUUUGAGAAAUUGAACACACAAAUUUAACGUGGAAAAACCCCUCCAAAGAGGAUAAAAAACCACGGGCAAAGAUAAGUUUACUAUAAUGGCAAAAGAACGAAGAGUACAAAAGAUGGAGAUAAAACUAAACUCGAAAAACCCAAAAACAAAGAACCCUCAAAACGUAAACACAAAUGGGUGUCAACUAAGGUUGUAAAAGAGCCUAUUUAUAGGCUAAAUUCAUAUGUCAAAUAAUAAUAAAAUAAUCUAAACUAAUCAGUGUUUGACUGAAAUAAAUAAACAGAGUUUAACUAAAAGAUUAUGUUUUAAAUUUGACUGAAAAUAGGAGUCAUACUUAACAUAUUUCAUGCCUUUAAACCUAACUAAUUGUUUGUACUUAAGUAUAUUUUUUUCUUUUUAAGACAUUGUAGCGAACAUUUUUAAUAUUGUAUUAGGACAUAGACUAUGUUGGAAUUAGGUGCUUUUAAUCUCUUGUGGUGGAGUUUUUGUGUGUUGGUAUGGCAGGAACAUGUUUUAAAACGAGGAAAUAAAUGAGUGAAGUUUUGUUAGGGAAAAAGUGCAAACAGUUUGCCAACACAGAUGUCGUGGCAAUGCCGGGAAGACCAAGUUCAUAUUUUUUGUGCAGCAAUCCCGGUUCAAACUCAAACUUGUAUGAGAUAAAUCCCCCUAAAAGAGGAGAAGAUAAUCACAUUGCUGUUAGCUGACCCUAGCCUAAUCUAUCUAUUAAAGCCAAUGAAAAGGAUCUCACAAAGGGUAGAAAAAAGUGAGAGAGAUCCUUAGGGAUGAAUAAGGGUUUGGCUGCGCAAAAGAACAGAAGUCGAAGGGAAUCAUUCUUAGCCAUCACAGAACGUUGUGCUGCCAAAGUGUGGACUAGGCAAGUGAAAGAUGUUUCCAAAAGUUCUUCUGUUAUUUCCAUUAGUGUUCCUUCCAAAGAUUGAAUUGAAGUAGUUGAACACAAUGUCGGAUAAUAUUUUGGUUUGAAAUUUUAUUUCCCAGCUUAUGAGCUAAAUCUCAUAAGGUUAGGAUUACUUUCGAUGAAACCUUAAAUUUUUUUAUAGAUGAAGUAUAUAUCUAAUUUACAUUAUUGUUUCAUUUGAUUGUUCUAAUUUCUUAAUUAAAAUGCAAAUGAUCUCUAGACAUAGAAGACUGUUCGCAUACUUAUAAAUUGAUUGUAAUUAUAAAAGGGUUGGAUUAAAAUUAAAUGAAAUGAGCAGGUAUUUGAUAGACACUUGUAGUCGACUCUAGACAUAGAGUCACGAUCAUACAGAAGAAGCCCAUGCAAGAUAUCGAAAAAGCCUUUAGACACCAGGCAAGGCAACUUGAGGUUUUUCUCUCACGAGAGGCAGACCAUUUUAGAACUCUUCUGUGUUGUAAAGUAGAUACAAUUUUGCCAAGACAAUAUUGACAAUGAGGGUUGAUUCUGGGUAAUCCCGACCUUCCAAAUCCACUUCGUAUAUCCUUUAAUCUUUUUCAUAAUAUCUUUGCCACAUAAUUAUUAGUUAUUUAUUUGUUCAUUUACAUAAUAUUCCCAUAGUAAUUCUCAUAAUUGCCAUUAUGUUUCUACUCUCGGUUGGCCAUAGCAUUACUAAUUAUUCAUUAAUUCCACAUAUUGAUUACAUCAUUAAUCUACUCAUUGUCAUUGCAUAUUUAUCAUUGACUUUGUCAUAGCAUUAAUUGCAUUUUAUUAUAAUAACUUGACCAAUUUUGUGCCUCAAUCCGAUUUUCGUGGGAACAAUACUCACUCAUCACUUUAUUACUUGAUUCAACGUGUAUACUUGCACAAAUCGCAUAUCAUUUCACAUGCGACAGUGUCCAAUUUAACCUUUUGAGAUAUAAACUCAAACAAACUCAAUUAAUGGCUUUAAUCAACCCACCAAGAAAUAAUAAUUGGCAAAUUGAAGGAUGAAGAAUGAAUUCCCAUGACUCCUUAAAGAAAAUUGAGAAGAAAACUGCUUCUAAAAAUUACAAGAAAUAAUCUUGCACAAAGAAACUUACCCUCAGAGUUGGAAAUUUUAGUAAUGAGCAAAAACAAUUGUGUCUCUAAUGAACAUGAAGGGGCCUUUACAUAGGAUAGAUAAGUACAUCCAAAUAAAAUUUUGAAGUAUAUUAAAACUUUAAUUAAUGUAAGAAAAAAAGUAAUUUUCAACUAAAAUAGUCAUAAUUUCUAUAAUAAUCCCGUCUAGAAAUUCUGCUCACAUAGCCAUCACUAAAAUAGUCAUAAAUUGAGCUCUUGAACUCGAAAUUGAAUGAAUAAAAGUGUGUUUGAAAGUUAAGUAAUAGAUCUUAGAACUCCAUCAAGACAUAUCAAUCAAAAAAUGUCUGGAUCCCAUCCAAAAAGUCAUUGCAAGUUAACUAAUUUUCCAAACUUGAAAAUUGACAGCUUCGGGGAAUGGAAUUUAAUAAAGUUCACCCCAUCUACUCAAGUAUAAACUUGCAGUGGUAAAAAGUAAAAAUAAAUAAUCUAUAGAGAAACUAGUUGAAGAAUUUAUGACAAUUUAUUUAGAUCUUUUUUUCUUCUAGCCUUUGCAAACUUGAAGUUUCCCUUGGUGUGAGAGAGUUGUUCCUUACCCUCUAAGUUAUUUUUUUUCUUUUCCUUUUUUUUUCUUUCUCUUCGAUCUUGUCACCUAAGGGUGUUCAAAUGAUUGAUUCAGUUAAUACCCGAACAAUGCUAUCAUUAACUGAAAUUUUGAAACCUUAAUCGUUAAUGAAACCAAUUUUUUGUUGAAACCUAUUAACCGGCCGGAUUGAUUUCGGUUAAUUCAGGCGGCUAGCCGGAAUUUAUACAUUAUUUUUUUCAAACAAUUUUAAAACAAAGAACAAUCCAUGACAACUUUUUCCUUGUUUUUUAUUCAAAAAUUAUUAAAAGAAUUUUAAAAAAUAACAUAAUAACAACACUAAAUUAAAAACAUAAUAGCAUUCAUUACAUUACAAAGCAUAAUUUCUUUUUUUUUUUACUUUUUGUUGACUUUUUAGUUUAAUUUUAGUUUUUUUUUUCAAAUAUUUUUAGUUUUCAUAUUUUUGUUAAGCUUAUUAUAAGAAAACUUAUAAAUCCAUUAGUUUUUAUAUAUUAGGUUUGUAUAAUGUAUUGGACCUAUCUCUAACAUAUUGGGCCUAUAAUAUAUUUUUAUUGAUUUCGGUUAAUCAAUUAAUUUGGUUAAUUAGUCGAUUUCAAACUAAACUAAUCGAUAAACAAAAUUUUCUAAAACAUUUAACCAACUCCCAACCAAAUUAGAUUCGUUGAUCGACUGCUUAAUCAAAUUAAUCAUAUGGUAGAAUGGCAUGUUUUUGGAAUGGCUAUUUGGCAUUAUUGGUAUAGGUUUAAGUUAUGAUCUAAAGAUGUUGAAUUGAAUUAAGUUUGAUAUGUAUACUAUGAUGUCUUCAUUGGCAUAUUGGUUAGAUAUUAAAGGAUGGUUGAUUUGGUAUGUUUUGAAAAUGGUUCUUGGUAUGUUUGAUCUAAGUUGAUUAAAUGAACUUGUAAUGUUGAAUGGUAUAAUAUUUGUUGUUACAUUAGUUAGUCUUAUAGGUUGAUGGAAUUGGUAUGUUUUAAAUGUGUUUAAAAUGUGUUUUGAUUAUUUAAAUGUUUGUGGAAAUGGUGUGUCUUGGUGUACAAGAUUUGAAAUUGAAAUGGCUUGAUUUAGAAAGCAACUUAUGCUGCACACCGCCUAGGACAUGGGUUGUCACAUGGCUGUGUGUCAUUAUUGUUUUAGGUACAGGUUUCACACAAUCUAAGACUUGGCUCACGACAUGGCUACGUAUCAUAAGUCAAUAUGUAACACGGUUUGGUACAUGGCCUGUAACACGACCGUGUGUCCAAACUUCAAAUGUUUACACGUCCUGGGCUAUGUCACACGACUUGGCCACAUGGCCGUGUGACCCUUGUUUUAAAGUUUUCUGAAAUUUUCUAUUUUAUUUCAAAUUGAUCCUAGAAUAUUCUCAAACUAUUUUUAGGGCCUCGUAGGUUCAAAUUAAGGCCCACAAAUGUAUGCUUGCUAUAAUUAAGUUGUGCUAAUUAAUGUUAUUAAUUAAAUGGCAUGAAUAUUUUAUUGUAAGUUAAAUUUUUUAAUUUGUCCUAUAAUGCUCCGUAACCCAAAUCAAGUGACGGAGAUAGGUUUGGGUGUUACAAUUUUGGACUGUAAAUUUGUUUUGAGGCUUUGUUCUUUGGUUCUUGCAAUGUUUGUUGGAUUUUAGUGUUUUAACAUUAAACUGCAAAAUUGUAUGAUUUAACAAACUAAAAAUUAGGUUUUCAAAAUUAAAACUCUAGAAAUUUUCAUUACAAAGAUUAAGUAAUCACUUAAGUGUUUUCCCAUAAAUAAUUAAAUGGUUUUUAACAAAUGUUUUCCUUAGUUUUGGGAAUGAUAUGCCAACAUUAGUACUUUUAAAACACAUGGUUUUAAAUAAGGGUUUUCAAACUUUGGUUUUUUAACAUUUGUGAGAGGUUUUUGCCAAAUUUUAUGUUUUCAGAAUGUGUAACUAAGUUGAUUUUAAUUAGUUUUUCAACGAGUUUAUGUAAUUCCUCAAAAAUCCAGUCAUAGCAUCUAGGCCGGGUUUGGGGUGUUACACUAACAUUACUAAAGUUAAUCUUAAUCUAUUUAGUCUAGAUCUAAACAUUAAUAUUCUCUUCAAAGAAAAUCAAGAUUAUCAAAUUAUUACAACUUGGUAGGCAGACAAUCUUAUUAAAUAUGCAUAAAAGUUAAUAAAUAGUUAGCGAAGAUUGAAACAAUCAAAGAAAAAAUAAAUUAAUUAACUAAGAAAUAGGAUCCAUUAUUGUUCCAAGAAAAUAGAGUUUAGUUCAUAUUGAUUGAGAAAAUCAAAAGGGAGAUUCAAAAAACACUUGUGAUAAGGGGAACAAUGUCAAUAGAUCAUAUUCAAGUUGUUCGACUCAAGAAAGAAAUAUUUGGAUCUAGCCUGAAAAGAAGAAACCAAACAGAUUUAGGAAAAAAAGAAAAAAAAGAAAAAAACUUAAAUAAUAAAUUUAAGAAUAAAUAAUAAAUAUUAAAAAUAAUAAAGAAAUAAAGAAAUUAUAGAAUAAAUAGUGGAAGAUGGAAUGAAUAAACGAUGGAUAUGACAUAUAGAUGGAUAAGUGUCUGAUAAUUCUUGAAAAGAGUUAUAUUUCAUGCCUUUAGACCUAACUAAUUGCUUGUACUUAAGUACAUUUUGUUGCAUUUUAAGAUAUUUUAGUUAGUAUUUGUAAUAUUGCAUUAGGAUUUAGAUUGUGUUGGAAUUAGGUGUUUUUAAUCACUUGUGGUGGAGUUUUUGGUGUGCUGGUAUGGCAGGAACAUUAUUUAGAACGAGGAAAUAAAUGAGUGAAGUUUUGCCAAUGCAAAAGUGCAGAUAGUUUGCCAGCACAGAUGCCGUGGAAAUGCCGAGAAGACCAAGUCAACAUUUUUUUGUGCAACAGUCCCAGUUCAAAUUCAAACUUGUACCAAAUAAAUCUCCCUAAAAGAGGAGAAGAUAAUCACAACUUGUUAGCCAACCCUAGCCUAAUCUAUCUAUAAAAGCCAAUGAAGGGGAUCUCACAAAUGGCAGAAAAAAGUGGGAGAGAUCCUUAGGUGUGAAUAAUGAUUCAGCUGUGCAAAGGAAAGGAAGUCAAAGGCAGUCCCUUUUAGCCAUCACAGGACGUUGUGCUGCCGAUGUGUGGACUAGGCAAGUGAAAGUUGUAUCCCAAAGUUCUUUCGUUAUUUCCAUUAGUGUUCCUUCAAAAUAUUGAAGUAGUUGAACACAACGUUGGAUAAUAUUUUGGUUUGGAAUUUUAUAUCCCAGCUCAUGAGCUAAAUCUCGUAGGGUUGAGAUUACUUUUGAAGAAACCUUAAACUGCUUUUAUGAAUGCAAAUGAUCUCUGGACAUAGAAGACUGUUCGUAUACUUAUAAACUGAUUCUAAUUCUAAAACGGUUGGAUUGGUUGGAUUAAAAUUAAAUGAAAUGAGCAAGCAUUCGAUAGACACUUGUAGUAGACUCUAGACAUAGAGUCACGCUCAUACAAAAGGAACCCAUGCAAGAUAUCUAAAAAGCCUUUAGACACAGGCAAGGUAACUUGAGGUGUUGCUCUCACGAGAGGCAGGCCAUUUUAGUACUCUUCUGUGCUUUAAAGUAGAUAUGAUUUUGCCAAGGCAUUAUUGAAAAUAAGGGUCGAUUUUGGGUAAUCUCGACCUUCCAAAUCCACAUCGUAUAUCUUUUAUUCUUUCCCAUAGUAUAUUUGCCACAUCAUUAUUAGUUAUUUAUUUGCUCAUUUACAUAAUAUUCCUAUAGUAAUUCUCAUAAUUGUCAUUACAUUUCUACUCUCGAUUUGGCACAACAUUACCAGUUAUUUAUUAAUUCCACGCAUUGCUUACAUCAUUACUCUACUAAUUACCACUGUAUAUUUACCAUUGACUUUCCCAUAGUAUUAAUCGUAUUUUAUUAUAAUAACUUGACCAAUUUUGUGCCUCAAUUCGAUCCUCAUGGAACGAUACUCACUCAUCACUUUAUUUGUAACAUCCCAAACUUGGAUUAGAAGUUAUGACUGAAUCCGGCGAUAUCACAUGGAAAGGGAUUUGAAGACAAGAUUGUCGAGUUUAAAAACCAUUAUAGAAAGUUAGCUUUUAUUUAAUUCGGGAAAAAAACUAGUUGAUUUUCUUUAAAACUUGUCUCUUAGCAGAAGCUUUUGUAACCAAUUAAUUUACGAAAAAUCGUUUCUAUUUACAAAAAACUUUAGUAGGAAAAACUAUGUUUUGUGGAGUUGCAGUUUUUAAAAGAAACCCAUAAAAAAAGUAUAAAGUCCCAAAUUUAAAACCAACCAGUCCAUAGUCUAGAAGAUACAUCAAAAACUCCAAANNNNNNNNNNNNNNNNNNNNNNNNNNNNNNNNNNNNNNNNNNNNNNNNNNNNNNNNNNNNNNNNNNNNNNNNNNNNNNNNNNNNNNNNNNNNNNNNNNNNNNNNNNNNNNNNNNNNNNNNNNNNNNNNNNNNNNNNNNNNNNNNNNNNNNNNNNNNNNNNNNNNNNNNNNNNNNNNNNNNNNNNNNNNNNNNNNNNNNNNNNNNNNNNNNNNNNNNNNNNNNNNNNNNNNNNNNNNNNNNNNNNNNNNNNNNNNNNNNNNNNNNNNNNNNNNNNNNNNNNNNNNNNNNNNNNNNNNNNNNNNNNNNNNNNNNNNNNNNNNNNNNNNNNNNNNNNNNNNNNNNNNNNNNNNNNNNNNNNNNNNNNNNNNNNNNNNNNNNNNNNNNNNNNNNNNNNNNNNNNNNNNNNNNNNNNNNNNNNNNNNNNNNNNNNNNNNNNNNNNNNNNNNNNNNNNNNNNNNNNNNNNNNNNNNNNNNNNNNNNNNNNNNNNNNNNNNNNNNNNAGUUCUACACUUACGCCCAUAUAAUGCUUCAUACGGUGCCAUUCGUAUACUUGACUGAUAGCUAUUGUUAUAAGCAAAUUCAACCAAUGGUAGAUAUUUCUCCCAACUGCCUUUCAAUUCUAAAAUACAACACCGGAGCAUAUCUUCAAGAAUUUGAAUCACUCUUUCCGAUUGCCCGUCAGUUUGCGGAUGAAACGCAGUACUGAAAUUCAAUUUUGUACCCAAGGCUUCCUGCAACUUUAUCCAAAACCUCGAAGUAAAUCUCAGAUCUCUAUCCGAUAUAAUAGAUUUAGGCACCCCAUGUAAUCUCACUAUUUCAGCAACAUAUAAUUCUGCCAACCUGUCAAGUGAGUAAUCAAUGCGUAUCGGAAUAAAAUGAGCCGACUUUGUCAAUCUAUCAACAAUUACCCAAAUAGCAUCUUUCUUCUUUGGAGUUAAAGGCAAUCCUGUCACAAAAUCCAUCGUAAUACUAUCCCACUUCCACUCUGGAAUCGUUAUCGGUUGAAGUAAACCCGAUGGUACUUGAUGCUCAGCCUUCACUUGUUGACAGAUUAAACACUUUGAUACAAAUUCCGAGAUAUCCUUUUUCAUGCCUGGCCACCAAUACAACUUCUUCAAAUCAUUAUACAUUUUCACACUACCCGGAUGAACUGACAAGUCACCACUAUGUGCCUCACAUAAAAUGGUCUGAAUUAACUCAUCAUUUCUUGGUACACAUACUCUAUCCCGGAACAUCAAGCAAUCAUCUGAACCAAUUUGAAAAUCUGAGUCAACACCUGCUUCACACUGAGCUCUCUUGGCUUGCAAUUUACUGUCAUUCUUUUGAGAUUCCCGAAUUUACUGAAGAAAUAAUGGUCUAGCUCUCAAUUCAACCAACAUUGAGCCAUCAUCAGAUAAAGUUAACAUCGUACCCAUAGCUCUCAAAGCAAAUAAAGAUUUUCUGCUCAAGGCAUCAGCAACCACAUUAGCUUUCCCGGGGUGAUAAUCAAUCACUAGCUCAUAGUCUUUGAUUAGCUCGAGCCAUCUUCGUUGCCGCAAAUUCAAAUCUUUUUGGCUCAUCAAAUACUUCAAACUCUUAUGAUCAGUGAAGAUUCGGCACUUUUCACCAUACAAAUAAUGACGCCAAAUUUUUAAAGCAAAAACAAUGGCAGCCAAUUCUAAAUCAUGCGUCGGAUAAUUCUUCUCAUGCGGUUUCAAUUGUCUCGAAGCAUAAGCUAUUACUUUGCCCUCUUGCAUUAACACACACCCAAGACCAUUCAACGAUGCAUCACUGUAAAUUACAAACUCCUUCCCGGACUCAGGUUGCACCAACACUGGCGCCUCAGUCAAUAAUGCCUUCAACUUUUCAAAACUCUGUUGACAUUUAUUGGUCCAUUCAAACUUGACAUUCUUCUGCAGUAACUUAGUCAUAGGAGAAGCAAUCAUCGAAAAUCCCUUGACAAAGCGUCUGUAAUACCCAGCUAAGCCCAGAAAGCUUCUAACUUCUGUCACAUUCUUUGGUGGCUCCCAAUCAACAAUUGCUGAAAUUUUGCUUGGAUCAACCCGAAUACCUUCACUUGAAACUAUAUGUCCCAAGAAUCCAACCUCACGAAGCCAAAACUCACUUUUGCUGAAUUUAGCAUACAAUUUCUUUUCUCUCAGAAUCUGCAACACAGUUCUUAAAUGUUCUGCAUGCUCAGAUUCAUCCCGAGAAUAGAUUAAAAUAUCAUCUAUGAACACCACCACGAACUUAUCCAAGUACGGCCGAAAAAUUUGGUUCAUCAAGUCCAUAAAAAUAGCUGGAGCAUUUGUUAACCCAAAAGGCAUUACCAGAAAUUCAUAGUGUCCAUACCUUGUUCUAAAGGCGGUUUUCGGCACAUCAGACUCUUUAACUCUUAACUGAUAGUAACCAGACCUCAAAUCAAUCUUAGAAAACACUGUUGCCCCUUUUAAUUGAUCAAAUAAAUCAUCAAUUCUCGGCAAAGGAUACUUGUUCUUUAUAGUCACCUUGUUGAGCUGACGAUAGUCAAUACAAAGUCUCAUAGAGCCGUCCUUUUUUUUCACAAAUAACACAGGAGCACCCCAAGGAGAAAAACUCGGUCUCACAAAUCCUUUAUCUGUCAACUCUUGUAACUGAGCUUUUAAUUCCUUCAACUCAGUCGGAGCCAUUUGAUACAGUGCAAUAGAAAUCGGUGCAGUACCAGGUAACAGAUCAAUAGAAAACUCAACUUCUCUAAUCGGAGGUAACCCAGGCAAUUCCUCUGGAAAUACAUCUGGAAAUUCACAAACUACCGGCACUGAUUCAAGCUUCGACCCAGUAAUAUCCGUGUUUAGCACAUAAGCAAGAUAAACUUCACAUCCCUUUCUCAAGUAUUUCUGAGCAGACAUGUGCGAAAUCACCAUAGGCAACUUAUUCGGCUCCUUUGUUUCAACCCGGAGAAUUUCACCGUUUUCACAAUUUAAUUCAAGAAUUUUCUGUCUACAAUUUCCCUUGGCAUCAUGCAAUAUCAACCAAUCCAUCCCCAAAAUAACAUCAAACUCAUCAAAUGGUAACAACAUCAAAUUAGCCGGGAAACAGUGGCCUUGAAUCAUCAGGGGACAAUUCUUGCAAACCUUAUCGACUAAGACAUAUUUGCCUAAAGGAUUUGAUACUUUAACUACAAAUUCAGUUUUUUCAACAGGCAAUUUCUUACUAGACACCAAAUUCAUGCAUAUAUAUGAAUGAGUAGAGCCGGGAUCAAUCAAAGCAAUAACAUCAAUAUCAUGAAGAGAAAAUGUACCAGUAAUCACAUCGGGAGAUGAGGCAUCCUCUCGAGCGCGUAUAGCAUAAGUCCUAGCAGGCGCUCUAGUUUCUGAUCCUCCAGCUGUAUCUUUUAUCACACUCUUACCACUGGCUUUGCUUCCCACAUUUCUCGGUGGUCUGCCUCUACUGACAACAUCACCCGAUCCAGCUCUUUGUAAUCUUUCUUCUUCUAUUCUCUCAGGGCAGUCUUUUACAUAAUGCUCUUGGGAACCACAUCUGAAACAAGCUCGUUUAAAUCCCCAACACUCACCAGUAUGUCGCCUGCCACACUGUUGACAUUCAGGUCUGGUGUUUCCUACAUUACCCACACUUGCCACUGAGGUAGCUCGAGUUGUAGUUCCGGAAUAUGACCUCCCUCGGUCUCUGCGUGAAUACCCAACUGAACCGGUUGGUCGUGGAUCCAUCCCUUUAAACUUCUUCGGGUGAGAUUGAAAUGUUCUGCCCAUUGACCUCUUCCUUACAUCUCGAGCUUCCAUCUCUGCCCUUCUCUUUUCUCUACUCAGCUCUUCAGCUUUGCAAGCACGAUCAACUAAUACCACAAAUUCUUUUAACUCUAAAAUUCCAACAUGUAAUCUGAUGUCUUCAUUUAGCCCCUCUUCAAAUCUUUUACACAUAAUAGCCUCCGUAGGCACACAUUCCUGGGCAUAUUUACUAAGCCGGACAAACUCCCGUUCAUAUUCUGCUACUGACAUUCGGCCCUGUUUCAAUCCGAGAAACUCUUUGCGCUUCUGAUCAAUAAACCGUUGGCUUACAUAUUUCUUUCUGAAUUCUUCCUGAAAGAAGUCCCAAGUAACUCUUUCUUUUGGAACCACCGUUAUUAAUGUUUUCCACCAACGGUAUGCCGAAUCCUUCAAUAAAGACACAGCACAUUUCAAACAUUCCUCAGGAGUACAAGAUAAUUCAUCAAAUACCUGGAUAGUAUUUUCAAGCCAAAACUCGGCUUUUUCCGGAUCAUCAUCAACAUUGGCCCUGAAAUCUUCAACCCCAUGCUUUCGAAUUCUAUCAACGGGUGGUUUACUUGAUCUCACCAAUUCAGCACUUCGUGGAGCUACGGGGACCGGCGGAGGAAUAGGAGGGGGUGGAGGAGGUGGAACAUUCGGAUUUACACGGACAUAUUCUGUAUACCAAUCACUCAUCAUUCGGAGGAAGGCUUCUCGAGCCUCAUCCUGUCCAUGUGUCUCAUGUCUACUCUCUUCAUGCGCGGUCCCUUGUGUGGGAACCGGCGUGUUACUUUCAACAUCAUCUGCCAUACUUCGAUUAGGAUCCAUUUACUAUAUAAAACAAAAUUUUAAAUUGUCAGAAAUCAUCACACUAUCACAAUAUAUUGAUGGCAUGUAUAGACUGACUUUCACACAUAUUUUAUUGGUCCGAGAACUGACUAAACCGUAGCUCUGAUACCACUAAAAUGUAACACCCCUUACUCGUAUUCCGGCUCGGAACAGAGUAUGAGGUAUUACUAAGUUUUUUAAAAAAAAUUUCGACAGCAUUUCUUCUUAAUUUUGCUUAAACCUCCUGCAAAUUUAAAUCACAAUCCAAUAUAUAUAUAUCAACCAAACUCAUUUAUAAUAAUACUCACAAUUUAACUAUUAAUGAACACCACAUUUUAAAUCAAACCAUAACAUAUAUUUACAUGAUGAUUCCAUAUUUCAUAGGUCGUCUAUACAUGCCAUAAUUUUCCGGAACGAUAGUAGCAAAAUACCCCAAGUGUGAAGGAUAGUGUGGAUGAUUGUCUGACUUCGUUCCAAAUUUCCGAGUUGUCGGAAGUCACUAUAAUCAAGGGAAAAAUAAAAUCGAGUAAGCAUAUAGCUUAGUAAGUAAACACAUGAUAAAUAAGUAAUUACUCACAUAACUACACCAAAAUAUAAACUUAUUCAUGAAUAACUUCAUUGUUUAGGCAAUUUCCAGCAAACUGUUUUUCUGCGUCAUAUUCGCUAAUUUAUUUUUAUCCGGAGCUACAGGGCUCCAAAUUGAGUUUCGUAAAUUUUCCCUGAAACUAGACUCAUAUACCAUUUCACCAUAAAAAUUUCAGAAUUUUUUACCCAGCCAAUUAGUACAUUUUAUUCAUUAAAACUUCCCCUGUUUCACUGCCCAACGGUUCUGACCCUUCCUCAAAAAAAUUCACUUAACUCUCUGUACAAAAUUUUAAAAAUGGUUUCGCUUGUUUCUAUUAAAAAUAGAGUCAAUAAGGAAUCCAGGAAUAUAAAUUUCACACCAUAAUUAUUUUUGUACAAUUUUUGGUGAUUUUCCAAAGUUAGAACAGGGGAUCCCGAAAUCAAUCCAGCCCUGUUUCAGUAAAAUUCAGAUAUCUCCAAAAAUACAACUCUUUUGCUUAUUCUAUUUAUUUCAUAUGAAAAUAGACACAUUCAGCUUCAAUUUCAUAUAUUAUUCAGCUUCCCAUUCAUUUUCCACCAUUUAUGGUGAUUUUUCAAAGUUACCCAUCUGCUGUUGUUCAACACAGUUUAUAACUAAAUCGUUCCUUUUUUCGUUUUUGAUAUUUUCUCCCAUCUCAUACAUGGAUCGAUUUAGUAUCCAACUCAAUAUUUGCCCCAUAAAAAUUUCCACCAUAUGGCAAUAUUCACCUUCCACACUUUUUCGUUGAGCACUCGGAAUGUUAACCGUUAUUGGUGGAUCUCGCACUUAGCACCACCACUUAAUCGGGGAAUCAGCACUUAGCAACCCCUUGGGGGAAUCAGCACAUAGCAACCCCCUUUUUAUUUCAGAGAUACGGUGGAUAUCGCACUUAGCACCACCAAUGAACCGGGGAAUCAGCACUUAGCAACCCCUCGGGGGAAUCAGCACAUAGCAACCCCCUUUCACAUUUCAAAGAUACGGUGGAUAUCGCACAUAGCACCACCAAUGAAUCGGGGAAUCAGCACACAGCAACCCCUUUAUGUACAACAUACUUCGGCUUAUUCCGAGUGUUCAACCCAUAAAUCAUAUAUUGCAACCCUUUACCACAUUUCCCGAUUUAACAACAUUUUUAGGAUAUGGCCAAACAUUUAUUUUAAUUCCAAAUAAAUCUCAACAUAUAUCAAUUAAUGUCAAAAUAAUACAUCAAGUCACGUGUUUACUUACCUCGGUGCAAAAUAUCGUAAUUUUGCACUUCACUUCACUCCACUAUCUUUUCUUUUCCUCGUUUGAGAUAAUCUUCACGUCUUUCUUGAUCUAUAAUAGCAAAUUUAACUCAUUUAAUGUUCACAUUCAUUAAAAUAAUCCACCACCCAACUUUUUGAAAAAUUACAAUUUUGCCCCCAAACUUUUGCAUAAUUACACUUUUGUCCCCAAGCUCGGAAAUUAAACUUCAUCACUUAUUCUUAGGUUUUAUGACAUGCUGAACAUUUUUCCCUUCUAUGGCAACAUCAAAUUCUCACUCUAACAUACACUUAUGAACAAUAAUUAUUUUUACCGAUUAUGCCUAUUUACCCGUUUUCGCUUAAAAUCGCUUAGCAAAAGUUGUUUAACAUAAUUUAUAGCUUCAUAUUCCACCAUAAAACAGAAAAAUAAACACAUUUCACCUAUGGGUAUUUUUCCAAAUAUGAGCCCUAACACGAAUUAUUGCUAGAAUAAGCUAAAUCGAGUUACGAGGAUUCCAAAAAUGCGAAGAACAUUAAAAACAGGGCUAGGAUGCACUUACUAUGAGCUUGAGAAAGCAAAGAAAACUUAGCUAUGGCUUCCUUCAAAUUUCGGCAGCAACUAAUGAGGAAGAUGAUGAUUUUUGUCAUCUUUUUCCCAUUUUAUUUUAUUUUAUUACCAAAUGACUAAUAUGCCCCAUUUAAAAAAAUCUAUUUCUCUCAUUUCUUAUGUCUAUUUUUGUCCAUCAACUAACUAAUGGUCUAAUUACCACAUAAAGACCUCUAAUUUAAAAUUUCAUAUCAAUUAGAUACUUCUACAUAUAGAACUCAACUUUUACACUAUUUACAAUUUAGUCCUUUUGACUAAAUUGAGUGCCCAAACGUCGAAAUUUUCGAACGAAAUUUUUACGAAAAUUUUCCGUGAAAUUGUAGACCAUAAAAAUAUAAUAAUAAUCAUAUUUUCCCUCGUCGGAUUUGUGGUCCCGAAACCACUAUUCCGACUAGGCCCAAAAUCGGCCUGUUACAUAUAGGCUAUUAAAAUGGUGAAAUUAUAUUUUUACAAUAGUAAAAAUUACAAUUUAAUUUCACCCCUAAAAGGAUUUUUUGGCUUCGACCCUAAUAAAAUCUUUGGCAAAAGAUUAAAAUAAAAUUAUACCGUGAAUGGAAAAAGAAACUAAGAAAAUCCAAUCUAACAAAGAAAAUAACUUUGUUUAGCAACCUUUGUUUGAUUAAAAAUGUUGAAUUAAAAAUUCCAGAAUAGAUUAAAAAUUAUACCGUGAAUGGCAAAAGAUUACAAUUUUUUUGGUAAUAUUUUAAAAUUCCAGAAUAGAUUAAAAAUGUUGAAUUAAAGAUAAAAUUAAUAACCACAAGUGUACUCAUUACUCACCAUCUCUGUUAAAAAUGAUCGAUGUUGUUUAGCAACCUUUGUUUGAUUUUCUUCAGCUCAACCACAACAUCUUUCAUAUCUUUUCUUUCUUCCGGUAACUCAGCUGAACAAUUCAAAGCCAACUCCAUGAUAGAUGAAAUACAAUUUGCUUUAACAACAAUGUACUCAUCCUCUCUUCUUAAUAAAUCAACAUCUGCAAUUUCUAUCGCUCCUUUCGGCAAUGAACUUUCCAUCCAAUGCCUUAUACUCUCUUCUUCAACAAAAACAUUACCAGUUGGCUUUUUCUUUGUGAAAGUUUCUAUAAGGACGAUCCCAUAACUAUAGACGUCAGAUUUUAUAGAAACGAUUCCUGCUGAUCCAAAUUCUGCAUUUCAAGUAUAAUUACAACAUCAUUCAUCCUCAAUUAUUUCUAAAAUGCUUAUUCAAAUAUAUAUUCACAUCCACAUGAAACAAAAAUAUAAAAUGCAAAUUAGGAAAAUAAUCAUACAAAAAUAAAAAAUAAUUCACCUGGUGCCAUAUACCCGAUAGUUGCAAGAGUCAUGGUUUGCUUCAUUACUUCACCUUCUCCCAACAAUUUGGCAACGCCAAAAUCUCCAACAUGUGCAACCAUGUCUUCAUCUAGUAAAAUAUUGCUUGGUUUUAUGUCACAAUGAAUAUAGGUGUUGGAUGUCCAUUGUGGAGGUGUUCUAUGCCUACCGCAACAUUUAUCAUUAUGUCGACCCUUUGUAUGAUAUCAAGGAAACAAUUUUCAGAAUGUAACCAUUUCUCAAGGUUUCCAUUAGACAUGUAAUCAAGCACCAAGGCUUUGAAGUCAAGACUUGAGCAGCAAGUAAUGACCUUCACAAUAUUACGAUGAACUAUAUUACGCAUAGCAUCACAUUCAAUGUCAAAACUCCUAAAUGCUCCCUCUGUUUGCAAAUUGAAAACUUUUAUUGCAACUUCCAUUCCAUCUGAAAGCCUCCCUUUAUAUACAUAUCCAAAACUCCCUGAACCAAGCAUAUUGCUUUCCUCAAAUCCAUUAGUUGCUCGUGAAAGUUCAGCAUGUGAAAUUCUUCUCGGUGUCUUCAAAGACAACAAAUCAUCUUUAAUUGGUAGAGCUGUACUCCUUCUUUGGCAUCUUCUAUACAUAAUAGUUAAGACUAUUAAUACUACGACAAUACCAAUUGUUGGUAAACCAUACCUAAAAGCAUGCAAUAUAAUCAUUUGGGAGUUUUUGUGGAUGUCGUUUUUACAAGGUGGGACUAGCAGUCUAGGUGGACCACAAAGUGCAUAAUUCUUUAUGAAUGAUGUGCUAGAAAAGUUUGAAAAACAUCCUUCGCUGGGAAUUUCCCCUUCAAGUCUAUUGAAAGACACAUUAAAAUACUUUAGAUAUAAAAGCUUCUCCAAAGAUUUGGGAAUGACUCCAGAGAGAUUGUUAUUGCAUAAAUCCAAGAAUUCCAAACUAAUCAACCCAUCAAAUGAUUCAGGGAUAUGACCAUGUAGUAUAUUAUUUGAUAAAUCUAAUGAAACCAAAGUUAUAAGACCCCCAAAUGUGGAUAAGAUAUCCCCCGUGAGAAGAUUCCUUGAUAAAUUUAGUUUCAGUAGACUCCUCAAAUUUCCGACAUCAAUAGCAUGUGAAUUGUGAAGAUGGUUUGAUGAUAAAUCUAUUUUUAAGAUAUCUUGAAGAUUCCACAAAGUUGAGGGUAUUGCGGAACUCAGUUUGUUGGAAUCUAAGUAAAGAUAUCCCAAAGAAGUAAUAUUACCCAAACAAGAGGGUAUGGAUCCAUGUAGCUUAUUCAACCCUAAAUACAUCUCGUAUAGUCUCUCCAAAUCACAAAAACUUUCUGAGAUGGGCCCUCCUAAUUUAUUAGAGGAAAGAUCUAGACCUUGGAGAUUUCGCAGUCCUCCUAUUGAUGCUGGAAUGAAUCCACUUAAUUUAUUAUGGCGAAGUUGUAAAAGCAAUAGGUUGGUUAAGUUACCUAUUUCCAUAGGAAUAAUGCCUUGAAGCUCACAAUUAGAGGCAUAAAAGUAUUGAAGGGUUUUUGAAAGGUUCCCGAUAUAAGUAGGAAGAACACCACUCAAUGGAUUUCCUGAAACAUCUAUUGUGCUCAAAUUCCUACAAUUCGUCAAAGAAGAAAGAAAGCUCCACUCAUGAUCGGUAGAAGAUCCUGUGAUCAAAUUAUUGUUUUUGAUUCGGAACCAUUCAAGGUGUCUUAAGUUGCCAAGCGUUUUAGGGAUUGGGCCAGAGAAUAAGUUAUGCGCCAAGUCUAGUUCCUUAAGCAUGGAAGCAUUGGAGAUAGAGUUGGGAAUGUUUCCGCUAAGUUUAUUUCUCCACAAUAAAAGAAUCUCAGGCUUUGGAGCAUUGGUGAUGGGUGGUAAAUUACCUGUAAAAUAUCAUCUUUUAGUAUACAUAUUCAUUGAAUACCAAAUUCACAAAAUAUAUUAUACAUUAAAAUAAAAACUGUAAAACUUUAAAUCAAUUAAGAAUAAAAUUUUGGCAUGGAAAAAUGUGAUGAAAUCAAUUACAAAGUUGAGACAUACUAAGAAGUUUCAAGUAGUAAUUAGUCUUGUGAUUUGUAUAGACAAAACAUAUAGAUUUGGGAAUGUGGCAUCUAAUCAAUCUUAAAAAUGAGACUGGCACUGAAUAAUAAUUAGUUAUGAUUUGGGAAACAAAAAGGUUAAAGCCAUUGUUUUUAAUGUAAACUGAUAUGAUUUUUAUUUAUUGGGUUAAUUAUUUAUUGUUAUUAAAUUAUAGUGUAAAAUUUAACGAUUAUUAUUUGCUCAAAAUUUCUGUAUUUUUCGUAUAUUUGAAAUUUAAUCUUUAUAUUUUUUAUUUUUUGUGAUUUAGUCUCUCUACUUUUUGAAUUGAAAAUUUUAGGUUCAUUUACUAACACUAUUAAAAAGUUUUUGUGUCUAGUAUGGCAUUUUGAAAAAUAAAAUAAACUUGAUAUCUAUGUUUUUAAUUAUUCCAAAUAUUGCUUUACUAUUUCAAGAUAAAUUAUUUGUGUCUAGACUAAUAUCUUAAGAACUAUUGUUGCAUGUUUAAUUAUCUAAAAAAUUAUCGAUUGAGUCUUAGCUUGAUUGGCAUGUGCGUUGUUGCCAAUGUAGGAGAAUGUGGGUUCAAGUAUGUUGAAGUGUAUUAUCUUCUUAUUUAUGAAUUAGGGAGUUGGUAAAGUACUAAAAUUUGAUAUAUUUUAAAAUAUUAAAAUUUAUUAAAAUAUUUUUUAUAAAAAAUGAUUCUACCACAAUAUACAAUUUUAAUAUCAAAUUUUUAAUUUUUUUUAAAAAUGUUAGCGAAUAUAUACUUUAUUUCAAGUUAUGCAAUUUUUACUAGUUUUUAACUUUUUUUCAAAUUUUUAUCGUCUUUUAUAAUUUCUAAUAAUUUUUUAUAAUUUUUUUACAAUAUUUAACAAUUUCUAAAUUUUUUUUAAUAAUUUUAUUAUGUAUUACAAAUUUAAAAAUUAACAAAUUUUUAUAUUUUUAAAAAAAUUAUAUAUUUAUAAUGUAUUUAUUUUUUAUAAUUUUAUUUGAAAUUUUAAAGAUUUUUUUGGUUUGUUUUCUAGAUGAUGAUGCCAUCAUGAUGCUAACAUAUUAUGAUUAGAUAUCUCAAUCUAUUCUUUUAACGCCCAGUGAAUGAAACCAAGAACACCUAAUGUUAAAGUGGGUAAAAACACAUUAAGGACCAAAGUUAAAAAAAGAAAAAGAAAAAGAGCAAUAUGCUGUAGGGAAUAAACUGUGCAUUAAGCCAUUAAAAAUAUAUGUAUAAUAUAUAUAAAUGCAUGGAUUUUGAGAAACUUUUGAACUGAUAAUUAUAUAGUCUUUGUUGUUUACUAUAUUAUUGAAUUUGUUAUUUUAAAUUAAUUUUAUUACUUUUAAGAUUUAUAUAAGAAUUUUGGUUUUACUAAAAUAUUUGCUUAAAUAAGUUCACUUCAUAAGAAAAUUUAGCAUCCUUAUAAAUAACAAUUUUGAUUCUAUUAAAAAACUUAUUUUAAAAAAUUAUAUAAUCAAAAUUUAAAAUUUAUAUUGAAUUACUUUAUACUUAAAUUAUUAUUAGAAACUUUAUCAUACACAUACGUGUAUGAGAACCACGUAUUUAGAACAUAAAUUUGUGUUUUAAAAUAACUUAUGAUAAAUAAUGAAAUGUAUAAUUUGAAACUAUUUAAUAAUAACACAUAGCAUAUCUACCAUAUUAAAAUAAAAAUAGAUUAAAUUGUAAGUAAAACAUAAUUUAAACAUAUGAACACAUCAAAUUAAGAAUACUAAAUGAAUAAAGUUAUUUAUAAUGAUAUUGUUGUCAAUUCCUAAAUUGGUGUCGAGUUAAUCUGUGACAUCAUAAAUUUAAGUGAUAAAUUUAAGGAUUUAUGUAUUGAUGUGGAUUCAAAUAUCACCAUAAGUUUUUUAAAAAUAAAAAACUAAAAUACCUUAAAAUACUAUAACUUAUAUUAAAUACGAAAGAGUAUUUUUGUAAUUUUCCUAACCGAGUUGGUGCCCGGUUGACUCAUGACACCAACUCAAUUAAAAGAUUUAAUAAUAAUAUAGAUAUUCACGUUAAAAAAACAAAAAAAAAGUACUUUAGUUCCAAAUAAUUAUAUAACAAGUAAAUUUAUAAUUGAUGAAUAAAUUUAUAGAUAAUAUAUUUAUAUGAUCUAAUAUAUUAUAUUAAUAUUAAUUAUAUAUCAUCUACAAUCUUUGAAGAUCAAUUUAUUAAGUAUCAAGAAAAGAAAAAAAUGAAAUUGAGUUAACACUAAAUCAAUUUUUAGAUUUUGUACAGAUGAUUUAAUGAUGAUAAAAAAAUUAUUAGCACUAUUUUUGAAUUAACAAAAAAUUAGUGAUAUAUUUUAAUUAUAUUUAUUAUUUAUUAUUUUUAAUAAUAUUUUUUAAAAUUAUAUGAAGUAAAAUUAUACUGUAUACUAAAUAUGGUACAUAUACUUUAAUUGUAACUUGAAAAUUUAUUAUAUAAAUUAAUAUAUUUUAAUUAUAUUCAACCAUUUGAAUAACAAAAUAAAAAAAAACUAAUUAGAAUAAUUUUUAGAAAAAAGAAAAAACAUUAUUUAAAGGCUAGUUAAAAAUCACGUGCAACAGGUGAUAUGAGAAUCUAUGUAUAUAAAUGUGUAUAUAUAUAUCGUUGUUUCAUUUUUUUUUUAAAUAAAUAUAUUUUCCACAUUGGUUUCUUUUCUUGUACAGACAAAGGAUUUCUAAUGAUUUUAAAAAAAAAAAUUUACUUAUAUAAAAUAGAUCAGUUUAUUCAGUAAAAUAAAUCAAUUCAUAUAAAUGUUAUUGUUUAUUAUCAGAUUGAAAUGAUAAAAGUAUAUGACAUAAAUAGAAGAAACAAAUUCAACACAAUGUUUUCCGAGUUUGGAAAAAAUUAAAGUGAAAAACAUACCUUCUAAUUUGUUGCCAUAUAGAGCUAUUACUUCGACCAUAGUUGAAUUAAAAAUACUUGAUGGAAUCUGACCUGCAAACAUAGUUGAAAAUUGAAGUAAAAAACAUACCUUCUAAACUCUUCAACUAAAAAUACUUUAAGCAUAUUUUUUUUCCCAUCAAAUUAACUAUUUUGCCUUGAAUGAAAUAAAAUGCUCUUACUUUUGUUAUCUAUUACAAAUCAAAUUCUUCUAUGAAAAAAUAUUUUAAAUUAAAGAAACAAAGAAAAUUCAAUAUCUUCUAAGUAAAGCACUUCAAGCUUGGGAAGAUCAUUAGGCAAACUACCUGAUAUGCCAGUGUUGGAGAGAUCAAUGAUCUUCAGAGAAGAAAUGUUGAAGAUCGAAGUUGGAAUCUGACCUGUGAGGCCUUUAAUUUCUUUAAUACUAAGCAGCUCCAAACCAAGAAGAUUACCGAUUUCCUCAGGAAUUUGACCUGCACACAUAUUUAGUCGAAAAAUCAAGAUGUCAAACUGCCUAUAUUGUUAGCAUAAGUCAAAGAGGUUUUCGUUUCUGCUCUACAGUAAUUUGGAGAUGUUAGAUUUAAUAUAUUUCAGCAUAUGUUUUUCAUCAAAUGAAAUAAAAAAGUUUUUCCUUUUGUUAUCUAUUAAAAAUCAAACUCUUUUAUAAAAAAAUACUUUAAAUUUAAGAAAUCAAGGAAAUUGAUUACCUUCUAGAUUAUUAAACCCCAAAUAUAAUUUCUGGAGUUGUGUUAGAUUUCCAAUACUUCUUGGAAUGAUCCCCAUAAAUUGAUUAUAGGACAACGACAAACUUUUAAGGUUGCUGCAUUUGCCCAUGCCAAAUGGAAUGUUACCAGAUAAUUCAUUCCAACUCAGGUAAAGCUCUUCAAGCUUGGGAAGAUGUUGACACAUAUCAUUAGGCAAACUACCUGAUAGGCUAUUGCUGGUGAGACUAAUAGAUUUCAAAGAAGAAAUCUUGAAGAUGGAAGAUGGAACCUGGCCAGAUAAUUGAUUCAAUUCCAAGUUCAAGAUCUCUAGGUUAGACAUGUUAACAAGUGUUUCAGGGAUUGUGCCUGUAAAGUUAUUAUUUUUCAUUUUCAGCGUUCGAACUCUCUGUAAGUUCCCAAGCCAUGAUGGAAUUUCUCCAUUAAGACGGUUGUAGCUUAAUCGAAGGAUCCUCAAACGAUGCAAUUGGCCCAAUUCUUUAGGGAGAUAGCCAUAGAAAUGGUUGCUACUCAAGUCGAGUGAGAGUAGAAGUGAAAGAUUUCCAAGGUGUGGAGGGAUAGUACCCCUAAGAUUCAUGCUUGUAAGAUUCAAAGCUAUAACUCUUUUAUGGAGGAUGCCACAAGUAACACCAAUCCAAUUGCAAACAGAGGUUGAGGCCGUCCAAUUGUUUGCCAAGACAUUUUGAGGACCGGCAAUGUGAUCCUUAAACUCGAGAAGUGCAAACUGAUCGGAGUUGAGAUUCUUGACUGUCAUAGCCAAGCAAAGUACGGAACAUGGUAUGAAUAAAGCUAAGAGAAGAUGAAAGCCAGCGUUGUAGUUCAUGAUUGCAAGACGGAAUAAGGCAAGAAAAUAAAAAAAAGUAGGAAAAGGGAAGUUGAGCUGAUAAAAUAGUUUGGAUGAUGAAGAAAAGCCCAGAGAGCAUGCUUUAAUAUGUUUCAACCCUCGUACACUUGAUAAACUUGAUAAAUUUAAGACUACCCUAAAAAUUAAAAAGGAAAGCAAAGUUUUGAAGAAAUUUCAAAAUAAAUGUCAAGUCUUCUUCUUUAGAAAAUACGUACAAAGAAUCGAAUUUUCAAAAUUUCUCCUAAAUUUUCUUCACGUUACUCCACAUAAUCCAUUAAAAAUACUUAAAAAUAUAUUUUAAUAAUUACUAUAUAUUCUUUUAUUUAAUAAAUUGUUUAAAAAUGCUAUUAGUCCCUGUAAUUUAAAAGUUAAAAAAAAAAUCCAAUCCUCCUAUUUUUCUAAUUUGAAAAUUCUAGUCCAAUAAUUCUUAAUUCCAUUAAAAAAUUUCAGCUUAAUAGGUUUUUUAUUAUCAAUCAUAUGCAACAGUAUAUGAAUGCAGUCUACUCAGCAUAUAUCCAAGUUUACAGAUUUUAAUAGAAAAUACUUACAAUCCUAAUGGUAGGACUAAGUUUUUUAAACUAGAAAAGUGAGAAGACUUAAUUUUUAACUUUUUAAGCACAAGGAUUAAAUUUUAAAUGUUGUCAAAGUACAAGCACUAACAAAAUAUUUUGAUCUAAUAAAUGUAAAAAACUUUUUAAACAAAAUAAGGUUGAAAUAAUCUAUUUGUCCUUGUACUUUGAUAAAAUUUGAGAUUUAGUCCUUAUAUUUAAAAACUUAAAAAUUAAGUCUUAUUGUUUUUAUUUAAAAAUCUUAGUCCUAUCCUUAAUUUUAUUUUAUCAAAAUUGGUCAACUUUACAUAUUAAUUAGGUUUCCCUUAUAUGUCGCGGUAUCAAUCAAAACUUAAUUAAUAUCCAUCAAUAUCCAUCAAUACGUCAUACAUAAAAAAAGCAAGCAUAAAAUACAGUUAAAAGUCCUCCUUUUAUUAUUAAAUGUUUUAUUUUAGUUAUUUUAAUCAAAUAUAUCCAAAUUACAAUAGAGUUAACAUUUAUUGUGUAAAAAAUAUUUUAAAUUUUUUUUUCAAUUUUAGUUUAAUUCUAGAAGAAAUAUUUCAUUUAUAAAAUCAUAAAACUUUAAAAAUAUUAACUCUGUUAAAUAAAAAUUAUUUUUUUAAAUAGUAAAUGUUAACUUUAUUAACACAAAUGGGCCUCAGUAAUUGACAAGCUCUUCCACAAACUGUGGAAGAUUUGGGGAUAAAAGCUUCAAUAAUUAUGGAGUUAUAGUGUAAAUUUGCCACUAUAUUAUAAGUGUAUUGAAAUUUAUCACUAUAUUUUAUUUGAUGUUUAUCAUUACACUUUGAAAAUAUAAGUAAAUUUACCAUUUAACUCAGAUUUACCUUUGCAAGUAAACUUAAAAUUUUAUUUAAUUUUGUCACUAAAUUUGAUUUGUUCAAUAUAGAUUUUGGUGACUUAAAACUCACUAAAUUUGAUUUUUUCAAUAUACAUUUUGGUGACUUAAAACAAAAUUAAUAAAUAAUUAUUCUUUUGGAUAUCUUUUUAAUGUUUAAUAAUAAGUUAAUUUAUAAAAUAUACUGUCAUUGGACACAAGCCUCUAAGGCGGUGAACCACUAAUCAAAUUAAUUUGGAGAUAUCUUUUUUUCUAAAUAAAGUGAAUUUACGAGUUUUGUUUUCUUUUAAAAACAUUUUUAAUAUUUUUGUGGAUAUCAAAAAAUUUUUCAAUAAGAAAUUUUAAUUCACUCGAAAAGUUAGUGUUUUAUUUCAAGGGGUCAUAAUUAAUCAUUAGAUUUCCCAAUUUUAAAUUUUAAAUUUUUCGACAAUUGCGUAAUUAAUAAGUACCAAUUUUGAGUGUUGUAGGGCUAGUACAAUCUUCCUUACACAUAACCGACUCUUAAACCUACUCUUUUCUCUAGAAUUCAAUGCAAACAUCGAAUUUAUCUUUUGAAAAGAAUUUUAAAAUAAUAUAAAAGGUGUUUUUUUAUGACUGAUCACACUUAACAAAAAUUUAAAAAUUAUUAAAAAAAUUUCAUUUUGAAAUUUAAAGUGAUCUAAAAACAUAUUUUUAAGUGCUUUGGACCAUCUGUUGCUGAUUUCCUUAUUAUAUUAAAUGUUUGCAAUCACUCCUAAUAUAUUGUGCUUGAGUUGUGACAGAGCAAAUCGCCAACGUGCCAUAUUGAUCUAUUGAUGCUGAAACUGAAGUUUUUGUUAUAUUGAUAGAGCUUGUCCUUCAACGCAUACAACGUGUUUGUUAUUUUUCUCCCUUCAAAUUGUAUGAUCUUAUUUAUUUAAUGAAUUAAUGAAUUUCCCUUUUAAAAAGAUAUAUUUUUAAAAUUAAAUACUUUAUAAAAUAUUUAAAACUACUUAAAAAAUUGUAAGCCUUAAAACAAUCAACAAAAUAUAUUUUUCUCUAAAAAAAUCAAUAAAAAUAUGUUUAAAAUUUUAUAUGAAAUUAAAUUUUUUUUAACAAUAAUAUAUUUUAAAAUUAUAGUAACGCUAUAAAAUAUAUAUAUACAUAUAUAUAUAUAUUUACUAAUUAUAUACACCUUUCCAUACAUCCUUUUUCUACAUAGAAUUUCAAAAGUAAAUGUGAAUUAAUGUAGGCGUAAGAAGACUUACAGGUAAGUCACCCAACGAAAGUGUCCUAAACCGACUUAUGGAAGAAUCAAACAAUAAUUUUGUAUCGUAUAAUAUAUUUAAUUACAUUUAUUAGUUUAUCAAUCAAAACUUAAGUAGAAUCCAUCAAUAUUUCACACAUCAAAACCCAAACAUAAAAUUCACUUUUAAAUUAUUCGGGGAAUAUUUGUAUUAUAGGAAAUGGAUUAAAUUAGACUUUUAUUAUUAAAUGUAUUAUCUUAAUCUUUGUAUUAGGUAUGAAUGAUAUCUCUUAGAUUGAAGCUAGAGCUAUUCUUGAAUGAUUGAAAUUAAGAUUAAGAUGUGUUGAGAUGGAAAGUGGCAACACAAUGCUGAUUGAUGCUAUUUGUAAUGGGUUGGCUACAAUAAGUAGUGCUGCUGAAGUAAGACAAAUUUAUGAUUGGUGUUCCAAAAUUUUGGGAAGUCAAAUUUUGACAUUUUCAGCGGAAUGCCAAUAAAGUUGUUGAUUGCAUAGCUAUGGCAGAUGGAGGCAUAAUUGAGCAGCUGGUUAUCUUGAAAGAUCCUCUGCAUUAUGUGAGAUACUAGCUUGAAGAAGAUAUUAGACGGUCACUGGUGACUGAUGAUAAUUUUCAUUUGGACUGAUGAGCGCUUAAUUUUCUAAGCUUAUGGUCAACCAAAAAAAAUAAAUAAAUGCGUCUAAAUUGUAAUAGAGUUAACAUUUAGUGUUUAAAAAAAUCUUAAAAUUUUUUUUUCAAUUGCAGUUCAAUUCCAAAAAUAUCGAUGAUGAACCCGAACAUAAAAAUUACCAAAAAAAAAAACACAUCUAUUAUCAAACCAACAAUCCAUGUCUAAACUUAAAUUAACAAAAUUCGCCACCCAACCCAAUACACUAUUUUAUAUAUAUAUUAGAUUUAUUCUAGAUGCGCAUGUUUUAUUAUAUUUAAAAAUUAAAAUAUAUGGUUGACUGAGUUUUAGCUGAGUUGAUAUUGGUAUUAUUGUUAGUGUAAGAAAAUUUGAGUUUAAUCGUGUUCAAAUGUGUUUUAUCCUCCAAUUUAAAGGUUAGGAAAAUAUUAUUGAUAAUUAAAUUAUACCAACUUGAUGAUAUUAAAAAAAGGAUGUAUAAAAAAUAUAAGGGAGAAAAAAAAAAGGAGAAACAUAUUCAUAUUGAUGGGCUCUUUCAAUAUUAGACUUUUUUUCUCUCACAAGUAAAAGUAGUUAUGGAGAGGAUCAUGUAAAAUAAUAGCCUGAAUAAUUUUAAACGUCUCAUCAUUGCAAAAAUGAAAUAGUAGAAAAGAAAGAGUAGACAUUCUAUGAAAUUUAUAAUUCCAACCGUGAAUAAAAUAUAAAUUUUAUGAAUGUGGACAAGCAAUUUUAUUUAACUUUUUUUAAAGUCAUUUUGUUUGUUUCCUAAUCACCAUGAAAUUACUUGUCACAAUUCAUCUUUUUAAAUGAGAAACAUUUUCCACAAUUUGCCAUCACUUUAACAUACACUAACUUUUCUAUGAUUAGUCCUUUGUUUGCUUUGGGUGCAAUCUUCCAACUAGCCUCAUCCUUGGUUUUACUUUCCAACAUUUAGUGUAUUACGAGUUUUGUUUUCUUUAAAAAAUAUUUUUGUGGAUAUUAGGAGAUAAUGAAAUUAUUUUACUAUGAAAUUUUAAUAAAACUGGAAAAUAAGUCAUUUAUUUUAAGAGAUCACAAUUAAACAUUAGAUUUCCAAUUUUUUAAUUUUAAUUUUUUUUGACAAUUGCAUAAUAUUUUGAGCGUUGUAGGAAUGCCAUAACCUUCCCUACGCAUAAUCGACUCUUAAGUAUGAUGGAUCCUAGACCUUCUCCUCUAUUCUUGUACCACAAAUUGCUUCGAGUGUGGGUUCGGAAAAUCACAAAUUAAGCACAAAACCAAAAAUGAUUUUGUAACACCCCAAACCCAGCCUAGUCAUUAUGGAUUAAUGUAGACCUGAGAAGACUUAAUUACAUUUAUUAGUUUAUCAAUCAAAACUUAAUUAGAAUCCAUCAAUAUUUCACACAUAAAAAACCCAAACAUAAAAUUCACUUUUAAAUUAUUUGAAGAUAUAUUUGUAUUAUAGGAAAUGGAUUAAAUUAGUCUUUUUAUUAGUAAAUGUAUUAUUUUAAUCUUUUUAUUAGGUAUGAAUGAUAUCUCCUAGAUUGAAGGCAGAGCUAUUCUUAAAAGACUAAAGUUAGGAUUCAGAUGUGUUGAGAUGGAAAGUGACAACGCAAUGUUGAUUGAAACUAUUUGUAACGGGUUGACUACAAUAAGUAGUGCUACCGAAGUAAGACAGAUUCACGAUUGGUGUUCCAAAAAUUGGAAAGUCAAAUUUCGACAUAUUCAGCGGAAUGCCAAUAAAGUUGUUGAUUGCAUAGCUAAGGCAAAUGGAGGCAUAAUUGAGCAGCUGGUUAUCUUGGAAGAUCCUCCGCAUUAUGUGAGAUGCUAGCUUGAAGAAGAUAUUAGACAGUCACUGGUGGCUGAUGAUAAUUUUCAUUUGGACUGAUGAGCGCUUAAUUUUUUAAGCUUAUAUUCAACAAAAAAAAAAUUAAAUACGUCUCAAUUGUAAUAGAGUUAACAUUUAGUGUUUAAAAAAUAUCUUAAAAAUUAUUUUUUCCAAUUGCAAUUCAAUUCCACAAAUAUCAACGAUGAACCUGGACAUAAAAAUUACAAAAAAAAAAAAACACAUCUAUUAUCAAACCAGCAAUCCAUGUCUAAACUUAAAUUAACAAAAUUUGCCACGCAACCCGAUACACUAUUUUAUAUAUAUACUAGAUUUAUUCUAGAUGCACAUGUUUUAUUAUAUUUAAAAAUUAAAAUAUAUGGUUGACUAAGUUUUAGUUGAGUUAGUAUUGGUAUUAUUGUCAGUGUAGGAAAAUGUGAGUCUAAUUGUGCUCAAAUUUGUUUUAUACUCCAAUUCAAGGGUUAGGAAAAGGUUAUUGAUAAUUAAAUUAUACCAACUUUUAUGAUAUUAAAAAAAGGAUUUAUAAAUAAUAUAAGGAAAAGAAAAAAAGAGAGAAACAUAUUCAUAUUGAUGGGCUCUUUCAAUAUUAGACUUUUUUUCUAUCACAAGUAAAAAUAUCAAAGGUGAUAAUAAUUAAAUUAUAAAAUUUAAAUUGAGAAAAUAGGGGAUUGAAUUUAUAACUUUUAAAGUAUAAAGAAUGAAUUUAUAACUAACAACAUAUUUUAACCACACAAUAAAAGUAGUUAUGGAGAGGAUCAUGUAAAAUAAUGACCUGAAUAAUUUUAAACGUCUCAUCCUUGCAAAAAUGAAAUAAUAGAAAAGAAAUAAGUGUUGGGUGUAGUGGCAAUGUACAUUAUACUUCUAAGGGGAGAUCAGGGUUUUAUACAAGGGAAGAAUUUUAAACCUGCUUUUUUCUCUAGAACUCAACGCAAACCUCAAAUUUAUCUUUUUAUAAGAAUUUUAAUAUAUCUAUAUAAAAGGUGAUUUUUUUGCCGAUCACACUUAACAAAAUUUUAAAUUUUUUUUUUUGAAAUUUAAAGUGAUCUAAAAACAUAUUUUUAAGUGCUUUAGACCAUCCUGUGUUGAUUUCUUUAGUAAUUUGAUUUGUUCAAUAUAGAUUUUGGUGACUUAACACAAAAUUAAUAAAAAAUAUUUUUUCAGAUAUCUUUUUAAUGUUUAAUAAUAAGUUAAUUUAUAAAAUAUACUUUCAUAGGACACAGGCCUCCAAGGCGGUGAACCACUAAUGAAAUUAAUUUUGAGAUACUUAAAUUUGUUUUCAUCAAUUAAGAAAUUUGAAAAAUUGUUGAGACCUCAUGAUUAUCUUUUAUAAUUUCAGGCUUAUCACCAAAAAACUAAAAAACAAAAUCGUCGACAUUAAAUUUGUUGGCAUGCAAUCAAUUUUAAGAUGGUUUUUGGAGUUAUAUAUCACUUUAGCAUGGACUUACUUUUCUACAGUUAGUCUUCUCCAACAAGUUAAAUAUUUCAAUUUUAACAACAUUGACAGGUCUUUGGGGUAGGGUCGAGCAAAACUCAAUAGAAAUAGAUGAUAUAGAUUGAGUUAGCUCGGCCAAGUCGAGUCGACUUGUUCAAAUUAGUUAAAUUAGUAAAUUUUAGGGUGCAGUUAGAAUUUUUUUUUGUUUUGAGAUGCUAAGAUUAAAAAAUUUCAGUUGCUAAAACAAAAAAAUUGUAUUUAAAAAAAGGCAUAAAGAAAGGCUGAAUGACAAAUUGCCCAAAGCCCAUGCCCCUAGCUAUACGCCCCUGGUAAAAUCAAUUUUAAAAUUAGUUAUAAUAGUUGAAGCGAUUGAUUAUUGAGGAAUGAAAUACAUAGUUCAACAAAAUAAAUAAGUUGACAAAUUUUGACAAAAAAAAUCAAAAAUAAAAUAAUAGAAAAGAAAGAGUAGCCAUUUUAUGAAUUUAUAAUUCCAACCGUGAAUAAAAUAUAAAUUUUAUGAAUGUGGACAAGCCAUUUUAUUUAUAAUUUUCUGUGUUUUUCUUCUUUUCCUGACUUUUUUUUAAAGUCAUUUUCUUUGUUUCCUAAUCACCAUGAAAUUACUUGUCACAAUUCAUCUUUUUAAAUGAGAAACAUUUUCCACAAUUUGCCAUCACUUUAACAUACACUAACUUUUCUAUGAUUAGUCCUUGGUUUGCUUUGGGUGGAAUCUUCCAACAAUUAGUGUAUCACGAGUUUCGUUUUCUUUAAAAAAUAUUUUUGUGGAUAUUAGGAGAUAAUGAAAAUUAUUUUACUAUGAAAUUUUAAUAAAACUUUAAAAUAAGUAAUUUAUUUUAAGAGAUCACAAUUAAACAUUAGAUUUCCAAUUUUUUAAUUUUACAAUUUUUUGACAAUUACAUAAUUAAUAAGGUACCAAUGUUGAGCGUUGUAGGAAUGCUAUAACCUUCCCUAAACAUAAUCGACUCUUGAGCAUGAUGGAUCCUAGACCUUCUCCUCUAUUCUCGUACCACAAAUUGCUUUGAGUGUGGGUACGAACAAUCACAAAUUAAACACAAAACCAGAAAUGAUUUAUUACUUUUAAUAGCAAAGUAAUUCUCUCUCAAUAGAAACCAAUAGAAUUGUAAUUCCCAUAAAAUAAAAUUUAUUUUCUGAAAUAUAUUCUCACUACUUUCUAGCAGAGUAACAAUAUUUAAAACUUAUGUCUUGUGUUAAUAGCUUUACUAGCACUAUCUAUUUAUAGGGAGAGAGAUGAGAGUCCUGGUUGAAUUAGUAAAACACGAAUAAUAUUUAUUUCAUAGAAGACAAUUUCAUAGAAAACUUAUGUCUUGUGUUAAUAAUGUUGAAUUUGUAUGUACAAGUUUCUAAUACACUUGUUGGGACAUUCUUUGACUUUUAUCUAUUCUCUCAAAAAGUUAAAGUUCAAAGUUGCAUUAAACUCAAAUAAGAUAACCAUUAGCAAACCAGCUCACAAGCCUGCUCAAGCUAAUCCUACAAGUCAUUCCACUUCAUCAUCAAGCACCAAUGUUCUUGCUUAUCCUUAUGGAAUUAAACAAAAGAAAAAAGCUCUUUAAGAGUUAUUUCAAUAGACUUCUUUAAUGGUAAAUGACAAUCCACUCUAUUGAUGCUUCUUCGCCCAACUCAUGAUUUAAAAGAAGUUUAUACUCAUGGAUCAAGUGUAGCUCACCAGUUAUCAUUAAGGAGAAAAAAGAGUCAAUCAAGUGAAAAUUAUAUUCCAACAUCCCCCCUGAACCAAAUUUUAGAGUGAUGAAUGUCAUGACAACUGACACUACAUUCUUAGAAGAAUAAGUAGAUCUCUAGCAAAAACGAUGGAGAGUCUUACUACAAGCAUAAAAGGAAUGGAUGAUCAAAUUGAACAUCUUAGAGGAAGUAACCAAACCUUUUCCUACGAAACUCAACAUCCUCUUCACAAAGUUGUUGGAAUCAAAAUUGUUGAAGGACUUUAAAGUGUUUCUUUAGAUCAAGUUAAGGAGCUCAUUAAAGAAACCAUUAAAGAUCAAGUCAAAAGUGUUGCUCUACCUUCAUAUACAUACUUGAAGCCAUACAUUUGAAGGGCUUAUCAUUUGAAUAUGCCUGAACAUUAUCCACCUCCAAAAUUGCAAUAGUUUGAUGGUAAAGGAAAUCUAUGUAAACAUGUCGCUCACUUCGUGGAAACUUGUGAUUGCGUCGAUGUAACACCCCACUCGCGACCUAAUCGCUGGAUUCGAGAAGAGAGAUACCGAAAUCAUGUUGGAAAAAUCUAGUUUGAAAAUGGUUUUAUUUAUAGAGGAAAAUAAAAAUUUUGAAAACUGACUCGGUUUGUGAUAUUUAUGGCAAUAAAUGUUAAACUGAAAUCAUAAAUGUGCUUUUGAAUAAGCAAAUCCUUGAUGUUUUCUAGCUUUAAACCAAAUUAUCUUCUUCACUAUUCUCAUACCACAAAAUGCUUUGAAGUGUGGACUUGAACCAAUUGAAUCAAAACACAAAACUUGAAAAAGCUUUUUAUUCUUUUCGGGGUGAAACCUAAAAUUUUCUCUUAUUUAAUAGAAACCAGUAGAAAUGUUUAUUUUGGAAAAAUAUAUUUAAUAGUUAAGAAUAAAUUCUCCUUAUUUUUCAAUAGAGUAACAAUCUCUCAAAGUUGUAUAUAAAUCCCUACUGAUGCCAGAUAUUUUUAAGAAGAGAAGAUAGAACCCUUGUGGAAUUGUAGAAGCUUAUUUCAACUAGAAAAAUAACUUCCUACUUAGAGUAGGAGCAGGUUGGAUGGCAUCCCCUGUCGCCCCUUCGUUUUCCAUGAAGGGAUUUUGGAUCUCUCUCACAUUAGAUCCAACUAUGAGUGCUUUUCGAGCAUUUAGACUCAGUACUUUGUAAUUUGACCCAACUCAAUUCUAUUUUUUUAUUUCCCAAAAUAAACUUCAAUAUUUUAUAUUAAAUAAUUUUCUCAUCCAAAUUUUACCCUCAAUAGAAUUUUUGAGAAAAUAUAUUUAAUAUUUCACAAUUCAACUUGUUCAUUAUGAUCGAAUGAUUUAUUUUCAUUUUCUAGAUUUUAUAUAGCUGAAAAACAUAAACUCAUUCUCCUGAUCAUUUUUAAGUAUAUUCAUCUACAUUUGAAAAUGAAUCAUUUCUCAUUUUCGUUUCCAAAUGAUUUCAUUUCUCCAUUUCGAAGAAAUGUAUAAUCAUUCCUGAAUGUUUGUCAUUUCUUUAUUUCUAUUCAUUUCGAUUCAAACAUGCAAUUCAUUUAUGGUUUCAACGAGCUAGUGAAGGGACUAAUUGGACAUAUACAAUUAGGGCUCAAAUGAUUUAUAUUUGAAGUUUCAACUUUUCAUCUAUUAAUUAUAAACUCAUUUAGUCAUGAAGUCAUUCCACUAUAGUAUCAUGGCUGAGCUUGUGGUUCCCCAAACUUGGACGAGACAGUCUGACCCAAAAUUUGAAACUUACAUUAGCCACCAAAAUGAUUCUCUGUUAAAAUACUACAAAACAGACCAACCAACCAUGCAGGCCACACAUUUUCAACAUAAAUCAUAAUACAAUUAAUCCUAAUUGCAUGCCUUUCUAAACAUACCAUAAAAAAUGAAGAAAAAAAAUUCAUAUUUAGGUCACCUGUGAACCCACCCACUUAGAAACCUAGUAGCACGCAUCAACUUGGCGAGCACCAGCUGAAGACCUCCUCGCGACCCCCAGCUCAUUGCUAGCCCUACGAACCACUAGUUUGCUACUACCCUGUGAUCCCUAAAUAUUGGCAAACCUAGACACACAACUCCCCUUUUAUUUUAAUAGACUACUCAAGUCGUUGGCUCACUUGCGAACUCCUCUAUUUAGUGAACCUACCUAAUAAGGCAAACUCACUAUCCUGACGUACGCAUUAACUAUGGAGAACCUUCUAUUGCUUGGCGUACUCCCUCCUAAUGGCAAACACUAGGUUAUAUAGGGCUAGUCUAUACUAGCGGACUCCCUAUACUUUGGCGAACACUCUAUUAGGGAACUUAUGGUUUUUGGUGAACACACUUUUGUUUGGCGAAACCUACCUUUGGUGAACUCACCCCUAUUGUUGAACACUGUGUUAUGGUAAGGUCCUAUUCCCUUAUGACCCCUGUCUCACACUAUGCUAGGUUGGCUCGUAAGUAUUCUUUCAAUGCGUUAUUACUUCUAUAACAUGCAUUCUAUGUUAUCACUUUAUCUCAACCAAAAAAUUGGUUCAAGGGCGUACCUCAAAAUUCGGCGAACUCCUUGUUUUACAUAAGUAUGUUAGUUCAUCAAUUUACCUAGCAAAAUCAUGUAUUAUAAUCCAAACAAUCAAGCAUUCAAUCAAGCACUUAUAAAGUCUAAAAAUCCAAAAUUUAAAUAGUUCGUAAUAUCUGUUUACAACUUGUCAAAGUUUAUUUAAAAAUUCUAGGUCUACAUCUGAUUCCUUAGGAUAGUCCCACAUUGCCUUCAACUAUAGGGUUUGUAAAAACAAAUCACGUACUCGAAUGGAUUUGCCUUAUGUUGCAUCACUAGAUUGCCAUGCUUCACAACUAGUCACGUGAACUACUUAUCUGCAAGAUAUAUGCAAGGAGUGUGAGCUUAUUGAAGCUCAGAGAAUGCUUAAGCACACAACACAUAAAACACAUCAGUCAUGCUAAAAUUUAGACAUGUUGUAACAAUUCACAUAAAAUAUAAUAAUCAUGCUCGUCAUAGUAAAAUAAUGGCAAUUUGUGAAUAUGAAACAUAAUCAUAUUAUAUAUGCAUUGGAUAAGUAGAUCUUUAGAAUACUCCAAAUGACAUAGAGAGUCAUGCGCUAUCUUUGAUAAGUGUAGUAUGAAUGCUCACACUCUCCAAACACUCCAUACUAUCCUCAAAAUUGGAGCUAAGCUCGACAUUCCCUUAUCUCUCCAAUGCUAUCUUCAGGCCAUAAUGCCCCAUCAUAUAGUAAAAAUGGUGAGUACUCACAAUCCUAUGACAUGCCAAUGAUAUCUAACGGUUUCAAGUGUUCACAAUGCCAACAUAUGAUUUUUAUUUCAUUCACUUUACACAAUUUAAAAGGCCCACAAUAUAGUAGAUCUCACAUAUAAUAGUUCUUAAUAACACAACUCACAUUUUUGUAGGGCUCGCAUGAUACAUAAGUUCGUAAUAACAUAGAUUCGCAUAACACUUAUGGCUCACAUAUAUUUAGGGCUCGAAUGCAACAUUUGGGUUUCCAUAUAUUUAAACUAGCAUAAUACAGGGGCUCGCGUAACAUGUUUUGGCUUGCAUGUAAUAUAGGGCUUGAUCACAUAUAUAGGUUUGCAUGAUCUUAGGGUUCGCAUCACAUAUAUAAGUACGCAUGAUACAUGGGUUCACUCAACAUGUAUAUAUAAACUUGCACAUCAAAGUAUAGGCUCGCAUGCAUUAAGGUAAUAGAUUUUGCAAACAAUUUAGAGCUAGCACACAUCUUAGGCUUGCAUACAUACAUGUUAGCAAGGUCUGCAGGUCACAAAUCGGGGCUCGAAUAACUAUAGAGGCUUGCAUAGAAAUAUAACAGUGUUCGCAUAUCAUUUUAAUCAGCUUCACACAUUAAAUCAGAUAGUUUGUAUGCCUUACUUGGCUUUCAUUAGCAUGCGAACUCUUGUUUUUGACGUAGUGUGUAAGGACACUCACUAGUUGUUUGUUGAUACUGUCAAACCUAUACCACAUUUUGCUUGACUUUUUCCUUGCUUGUAGAUGCACCUUUAUAUUGAGAGGCUUUGCAUAAAACAAGAAAAUAUACAGAUUGCUACUUUCACAAACAUAUUAACCUUCUUAACUAACAUAGCAGCUCACCACUUCUAAAUUUACCGAACUCACCUCAUGUGACCUUAAACUUUUAGUUACUUUAUUUUAGUUCAAUUAAAUCCCCAAUUAUUACUUCCUAAUCUCAUAAGUAAGGUUUAAUUAUAGAUCUAGGCCAUUAAUUUUAGUCAAUUCUUAAAAUCAACAUUUUUCAAAAAAUCAUGCUCAUUUUCUAUCUCAAGAAGAAAAAUCACUUGAUUCAUGCAAUUCCUUUAAGGAUUUGUUAAAUCAAGUUUAUAAACCUCUUAAUUAUGCCAAAAUGAGUUAAAAAUUAUUUUAAAAUCAUGACUUAGCUCACUAUUAUGAGAUUCACCAUUUUUUUAUAUAAACCAAGCUUUAAAGCCAUAGAUCCAAUGAUUUCUCUUGAAACUUCAGGUGCAGUGCACUAACUAUGAAUAAUGUGGACUGAAUAUGUUUUUGGUACUCCAUGGAACUCCUCCUUCAACCACAAAAUCCCAACCCAAUUUAUAUGCAAUAUGUCACACAAUCUCAUACAUAAUCCUAUCUUAAUACUUUUCACAUUCAUUUGACAUGCUCAGCAUGUCCUCAAUAAUCACAUACUUUCAUACUUUUAGAAAAUGGAAACAGUGUUCCAAAGUUUCAAUUACCAUUGUGUUGGUAUCAAUCAAUAUCAUUCAAUUACACAUACUUUAUAGAUUUCCAUUGUGUUUAAAUAGCACCCUUUUCAAUACACAAUAUAAAAAAUAUCUCAUGCAUUUAAUCAUACAUAAGCUUUAUAUCUCAACACAUUAUAUCAUUCAGUCAAACAUUCUCAUAUCUUAUAAUUCAAAUAUGCAAUUACAAACUCAAUCAAACAUUCAUACUAUCAAACUAGCAAUUUUGCCAACAUGUUAAUCUUUUAAGGCUCAAAACAUAAUUGGUUCAGCCACUCACAAAAUCAAUAAUUUGGCUAUUAAGCCAAUCCAAUCAACAAGCUAAUUUAUCACAUAUAACAUGAUAUUUAACAUUUUCAAAAAAAAUUAUAAGUUUAGGACCCACGCAUUAUUUUUUGCUUCCUCGCAACAUACUAGCGAAUCUUCCAAUCUUCCUUAAUAAUUCCUUAAACGAACCUAAACCAAAAUGAAGCAUAAAUUCAAUCAAUUUACCAUUAAGCCAACCCCCAAACACCCACUUGUGAGUUCAAACUGAUCAUUGAAAUUAAAACUACUUUAUGAAUCCAAACUAGUUAGAUUCCUUAAACUGUAUCGAUGCAAAUCGUACGUACAAUCGUUCUUCACCUUUAUGGAUGAUUGGGGGUGUUUGGGUCAGCACCUAAUUCAAUAAUAUACUGGAAAAUCAGUAGUUAAUCAAUGAUUAACUUUCUUUAUUUAACCAAUUCAUAACCUUUACCCAACAACUAUGCCAAAAUAACAAACUAGUUUACAAUUAAUCGUACUUAUACUUCUCAAAUUAUAAGAUUCGAAUGGCUAAUUGAUCAAGAAUGUCUUUUGUAACAUCCCAAAAAUUAGGUUAGAAGAAAUGAGAUUUUGAAACCAAGAGUGGUCAUCCCUCGAUUAUGAGUUUAUAUCUUGGAAAAUUUGACAAGUAAAUUGAUCUGGCUUAAUGGUUAAUUGCUAUGGUUAUAUGUGUUAGGUUCUGGGUUCAAAUCUUGUUUUUGGAAAAUUUGUUACUUUUCUUAAACCCUUACCUUGAAUGUUUGGCUUUUAAGUUAAAUUUAGUCAAUUGAGGUCAAGAAUGAGCCUGUUGGUUUAAUGGUUAAGUUUCUGCAUAAUCCUUGGUCUUGUGUUCGAAUCUCAGCGAAAGCAACAGGGAAUGUUUUGUUUUUGAAUUUUUUAUAAGGUAGUUAGUUUCGAUUGGUUAUUUAAAGCCUUCUAGAAACCUCCGUUGCUUUUACUUUUAUUUUGUUCUUUCUUUUUCUACAAUGUUUUCUAUCAUUUUGUUUUCGAUCUUCAGUUUCCUCAUUUUGGUUUUUUAUUUUCAAGCAACCUUCUUUUUGUUAUGUUACGUUACACUAAUUGUGUAUAAGGUUUAACUUCUCCUUCUAGUUAAUUUGCUGGUUGGUAAGUUCAAUUUAAAGUUUUGGUGUCGAAAGUUCUUUAACAUAACUUCAAUUUUGGAAUGUUAGUUUCUAGUGGUUUGACUGCGAAUUAAUCGUUUGUUAGGGAAUUGCUUGUCGUUUAGGGACCUGAAUUUAUCCUUGUUACUCCUACAUCGAGUUCGUAUCAAGUGGGUAUCAAAAAUAUCUUCUUCUUCAAAUUUUAGUCGUCGAAGAAUAGGACUAUCAAUGCCACAUGGUCAUGCGCAAACUAUCUAGGUACAAUCUGUAUUCUAUUAAGUUUGUUGGUAUGCCUCUGCAUUACUCUAUUGAUAAAGAAUAUGUGACAUUUGAUUAUGUUAGAUUGGUUGUUACUGAUUCUAAUUUAUAACCCUCUGUUUUACUUUAUAGAUGUGGAAUACACAAUAUCUGAAAAUGUUAGACUAAUUGUUACUGAUUCUGAUUUAUUGUCGUGCAUGUGACUUCAUGGCAAAUAUGAUAUGAUCUGUUGAGGUUUGAUAGGUCUAUUUUCCAAAACAUGGACUCUCAUGUCUCCUAAUUCUGUUAUUGAAAGAUAUCAUAACUUACAUGCUCAUCACUCUGAUUCUGCAUAUGUAUGUCAUGACACGUUGCAUGGGAUUUGGGUUGAUGUGAAAGGUAAAAGUUACUGGCAGUUAAUGAUCCGCAUUAUCUGAGGUUUAUCCUCAAUUCUGUUUCGGCAGCUUAGUUGUACUAUAUUAACUUGACCACAUGUAACCGAUAUGGCAGUCUUAACUACAAAAUUCUAGUGGCACCAUCCACAGUUAUCUGUUGGUGUGAUUUGGCUAGACGAGUUCUGAGGGAACUCUAUUUUGGAUUGUAGUGGAGUUUUGGUAGGAUGUUUUCUGAUAAUUCUGCAUUCUGAUCUAUUUGAGAAAUACAACAUCUUCAUAACACAUUUUCUACUUUGCUCUAUUCUGUUCUAUUCUGUUCUGCUCUCUUCGGUUCUAUUCUAUUUGAUUUGUUAUGUUCUGCUUCAUUCUGUUGUGCUUGGUUCUAUUGUACUAUCGUUAUGGAAAUUUUCAUGAUAUUCUCGAUCUAUUCCAUACUAGCUAUAAAACUAUUAUUAAGUUCUUUGAGUUACUUUGAUUUAUAUAAUAAAAUCUAUUUAUUUGUAUCUAAGUUUGGUUAUACGCGACGCUUGGUAGUUCUCCCUUUGUCUUAUCUUAAUCUAUUUAGGUGGAUGUUUUACAUUGAUAUAACUAUGAUUUGAUCUUUUAGGUUGUAAUUUGUUUUUGGACUUGCAUUGCUUUUCUUUUGAUAAUCUCAUCAAUAUUUGUCAUUUUCUUACACAAAAAUAAAAAAACCACCUAAGUCGACUAAAAUGAAUUUCUGGUUUUCAAUGUUAAAAUUUUGAAAAGAAAUUAGUUUUCUACAUGUUGGUGUAGCUCGUCCAAAUUUGACUUAAACUUCUAGGUUGGGUUUGGGGUGUUGUAUCUUUCCAUAAUUAACAUGUGAUUAAUCUUUUAUUAGGAGGAUUCAAGAACUCAACUUAAUGAUGGAAAAAUAUAGGUAAGAACCAAGAAACAAAACAACCCCCUUUCUUGCACACAGGCGUACGCACCACCACCCAUGGUGGCCAAAAUUGGGGAAGAAUUUUAAAAUGGUUUGAAAUCUCAUUAAAAUCUAGAAAAAUACAAUUGAAUUCAUUUAAAAUCCCCCAAAUUCCAGAUCUAAAAAUUUUUCUUUUUAAUUGACAAAAUUAAUUAAGAAUUUGAAGAGAAAAGAGAUCUUCCCAAGCUAGUUAAAAGAAACGACAAUGACACUUUCUUGGCAAUGUUCAAGAUUGAUCUUGGGUUCAAGAUUUUAGAAUUGGGGAUGAUUUAGAUGAGAAAAAAUGGUAGGAAUAGAGUAAAGGAGAUGGUGUACAAUCUUGAUGCAAAAAGAAGAAGAAAGAGUUGGUAAAUGGGAGGUGUAGGCGACGACAACAAUAGGAGAAAGAAAGAAAAUUAAAGAGAAAAGUGGAGAGGAAGAUGGUGAACGGAUAGAGUAGGGAAAAUUUGAAUUAAAGGCUGAAAAAUACAAUAAAAAUUUCUAUUUAUACUUAGGGUUCAAGGGUAUGGAUCGCACAUACAUUUAAAAAAAUAAAGGAUUUUACGAAAUUUAAAAUUUCGUAAAGGAAAGGAUUCGAAAUUGGGACCUCAUUUAAUUUUCAUGUGUUCUCAUAUUUCUUUUAACCAUUAUGAUAUUUUCUCAUUCUUAAAAUCAUUUUACAAGAUUUAGUUUAAAAAUAAGGCAUGCCACAUUCUAGGGUUUAAGGCAAAAUUAGCAAAAUAAUAAAAAUAGUGAGAGAGAAGGGAUUUGAACUUGGGUUUCAUGGAAUGUUUGACUAACACUUAUCCAACAAACCAACACCUUAUUGAUUUCCUAAAAAUGCAUAGAUAAUCUCAAAAAUUAAGGCAUGACCACUCUUUCUCGAUUCACAAACCCGAUUAUGCUAAACCCUAAUUUUUGGAAUGUUACAAGGUAAGUUUGUAGUGUAACAAUAUAUAUGUGUGUGUUUUAGGGAUACGAUUGGCAUGCCAAUAGGGUUAGUAUGCAUGCUUGUACUGGAUCACACUUUGGUUCUUCUCUUUACACUUUGGUGCCUCUCUUUGCACUUCAGUGCCACUGUAUUUGCACUACAGUGCCUCUAUUAGCAUUUCGAUGUUUGGGGGAAACCCAAGUAUCGAAGUCAUUUUGCUGUAGUUCAACAUGCUGUGAAAUUUUAUGUUUAAAUGUUAAAUUACUCUUGAAUUUGAUUUAUAUACAAUGAUAUAUUUGUGUAUCUAUGUACAUAAGCAUUGAUUGCUUUGGUUUGAGCCAUUGUUUAUAUUGAAUCAUAUGAGAUGAAUGUUUUGAUUACUAUAGUUUGAGAAUAAAUAUUAAUUCCUUGGUGUAAUUAUAUGAUUCAUAUGUCUUUAAACAUGUUAUCUAAUUAUGUUUAUGGUGUGUUUAGAGAAUUAAAUUAUUAUAUGAGUAUUUUCCAGGUAUUCAAUGUUGUUUCAUUUGGUUUAAUGGGUAAAUAAAGCUUUAAAGGGUAUGUGAUUACACGAAAUGCACUACGAUAUUUGAGCAAUGAUAUGGAUCAUGAUGAAAUGUUUAAUUGAAAAGGAAAUAUGGUUUAGUAUAUAUAUAUGAGUGGUGAAUUAUGAAAGUGAAAUAUAGAUAUGUUAUAUACCAUGUUUUAUUCAAAUUAUAUAUGAUAUGUUACACCAACUAACCUUGUGAGGUGGUGGGUAUAGGAAAGGAAAGUUGGCUUAAAACAUAAUGAAAUUAUGCCUGCCUUUUUAACAUAAAAUAUUCAGUAAAUUAAGUUUCCUUUAUAUGAACUUACUCAACAUUAGUUGCUUGCAUAGUUAUUUUUCUUUAUUUUAUAGUUCAUCAGAAGCUCGACCGGUUGGAAUCAUGUCAAAGCACGAUCACACUAUCCAUUCAACAUUUUGAUAGCUUUUUUUAUUUUGGUAAAUGGUUAUAAAUGACAUGUAAUAGGGUUUAAAUGUCAUUCUAGUGAUUUGACUUGUUUUGAGUUGUGUCAAACUUCUUGUGAUUGAUGUUGUUAGUUGUUGGCAUGUAAAUAAUGGUGUAAAUAUGUGACAGCCCAAAAUUGACCCUAGUCGGGAAGUGGUUUCGGGACCGCUAAACCGAGUCACCGAAAGGUUUGAAUGUGAUGUUUAUUAUCUAGAAUAUGUAAUAAUGAAUGUGUGAAAAUUUCAAGCUUCGAUUUAGUCGAUUGCAUGCGAGUUUAGUCAAUAGGACUUAUAUGAGAAAAACUUUAAAAUGUGAUAGGUCAAUGCAUGAGGACCUAUUAGUGCAUGUGGAAGAAAAAGGGGACUUGCAUGUCAAAUUCCCCCUCCCUAAUAUGUAGUGGCCGGCCAUGCUAUGGGUGGAAACAUGUCACCAACAUGUUGUGUUAGUGAUGUAUGGUAAGGAAAAUAAAAUAUUAAGCAUGAUAAUUAAAAUAAAUUAAAGAAAGGAAUUAAACAAUGAAAAGGAAGGGUGAUGAAAAAAAUGGUCUCAUCCAUACCCCCCCCCCUUGUUGCCGUGAGUUGAGGAAAGAAAACAAAAAAAAAUGUGUGUUCAUUCUUGAACACCUUUGGCCGAAUAGAGGAAAGAAAGGAAGGGGAAGAGCUUGAGAAAAUCGGCUAUGGUGGUUUGCUAGACUAAGGUAUGUUUGAUGUUGUUCUUGAGAUGCAUGCAUGUUUUAGUAGUUGACUUGAGUUCUAAAAACCCAUGGUUCAAUUUUGUGGAUUGAUGAAGAUUUUGUGUUUUGCCAUUGAUGAGUGCUUGAGCUUUUUGAUAGUUGUUGAUGAAAAGUGAAAGAUAUGUUAAAGAUUAAUAUGUUUUGUGUUGAAGUUUUUGGUGAUUUUGAGUAGUUAGGGCUAUAUUACAAAAACAAAUUUUUGAAGGACUCAAAGGUGAAAUAAAUGAGAUGUAUGGACUUAUAUGGGCACUAGGAAGAUUCGGCCCUUAAGGAGUGUGACCAAACUUUGUGUAUUUUGUGUUUUGUGGAAUAAAGACUAAAUUGUGAAAGUGCGAAAUAUUAGGGGUAAAAAUGUAAUUUACCCAUUUAUGCGUUAUUAGACUAAAUUGAAUGAAAAUAUGUUAAAUUAAGGCUUGGCAAGCUAGCUAUUAAGGUGAAAUGCUAAUGUUAGUAUUUGAUUCGGUAAUAAUCUGUUUGGGGACAGCAGCAGUAAGGUGAUUUUGGAAAAUCGCCAUAAUUUGUAGGAGUUGAAUUAGAAGCUGAGUGAAUUAUGCCAUUAAAGCUUGAAGAGUCUAUUUUCUUACAAAAGAAACUAUGAAAACAAAAGAGUUACCGAUCUUGAGAUAUUUGAAGUAUUGUGGGGCUGAGUCAAAAUGACUACUAGAUUCCCUGUUCUGUUUUUAGAAAAUCAUUAUAAAUUGUACAAAAAUUAUUAUAAGAUAAAAUUUAUAUGCUUAGACUCCUUAAUGAGUCUAGUUUCAAAUGAGAUCAAAUACAACACAUUUUGAAUUCUGUAAAAUGAGAAAUUUGAUUCGUAGUGAAGAGUGGUCAGAAUAGUCAAACAGUGAAACAGGGGAAACUUUAAGAAAAAUCUGGUAUUGAUUGGCCAAGCCAAAAAUUCUGAAAAUUUUAUGGAUGGAAGAUAUAUGAGUCUAUAUUCAGGGAAAAUUAACAGCUAGUGAUUUGGAGUUUUGUAGCUCCAGUUAUAAACAAUUUAGCGACUACUGCUCAGGAAAACAGCUCGUAGUGAAUAUGUGAUUUUGUUGUAAACAUUAAUGAAAAUUUGCCAAUGAGUUAUUUAUUGACUAUUACAAAGCUUACUAUAAUCUAUGUGUGUGAAAGUCAAAUCAAUAUAUAUAUUAUUCUGAAAGUAAUACUUGAAUAGUCGAUUAAUGACUAUUUUAAGUUAUUGAUUUGGCUCAAGGAGUUAAAGGAGGUGAAUCGAGCAAAGGCAAAGAAAAGGUUAUCGAGUAGCCGAGUUGGAACCGUCUUACCCAACACGAGGUAAGUCAUUAAGCAUGUAGUUGGUAUUAUUUCAAUGGUCAUAAUGUUUAUGUAUUGAUGCUGAAUGGAAUGAAUAAAUAUACAUAUAUAUAUAUAUAUGUGCAUGUACGUAUGUGAUGAUGAGAUUGUUGAAUGAAAGAAAAGAGGUAAGAUGUACUGAGUUGUUGAUCUCGGCACUAAACGUGCGGGAUAACCAUUUAUGACCAUGAGAUUGGCGCUAAGUGCGCGGGAUUAAAUUGUACAGCACUAAGUGUGCGAUUUGACUAUGUUGCACUAAGUGUGCGAAAUGAAUAUGAUGCACUAAGUGUGCGAAUUGACCAUGCGGCACUAAGUGUGCGAGUUUGACUAUGUAGCACUAAGUGUGCGAUUUGAUUAUGUAGCACUAAGUGUGCGAGUUGAUUAUAUAGCACUGAGUGUGCGGACUCGAUAUACAUUCGUGAAUCAUUAUGGACACUAUGUGUGCGACACUAUUGAGUCGAUCGCGGACAGCGGAUCGGGUAAGUGUCUUGAGUACAUGGCUAAUAGGUGCUAUGCUUAUACUUGGUGUUGAGCUCGGUAAGUUUGAACCUAUGUGACAAAUAUACUUGAAGUCACGUACAUAAAAUUUAUCGUAGGAUUGGUGAAAGGCCGUUUAGUCGUUUGAUUGUAACGAAAAUAAAUUGAUUUAUGAAAAUGCUUCAAUGUCCUAUUGAUGAGUAUAUGGAAUGUGAAUGCAUGAAUUGAUAUGAAAUUGAAUUGAUAGGUUGGAGGAACUAUGGUAUGGUUCGGAAUGGAUGGAGUAAUUAGCCUCGUUCCAUUUUGUUUUCUCUUGUGAUAAUGUUAUUGAUGGAUGGUAGUGCAUAGCUUAUGACUUACUGAGUUAUAAACUCACUCGGUGUUUCCUUGUCACCCAUUAUAGGUUGCUUGGACUCAUCUAUUUUUUUGCGUGGUCGGGCCGUCAUCGAAGUCAUCACACCGGAUAGCAAGUUUUGGUACUUUCUUCUUAGUUGGCUUAGAAGAACAUUUUGGCAUGUAUAAGCUAUUACGUUGUGUUUGAACUUUGGCAUGUAAACUUUAAGCCAUGUGAAAAUGGCACGAAUGUUCGAUUGAGUUGGAUCAAGGGUAGGCAUGAAAUGGACCUAGUUACUUUCGUAACAGAUGCUGGCAGCAGCAGUGUCAUGAGAUUGAAAAAUCAUUAAAAAUAGUAGGAGUGGAAUUAAUUGAUGAAUAAAUUAUGUAAUCGAAGCUCGAUGAGUCUGUUUUCAUGAGGAAGUAACGAAAAGAUCAUAUGGGCAGUAUAUUAAGAGAUAAUCAGAUUUUUGUGGGACAGGGCCAGAACGGUUUCUGGAUUCCCUUCUCCGACUUUGGAAAUUCAUUACAAAUUAACCAGAGAUAAUUAGGGGUCGUACCAUAUAUGUACAGAUUCCUCUCUGAGUCUAGUUUUCAUAGAAAUAAACGGCAUCAGUAUUGGAGCCCCGUGCAGGGAGAUAUCCAAGUCGGAAUGGGAAAAGGUCAGUGUAGUCGACCCCUGCAACUGGGGAGACUUUGACUAAUAAACUGUACUAAUUGGCCCGACCAAAAAUUCUAGAAAAAAAUACAUAGAUGGGCACAUGAGUCUAGUUUCUGGGAAAAAUUACGAAACUGAUUUUCGAGUUAGGAAACUCAAGAUAUGAUUUUUAAAACGACUAGUACACGGAUUGGGCAGUGUCUGGAAAAUAAAUUUUGUAAGGGGUUAAAGCCAGUUAACACCUCGUGUUCGACUCCGGUGUCGGUUUCGGGUUCGGGGUGUUACAAAAUAUGUGUGGUUGGACCCUUAUGCAUGCUUUAUUGAUUAAAGAUAUCAUAUGGUAAAAUGGCAUGUUUUUGGAAUGGUUAUUUGGCAUGAUUAAAAUAGGUUUAAGUUUUGAUCUUGAGACGUUGAAUUGAAUUAAGUUUAAGAUGUAUAUUGUGAUACCUUCAUUGGCAUAUUUGUUAGAUAUUAAAGGAUGGUUGAUUUGGUAUGUUUUUGAAAUGGUUGUUGGUAUGUUUGAUCUAAGUUGAUUAAAUGAACUUGUAAUGUUCAACGGUAUAAUACUUGUUGGUACAUUAGUUAGUCUUAUAGGUUGAUGGAAUUGGUAUGUUUUAAAUGUGUUUAAAAUAUGUUUUGGUUAUUUCAAUGUUUGUGGAAAUGGUGUGUCUUGGUGUACAAGAUUUGUAAUUGAAAUGGCUCUAUUUAGAAGCAACUUCUGCUGCACACUACCUGGGACACGAGUUGUCACAUGGUUGUGCAUCAUUAAUGUUUUAGGUGCAGGUUUCACACAAUCUAAGACUCGGCUCACGACACGGUCUGGGCUAUGUCACACAGCUUGGCCGCAUGGCCAUGUGACCCUUGUUUUCAAGUUUUCAAAAUUUUCUAUUUUAUUUCAAAUUGAUCAUAGAAUAUUCUCAAACUAUUUUUAAGGCCCCGUAGGUUCGGAUUAUGGCCCGUAAGUGUAUGUUUGCUAUAAUUAAGUUGUGUUAUUGAAUGUUAUUAAUUAAAUCACAUGAAUAUUUUAUUGUAAGUUAAAUGUUUUAAUUUGUACCAUAAUGCUUUGUAACCCUAAUCUGGCGAUGAAGACUAGUUUGGGGUGUUAUAAUUUUGGACUGUAAAUUUGUUUUGGGGGCUUUGUUCUUUGGUUAUUGCGAUGUUGGUUAGAUUUUGGUGUUUUAACAUUAAACUGCAAAAUUGUAUGAUUUAACAAACUAAAAAUUAGUUUUUCAAAAUUAAAACUCUUGAAAUUUCAGUUGCAAAGAUUAAGUAAUCACUUCAGUGUUUUUCCAUAAAUAAUUAAAUUUUUUUUAACAAAUGUUUUCCUUAGUUUGGGAAAUGAUUUGCCAACAUAUGUACUUUUAAAACACAUGAUUUCAAAUUCAAAUUCUCAAUUUUAAAUAAGGGUUUUCAAACUUUAGUUUUUUUUAACAGUUGUGAGAGGUUUUUGCCAAAUUUUAUGUUUUCAGAACAUAUUAGUAAGUUGAUUUUUAAUUUGUUUUUUAAACGAGUCGAUGUAAUUCCUCAAAAAUCCAUUCAUAGCGUCUUAGUCUAGAUCUAAACAUUAAUAUUCUCUUCCAAGAAAAAUCAAGAUUAUCAAAUUGUUACAACUUGGUAGGUAGACAAUCAUAUUAAAUAAGCAUAAAACUUAAUAAAUAAUUAGCGAAGAUUGAAACAAUCAAAGAAAAAAUAAAUUAAUUAACUAAGAAAUAGGAUCCAUUAUUGUUUCAAGAAAACAGAGUUUAGUUCAUAUUGAGUUGAGAAAUCCAAAAGGGAGAUUCAAAACAAACUUGUGAAAAGGGGAACAAUGUCAAUAGAUCGUAUUCAAGUUGUUCAACUCGAGAAGGAAAGAUUCAGAUCUAACCUAAAAAGAAGAAACCAAACAGAUUUAGAAAAACAAGAAAAACAAAGAAAAUAACUAAAAUGAGAAAUUUAAGAGUAAUUAAUAAAUAUUAAAACUAAUAAAGAAAUAAAGAAAUUAUAGAAUAAAUAGUGGAAGAUGGAAUGAAUAAACGAUGGAUAUGACAUAUAGAUGGAUAAGUGUCUGAUAAUUCUUGAAAAGAGUUAUUUUUCAUGCCUUUAGACCUAACUUGUAAUGCCCCAAAAAUCCCUUAUAUAUUUAUUUUCGUAAGUUUGUAACAGAAAUAUCUGUUAGCUUUAGUGGUUAUAUGCUUUGGGAGUGUUUAGGAGGUCCCAAGUUGAAACCUUAGCUUGGGCAAUUUUUUUUUGUUUUAAAUGAAUAAAACUCUAUCUUUGAUUAGUAGGCUUAUAAAUAGAUGUUGGUAAAAAAUGUCAGAAUGGUUUUACUGGUUUAGUGGUUAAGUGGGGUGUAAAUAUGCAGGAGCUCUUAUGUUCGAAUCUUUGUGCGAUCAAGAGCAUUUAUUUUAUUACUUGUGUCGUGUAGGUAUUUUGGUCCAGCCAAAAUACUGAAGAGGUUGACUAAGGGUUGGUUUCGGUUGUUGAGAGGUUUAUGGUGGGUUAGUAGAGAGGAUUUUAAGGAGAAAUUUUAGAGAUAUGAAGAGAGAGUUAGUGCCGAAUUGAAUUUCUUUUGCUUUCUCAAAUUUCAGCUGGGGUUUGAUUUUUCUUUUCAAUUUGUUUCUAUUGACUGUUUUCCAUUCUAGAGGGUCAAAUAUUGCUGAGGGUUCCUACUAGUUUCUUUUUUUUCUUUUUCUCUCUUCUCUCUUUCGACUUUGUUCUUCCCAACUGCAAAAGUGCUCUUCCCUAAACUGUUACUACCGUCUACUUUCUCUUUUCCUCCCUUGCUUUUUUUAUUGUCGAAUUUUGGGUUCUUUAUGCAUUUAAUUCUAAUGUCAAUUUAUCACUUCUCUACCAAAAGAUUAUUAUUUUCUCUCAUUGAUUUUCGUUUGGUUCAUCCUUGCUACCAGAAGUGUGGUUGCCCUUCUUUCUUGGUUUCGUUUGUCAUCAUCUGCUACAUGUUCUUUAACACUCUUUUGGUAAGUGUUCGUUUCUUCACCGCUCAGUUACUUGAAGUUAGUUUUUAAAUGGUUGUGUAUUGUUUUGAAUAAGAAUCUGAUAAAUCGUGUGUUCCAACCCUAUUUAGAUCAGUUCAUGGUGGUGUUUAUUGAUGAUAUACUGGUGUAUUCGAGAACUAAGGAUGAGCACGAUGAACACCUCAGAGUGGUUCUACAGAUUCUACGAGAAAAAGAACUGUACGCCAAGUUUAGUAAAUGUGAGUUCUAGUUAAGUGAAGUAACGUUUCUGGGACAUGUGGUUUCUACUGAGGGGAUUAGAGUUGAUCAUCGAAAGAUUGAGGCUGUCUUGGAUUGGAAGCAGCCUAAGACUGUAUAUGAGAUCUACAGUUUUCUCAGAUUGGCAGGGUAUCGACAAUUUGUGUAAAGGGUUUUCUCUAAUUGCCGUACCCUUGACUAAGCUGCUACGUAAAGGCUUACCGUUUAACUGGACUGAUUCAUAAUAAGAGAGCUUUGAGAAGCUCAAGACUGUACUGACUGAGGCCCCUGUUCUAAUAUAGCCAGAGUCUGGAAAAGAGUUUACUAUUUACACUGAUGCAUCACAUGUCUGUUUAGGAUGUGUGUUGAUGUAAGAAGGUAAGGUGGUAGUGUACACGUCUCAUCAGCUUAAGAAUCAUGAGGUGAAUUAUCUUACGCAUGACUUGGAGUUGAAGUGAUUGAGUAUAAUAACAUUUAACAUAUUAGAGCCAAUUGGUUGUCCAUAAACAUAAAAAGGUGACCUUAAUGAGAUACGCCAUAGACUCAAAAGUGUAUCAUUUACACUGAUCACAAGAGCCUCAACUACCUCCUCACUCAUAAGGAGCUGAAUCUUAGGCAACAUAGAUGGAUUGAGAUGCUUAAGGACUACGACUGUACUAUUGAAUACCACCCUGGUGAGGCUAAUGUGGUGGCUGACGCACUAAGCCGUAAAACUAUGACUGAACUGAGGGUGAUGUUUUCUCGCCUUAUUUUAUUUGAUAAUGGUAGUCUGUUGGCCAAACUUCAGGUUAAACCGAUUUGGAUAGAGUAGAUUAAGUGUAUACAAGUAGAGAAUGAGUUGUUGGGUCUUCGUUUUUGACAGGUUGAGAGUGGGAAUACCAAGGAUUUUAGACUGAAUAGUGAAGGGGUGCUCUAUAUCUGUGGGAGAAUCUAUGUAAAGACCUUCGUGAGUUAUACUAGUGGCCAGGUCUUAAAUGAGAAUUUACUAAAUUUUUGGCUAAGUGUCUGACAUGCUAGCAGGUUAAGGCUGAACAGCAGUUACCUUCGGGAUUGUUGCAGCCAGUCAAGAUUUCAGUUUGGAAGUGGGAGCAUGUAACUAUGGAUUUCAUUAGUGGGUUACCCCUCACACCCACUAAAAAGGAUUCGAUGUAGGUCAUCGUGGAUUGAUUGACCAAAUCCGCCCACUUCAUACCAAUUUGUACUGAUUACUCUCUGUAGAAGCUGGCUAAAUUGUAUGUGUCUGAAAUAGUGAGAUUACAUGGGGUACCGAUUUUAAUAAUAUCUUAUAGGGAUCCUCAUUUCACAUCUCGGUUCUGGAAGAAGCUAUAUGAAGCUUUGGGUACAAGAUUGGAGUUUAGUACUGCGUUUUAUCCUCAGACUGACGGUCAGUCAGAGAGGGUGAUUCAGAUACUAGAGGAUAUGUUGAGAAGUUGUGUGAUUGACUUUCGAGGUAGUUAGGAGGAUUACUUACCGCUAGUAGAAUUUGCAUAUAACAACAACUAUCAGUCUAGCAUUCAAAUGACACCCUAUGAGGCAUUAUAUGGUCGUAGGUGUCGCACACCUUCAUGUUAGACUGAGUUAGGCGAGCAGCGUAUUUUGGGGCCUGAACCAGUUUCUGAUACAGAGGAUAAAGUUAGACUAAUUCAGGACCAACUGAAAGCGAUAUCUAAUAGGCAUAAGUCCUACACCGAUCUAAAGAGUCGAGGGAUUGAGUAUUCUGUGGGGGACUUCAUUUUUCUCAAGGUCUCACCAUGGAAGAAGGUAUUAAGGUUUGGUCGUAAGGGCAAGUUGAGCCCUAGUUUAUUGGGCCCUAUCGCAUACUAAAACGUGUGAGAUGAGUUGCCUACCAGUUGGAGUUACCUCUAGAGUUAGAUCGGAUUUAUGACGUGUUCCAUGUCUCUAUGUUGAGGUUACCGCUCUAAUCCUACGCAUAUUAUUCCUAUUAAGGAAAUCAAGGUUAGGCUAGAUCUAACCUUUGAGGAGGAGUCAAUUCAGAUAUUGGAGUGAGAUAUAAAGGUUCUAAGAAGAAAAUUCAUCCCACUAGUUAAGGUUAUUUGGCGUAACCAUAGCACUGAGGAGGCCAUAUGGGAGUCUAAGGAUGUAAUGCUUUAGCAGUAUCCUCACCUAUUCUGAUCAGGUAAAUUUUCAAGGCCAAAAUUUUCUUUUAGGGGGUAGAGUUGUAGCGCCCCAAAAAUCCCUUAUAUAUUUAUUUUCGUAUUUUUUAUACAAAUAUCUGUCAGCUUUAGAGGCUAUGUGCUCUGGUAGUGUUUGGGAGGUCCCAAGUUCAAGCCUUAGCUUGGGCAAUUUUUUAGUUUUAAAUGAAUAAAAUCAUAUCUUUGAUCAAUAGGCUUAUAAAUAGAUGUUGGUAAAAUAUGUCAGAAUGGGCAUGCUGGUCUAGUGGUUAAGUGGGGUGCAAAUAUGCUGCAGGUCUUGUGCUUGAAUCUCUAUGUAUAGAGCAUGUUGUUAAACUGUACUACAUGCAUAUAUGAUACCAUGAUAUGACAUGACAUGAUUGUGUGGUGCAUGGCAUGGGGAUAGGUUAUUAUUGAUCGAAGGAAGUGUACUGGAAGGCUUUGAGCCUAACUUACUGGCAGCUCAGCUGCAUAUUACUGUAUAGUGUCGCCAUUGGUACUACUUAGAGUGUAGGGAUGGGUGGGUUGAUUAUAUCCCCACAUGAAGUGUAGGGUUGGUCGGAGUUGGUGUGUAGAGGUUGGCUAGGUAGGACUUGUAUACUGCAUAAUCUGUUAAUGUACUGAUUGCUAAUAUUGUAAUGGGCCAAGGCCCAAAUGCAUGAUUACUUUUGUACUAAGAUGGGCUAAAGCCCAAACCAAUACUGUCACUGAUACUGGAAAGGGCUUAGGCCGGACUGAGUUUAUUCUGUUUUCUGUCUGAUUAUUUUGUGUACUGUCUAUUUGUUUGCACUAGGAAUAUCACACUGAGUUUUGAAAACUCACCCUUUCUGUUAAUCUGUGUAGGUAAUCCCCAGUCGUAGGUAGAUCGGUGUGGCGGAGGAUUCAGCGGUGGCCACACGACUCCUUUUUAUUGUUUCGUAUCUAAUGAUAUUUAUUUUUAAGUCUUUAUUUGGGGUUUUUAUCUGUAAUAAUUGCUGCUAUGGAUUUUUUAUUUAAAUUUGGAUUUAACACUACUUCAUGUUUACAUCUGCUAGAGGUAGAUAUAGCACGGAUUUUUGAAAAGAAAUGCAUGUGUUUUAGCAAAAUACCCCAAUGUCACAAACUGUUUUAAAAAGCUUCCGCAACGUAUAAUGAUUUGCAAACUAACAAUUGAAUAAAAAUCACUAUUUUGGGAUUAACAAAAGAUAACGACGACCUCUAAUCGAAAAAUGUUUUAAGCAAAGUUACCAUUUUUCAACAUGAGCUUCGGUUUUGAAAAAUACCACCAUGUGACAUCGCCAAAUUCGCCCGUAACAUCCAGGCUGGGUUUGGGGUGUUAGAUAACUAAUUGCUUGAACUUAAGUACAUUUUGUUGCAUUUUAAGACAUUUUAGUUAGCAUUUCUAAUAUUGCAUUAGGACUUAGAUUGUGUUGGACUUAUGUGUUUUUAAUAUGGUGGAGUUUUUUUGUGUGUUGGUAUGGCAAGAACAUAUUUUAGAACGAGGAAAUAAAUGAGUGAAGUUUUGUCAGGGAAAAAGUGCAGACAGUUUGCCAGCACGGAUGCCGUGACAAUGCCAGGAAGACCAAGUAAACAUUUUUUUGCGCAACAGUCUCAAUUGAAAUUAAAACUUGUACCAGAUAAAUCUUCAAAAAAGAGGAGAAGAUAAUCACAAGUUGUUACUUGACACUAGCCUAAUCUACCUAUAAAAGCCAAUAAAGGGGAUCUCACAAAUGGCAGAAAAAAGUGGGAGGGAUCCUUAGGUGUGAAUAAGGUUUUAGUUGCGCAAAGGAAAGGAAGUCGAAGGCAGUGCUUUUUAGCCAUCACAGGAUGUUGUGCUACCGAAGUGUAAACUAGGCAAGUGAAAGUUGUUUCCCAAAGUUCUUUCGUUAUUUCCAUCAGCGUUCCUUCAAAAUAUUGAAGUAGUUGAACACAAUGUCAGAUAAUAUUUUGCUUUUGAAUUUUAUUUCUCAGCCCAUGAGCUAAAUCUCGUAGGGUUGGGAUUACUUUUGAUGAAACCUUAAACUAUUUUUAUGGAUGCAGUAUAUAUCUAAUUUACUUUACUGUUUCAUUUGAUUGUUCUUAUUUCUUAAUUAAAAUGCAAAUGAUUUCUAAACAUAGAAGACUGUUCGCAUACUUAUAAACUCAUUCUAAUUCUGAAAGGGUUGGAUUGGUUGGAUUAAAAUUAAAUGAAAUGAGCAAGUAUUCGAUGGACACUUGUAGUAGACUCUAUACAUAGAGUGACGAUCAUACAGAAGGAACCCAUGCAAGGUAUCUAAAAAGUCUUUAGACAUAGGCAAGGUAACUUGAUGUUUUCCUCUCAUGAGAGGAGAGCCAUUUUAGUACUCUUCUGUGCUUUAUAGUAGAUACGAUUUUCCCAAGGCAUUAUUGACAAUAAGGGUCAAUAUUCGGUAAUCCUGACCUUCGAAAUCCACAUCGUAUAUCCUUUAUUCUUUUCCACAUCAUUAUUAGUUAUUUAUUUGUUCAUUUACAUAAUAUUCCCAUAGUAAUUCUCAUCAUUGUCAUUACAUUUCUACUCUUGGUUUGACACAACAUUACCACUUAUUUAUUAAUUCUAUGUAUUGCUUACAUCAUUACUCUACUAAUUGCCACUGUAUAUUCAUCAUUGACUCUCCCAUAGCAUUAAUCGUAUUUUAUUAUAAUAAUUUGACCAAUUGUGUGCCUCAAUCCGAUCUUUAUGGGAACGAUACACACUCAUCACUUUAUUACGUGAUUCAACUGUAUACUUGCACAAAUCGCAUAUCAUUUCACACACGAUAGUGUUCAAUUGAACCCUUUGAGAUAUAAACCUAGACAAACUCAAUUAAUGGCUUUAAUUAACCCACCAAGAAAUAAUGAUUGGCAAAUUGAACGAUGAAGAAUGAAUUCCCAUGACUCCUUAAAAAAUUGAGAAGAAAAAUACUUCUAAAAAUCACAAGAAACAAAUCUUGGACAAAGAAACUAACUUUCAGAGUUGGAAAUUUUAGUAAUAAACAAAAACAAUUGCAUCUCUAAUGAACAUGAAGGGCCUUUACAUAGGCUAGAUAAGUACAUCCAGAUAAAAUAUUCAAGUAUCUUGAAACUUUAAUUAAUAUAAGUAAUAAGUAAUUUUAAACUAAAAUAGUCAUAAUUUUCGUCAUAAUCCCGUCCAAAAAUUCUGCUCACAUAAUCAUCAUUAAAAUAGUCAUAAUUUAAGCUCUUGAACUCAAAAUUGAGUGAAUAAAAGUGUGUUUCGAAGUUAAGUGCUAGAUCUUAGAACUUUAUGAAGACAUAUCAAUCGAAAAUUGUCCGGAUCCCAUCCAAAGAGUCACAGCAAGUUAACUAAUUUUUCAAACUUGAAAAUUGGCAACUUCGGGGAAUGGAAUUUAAUACAGUUCACCCCAUCUAUUCAUGUAUCAACUCGCAUUGGUAAAAAGUAAAAAGAAAUAAUCUAUAGAGAAAAUAGUUGAAGAAUUUAUGAAAAUUUAUUCAAAUCUCUUUUUUUUCUAGUCUUUGCAAGCUUGAAUUUUCCCUUGGUGUGUGAGAGUUGUUCCUUACCCUCUAAGUGAUUUUUUUUCUUUUUCUUUCUCUUCGAUCUCGUCACCUAAGGGUGUUCAAACAAUUGAUUCAGUUAGUACCCGUGCAAAACUAUCAUUAACUGAAAUUUUGAAACCCUUAAUCAUUAAUCAAACCAUUUUCUUUUUUGAAACCUACUAACCAGCUUGAUUGAUUUGGGUUAAUUUGAGUGGUUAACCAAAAUUUAAACAUUGUUUGUUUUUGUUCAAACAAUUUUAAAACAAAGAACAAUCCAUGACAAUUUUUCCUUGUUUUUUAUUCAAAAAAAUUAAAAGAAUUAAAAAAAUAACAUAAUAACAACACUAAAUUAAAAACAUAAUAGCAUUCAUUACAUUACAAAGCAUAUAUAUAUAUUUACUUUUUCUUGACUUUUUAGUUUAAUUUUCGUUUUAUUUUCCUAAUAUUUUUAGUUUUCAUAUUUUUGUUAAGCUUAUUAUAAGAACACUUAUAAAUCCAUUAGUUCUUAUAUAUUGGGUUUGUAUAAUGUAUUCGACCUAUCUCUAAUAUAUUGGGCCUAUAAUAUAUUUUUAUUGAUUUCGGUUAAUCAAUUCAUUCGAUUAAUUAGUCGAUUUCAAACUAAAAUAAUUGGUAAACAAAAUCUUCAAAAACCUUUAACCAACUCCAACCAAAUUAGAUUCAUUGAUCAACUUCUUAAUCAAAUUAAUUAGGUUUGAUAAAUUAAUUCGUUAAAACUGAAAAAUGCACACCCCUAUCAUCACCGUUGUUUUUAGGGAUUUUAAUCAUGUUGCUCCACCUGAUGCAGAAGUUGAGGUGGAAUGAACUACUUGCUACCAAAAUUUUUGAAUUAUAGAGCAUGCUCUACCGCAGUGAAUCAAAUUCGGUGGAGUGGAAGACUUUUCUUUACUACUUUAUGCUCUAUGCUCCAAGUCUUCUAUUCUUCUUCUGAGACCUAAAAUGGGAAAAAAAAAGAAGAAACAAGUCUAAACUAACUUUGAAAAUUAGAAAUUCUCAACAAAAUUGAAAUAAAAUAUAAUUAAUCCAUAAAAACUAUAAAAAAUACAAUAAAAACGAACCUAAAUACUAAAAUUACCUCCUAAAAAGCUAUGGAAACUAUACUAAAAUAAUUCUAAAUAUGAUAGUUAUCAAAAAUGACAUGAGGAAGCCAAUCGAGUAGAUGCUUUCAACUAUUGCAAAUACCAUUAGUCGAUUAGCCAUCAUCUUGAGAACAUCAUAGAGUUGAAAGAAAAAAUCAUACAACUCCAUAAAGAAGAAAAAAUCAUUUUUGAAAAAGAAUUGGCAUUAUCAAACUUGACAUCAAUGCUUUGGUUUCUCAAUACAAUAUUAUGGACAAAUUCAUCAAAUUUGGCUCUUUCAAUCCUAUUACACUAGCUCUAAGUAGAAGUAAGAUGGUGAGUUUCGAAGGGAUUGAGGGCAAUCAUCUAUUUUUGGAAUAUCAGAAUGGUCAUGAUUGGACUCUAGCCACAUGUCAAAGAAGCCAAUGAAAAGCAUCUCUCCUAGGUAUAAGCUUAUAUUAUCACAUUGCUCCUAAGCAUGAGCAUAAAUCGUUCAUCCAGAAUGAUGAUGAUCCUAAGCAUAAGCUUAAACUAUUCAUCUAAUGCUCCUAAGAUGGAGCUUAAUCUAUUCAACCUAAACGAUCAUGCUUUAAGCACAAUCUUAAACUAUUCACAAAAAAUAAAUGAUGAUCCAAUGAAGCAUGAGCUUAAACUAUUCAUACAAAAUAAGCGAUGACCUUCUAAGCAUGAAUUUAAAUUGUUCAUACAUAAUAAAUGAUGAUAUUACUAAGAACAAGCUUAAACUGUAGUCUAAAAAAUAUUGAACUAUAUUAUAACUUGAUCUUUUAAAAAUGAAGGUACGUAGAUAGCUUGGUUUCAUUGCCAAGUUCAGUCUAAUUAAAUAUGUUUAUGGUGUGUUUAGAGAAUUAAAUGAUUAUAUGAUUAUUUUCCAGGUAUUCGAGGUUGUUUCAUUUGGUUUAAUGGGUAAAUAAAGCUUUAAGGGGUAUGUGAUUACAUGAAAUGAACUAUCAUAUUUGAGUAAUGAUAUGGAUGAUGAUGAAAUGUUUAAUUGAAAAGGAAAUAUGGUUUAGUAUAUAUGUAUGAGUGGUGAAUUAUGAAAGUGAAAUGUAGAUAUGUUUUAUACCAUGUUUUGAUUCGAAUUAUAUAUGAUAUUUAAACCAACUAACCUUGUGAGGUGGUGUGUAUAGGAAAGGAAAGUUGGCUUAAAACAUAAUGAAAUUAUGCUUGGUUUUUUAACUUAAAAUAUUCAAUAAGUUAAGUUUCCUUUAUAUGAACUUACUAAACAUUAGUUGCUUACAUAGUUAUUUUUCUUUAUUUUGUAGUUCAUCAGAAGCUCGACCGAUUGGAAUCAUGUUAGAGCAUGAUCACACUAUCCAUUCAACAUUUUAAUAGUUCUUCGUUAUUUUGGUAAAUAGUUGUAAAUGACAUGUAAUGGGGUUUAACGGUCAUUCCAGUAAUUUGACUUGUUUUGAGUUGUGUCAAGCUUAUUGUGAUUAAUGUUGUUAGUUGCUGGCAUGUAAAUAAUGGUGUAAAUAUGUGUGAUCGGACCCUUAUGCAUGCUUUAUUGAUUAAAGAUAUCAUAUGUUAAAAUGGCAUGUUUUUGGAAUGGUUAUUUGGCAUGAUUGGUAUUUAUGAUCUUGAGAUGUUGAAUUGAAUUAAGUUUGAUAUGUAUAUUGUGAUACCUUCAUUGACAUAUUGGUUAGAUAUUAAAGGAUGGUUGAUUUGGUAUGUUUUUGAAAUGGUUGUUGGUAUGUUUUCUCUAAGUUAAUUAAAUGAAUUUGUAAUGUUGAAUGGUAUAAUAUUUGUUGGUACAUUAGUUAGUCUUAUAGGUUGAUGGAAUUGGUAUGUUUUAAAUGUGUUUUGGUUAUUUCAAUGUUUGUGGAAAUGGUGUGUCUUGGUGUACAAGAUUUGAAAUUGAAACGGCUUGAUUUAGAAGCAACUUAUGCUACACACCGCCUGGGACAUGGAUUGUCACAUGGCUGUGUCAUUAUUAUUUUAGGUAUAGGUUUCACACAAUCUAAGACUCAGCUCACGACACAGCUGUGUAUCACAAGUCAGUAUGUAACACGGUUUUGUACAUGGCCUGCGACACGAUCGUGUGUCCAGACUUCGAAUGUCCACAUGGUCUAGGCUAUGUCACAUGGCUUGGCCACAUGGCCGUGUGACUUUUGUUUUCAAGUUUUCCAAAAUUUUCUAUUUUAUUUCAAAUUGAUCCUAGAAUAUUCUCAAACUAUUUUUAAGGCCCCGUAGGUUCGGAUUAAGGCCCGUAAGUGUAUGUUUGCUAUAAUUAAGUUGUGUUAUUGAAUGUUAUUAAUUCAAACACAUGAAUACUUUGUUGUAAGUUAAAUGUUUUAAUUUGUACUAUAAUGCUUCGUAACCCUAAUCUGGCGAUGGAAACAAGUUUGGCGUGUUACAAUUUUGUAUUGUAAAUUUGUUUUGGGGCUUUGUUCUUUGGUUCUUGUGAUGUUGGUUGGAUUUUGGUGUUUUAACAUUAAACUGCAAAAUUGUAGGAUUUAACAAACUAAAAUUAGGUUUUCAAAAUUAAAACUCUGGAAAUUUUUGUUGCAAAGUUUAAGUAAUCACUUAAGUGUUUUUCUAUAGAUAAUUAAAUGGUUUUUAACAAAUGUUUUCCUUACUUUUGGAAAUGAUCUGCCAACAUUAGUACUUCUAAAACACAUGAUUUCAAAUUCAAAUUCUCAGUUUUAAAUAAGGGUUUUCACACUUCGAUUUUUUUUAAACAUUUUUGAGAGGUUUUUGCCAAAUUUUAUGUUUUCAGAACGUGUAACCAAGUUGAUUUUUAAUUAGUUUUUCAAAGUAGUCGAUGUAAUUCCUCAAAAAUCCAGUCAUAGCGUCUAGGCCGGGUUUGGGAUAUUAUACUGACGUUACUAAAGUUAAUCUUCAUCUAUUUAGUCUUGAUCUAAACAUUAAUAUUCUCUUCAAAAAAAAUCAAGAUUAUCAAAUUGUUAAAACUUGGUAGGCAGACAAUCAUAUUAAAUAAGCAUAAAACUUAAUAAAUAAUUACCGAAGAUUGAAAUAAUCAAAGAAAAAAUAAAUUAAUUAACUAAGAAAUAGGAUCCAUUAUUGUUUCAAGAAAAUAGAGUUUAGUUCACAUUGAGUUGAGAAAACCAAAAGGGAGAUUCAAAACAAACUUGUGAUAAGGGGAAUAAUGUCAAUAGAUCAUAUUCAAGUUGUUCGGCUUGAGAAAGAAAGAUUCAGAUCUAACUUGAAAACAAGAAACCAAAAAGAUUUAGAAAAACAAGAAAAAACAAAGAAAAUAACUAAAAUGAUAAAUUUAAGAAUAAAUAAUCAAUAUUAAAAAUAAUAAAGAAAUAAAGAAAUUAUAGAAUAAAUAGUGGAAGAUGGAAUGAAUAAACGAUGGAUAUGACAUAUAGAUGGAUAAGUGUCUUAUAAUUCAUGAAAAGAGUUAUAUUUCAUGCCUUUAGACCUAACUAAUUGUUUGUACUUAAGUACAUUUUGUUGCAUUUUAAGACAUUUUAGUUAGCAUUUCUAAUAUUGCAUUAGGACUUAGAUUGUGUUGGAAUUAUGUGUUUUUAAUAUGGUGGAGUUCUUUUGUGUGUUGGUAUGGCAAGAACAUAUUUUAGAACGAGGAAAUAAAUGAGUGAAGUUUUUUCAAGGAAAAAGUGCAGACAGUUUGCCAGAACAGAUGCCGUGACAAUGCCAGGAAGACAAAGUUAACAUUUCUUUGCGCAACAGUCUCAGUUGAAAUUAAAACUUGUACCAGAUAAAUCUCCCUAAAAGAGGAGAAGAUAAUCACAAGUUGUUACUUGACACUAGCCUAAUCUAUCUAUAAAAGCCAAUAAAGGGGAUCUCGCAAAUGGCAGAAAAAAAUGGGAGGGAUCCUUAGGUGUGAAUAAGGUUUUAGCUGCGCAAAGGAAAGGAAGUCGAAGGAAGUGCUUUUUAGCCAUCACAGGAUGUUGUGCUACCGAAGUGUGGACUAGGCAAGUGAAAGUUGUUUCCCAAAGUUCUUUCGUUAUUUCCAUCAGCGUUCCUUCAAAAUAUUGAAGUAGUUGAACACAAUGUCGGAUAAUAUUUUGCUUUUGAAUUUUAUUUCUCAGCCCAUGAGCUAAAUCUCGUAGGGUUGGGAUUACUUUUGAUGAAACCUUAAACUAUUUUUGUGGAUGCAGUAUAUAUCUAAUUUACUUUACUGUUUCAUUUGGUUGUUCUUAUUUCUUAAUUAAAAUGCAAAUGAUUUCUAAACAUAGAAGACUGUUCGCAUACUUAUAAACUCAUUCUAAUUCUGAAAGGGUUGGAUUGGUUGGAUUAAAAUUAAAUGAAAUGAGCAAGUAUUCGAUGGACACUUGUAGUAGACUCUAUACAUAGAGUGACGAUCAUACAGAAGGAACCCAUGCAAGGUAUCUAAAAAGUCUUUAGACACAGGCAAGGUAACUUGAUGUUUUGCUCUCACGAGAGUCAGGCCAUUUUAGUACUCUUUUGUGCUUUAAAGUAGAUACGAUUUUGCCAAGGCAUUAUUGACAGUAAGGGUCGAUUUUGGGUAAUCAACUUUCCAAAUCCACAUCGUAUAUCCUUUAUACCUUACCAUAGUAUAUUUGCCACAUCAUUAUUAGUUAUUUAUUUGUUCAUUUACAUAAUAUUCCCAUAGUAAUUCUCAUAAUUAUCAUUAGAUUUCUACUCUCAGUUUGCCACAACAUUACCAAUUAUUUAUUACCUCCACGUAUUGCUUACACCAUUACUCUACUAAUUUCAACUAUAUAUUUAUCAUUGAGUUUGCCAUGGCAUUAAUCGUAUUUUAUUAUAAUAACUUGACCAAUUGUGUGCCUCAAUCUGAUCCCCAUGGGAACGAUACUCACUCAUCACUUUAUUACGUGAUUCAACUGUAUACUUGCACAAAUCGCAUAUCAUUUCACACACGACAGUGUUCAAUUGAAACCUUUAAGAUAUAAACUCGGACAAACUCAAUUAAUGGCUUUAAUCAACCCACCAAGAAAUAAUGAUUGGCAAAUUGAACGAUGAAGAAUGAAUUCCCAUGACUCCUUAAAAAAUUGAGAAGAAAAAUACUUCUAAAAAUCACAAGAAACAAAUCUUGCACAAAGAAACUAACUUUUAGAGUUGGAAAUUUUAGUAAUAAACAAAAACAAUUGCAUCUCUAAUGAACAUGAAGGGCCUUUACAUAGGCUAGAUAAGUACAUCCAGAUAAAAUAUUCAAGUAUCAAGUACAUCCAGAUAAAAUAUUCAAGUAUCUUGAAACUUUAAUUAGUAUAAGUAAGAAGUAAUUUUAAACUAAAAUAGUUAUAAUUUCCGUCAUAAUCCCAUCCAAAAAUUCUGCUCACAUAAUCAUCAUUAAAAUAGUCAUAAUUUGAGCUCUUGAACUCAAAAUUGAGUGAAUAAAAGUGUGUUUCGAAGUUAAGUGCUAGAUCUUAGAACUUUAUGAAGACAUAUCAAUCGAAAAAUGUCUGGAUCCCAUCCAAAAAGUCACCACAAGUUAACUAAUUUUUCAAACUUGAAAAUUGGCAGCUUUGGUGAAUGGAAUUUAAUAAAGUUCACCCCAUCUAUUCAUGUAUCAACUCGCAUUGGUAAAAAGUAAAAAGAAAUAAUCUAUAGAGAAAAUAGUUGAAGAAUUUAUGAAAAUUUAUUCAAAUCUCUUUUUUUUCUAGUCUUUGCAAGCUUGAAGUUUCCCUUGGUGUGUGAGAGUUGUUCCUUACCCUCUAAGUGAUUUUUUUUCUUCUUCUUUCUCUUCGAUCUCGUCACCUAAGGGUGUUCAAACAAUUGAUUCAGUUAAUACCCGUACAAAACUAUCAUUAACUGAAAUUUUGAAACCCUUAAUCAUUAAUCAAACCAAUUUUUUUGAAACCUACUAACUAGCUUCAUUGUUUUCGGUUAAUUUGAGCGGUUAACCAAAAUUUACACAUUGUUUGUUUUUUUUCAAACAAUUUUAAAACAAAGAACAAUCCACGACAAUUUUUCCUUGUUUUUUAUUCAAAAAAAUUAAAAGAAUUAAAAAAAACAUAAUAACAACACUAAAUUAAAAACAUAAUAGCAUUCAUUAUAUAUAUAUUUACUUUUUCUUGACUUUUUAGUUUAAUUUUAGUUUUUUUUUUCCAAAUAUUUUUAGUUUUCAUAUUUUUGUUAAGCUUAUUAUAAGAAAACUUAUAAAUCCAUUAGUUUUUAUAUAUUGGGUUUGUAUAAUGCAUUGGACCUAUCUCACAUAGUCAUCAUUAAAAUAGUCAUAAUUUGAUCUCUUGAACUCAAAAUCGAGUGAAUAAAAGUGAGUUUCUAAGUUAAGUGAUAGAUCUUAGAACUCUAUGAAGACAUAUCAAUUGAAAAAUGUCUGAACUCCAUCCAAAAAUUCACGCAAGUUAACUAAUUUUUCAAACUUGAAAAUUGGUAGCUUCGGUGAAUGGAAUUUAGUAAAGUUCACCCCAUAUAUUGAUGUAUCAACUUUCAUUGUAAAAAGUAAAAAGAAAUAAUCUAUAGUGGUUAGUGUUUUAAUGGGGGUUUUGUGUUUACUCUCGGUUAGGGGAAGGGCAAGAAGAGUUGGUACUCCUGCAGCAAUUUGAGCGUUAAGGGUGUCUGUUCGUCGGCGGUAAGGUUUCAAAUUCUUUGUUGGUUAUUGUAAGGCUCCGUUUGUGGAAUGGUUUUGGAUUGAGUUUCGUAAGUGUACUGAAUUUGGGCUUCUGGAUGCUAUUUCUUAGGUUCGAUGGUCUCGGGGGUGCUUGUGCAUCAAAACGAUAUCAGGUGUGUACCCGAAAUGCAGAAAAUCGAGCUUCGAUGAAAUCUAAAACACCUUACUAUCGACACCACAAGGGCAUGUGCCUGGCCGUGUGGUUGGCUGUGUGUAGGACACGGUCAUGUGUUUGACGAGGGUAGGGUCGUGAGGAAGACAUGGCCGUGUGACGAUGUGGGCCCGCAGGCUAGGCCAAGUUAGGCUUGUGGGUUUUGGGCCACAUGUGCAUGUGGGUUUUGGGCCAAGCCAUGUGAACCACAUGGACAGGGCUAAUCUGGGUGUGUUGACCACAUGGGCAUGUGGGCCCGAAAUUCUAAAAUUUUUCGUAGGGUCUCACAGGUCAUUUUGGUCGACUUUGUGCCUACCGUAGGGUCAGUAAGGGCUAACCAAACCCUAAAACUAUGUGAUCUGUUAGUUUGAUAUUUGUUCUAAAUAUGAUACUACUAUGCAUGUCUGAUUAGUCUGGUGUAUAUAUAUAUAUCUGAUAUAUAUGUAUGAGCAUGUGAGCAUGAUAACUCUGAUUAUAUAUAUCUGAUUGAGGUGGGAUUUCUAUAUGUGGAGGAAGUGUUCUAUAUGGCGGUCAUCGCCUAUGUUCUGGCAGCUUGGCUAUACAUUAUCUGACAUGUAUCGUAAUGGCACGAUAUGGUGUGUAGGGAUUGGUGGGUGUUUUUAACCCCACAUGAUGUGAUGGGAUGGUCAGAGUUGGUUUGUAGAGGAUGGAGUUAGGAUUCUGUAUUUCUAAUAUGCAUAUAUGUUCUAUUAUUUGAAUCUAUAAAGGACUUAGGUCUGAAUCUGAAUCUGAAAUUGUAUCUGAUCGUGUAUGAGUUUAUUGCACGUAUUGCAUGUAUUUUUCUGUUGGGUUACACACUGAGUUUACGAAAACUCACAUUUGUUUGUCGGUUUUGUUUAGGUAAUCCACAGACUUAGACGGGUCAGUGUUACGGAGGCUCAGUGGUGACCACUUGAUUGAGAACUAUUUUACUUAGUAAAUUAUGUUUUAUUUAUAAUUUCGAUUUCAUUUGAGAGUUUGUAAUUUUUGGGACUCUCCGGACUGCUGGUUUUUAUUUUGGUUUUGGAUGCGAUUUUAGACUCUUUUGUUGCGAUGCAUAAUGGAAAACACGGUUUUAUGAAAACAAAGGUUAUUCUGAAAAUACGAACUGGAUUUCUAAAAUAUAACGGUUCAAAAACUUCUGCUAAAAAUCAUGUUUUGGUAAAUAAAUGAAUUAAGUAACACUUUCAAAAAUGGUUAUAAAGAAAUAUGAACUAUGAAUCUUUAAUGAUUUGACAAAAAGACCUUAUUUUCAAAACCAUACAUUGUGACCACUCCAGAUUCAGCUAUAACGUCUAGACCGAUUUGGGGUGUUACAGUAAGGAUGAAAAUUUAAGGGGGAGUGAGCUAUGGCGCUUAGUAUGAGUUCAUUCACAAUAAAUUCAAUGCAAACGGUUGGUAGGACACAUUAAAUAAUAUCACAUAAAAUAAUCACAGUCAGAUAAUAGUUUAGAAUGUCGGUUUUACAAUUUAACCACCAAUAUUAUCACAGUAUUCACAGUUGUAAUUUCAGAAUAUCAAAUUUUCACACCAUUCACAAUAUUUAGAUAUAUAUAAAUAUAUCAUAACAGAAUUCCAGAUUUGUAUGCACAUGAUUUAGAAGAUGCCAUACAAUUUCGGGUUUUAACAGAAUAAAUCCUACCCCACGUUACAUACCAUAAUGGGAGUUCCCCUAAACUCCCUUCUCCAACACACUGGGUACCACUACUGGUUUACAAAUAAUAACUAUCAUUUGGCUGUGGACACACAGCAAUCCCCCACAAUUGGAUUCUAGAUUUGGUUGUGGGUUCACAGCAAAAAAAUCUACAAAUGAAGCAUGCUUUUGCCUGUAGAUUAUACAACAUAUACCCAUAGUUGGAAUCUGCCUUCGGCUGUGGACACACUGUAACACCUCAAACCUGACCUGGACGUUAUGGCCGAAUCUUGAGGAAUUACUUUAACUCGCUAGAAAACCCAAGAGUUUACUUUGAAAUCAUGUGGUUAAACUAGUGUUCACUUUGAUAAAUCGUUUUCCAGUUUUAGGGAAAAUUAUUAUUAAAACUACUACUUUAUUACAAUAAAAAAUUAAAGUGAUUGUAUCAUUUUGUAACGGAAUCUACUGAGCUAUAAGGUUUUGAAAAUCGUGGUUUAAUUUGCAACAAAUCAUUUUGCAAAUAGAAAUUUAAUACUACUUAAUUUGGAAAAGCAUGCUAAAACGAAAGCAAAGUCCAAACUAAUUUACGAUUUAAAUUCUUAAAAGUCCAAAUUAAACAUAAAGUCAAUUUAAACCAGUUUAUCGAAAGUGUAACACCCCAAACCCGGCCUAGACAUUAUGGCCAAAUCUGGAUGUGUUACAAAAAAAAAGUUUAUAAAACGACUUCCUUGUUAUUGGCAAAUCAUCGCAACCAUUAUUACAUAGUAUGUCUGAUUUGUUUGGAGAACUUUUUGAUAUACUUAUUUGAUUUAAGAUCGUUGCUUGCUUAUGCCUUUCUAUUAAACCGAAUGUUUUGCAGUGGAGUUUCUUUAAAAUGUCAUAUUUUGGCAAAUCAAAUUGUUUCUUGAAAAUCGUUAUUUCAGAAAAGUUGUCAUUUUCAGGAAAACUAUUUUAUCGGUUGUUACGCUUAGAAAACCAAAAUAAAAUCCAAAACCAAAAAUAGUCCCAAAAAGUCCAAAGAGUCCCGAAAUUACAAAACUCUCAAAACCAGAAAAGUUUGAACUAAUUUUAAAAGAAUGAAAAUUUAUAGAAAUAUGGUCAACAUUGAGCUUCCGUCACACCGACCCACAUAAAUGUAAGGGUUACUUGAACAGAACAAACAAAUAGAGAGUGAGUUUUGAAACUCAGUGCGUAACGCGAAUAUAAACAAAAAUUUAGAAUCAAUCUAAUGCAUAACAGAUACAAAUGUAAACCUUUUAUAGAAUAAGAAUUAUACAGAUACAAAUGUGCAAAAUCCUACCCUCGUCCUCUACACACCAAUUCUGACCAGCCCAUCACACCACGUGGGGUAUAAAACACCCACCUAGCCAUACACACGGUAUAGUGUUUAUACGACACUUUUCAGAAUAAUCGCAGUAGAGUUGCCAGUAUAUAGGUGAGAUAUUUCCUCACACAGAACACUUCCUCCUCAUAAUACAAAUCCCGCUCCAUAGCCAGAUACAGACAGAAUAUUAGGUAAAACAAAUUAACAGAUACCAGAGUUAACAUAUCAUGCAUGAGCGUAUAACAAAUAUUACACAUGCUUGUACAUAACAGAACAAACCAUACAUACCGUAUUCCAUAAUACUCAUAUAAAUGUUAUUUUUUAAAUUGUAACAAAUAUUAUUAUUAAGAUGUUUUUCUUUUUAUAUUUUUAUAAAAAUAUAUUAAAAAACAAUUAGAAUAAUUUUAAGAGAAAAAACACUCAUAAAUAGUAGAAUUUAAUCUAAAAAUAUCAAAGUUUUAAAGCCUCAACUUUAACAUUUCAACCAAAAUUCCAUUAGUAUAUAAAUAUUUCAUAAAUAUAGAUUUUAUAUAAAAAAUUUAUGUUAACUUUUUUUUAACCCGCAUCACAAGUAUACCAUAUUUAGAGAUAUUCAUAGCUAGGCAGCCCACUUUGGGUCAAGCUUGAGCUUAGGUUUUAUCUCAAGUUGGCCCAAUUUAACCUAUUUUACUAUUUAAAAAUAUAAAUAUAUGUUAUAUUGAUAUUUAUAUAUUUCUAUAAUUAAAUUUUAAAUAAAUUUAUUGUUAACUUCUAAACAUAAAACAAAGAGAACUUUCACCCAAGUUAUAAGUUUGUGGUUAGACAGCCGACUUUCGGGGCAGGAUUCAGCUUACGUUUUUAAUCUUGGGAUUUAACAAUAAUAAAAAAUUUAAAAAUAAUAUUCUAUUAAUAUUUAUAAAUUUUAUAAAUUUAAAUUUAAUUAUAUUUUUUAAACAGUAAAAUGAACCAUUUAUAUGGGCUAAUUAGAGUUAAGUUUGGUUUGAAUCAAGGCUUAACUUUGACCAAAUCCAACUAAAAACACCUCUAACAAUUAUCUAGUAUUGUUUUUAUGAAUUGAAUUUUAACUUCUAAUUUUCAAUUUUAUUACAAAAUUUCUUUGCGGACGAUAAGAAAAUAACAUAUUUGUAACUUCUUCACUCCGACGUAAAGGUUAAGUCUGAAUUUGGAUUACAUCGGCCAUAAAUAUGGCCUAGCAGGAUUAUCGGAGUUUUUAAAAAUAGACAUCUUUAAAACGUUUGUUUAAUUUAUAAAAAAGCUUAUUUAAUUUCCAAAUUAUUUAUUACUUGAAAUCUUAAUUACAUUUUAAAAGCAGGAAGUGGUAACUAUUUAUUUUUAAUAAAAAUCGGGGUUCAUGUAUAAUUCAUUAAUAACCGUAAUUCGAAAACAUUAAAACUUAAAUUAAAUGUCAUGCAAAACAAAACAAACUUAAAUCUAAAUCUCAUGCCACAGUGCAAAACAAUUUAUUGUAGUCUUAGAAAAUAAAAAAAAAUCAUAUAAUGAACCUAAAAUAAUUUUUUUUACUUUAAUAAUGUGUCAAGACCUUACAAAUGUCACGCCCACGUUCAAUCCUGGUGGGUUAUCUAUAAGGAUGAAAAUUUAAGGGGGGUGAGCUUUGACGCUUAGUGUGAGUUCAUUCACAAUAAAUUCAAUGCAAACGGUUGGUAAGACACAUUAAAUAAUAUUGCAUAAAAUAAUCACAGUCACAUAACAGUUCAGAAUGUCGAUAUUACAGUUUAACUACCAAUAUUAUCACAAUAUUCAUAGUUGUAAUUUCAGAAUAUCAAAUUUCCACAUCAUUCACAAUAUUAACAUAUAUAUAAAUAUAUCAUAAUAGAAUUCUAGAUUUGUAUGCACAUGAUUUAGAAGAUGCCAUACAAUUUUGGGUUUUAACAGAAUAAACCCUACCCCACGUUACAUAUCAUAAUGGGAGUUCGCCUAAAAUCCCUUCUCCAACACACUAGGUUGUGGAUAAACCAAUACUCAUCCGCAGAUAAUAACUAUCAUUUGGCUGUGGACACACAGCAAAUCCCCACAGUUGGAUUCUAGGUUUGGCUAUGGGUUCACAGCAAAAAGUCCUGCAAAUGAAGCCUAUUUUUGCAUGUAGAUUAUACAACCUAUACCUGCAGUUGGAAUCUGCCUUUGGCUAUGGAUGCACUAUAACGCCCCAAACCUGACCUGGACGUUAUGGCUGAAUCUUGAUGUAACGCCCUAAAAUUUCUAAUUCUAUUAUUGUAAAAAUAUGACACAAAAUAUUUGUCUGCUUUAGUGGUUAUGUGUUCUGGGAGUGUUUGGGAGGUCCCAAGUUCACGUCUUUGCUUGGGCAAAUUUUGGUAUUUUGAAUGAAUUAGGCUUUACUCUUGUUCAGUAGGAUUUUAUUUGAUUGUUGGGAAAAUUAUAUCAGAAUGGGCUUGCUGGUCUAGUGGUUAAAUUGUGUGUUAUUAUGGUGAAGGUCUUGUGUUCAAAUCCUUAUGUAGGCAAAGGUAUUAUUAUUAUUAUUUUUGCUCAGAUUUCGGGAUAUAGUUGUGUAAUAGGGGGAUUCUGAGUAGUGGAUGUGUAGUGGGAAUUAGGGGAGAAGAUUAAGGGGUUUCGGGAUUUUAUUUUAUUUUUUCCCAGAACGGAAUUUUGACUCUCUUUUCCAAAAAAAUUCUGUCGUCUAUUCUUCUCCCUCUCCUCUUGUCGAUAUUCUCUAAGUUUUUUCAUCUUUCUCUUCUUUUUCUUCUUCUUGAUUUUUCCCUAAUCCAUUUAUUUUUCCUUCAUUUUCGCACGCGAUUAGUGCUCGCUUAGUUUCGGUAAGCGUUUCUCUUUGUUUUUAUCAUGAAUCUCCUAGGGACUAAAGUGGUAAUUUUUUUCUCUGCGAUUUGGGCAUAAGGGAAGGCUCGGACUGGUGAAUUCAGUAUUCUCAUCUUAUCAAUAGUUAAAUGGGGGGUUAUCGUUGGUGGUAUGUUGGGUUUCUGUUCGUUCUUGGUUGUCAAUUCGCUUGUAAAUCCAUUAAAUUGAUGUUUAGUAUCUUGAUUAUAGGCUUUGGAGUGCUUGGGGACUGUUUUAGCAUCAAACAAAACCAGGUGUGUACCCGAAACGCAAAAAAAAAGGGAUUCGGUGAAAAGUUAAAAUUGCUUGCUAUUUGGACAGCAGCAGUAGACUAAUUUUGAAAAAUCACCAUAAAUUGUGGAAAUCGAAUUAGAGGAUGAAAAAAAUAUGAAAUUAAAUCUUAUUGAGUCUAGUUUCUCAUAGAAGAAACGGUGUAAGUAAUGGAAUUGUAAAUCGUGAGAUAUAAUAAACUUUGUGAGACAAGGUUAGAAUAAAUUCGGGUUCCCCUGUUCUGAUUUUGGAAAAUCAUCAAAAAUUGGAGAAAAGUAAUUAGGAAUUAAAAUUUACAUGUUUAAAUUAUUAAUGAGUCUUUUUUUUCAAUAGAAACAAAUGGGAACUUCAUCCAAAUUUUGUACUAAAAGAUAAUUAAUUUUUAGCAAAGAAGGGUCAAAGCUGUCAGACAGCAGAACAAGGGUAAGUUUGAAGAUUUUACUGUACUUAUUAGCUGAACCAAAAAUUCUAAAAAUUUUAUGGUAGAAAGGUAUUUGAGUCUAUUUUUAAAGACAUCAAGCGAAUUUUAAUUAGAAAUUCUGUAGCACAAGAUAUAAAUAAUUUAGUAACAGUGACUCAAGUAGAAAGCUUUGAAGGAACACAUAAGUAAAUUGUGAUAACAUAUAUGAAUAUUUAGCUAACACAGGUUACACUGAAAAUGGAUCACGUGGCCAAGGCCAAUUUGGGCCGAGUGGGCCACGUGGGCGUGUGAGCCCAUUUUUUUGAAAAAUUCUGUAAGGUUGCACGGGUCACCCAAGUCGACUAUGGACCUACUGUAGGGUCAGUAACCUUUACUUAGACGCCUAUAUGUGUGAUCUGUCUAGCUGAUUUCUAUAACGAGCAUGACUUAUAAUAUCUAAAUGUAUGUACUAUUAAUUGCAUAAUGGCAUGGCAUAUUUUGUAUGUUGCAUUGCAUCGGGGUGGGUUGAUGAUAUUUGGAGGAAGUGUCUAAAGGGAUAUUAAGCCAGUUAUCUGGCAGCUCAGCUGCAACCUUCUGAUUAUGUGUCGAUUUCAGUAUAGCAUGGUGUGUAAGGAUGGGUGGGUUAAUUUAAUCCCUACAUGGUGUGUAGGGUUGGACGGAGAUGGUGUAUAGAGGCUGGUGGGUAGGAUUCUAAUUUACUAUAUCUACAUUCUGAAUCUGAUAUGGGCCAAGGCCCUAAUGUAUUUCUGAGACUGUAUCUGAACGGGCUAAGGCCCAAACUGAUUGUGUGAUGGGCCUAGGACGCAGACUGUAUCUAACUGAAUUCUGUUGAUUAUUUGUAUGCAUGUUUUCUAUGGGGAUUACACACUGAGUUUGAGAAAACUCACCCUUUCUCUGUUUAAUCUAUACAGGUAAUCCCCAAACUUGAUGGGUAGGUGCAGCGGAGGAUUCGACGGUGGCCACACGUAAAUUUCAGACUGUUUUCUGUUAAUGCCUAGAAUUUAUUAAUUAUUUGGGGUUUUUGAUGUAUCUUCUGGACUAUGGACUAGUAGGCUUUAAAUUUUAGACUUUAUACUAUUUUUUAUGUUUUUUUUAAAACUGCAACUCCACAAAACACGGUUUUUUUCUAAAAAAUAAGGAUUUUCGUAAAUAGAAAUGAUUUUCCCUAAAUUAAUUGGUUACAAAAGUUUUCUCUAAGAGACAAGUUUUAAAGCAAAUCAACUAGUUUUUUUUCAUAAUUAAAUAAAAGUUAACUUACUAUAACGAUUUUUCUUAAACUCGACAAUCUUGUCUUCAAAUCCCUUUUCAUGUGACAUCACCAGAUUCGGCCAUAACGUCUAGGCCGGGUUUGGGGUGUUACACCUGAUGAGUUACUUUAAAUCGCUUGAAAACCUAGAAAUUUACUUUGAAAUCAUAUGGUUAAACUAGUGUUCACUUUGAUAAAUCGUGAAAGUAUGUGAUUAUUGAGGACAUGCUGAGCAUGUCAAAUGAAUGUGAAAAGUAUUGUGAUAUGACUAUGUAUGAGAUUGUGUAACAUAUUGCAUAUGCAUUGGGUUGGGAUUUUUUGGUUGACGGAGUAGUUCUGUGGAGUACCGUCGGCAUAUUAAGCCCGCAUUAUUCGUAGUUAGUGCACUGCACCUGGAGUACUGAGGGGAUUGGUAAUUUUAUCGCAUAUUAUAUGUUAUUGGUGAUUGUAUAGCACUAUUUGAUAUCCGACAGAUUUUUUGCAUUAUUGAUUAUUCGGUGGUUUUACCACAUUGAGCUAUGCUCAGAAUGUUUUAGAGUUUGGUAGACGGGUUCUAGGGAACACGUGGUGUGUAGCGGAUGGUAUGGGUAGGAACCUUUUUGCAUUGCAUCAUGUGCACGACAUAUUCGAAUGUUAUUGGUUUAUGCUACGUAUUGUAUUUUUUUGUAUUGAAUGGUAUCAAAAUUAAUGAUUGUCACUCGAAUGAAUUAUGAACUAUGCUCAUACACUGUUUGACAUCAAUUUAAUAAUGGCUAUGUAACGAUAUGAAAUUCCUAUAAUGGUUUUAUUUUCUUCUAUUAAAGCUAAUAUGUUUCACUGUAUUUGAUAUUUAUGUUUGUUUAAAUAAUUGUUCGACUCACACUGAGCUUUUCAUAAGCUCACCCCUAAUAGUGUUAAACUUUUCACGUAAACCUCGAAAUUAAGACCAGACUUGGCAUUCGAAGAAUCACCUUGGACCUUGAAUUAUUUUUCUAAUAAGUAUUAAUCAAUCUCUAAUGGUUUUGGUUUGUAAUUUUUAAUUAUAUCUAGUCUGUGGCUUGAUAACUUUUCUUUUGGGAUUUUUGCAUGCAUGGAUUACUCAAGCAUAAUAACCGGAUAAUGCAUGAUAUCAGGCUUAAGUAAAAUUUGAUAUUGUUCCCUAGAUUCUGCUACAUUGCAAAGGAUUUGUUUUUGAAAAACAAAUUGAUAAGGUAACUAAGUUUUUAAAAUGACUUGAAAAAUGGUUUUUCCCCUAGAUUAGUUUAACAUCAAAUUUUUUUUAAAGGAGAGCAACAAGCAAAUGGUUUUUCUAAAACAACACUAUCAACAAUAAAAUGAAUUCUAAGUAUACACAACCUAAUGAAUGAAUGCUUUUAAGCUAACUUAAAGUACAAUUAUGGUUUUCUCUAAAAUGAGUUUAUUUAAGGUUUUCAUAAGUAAUGUAAGUUAGCUUAGCCAUUUCGGUGGCUAAUGUAGCCUUCUCAUUCUAGCCAUAACGUCUAGGCCAGGUUUGGGAGGUUACAGUAUUGAUAGGAACUGUGGUAUAAAUUUUAUUUUGGACAUUCUUAAAGUGUUAUUUGGACUAAACUUUAGAAACUAUGGAUUUUAUACUGAGCCUAAAUUUACGAAGUUCAUGCGUGGUUUUUACGAAAAUGAAACUAAUAUGAAUUUUUAAAACCAUGAUUUUUUUUAAAGCUCCAAUUUGAAAUUGUACAAGAAAUGUCAAUUUGAAUUAUUUUUGAAUGUUUUUUUAUGCCAAUAAAAUAUUGUUUCAAAACAUAGCUAAGUAUUAUUUAAUUUCGUAAAGACGAAGCAAACUCCAAACAAUCUAAAACUUUAAGGACUAGUUUGUAAUUUUUGUUUUUCCUCAAUUGUCUCUGGUUUGAUUCAAUUCUUGAUCUAUACAAUUAUUCCAUUCAAUUCAUCAAUAUUAAACAUUUAUACAUUAUGUCAUGUCAUGAAUGAACCUAGAUAAAUUCAUUUUUUGAUACCCUUAAAGUUUUACAUUUAUUUCAAUUUAGUCUCUAAAAUCGAAAUAGUCAUAACUUUAAAUUCUGAACUUCAGUUUGAAAAUCGACCUCAAUUUCAUUUUAGACUGUCUGUUAAAAAUUAGUGCAUCUUACUGGAUUUUUUAAUUUACUUGUUUUCUUUAUCAAAUAAGUUGGUUCCUAUUAUAUAGGGAUAUGAUCAGAUUAUGUUUUGUUAGUUGAGGUUUUAGUGGGCUAUUAGUUGCAGGUUUUUUAACUUUAACGUUACAUGUAGUUAAGCUAUUUAUAUGUCAUUUUAUCUAAUGUAAUUUUGUGUGUUUUUUUUAGUAAUCAAAAACGUUCUUUAAUACUUUAAGCUUUUCUUGUUAUUAUUUCUUUCAUUACCUCGGUCAUUCUUUUUUGUUUUAUGGUGUCAGUGCCAGGUUAUUCAUUGGUUAAUUGUGUGAAAGGGUGUUUUGCUAGUUGCUGCAAUGGAGGUUUCAAAUGGAGGAAAUAAUCAGAUUGGUAUGGAGAAGCUUGUAGGCACUAACUACAAGUAUUGGAGGAUGUGUAUGGAGGCAUUUCUUCAAGGCUAGGACUUGUGGGGAUUGGUUGUUGACCUGAUGCAACAAUCCCUCCCAAUAUUCUCGAGAAUGCCAAGUCACGAAGGAGGUGGAAGGUCAAAUGCGGUAAAGCUUCAUUGAUCAUGUUCAUGAUGUUAACUCUCCAAAAGAAGUUUGGGAAACGCUUGAAAGGUUGUUUACCAAGAAGAAUACUGCAAGGUUGCAAUUGUUGGAGAACGAAUUGGCCGGGUUAAAACAAUGAGGUAUGUCAGUUUUAGAAUAUUUUUUACGAGUUAAAAAUAUUUGUGCUGAAAUUUCAGAGAUAGAUACGGAUGAGAAAGUUAGUGAAGCUCGUUUGCGUCGUUAUCUUAUCCGCAGUUUGAAGAAGGAGUAUGGGCCUUUUGUCACUUCUAUUCAAGGGUGGUCGACACAGCCUUCGGUGGAGGAGUUAGAGAAUUUUCUCUCUAAUUAAGAAGCUUUGGCAAAGAAGAUGGUGAAAAGUUUCGAAUCUGAUGCCAGUCUCUUCUCAAAAGGGAAGCCAAACAAGAAGAAUGAGUCUGGAAAUAAAGGCAGAUCUGAAGACUCUAGUUCGAAAAAAGAUGGCAACUCACAAAGCAAAAAGUCUUUCAAAUGCUUCAGAUGCAGAAAGACUGGACAUAUCAAGAGAAAUUGCCGUGUGUAGAUUUCCAAGGCCAAUAUCGUGUCCACGGAAGAAACCGAUGAUCGACUCAAAUGGGAGCAUUGCUUUACUGUUGAAGCUAUUGAACAAAAGUCAUCAAAAGCUUUUGUCAAUUAUGCUGAUAACAAGAAGGAGGAGUGGAUCAUUGAUUCUGGUUGUUCUCACCAUGUAACCGGAAAUGAUACUUUGUUCUUAGAGAUGCAUGAACACCAUGGAGAUCGAGUUAUUGUGACUGCAGAUAACUCCACUCAUCCGGUAGCAAAAGAGGGCAUUGUGGUGAUCGAUGUUGUCGACGAUACGAGAACCGAAAGUGUCAAAUUGACUGAUGUGUAUCAUGUUCUAGAUGAAGCUUAUGUGAAGAAAACAAGCCAAACCGAUAACGCUGCUAUUUGGCAUGCUCGAUUGGGUCAUGUGGGGUACCAAAUGCUGCAACAAAUUUAUUCGAAAAGGUUGUUAGAUGGGAUGCCGAUCUUGAAGAGUGUACGUGAAGAUGUGAUUUGUCAAAGCUGUCAAUAUGGUAAAUCUCAUCGUCUUCCUUUCAAAAGCUCAUCAAAUCGGAGAUCUUCUUUGCUCGAAUUGGUUCAUACAGACUUGACGGGACCAACGAGAACACUGAGUUGUAGCAGCCACUGUUAUGUUAUGGUUUUGGUGGAUGAUUACUCAAGGUUCUCUUGGGUGAAAUUUUUGAAAGAGAAGAGUGAAGCAUUAUCCAAGUUUGUGGAGUUCAAAGCUGCUGUUAAAAAAGAGUUUGGAAAGAAGAUUAAGUGUCUUCGAAGUGACAAUGGCGGAGAAUACAUGUCCAAUAAUUUUUUUCAGUAUUGUGUUGACAACGGCAUCUGUCGUCAAAUGACUUGUCCAGAUACUCCAUAGCAGAACAGAGUUGCAGAAAGAAAGCUUGGUUAUCUUGCUUCGAUUUGCCUUUCAUGGCUGCAUGACAAGAAUCUUCCUCGAGAGCUUUGGGCGGAAGCUGUUCUUUGUGCAUGUCAUGUGACAAAUAGGCUGCCUCCUUGGCCAGGUACACAGAAAUCUCCUUUUGAGAUUUUAUAUGGUGAAAAGCCAAAUGUGAAUUAUUUUCGAGUCUUCGAUUCUAUUUGUUAUGUACAUGUUCCGAAAUCGAAAAGAACUAAACUUGAUCCGAAAGCAAAAAAGUGUGUAUUUGUUGGCUAUGAUUCUUAUAGGAAGGGAUGGAGGUGUAUGGAUCCGGAUACAAAGAAGUUUACUACUUCGAGAGAUGUCGUGUUCGAUGAAGUAUCAUCUUUCUACUCCACUCAAAGAUUUGCUGCAGAAAAUAUUAUUCUUGAAGAUGAUGAUGAAAACUUGGAUGAGCUAUUUCCAAGAGUUAAUUUGCAACCAUUCAUUGAUGAUGAGUUGGAAAAUGAAUCUCCAACACCAACUCCAAGUCAAAAUGUUCAAUGACAUGAAGGUGGUUAGCAACAGAGUGAGGAGGUCUACUAGAGAAACGAGACAACCUGAGUAUCUCAGAGACUAUGAGGUGCAGCUUAAUCAUUGUAGUAUCACUUCUUGUUUCUUUGUUUGAGCGUUUGAUGAAGAACCAGUAAGUUAUGAGAAGCCAAAAGCCAUUCAAAAUGGGAGGCAGCCAUGAAAGAAGAAAUUGAAGCUUUAGACAAAAAUGAGACGUGGGAGUUGGUUCUUAAACCAGAAAAUUGUAAGCCGAUCACUUGUAAAUGGGUUUUUUGCGUGAAGAAAAAAUUAGAUGGCACCAUUGAUAGAUUUAAAGCUCGUCUGGUGGCUCGUGGUUUUUCUCAAAAUUAUGGAUUGGACUACGAGGAGACGUUUAGCCUAGUAGCAAAGAUGGUGACGGUGAGAUCGAUUAUUUUGCUUGCUGCGUUUAAAGGUUGGAGACUAUGGCAACUUGAUGUAAAGAAUGCUUUCUUUACGGAGAUUUAGAUCGUGAAGUAUUUAUGGAGCAACCUAUUGGCUUUGUCUCUAAGGAAUUUCAAAAUCGUGUUUGCCGUUUGAAGAAAGCGUUAUAUGGCCUUAAGCAAGCGCCACGAGCAUGGUAUGGUAAAGCUGCUCAAUAUCUCAUUUUUUGUGGCUUUAGAGUUUCUGAAUCAGAUUCUAGUUUAUUUAUAAAAUUGGAAUCAGGUGCACAUCUCUUGGUAUUAUUAUAUGUUGAUGAUAUGAUAAUAACUGGAGAUAAUGAAUCAGAAAUUUGUAAUUUGAGGAAUGACUUGUCUGUUCGUCUUGAGAUGAAAAUUUUGGGGGAGAUUGGAUGUUUUCUUGGUCUAGAAGUGGAAAAAUCAGAUCAAAGUUGUUAUAGCCCGAUUUUGGGUCUAGUCAGAACAGUGGUUUUGGGACCACAAAUUCAACAAAAAGAAAAUGGGUAAAAAAUAUUAUUAAUUUAGUAAGUAUAAGUUAAAUGUGAAGUUAGGAAAAUUUUUUAAAUACUGAAUAGUGCACUAGAAAUAAAUAUUAAAAUAAUUAGAAUCGAAAUGAGGUAUCAAGACCUCGGGGAUUUUAAACCGAGCCAUAAAUAUUUUUAUAAAUAUUUAUGGAGUGUUAAAAAGUUAGUAUUAAAGUUUCGUUAGGAAAUUUUAAAGUUCCGAUAAUUAAUUGAACAAAAAGGACUAAAUUGUAACAAAUGCAAAAUUUUGGGAAAUGAUUAAGUAGCUUAAAUGAUAAAAGGAAGAGGGCUUAAAAGGCAAAUAGACCCAAGGUUUAUUUGGGCUGGACGGCAAAGGCAUGAAAUCAGCAAGAAAGUAAGGAGAAUUAAGGGCAAAAUUGGAAUAUUGCAAAAUUUGCUUAAUAAAGUUAGGACCCAAGUGGAAUUAUCUAGAUUUCUCUUCAUUUUUCUGAAUUCUCAUCAGCAAAAACACCAUGGAAGGGCUUCUUCAAGCUGGUUCUUCAUAUUUUUACUACAAGUAAGUUCAAUUCUUGACUAUUUCUUGAAAUUUUUGUAUUUUUAUGACUUUUACAAUUAGGCUCACUUGUUAAAUUCAUUAGUUUUUGAUUUUAUGAAAGAAGUUGAAAGUUGAUAUGAAUAUGUGCUGGAAUUAUAUGAUGAUUUAGCAUGGAAUUAGAGCUUUAAAUUGUUCAUAUGCUGAUUUUAUUGAAAGAAUUGAAUAGAAAGUGAAUGUUUGGGACCUAAUAGUAAAAGAGUUUGAAGAUAGAAUUAUAUGUGGAAAUUCUGAAUUUCAAUAGUUGUGUAACAACUUAUAAUGUCUAGGUAAAGUAUUAAUUCAGAAAAUUGGAUUAAUUGAGGGGUUAAUUGAGAAAGGACCGAAUUGUAUAAACUGUAAAAUUUGGGGCAAAAUGGAAAUCAACAUUUUGCACUAAAGCAGUUUUGGACAGCAGCAGUAGUGUAACUUUGAAAAAUCACAAAAAAUUGUAGAGAUUGAAUUAGAGGAUGAAUAAAAUAUGAAAUUAAAUCUUAUUGAGUCUAGUUUCUUAUAAAAGAAACGGUGUGAGCAAUGAAAUUGUAAAUCAUGAGAUAUAAUAGAUUUUGUGAGACAAGGUCAGAAUGAAUUCGGGUUCCCCUGUUCUGACUUUGGAAAAUCAUUAAAAAUUUUACAAAAAUUAUUAUGAGUUAUAAUUUAUAUGGUUAGAAUCCUUAAUGAGUCUAUUUUUAUAAGAAACAAACAAAAACAGCAUCCGAAUUCUGUACAAUGAGAUAAUUAAUUUUUAGUGAAGAGUGGUCGGAACUGUCAGACAGCAAAACAGGGAAAAAUUUAAAGAAUAAACUGUACUAUUUGGCUAAACAAAAAAUUCUGAAAAUUUUAUGGAAAUAAUAUAUGUGAGUCUAGUUCCAGGUAAAAUUAACGGAUCUUAAUUUGGAGCUUUUUAGCUCCGGAUAAAAAUAAUUUAGUGACUCUAACUCAGACAGACAGCCUAAAUUUUUCAUACAAGAAAAUAGUGAAAGUAUGAAUAAUGUUGUUUAAAUGUGUUAUACACAUUAAGGAUGAGGAAUGGAGAGGAGGUGGAGGAAAAUUGGGAAAUAUAUGAAUGGUUUAUCAUGUUGUUAGUUCCAAAAAGAGUUAUGUUUCAAUACACUAGCUUGCAACUAUGGUUGAAUGAUAUGUUUAUAUCUUGUGUGAUGUGCAUAGGAAACAAGUGUGGAAAGAUAAUGAAAUAGUAAGUUCAUAUGGCUGAAAUUUAAUGGUUAAAUGUUAAUUCCAUGAAUUAUAUGAUGUAUGAUGAGAUAUUUUUAUUGUUGAAAUAAGAAUAAAAUAAAAGUGCGAAAGCUGAAUAAAUGAUCAAAUUGAGCGGAACGCCGGAUUUGAGUACUUCUGAUCAAGUGACAAAGUGAUAAGUGAUAGCUUUAGCUACACUUAUUUGAUCAAGAACAAGUGAUAAGCGGUGACAAAGUGAUAAGUGGUAGCAUUAGCUACACUUAUCUGAUCAAGUGAGAAAGUGAUAAGUGGUAGCAUUAGCUACACUUAUCUAAUCAAGUGAGAAAGUGAUAAGUGGUAGCCUUAGCUACACUUAUCUGAUCAAGUGACAAAGUGAUAAGUGGUAGCCUAGCUACACUUAUCUGAUCAGGGACAGGUGAUAAGUGAUCAUACGUAAGACCAUAGUUAUACUAUGGCAAAGUGAAAGUGAAGUACUCAAUUUUCCGUGACCGUUCCCUAAUUUGAUUAAGGAUGGUAAGUGACAAAUGAGCCCAAAAGAAUUAAAGUAAAUGGAUAAGUGGUAGUAUAUUUAUAUCAGGACGAUGUUGUUAUUCAAGCUAAAGUGAUAUUUUCAUUGCAAAAUUGAGAAUUUCAUAAAUGUGUUAUUGAAUGGUAUAAUCAAUAAACAUUGAGUUAAAUGGUAAAUACGUAAUAGUGUUGAACUUGAUGUCAUUGAAUUGUAUGUGAAUUAAAUGGAAAUUGCUAGUGAUAUGAUGUAAAUUGUGAGCAUGAGAAAUUGCGACUUGAAUGAAAUGGAAAUGAAGCAUUGAAUUGCAUGAGUAUGUAUCGGGUCUCAUAGGCCCUAAUUAUUAUGAUUAUAAUAUUUCGAGGAUAUAUUGUGAAAAGUUAUAGAAGCAUGUUAAUUAUUUUGAAAGUUUAAAUUUAUAUGAAAUUUUAUAACUCGGUUAAAUAUGCUUACAAGUGCAUAUGUUUUGGUGAUACCUCGUACCCUAUUUCGGCGUUGGAUACGGGUAAGGGGUGUUACAAGGUUACUUUGUUUCUCAAAAAGGCUAUGCAAGGAAUCUCUUGGAGCUUUUCGGUAUGGGGGAGUCGAAAGAAAAAGCUACUCCGAUGGAGCCGAAUUUGAAGUUGAAGAAAGAUGAUGGGAGGCCGUUGGAAGAUGCAAGGAAGUUUCGACAACUUGUUGGAAGCUUAAUCUAUUUGACCAUUACAAGGCCUGAAAUUUCAUACUCUGUUAGUGUUGUUUCUCAAUUUAUGCAAAAUCCAACAAUUAUUCAUAUGGAUGGAGCAAAGAGGAUUUUGCGUUAUGUUAAAGGAACUAUUGGUUAUGGUCUUCUAUACAAGAGAUGUGAUAGCUUUAUGUUGAGUGGAUUUACUGAUGCUGAUUGGGCUGGAGAUACAAACGAUCGUCACUCGACUUCGGGAUAUUGUUUCAGUAUCAAUUCAGCAAUGGUUUCUUGGUGUAGCAAAAAGCAAGGUGUUGUUGCUUUGUUGAGUAUCGAAGCCGAGUAUCUGGCAGCAACUAUGGCUGCACAAGAGUGCAUUUGGUUGAAGAGGUUGAUUGGAGACAUAUGCAAAGUUAAUUAUGCUGUAAAAAUCAAGUGUGAUAAUGAAAGUGCUAUUAAGCUUGCAUCGAACCCGGUUUUUCAUGCUCGAACGAAGCACAUCGAGGUUCGACAUCAUUUUGUUCGAGGAAAGGUUCUAAGUGAAGAGAUUGAGCUUGUAAACAUUCGCACCAACGAUCAAGUGGCUGAUAUUUUCACUAAGGCUUUGGUGAAGCCUAAGUUUCAUCAAUUUAGAGAUGCUCUUGGAGUUCUUGAUCGUAAGCAUGCACUAAGGGGGAGUGUUAAAAAUUAGUGCAUCUUACUAGAUUUUUUAAUUUACUUGUUUUCUUUAUCAAAUAAGUUGGUUCCUAUUUUAUAGGGAUAUGAUCAGAUUAUGUUUUGUUAGUUGAGAUUUUAGUGGGCUAUUAGUUGCAGGUUUUUUAGCUUUAACGUUACAUGUAGUUAAGCUAUUUAUAUGUCAUUUUAUCUAAUGUAAUUCUGUGUGUUUUUUUUUUAGUAAUCAAAAACAUUCUUCAAUACUUUGAGCUUUUCUUGUUAUUAUUUCUUUCAUUACCUCGGUCAUUCUUUUUUGUUUUACUCUCUACUAUCCAUUAUUAUCAAAAUUUCACAUCAAUUUCACAAUUUAUUUACUUUAGUUAUUAUGUACAAAAUUAACAACCAAACAUCACAAUUUAGUCAUUUUUCAUAAUUUAAGCUUAAAAUCUAUAAAUUUAACACCAAUUUCUUCAAGAAAUCAACCAUGAAAUCUAUAAAAAAAAUUUAACAGUUUUGCAAAUUGAUACAUAGGUUAUUUAAAUCAAACUCUCAUGACCUCAGAAACACAAAAAAAAUUAUACGAAAAUGAUUUAGAAAUGCAUACCAAUUGAGGACCGAAAGCUUGAAGCUCAAAAAUGGCUUUUCCCCUUGAGGUUUUAUGUUGAUUAGAUGAAGAAGAAGAAGAAAUAAAGAUGACAACUUGCACUAAGUCACCUUUAUAUACUUAGAUUAAAUCUUAAUUAAUCAAAUUUAAUUAAUUAAAUCUUAAUUAAUUAACCUUAAUCACAAUUAAUAAAAAUUGGUGGAUGUUAACAUCAUCCUACACUAUUUGAUAUAACCAAAUGAUCUAUUUACCAUUUUGAACCUUUAGCUAAUUAGAAAUCUAUAGCGAUAAGACUUUCAAAAUUUAGUCUCUGUAUCUUAAUUAAGCAAUUAAUAGACAAAGUUGAAGGUUUAAAUUUUAAUGUUCUAUUAUACCAACUCUGUAAAUAUUCAUAUUUAAUAUUUACAGACCUGAAUUACGAAAAUGAGAUUUUGAAAUUGUAUUUUCCAGUACCACUGAAAAUCGGACAAUUACGUAACCUAUUUGCACCAAUGGGCCAAACAUGGCAAAUACUUGACAUGUAUGUCUUAAUAUCCUCAUCUAUUCUCUUCAAUAUAAUAACAUCCAAUAAUUGUUCCAUCCACUGUAACUAUCACGAAGAUUAGAUUGACCAAUACAGCCUACAAUUUGAAGAAGCGCGAUAUUUUCAUUCUAGAGAAAGAUAUAAUUGAAACAAAAUUGAAAUAAAGAUUUCAAUACAGAAUCAACAGACAUUCCAGCUAAUACUUAUCAAUUAUUUGCAGCUUUAUUGCUCCAACUAAGAUGGUUUUUAGUCGAAUAUGGUAAAUGAAAUCAAUGAACACCAGCUACUUGAUGAACGAGUGAAUCAAAGUCCUGAUAUGUGCCGGCUUAUUGGUGAAAAAAUACAUGGGCUAGUUUUGCAGCAAUUCAUGAUCUUACAUUUUAUAACCUUUGCUUACAAUUAUUCACUGACUAAUCAUUCAAUGAAUGUAGGCCUCAAAUUUAGCCACUAAACUUUAUUCUUUAUUUUUAGAUACAUAUUAUUUGAUCACUUCAUACAGCCUAUUACUCAUAAUAACUUCCAAUUUCCCUUCUUUAGGUUAGUUGCAAAUGUACAGCUUUUUCUAGAAGAAGAAAAUUGUCAAGAGCCACCUGUUCAAGAGAGGCGCAAACAAAAUGUAAAAAUACCUGACCUACUUACGGUACAGCCAAGUAAUCAUGUCUUUCUAUGCUAGAUCAUUAAAUCAAUGACUACAAAUUUCAUGCCAUGGUCGUGUAUCAUUUAUGCCAUUGAUGCUGCUAUUUUCUAUUCUAAUGCAUAAUAGGGAUUUAGUGUUUUUACCGUUAAAAUUGUGUCCUUUAAUUUUGGCUCUUUUCAGUUGUUGAUCAUGUCCACCUAUGCUUUAUUUUACUACUAUUGCUUUCUGUAAUGAUAGAUGAUUGAAUCGGUAGAAUUUUAUUAAUCCUCAACAUGUUUUAUCUUGACAUAUGGAUCCUAAGCAUUCCUUGGAUUGUGCCCUUUUUGUUCAUUUAUUUUUUCUUGGAACCUUAUUACAUGUUGUACCACUCCAGCUUUUUGGAGACAAUGAAGACGACUAACUGCUGAAUUCUUUCUUCUGCAGAGGAACCAAUGGCACGAGACUCAAAAAAUCCUACUCUUUUUUAUACCUUCCUCACCUCUUUGUGACAUUAUAGCUGAAAAAUGAUGUAUGCUAAUACAUGAAAUGUUUCCUCUUGCCUUUCUUUUUGUAGUACUAAAACUACAAAUAGUGUUUGCAAAACUCUUUAGAGAAAAACAAAUGUCUGUAAAUCUCUUUACCCGUAAUCUUAUCUUUUCCUCAUUGUAAUAGUUGGAAAACUUUUUAUUUGAAAACGAUGUCAACUACUGGGAUAAGUUAUUGUAAGCAUCUUAAGUGUUUCAUAUUAAAAACAAACACUGUUAUUGUUUAUUUUGUAGUCUAAAUUAUGAUAAUUUCUGCACAAAAUUCACAUAAAUGGUUACCCUCCCGAAGCAGAGCGAGGGUGAUGCAUACUAGUUAUUAAGAAAACAGGACCUUGUAGGGCUUAACUGUUGAAUCAAGAAAGAAAUUUCUUUUAAUGCCUUCAAUUGUAACAUCCCGAUUUUGGGCCUAGUCGAAACAAUGGUUUCGGGACCACAAAUCCGAUGAGGAAAAUUUUAUUUUUACUAUAUUAUUAUGGCCUAUAAUUUCACGGAAAGAUUUCUUGAAAAUUUCGUUCAAAAAUUUUGACGUUAGGGCACUCAAUUUAGCCAAAAGGACUAAAUUGUAAAAAGUGCAAAAGUUGAGUUUUAUUGGUUAAAGGUACUUAAUUGCUAUGGAAUUAUAACUUAGGGGUCCUUAUAUGGUAAUUAGACCAUUAGUUAGUGAUGGACAAAAAUGAACAUAAGUGAAAUAGGAUUUUUUUUAUGUAAGGGUAUUUUAGUCAUUUAGUAAAUAAAUAGAAUUAAAAGGGAAAAAUAUGUAAAAAAAAUUGUGUUCAUCAUCUUUGCUAGGUGCCAAAAUUUGAAGGAAGCCAUAGCUAGGGUUUCUUCACUUUCUCAAGCUCAUAAUCGAGAAGAACGAAAUUUGGAGGUAGAUCGGGGAAAGAAAAAAAUUGAGGACUAAAGUGUUAGAUUUGAUCACAUUUUUGUACCGAGGUAAGUUUACAGUAAAUAAAUGCAAUAUUUCAAUAAUUAUUAUUAAUGCUGUAUUUUUUAGCAAUUAUGUAUUUAUUUCAUGAAUAUAUUUAAUGUUGACUCAAGUAUGAGAUGACAGAGAAUUAGUGACACAAGCCUCAUUGAAACACUAGGAAUGUAUUGGAUACAAAUGCCAUGACAUUUGGGUAAAGAGGUCCCAUGUAAGACCAUGUCUGGGACAUGGCAUUGGCACCGAGAUGAGAGGUCCCCCGUAAGACCAUGUCUGGGACAUGGCAUGGGCACCGAUAUGAGAACUCCCAUGUAAGACCAUAUUUGGGAUAUGGCAUUGGCAGUACAGGAAACAUCCCAUGUGAGACCAUGUCUGGGACAUGGCAUGGGCACCGAUAUGAGAACUCCCAUGUAAGACCAUAUCUAGGAUAUGGCAUUGGCAGUAUGGGAAACAUCCCAUGUGAGACCAUGUCUGGGACAUGGCUUUGGCAUGUUAUUAUCAGAUAUGAGACCCAAGUAUCCUUAUUAUUCCAAUGUGACUCAACGGGCUAGAAAACAGAUUAUGUUCUACGAAAGUUCAAGUAAAAGUAUAAUUAGCAACUUCAGGUGAGUUAUAAGAGUUAAGAACAUAUUAUGUUAUUAGUGAGAACCAAUAUUUUAGCAAGAGAAGAGUAAGUUGUAAUCUUAAGCUAUCUAAGUAGAUAAGUAAGUAAACAAGUAAAUGAGAGUCAGUAAAGAGAAAACUUAAGAACAUGAUACUUGUAUAUCAUUAUUUAUGUUAAAUGAUGUCAUUUAUUUAUUUGUAAACUUACUAAGCUUUAUGCUUACUUCUUUUAUUUCUUUUUCUUUCAUAUAGUAUUAUCAAGCAUAGUCGGGAUCUUGAAGACGUCGGAGAGUGUUCACACUAUCAACCACCACAACUCGGUAUUUUAAGACGAUAAAUAUUUUGGGCUAUGGCAUGUAUAGGGACUUGGUCAUUUCAAUUGUAUAUUCUUAAAAUAUGACCAAAAGAUGAUAUGUAAAUGCUUGAUGAUGAAUAGUUAUUAAAAUGGCUAAGUAUGAAGGUGUUUGUGGUUAUAAAUGUCUAGGUUAUAAAUUAUGCAUAGAAAUCAUGAAAGAGUAAAAAUUUGUAGUGAAUCAGUUUUGAGACAGCAGUAGUGACGUGAAUUUGAAAAAUCACCAAGGAUAGUAGAAAAUGAAUUAGAGAGUGGAUGAGAUAUAGAAUUAAAUCUUAUUGAGUCUAUUUUUAUAGAAAAAUAACAGUGUAGACAAAGAAAUGAUAUAUUCCGAGAUAUUUGCAUUUUAGUUAGACAAGGUCAAAGUUGUUUUCGGAAUCCCCUGUUCUGAAUUUGGAAAAUCAUUAAAAAUUGUAAAAAAAUAUUUAUGAGUUUUAAUUUAUAUGUAGAGAUUCCUUAUUGAGUCUAUUUUCUUUAGAAAGAAUUUAGAACACUAUAUGAAGUAUGUACAAUGAGAUAAUUUAAUUUUAGUGACAAGAGGUUAGGACAGUUGAUUAGUGAAACAGGGGAGACUUUAACUAAUAAACUGUACUAAUUGGCUAAACCAAAAAUUCUGAAAAGUUUACAGUAAAAAUUUAUAUGAGUCUAGUUUCAGGGAAAAUUUAUGGAUCUCAAUUUCAAGUUUCAUAGCUCGAGUUAUAAUUAAUUUAGUAACUAUUGUGCAAGUGAAUAGACUUACUAUGAACAGUGAAUUAACUUUUAAAACUAAAUUUUUAUGCCCCGAACUUUUAAGUUAGUCAAGUAACGCCUCAUGCUCGACUCCGGAAAUGGACUCGGUUAAGGGGUGUUACAUCAAUUUUUUUUAAAGCUGAUUUUUUUUUUUACGAAUUAAAGUUUUGAUUGUAUGUUAAUUGCUUGAGGGAAGGUCGGAUACUUUAUUAUCCCUAUUUUUAUUUGUUAUAUAUUUUAGCCAUAAUGAUUUUUUUGGCUCUACAACUUUACCAAAAAAAUCAUAUUAUCUUUCAUUUAAUUUUCAUCUCUUUUAACCCUUUAACUUGUAUUUUUUUAUCAAAUCACCCCAAAAUGGAUCGAAAACUUAACAUUUGUAAACUUUGAUGAUGUGGCAUACACAUUAAUUGUCACAUGGAUGACAAGUCAACAUUUUUUAAAAAAAACUUAAAAAUAUUAAAGAAAAUAUUUUUGAUAUUUUUAAUGAUUUUUUUAAUUAAAAAAGUUUUUAUAUAUUUUUAAUUUUUAAAAAUUAAUUAAACACAAACAUAGAAAUUCGCAUCUAUGUGUCACAGGCCACAAAUUAAAGCCUGCGACCAUUUCGCAUAGAACACCCCAUAGAGGUCAAUUUAUUAAACGUGGUUCAUUUGACCCGCAUGAACUGGCUCGAAUCGUGGAACCCGUAGAGAAACCCAUCUACUUUAAGCCUUGGUGGUCUAGUGAAAUACUCCAAUAAAACUAGAGUUACUAGGGUAAAUAAUGUAAAUCUUAAAUGGAUAAGAUUGUAUAGAGUUUAAAUUCCUUAUAACUCUCAAUUGUAGAUAAGCGGUAACAUUAAUCAUCGAUGUAACUCAAUCUGUAUCGUUGCUUCUAGGAAGCUCAACUAUAACUAGAGGUCUCCCUCUUCAUUUGUAAUCAUUCCAUUCAUAGUUGUGAAUAUAUUUGAGAGCAUUUACUCAAACACCUUGUGUGCAUUGCUUUUCUUUGGCUAUUCUGCUCUUUCGAGCUUCUGUCUUUGAGUGUCACAUCCCAAAAUUGGGCCUAGAAGAAAUAGGGGGAAAAUUGAGUUUUAAUUUUUUUUUAACAUAGGGUAAGGGAAGUAGAAUGCCUUAAAAUUAAUUUUUUGCUAUAAAUCUAAUAAGAAUGAGUUUGUUGGUUUAGUGCUAAGGUCAUAGCCUACCUAUAGGUUCCAAGUUUGAACCCCUUGGUGAGCAUUCAACCAAAAUAUUUUUAUUUUCUUGUUUUUACCGCACCAAAAGUGACGAAUUUUAAAAUAACCCAGCCCAAAAACUAUAUUUUUUUAAAAUUUAGUCCUUAAUUUAAAAUUUUUCCCAAACCUACAUAAAUUUUUAAAACCUAUUCCAAUUAGGAAAGAUAAGUAUUAUAAAUAAACAAUUUCAAAACAAACCCUAGAAUUUCAUCUAGCAAUUUUUCGAGAAAACAUCCAUAAACACUUUAUUUUCCAAAUCAAACUUUCAAGCGAAAGGAAUCGAAAUCUUCAAAAUCAUCCCUCAAGUAGAUCUUCAAUCUCUUCUCCAACACUAAGGUUUUAAGUCUUCAAAAUAGGUGUGGGAACUAAACCUAAAUCUUUGUGUAUAAUUGAAUCUAAUAGCAUGUAGAGAACCAGUAUUGGCGAACCCUAGGAAAACCCCCCUGUAUGUGCGAUCAUGUAGGUGCGAGCCUGUAGAUGCGAAACCCCUUACACAUGAAAACCCCAUGCAUGCGAACCCUUACGUGAAACCCCCCCUUUCAUGCGAACCCUGUAUGAAUACCAUGCAAACCCUAGGUUGUUAUGUGGAUACUCAUACUGUGAACACAUGUGCACAAACAUAUAGGAAUAUUCAUGUGAACCCUACUAUUAGAUGCGAACCCCCUUAUACGUGAAAACCCCCUUGCAUGCGAACCCUAGUUAGUAUACAUACGAGUCUCAUAUUUACAUGCGAACCACUACUAGUGCGAGUCAAUUAUAUGAUACCACAUGCGAACCCUACUAUUACAUGCAAACCUUUAUACAUGUUAUAUUCUAACUUUUUUUGUUAAAAUAGGUGAGACUUGUCUAGUAUUACAGACGACCCUACAUAUACCUAAUUUGCGAACUCAUAUGUUAAAAGUAUGCAAAACUAUCUAUGUUUGUUAUGUGAACUCACAUGUUAGCAGUAUGUGAACCUAUAUAUAUCAGUUAUGCCAACUCACAUGUUAGCAGUAUAUGAACCCAUAUGUCUGUUAUGCAAACUCACACGUUGGCAAUAUGUGAACCCUAUAUACACCUUUAUGCAAACUCACACAUUAACAGUAUGCGAACCCUAUAUACGCCUUUGUUGAUGUUAGUUCCCAUGCAUCUUGUGGUGCAGCAAUCGUGGCCAUGCAGGUCACAUGGAGAAAAGAAGCAGCACAUGAAGGCAGUAACUGGAGCUUGUGGAUGCUGUCCAAAUUCAACUUAUUUUGUUGGUUUGAUUUUAUAGUUUGUAACUUAGUUCUUUUGGAACUUUCUUGGUAAAACUUUCGAUGUAUUUUUUAUGUUGAUUGACUGAAAAUUCAGCAAAGCAACUUAUGCAAGCUAGUUUAGCAAUUUUCAAUGUAUUAAGUGGUGUUAGGUAAGUGUUUAGGUAGUAUUUUGACUUGUAAGCUUAACUCAUGUUUGAUAUAUGUAAUGGCAACUUGCCAAUGCCUUGUUAAUGAAAAAAUUCAGCUUGUUUUCAAUUUCUGUUCUUAAAAACAAAAAGGUUUCUACUUUGUUUCUUCUCCAAGUCACGAGGCUUGCUGACAAAGCAAAGCUAAAUCAGCUUGCUCACUGCCUUUGACUCCAACAGCCUUUAUACAAACUCACACGUUAGCAGUAUGCGAUCCUUAUAUACGCCUUCAUGCAAACUCAUACGAUUAGCAGCAUGUGAUCCCUAUAUUUAUGCGAACCCUUCUAAUAACAAAUAUGCGAACCUUAACUUGCGAACCCUAGGCAGGAACCCUACACUCGCAAAGCCUUCUUCUGAACCUGUACAUAUGCUAGAUAACCAAGCCUAUUAGUUUACGUUAAAUCACUGUACAUAUGAGAUUGUUUGUUUACUUGCACAAAUUAUAUGUGUAUUUACUAUUCGAUACAAGAGUACCUAUCGACCUUUUGAUGAGAAUUCAGAGAUUAAUGAUGAUAAUUCCAACAAUCGGUGGAAGAACAAGUUAAAUCGAGAAUUGGUGUAAUUUAAGGUAAUAAAGAUUAAAUUUUCAGUAAUAAAUAUAAAAUUGUUAUGGAAAGAAAUGAUGGGUAAAAAAAUGAGAGUUUUAAACAGAAGAGAGGAAAACUUCAAUUUAGGGUUGAAGAGGAACUAAAAAUCCAUGUGAAAUUAGGAAAAAAAUAUUAAAUACCUAGGAUUAAAAAAUUUGAGGGGGCUGAAUGGUAAAAUACCCUUUUUGCUUAAAAAUGAAAAGAAAUGGAAAUGGGGAUUGAGUUUGGCAUGACUUGAACCUUGGAAGCAAAGGAAAAAAUUGCAAAGGCCAUACCAUUUGGGUUGCUACCUACAUUUGGCAUAUUUUUACACUAUUUAAUAUAUAUCCUAGCUUAGUUUUGAUCAUAGGUUGUUGAAAAAAAAACAAGGGGUAAGAGUGUGGCUUCAACCUUAGUUCUCUAGUUAGUAUACUAAGCUCUUAACCAUUAAGAUUAAGGCUCAUCUCUUAGUCAAUUAAUUCAUCUAACUCUAUAUAUUUUGGUGUGUUACAUCUUGAAUUAAAAAAACCCAUAAAAUGCAUGUAGACUUGUAUUGCUUGGUACUUGGUAGUAUAUAUGUAGACUUGUAUGUUGAUUAAGCCACCUUAAUUAAGACCAAUGUGUUAGACUUGUCUAUGCAUUGAACAAUUUAGAAGAAAAUGAAGAAAAAGACUCUAAAAGCACUUGAAAACAGAUAAAACUCAUAUGUCAUUGACUAGUUAAAUGUGGUCACCCAUAAUAGACCCUGUAUUUGACUUUUUGUUGAGGGAGAUUGACUCCUUUGGGAGAAGUCUCCUGAGUGUUGUUUGUCAAGCAGUCAGGGUUGUCCUAAACAACUAAAGGUAUUGUCCCCAUGUCGAGAUUUUAUCCCUAGCCUCUGCAAAAUAAUCAUGGAGAAUAUGUGCGAGAGAAUUCAAACACCAACCAAUGCAUGUGUAGCCUUUACCUUGCCACCAUCUUUGGGAACCCAUAAGGAUAAAAUCCCAACGAGAGAAUAGUAUCAUCUAUUGAGGGGUCUGUCAACCCAAUAAAUGAAAUUUAAAUGCAUACUUUUUUUUUAAUGAAAGUAAAUAUCAUAUUUAAUUAGAGAAAAGCAAUGAAAAAUCCAACAAUAAAAUCCUUAGCAAAAGAUUAAAACACAAUUGUACCAUAAAUUAAAUAAGAAACUAAAAAAAUUCAAAUCUAACGAAGACAAUAACUUGAUUCCUCAAAGCCACCAUAAACAGUAAUUCAUACGAAGGCCUGUUGCUCAUUUUAUAGGUUUCCAUUUUGAUUUUGCAAAAGAAGUUUGAAUUCCGAAGCGAGCCUAGUACAUGAGAGAAAAUUGUCGAAACCGUCUUUUUGAAAACAAAAAUUUAGUUGUCGACUUUAAAAAUAAAACUGGAGUCGCCACCGAUCCUUUAUUAGGGUGUGAUCGGCUCACCUUAAAAAUUAUUUUGGUCUACGAGCUUUAAGAAAACGAGUCCGGGAGUAAGUUACGCAUGAGGAAGGGUUAGCACCCUCGUAACGCCCAAAAUCGGUACCAAAUCGAUUAUUUAAUGUCUUAGUGUCGUGGACUAAAAAGAAGUUAAAAAAACCAAAUGAUGAAAUCAGAAAAGGAUAAUCAAUUGUUCAAGACAUGUAAAGAAAUCGAGUCCCAAUACGUUAGGGUACAAUUUCUCAAAAUUCCCGAACUUUGAAUAUCGCUUUUAUUUUAUGCGAAAACAUUCAUUGUGAGAAAGUAACAUGCCACACCCAAUACGUUAGGACACGACAAGUUAAGUUCCAAAAAAUGAUUUUUAUACUCAUGCAUUUUGAAUAAAAAAUAUUCUCGAUUAUUUAAAAUUAACAAAGAAAAUCGGAACCCAAUACGUUAGGGCUCAAUUUUCUCAGAAUUCCAAAUACCGAAUUGUGCCUUUUAUUCGAAAAUUCUUAUUUCGAGAAGUCAAAAUAUCAUGACCAGUAAGUUAGGACUUGACAUUUUUUGAUUCCCGAGAACAAGCUUCUAUUUGAAAUUUGCAUGAAUUUAUUUCAAAAUAAAUACCUGGUUUUCUAAAUUCACCAAGAAAUAAUCGCAAUCCAGUAAGUUAGGAUACUGUUUUUCUCGAGAAUCAUGAAUGCCAAAUAUUUUGGAAUUUUAUAAAAUAUGAUGAUUUUAAUGCUUUGACAGAACCAAAAUAUAUUUUCUUUAAAAAGUGUAGAAAAAUACUAAUGUAUCACAUAAAAUCAAUAUUUUAAUUUUAAAUUAUAUGCAUAUAUGUAUUUUCAAAAUAUAAGUAUGAUACAUAAAUAAAUUUUGAAAAUAUAAGUAUGAUACAUAAAUAAAUUUUGAAAACAUGUAUAUGCACAUAUUAAAACAAGUAUAUAUAAGUAUACACAUAUAAAAUAAAAUAAUGAAUGAGAUAUGUAUAUCAAAAUAAAAAUUAUCAAAAUUUCUACAAAAAAAAAUCAUGUAUGUAUAUACGUAAUGAAAAUUGUAAAAAUAAAAAUAAAAAAUAUGCAGAUGUGUAUAUAUUUACAAAAAAAAAUUUAAGUAUACAUGCUUUAGUAAAACAGAAAUAAUAAUAGUAUAUGAAGAAAUUAGGAAAAUGUGUAUAUAGAUGUACAUAUAUAAAAAAAAUGCAAAAAUAUAUUUACAAUAAUUUUGAAGGGCGUACGUGUAUAUCAAUAUCUAUUUAUGCAUAUAUAUUAUAAAAUAUGAAAGAAUAUAUAACUAUAAUAGAAAUAUAAAUGUAUAUACGUAUAUAUGUAUAUAAAAGCUAAAAAAGAAAUAAUAACAAUAUAUAUAUAUAUAAAUAUGUAUAUGUAUUAGAGAAAUAUUUAAUAUAUAUAUCUAUUAGCAUACAUAUGCGUAUGUAUGUAAGUAUAAUUAUAAUACUAUAUAAUAUAAUAAUAAUAAUAAUAGUAAUAAUAAUAAUAAUAAUAAUAACAAAAACUACAAAAAAAACCUUAAAAAGCACCAUUAAGGAUUAAACUGAGAGCUAAACGAAGUUAAAAGGCCAAAUUUAAAAAUAGAAAACACCAGGAAGGACAAAGUGAUACGCGCGCCAUGAGAGGAGGACUUAAAAAACAAUUUUCCCAAGUCGCUGAAGCACUGUGCAGUGACAUGGAUUAAAUCGUCACGCGAGCAAAAUAUUUGGGCCGAAUUUAAAAAGGAAAAAAAACUUGAUUGAAACACGUAGCAAAAGGGGAAGGGCUAAAAUAUAUAACAAAAAAACACAAAAAGUCAAUCUGGUAAAUCGAUGUUGGGUACUCUAAUUUUAGGAUUCAGAAGGCUUAAGAGUGUUUUCGCAUCAAAAUCGUACUAGGUGUGUCCCCAAAACACAAAAAGUCAGGUUUCGAUAAAAGCCGAAAAUGCAUCCAGUCGAUGCCACACGGACGUGUGCCUGGUCGUGUGGCUAGCCGUGUGUGAGACACGACCUUGUGGUGGUGUGAGUGUAGCGGUAUGGGCCACACGGGCUAGGCCAGUCUGGGCAUAUAGGCCCACAAUUUUAAAAUUUUCCUUAAGGCCACAUGGUUCGUUUCGAAUGAUUGUGGACCUACCAUAGGGUCGGUAAUGGCUAAUCAAACACUAAAUUAUGUGAUAUGAUAUUUUGAUAGUCUGCAUUGUGUAGGAUAUCGAUAUGUACAUCUGUUCUAUUUAAGUAUAUAUAUGCUAUCUGUAUAUGAGCAUGUUAUGCAUAAUAUUACUGUAUCUAUUAUUUCUAUAUUCUGUAUCUGUGAUUGUGGUGGGUUUUGUAUAUGUAGAGGAAGUGAUCUGUAUGGUGACACUUCCCUUAUAUUCUGGCAGUUGAUUGUAUAUUAUCUGUAAUGUGUUGUAUUGACACUAUAUGGUGUGUAGGGAUGGGUAGGUGUUUUAAACCUCAUAUGGUGUGAUGGGAUGGCCGAAGAUGUUGUGUAGAGGAUGGGGGUAAGAUUCUACAUAUCUGUACUACUUAUCUCAUUCUGUUAUCUAGAUUUGGAAUGGAUAUAAGUCCGAAUCUGGAUCUGACUGUAUAUAAGACUUCUGUUUGUAUUGCAUGUCUAUUUUUGUUGGGUUACACACUGAGUUUAUGAAAGCUCACAUAUGUUUGUCUGUUCUAUUCAGGUCUAUAGACUUAGGCGAAUCAGUGUGACGGAGCCUCACAGUGACCACGAGAUCGUAAACUGUUUAAGAUUAUGGUUUUUAUUUAAUUUAAGGAUUAUUUCUAGAAGUUUGUAAUAAUUGGACUUUCUAGACUAUUUGACUUUUAUUUCAAUUUUGGAGGCAUUUUAACUUUUAUGGCCACGUUUGACCAAAAUCACGGUUUUACUAAAAUAAAGGAUUUUCUAAAUACAUGAAUUAGAUUUCCAAGAUUCAAUGCUUUUUGAAAACUUCGACCUUAGAUUAUGUAUUGGAAAAUUAAUUAAUUAAAUAACGCUUCUAGUAACAAAUAGUACACUUGGGGUAUUUAUCAAAUGACUAAAUAAAGCUUUAUCAAAAUAUCACUGUUUUCAAAACCAUUCCAUGUAACACUCUUGGAUUCAGCCACAAUGUCUAGGCCGAGAUUAGGGUGUUACAUUUAAUGCUAUCAGAGCCAGGUUGCAAAACUCAAGCUAUGAAUUUUGGGUUUCAAAAAUUAUAUUUUGAAAAAGAACAGGUUUUCAAAUAAUUUGGAUCAUUCUGAGUAAGUAUGUGGUACACUGAGUCUAUGGUAUUGAUCCUGUAAGUACUUUUGAAAUUAGAUAGAACUUUCUGAAAACAUUGUAGUUAGUACUUUCUAAAACUAUACUGAAUUAGUUAAAAAUAGAAACCUCUGAAAUAUGUUCAAACUUCUGCUAAUUUGAGCAUAAAAUAUCUGUUAAUAAAGAUUGGAACUGAUGCAUAAAAUUUUGUAAUGUAGAUAAAUUUGAAAAUAUACGAUGAGCAAUUGUGGAACUCACGGUCAUGGUAUUCGUGGGCGCGUAGGGUCGUAGGGGGCUGGAGCUGAGUCUUUUUCUCUGGGCAGUAUGCCAAACUUAGAUAUGAGUGAGACACCGGUUUCACCUGCCAUUGAGACAAGGUCUCAAAGUCGCUUGGCUAGGGACGACGCACUGUCUCAAGCCAUGUUGAGGGUUUUGGAGAGGGUCACUAGACCUCAUUCUGGAUCUGUGGGUCGAUAACUGAACGACUCCGAUCCAAUAGAGCUGAGCUGUUUAGGUGUGUCAUUGGAGUCACCCCUACUGUGGCCGAGUAUUGGUUGGAGGCCACUGAGAGGAUUAUGAACGACAUUGACUGUACUCCUAAGUAGAAACUUAAGGGUGCAGUCACUUUACUUUGUGAUGAGGCAUAUCAAUGGUGGUUGUCGAUUGAGGAGGGUACUCAACGGGACUGUCUGAACUGGGAUUAUUUUAAGACUACCUUCUAGGGGAAGUAUGUGGGUGCGAGCUAUGUUGAUGCUUGUAGGCGUGAGUUCAUGAAUCUCACGUAAUGUGAUAAAUCUGUGGCUGAGUACGAGGUUGAGUUUCUGAGGUUGAGCCGCUACGCUUGAGGCAUAGUGGCGACUGAAUAUGAGAAAUGCAUAUGUUUUAAGGAUGGCUUGAGGUAUAAUCUGAGGGUAUUGAUUGCUCCACAGAGGGAGCGAGAGUUUUCAGUUCUUGUGGAUAUGGUGAAGAUCGCCAAGGAGAUUAAAUGCAUAGAGCGCUAAAAUAGGGAUCAUGAGUGAGGCAAGAAUAAGAGGGAUUCAGAGCCCUCUAGUUCUGUUUAGAGGCCUAAGAAACAGGUCAGACCUGAUUGGCUUGUUAGAGUAGGGGUUCCUAUUGCUUCUACUAGGAUUUAGCCAUGUGGUGAUUGUUUUAGGCGCCAUUCAGGUGAGUGUUGGAGGAGGUUAGAGGCUUGCCUGAGGUGUUGGUAUUUGGAGCACCACAUUAGAGAAUGUCCACUCCAUACGGAUUAGAUGCAAGCUUCAGGACUGAGUUUUAUAUAACCUCAGAGGGCAGUUCAACAGCCACCUAGGGGCCGUGGUCCGACUAGGGGUGGUAAUGGUAUGGGCCGAGGACAAAGAGCACUGGGAAAAGGUGUUAGUCAAACUGAGGCAAGGCAGCCUGCACUGGUUUAUGUUGCUUGAUGCCAAGAGGAUAGAGACGCUCUUGAUGUGAUCACAGGUACGUUCUUUAUUUUUGGUGUUCCAUAUACUACUCUGAUAGACAUAGGUUCUACUCAUUCCUAUGUAGGUAGUACUAUUUCCAAAAAUUUAUUGAUUUCUGGUGAGGGUACUUCUAGUGAAAUUAUUGUACUGAGUCCGUUGGGGCAGUCUGUUCGAGUAAGUAGACUUUAUAGGAAUGUACAUUUGGAAGUACAAGGGAUUGUGUUUUUGGCAGAUCUGGUAAGGGUAGUUCUAGUGAAAUUAUUAUACUGAGUCCUUUGGGGCAUUCUGUUCGAGUAAGUAGACUUUAUAGGAAUGUACCUUUGGAAGUACAAGGGAUUGUGUUUUCAGCGUUUUAUUCACAUAAAAGCAGCAAAAUUUAGCGGCGUUGUCUACAGCGGCAUUUUUUACGGUGCUUGUGAAAGCGCCGCUAUAGGCCUAAAAACACCGCUAAAAGCUUGUUUUGCUGCAGUGAAUUAAUAUUAUUAUAAGUGUAUUUUCACCUUUUCAUACUUUUAUAUAAUCUUUAAGUAAAACGAUUGAAAAUUAUUAUUUGAGAAUCAAACACAAGAGUAACAAUAUUCAUAUAGAAAACGCUUACCACUCCACUAAUAAUCAUUUGUUGAUGUAUUUUUGGUAAAAAGACCCCUCCAAUCCCUCUUAAUUUCACAAUUGCUCAAAUUAGUCCCUCUCAUAAAAAUUGGAGCAAUUUAAUCCCUAUCAAUUUUGAAAGUGAGUAACUAAGGACAAUUAAUUAUGGUGUUAAAUUCUUCCAUCAAUUGUACAUAAUUUUGAUUGGUAUAAGAAUAAAUUUAGCCUUCAAUGUUUAUAUAUUUUGUCAUUUUGGCCAUAAUUUAAAAAAAAUUCAAGAAAUUGAACCUCAACAUUUACAUAUUUACACAAACGUUGCGGGAAAAUUUUGUUAAAUUAAGACCAAAUUGCAAGUGUAAGUUUUGAGGGCUAAAUUUAUUAUUAUACCAACCAAAAUCAUGUACAUUUUAUGGGAAAUUAACAUCCUAAUUAAUUAUUCUUAGUUACUCACUUUCAAAAUUAAUAGGGACUAAAUUACUCUGAUUUUUUUAGGGUGACCAAUUUCCUCAAUUUGGAAUUUGAGAGAGACUAUUGAGAUCUUUUACAUAUUUUUUUAUAAAUAUAUAUAUUUAAUAUAAAAUAUAUUUGUUCACACACAUCGUGAGUAUGAUAAAAUAUUUUUAUUGUUAAUUAGUUGGUGUCAAAAAUUAACUCGACGCCAACUCAAUAUUAAUGAUAACAAUAUGAUAAAUAAUUGAUUUAUUUAAUAUUCUUAAUUUAACAUAUUGAUAUAAAUUUUAAGACAUGCUUGUCUUGAAGAAUUGUGAUUAUACUUUUCGAGUAUUGACUCAGUUUUCCACAAUUGUGGGUCUCUAUUUAAGACAAACAAUUUCAACAUUUCUUCAUAUUGUUUAAUCCAAAUGCAUUAAGGAUUUUCUUAUAUCAUUGUUUCAAAAAUGAUAAAAAAAAACAACGUCGACAUUGAAUUUGCUGUUUCACAUUCAAUUUUUGGAGAAGUAGAAUCUUCUAACUUAUUUUCCAUCAACUUCACUUCAAUUUUCAAUCACAAUCAAUUGCAUUCAAGAGCACCACAUAUUUUUUGGAUGAAACAAACCUAUCAAUUUUAAGAUAAACGGGUCUUUAGGGUUAUUAAUUGAGGGCCUUUUCCACAAUUGUCAUCGUUAAGCAUUUUUCAAUCUUGUCUACUGUGAAUAUCGUUUUUAAGCAUUUUUCAUUGAAAUAACGAUUAAUAGACAAAUAAUAUUCAAGUAAAACAAUUUUUGUAUAUUGGUUUGAAAGGUUUUCUAAAUAGUACAAGGACCUGAAACAGAACCACUGGACAAAGCUAACCAAAUCUAAGAGUUGGAAAUAUUUGGGAAUGAAUAGUUUAAAUUGUGAUUAUUUCUUCGGGUUCCUGUCAAAGAUAUCAGCUGAGCAAGAAGGCAGGGUAAUGUGCCAAUGAUAGAACCUUGAUGAACAACGAGCAAAUGUCAACCUAAGCAUUAAAAGGGGAUCAUUCUCAAAAAAUGACAUUCUACAUGUAACGCCCCAAAAUUUUAAUUUUGGGUAUUGUGAAUGUAUGACACAAAUAUCUGUCUGCUUUAGUGGUUAUGUGUUUUGGGUGUGUUUGGGAGGUCUCAAGUUCAAGUCAAUACUUGGGCAAAUUUUGGUAAUUUUAUGAAUAAGCCCUAUCUCUGGUUAUAGGCUUUUAAGUAAAAGUUGGCAAAUAAUUAAUAGAAUGGGUCUGUUGGUCUAGUGGUUAAGUGGAGUGUUGGUGUGAAGAAGGUCAUGGGUUCAAAUCUUUGGGACGGCAAGGUAAGUCGUUUUACUCUCCAUCUUUCUGACGUUUUCUCUCCCCCAUGUCUGCCGAAUUUUUUUUCUUUCUUCUUUACUUGUUACUCGGUUAUCUUUUCUUUUCUUUCCUCUACUACUGUCGAAAUUCCCUUGUUUCCCCUAAACCAUUCUUUCCUCUUGAUUUCGUAGCUUUAAGCAGCACUUGUUCAAAUUUAGUAAGUUGUUGGGUAUCAUUUUAAGAUAUUAUUUUGUAUUCAAUAGUCUAAUUUUGGGGUGUUGACAGUAGCAUUUCACGAGGAUUAAGGCUCUCCUCGUGAUUUUUGCAACGUACCGAUUUUAAGUUUUGCGGUAAGUGUUCAUCAUUUUAUGGGUAAGUAUUUUGGUUUCGGGAUUUUAAUUACUCACAAGGUAAGACUGAUUAUGGUGUUAUUUGCUCAAUUAUACGCUUAGGAGUGCUCGGGGACUAUUUUAGCAUCAAACAAAACCAAGUGUGCACCCGAAUCGCAAAAAUAAGGGAUUCGGCGAAAAGCCGAAAUUGCUUGCUGUUUGGACAGCAGCAGUAGGCUAACUUUGAAAAAUCAGCAUAAAUUGUGGAAAUCGAAUUAGAGGAUGAAAAAAAUAUGAGAUUAAAGCUUAUUGAGCCUAGUUUCUCAUAGAAGAAACGGUGUAAGUAAUGAAAUUGUAAAUCGUGAGUUAUAAUAGACUUAGUGAGACAAGGUCAGAAUGAAUUUGGGUUCCCCUGUUUUGACUUUGGAAAAUUAUCAAAAAUUGGAGAAAAAUAAUUAGGGGUUAAAUUUUACAUGCUUAAACUAUUAAUGAGUCUAUUUUCAAUAGAAACAAAUGAAAAUGUCAUCCAAAUUUUGUACUAAGAGAUAACUCAUUUUUAGCAAAGAAGAGUCAAAGUUGUCAGACAACAGAAAAGGGAUAAGUUUAAAUAUUUUACUGUACUUAUUAGCUGAACCAAAAAUUUUGGAAAUUUAUGGUAGAAAGUUAAUUGAGUCUAGUUUCAAAGACAUCAAACGGAUCUUAAUUCGGAAUUCUGUAGCUCAAGAUAUAAAUUUAUGUUUAUCUUAUUAUCUUUCUUAUUUUAGAAUUGAUUACAUGAAAGUUAAUUGCUAAUAUUAUUAGUUAAUUAUUAGUUUUCUUCAAAUCAAAUUAAACCCCGAAAGGUAUCUCUUUUUUUAUAUUAGUUUUAGUUAUCCAUUAAAUUUGUUUCUUUGUAGUAAAAUUAAAUUAUAGAAAUAACAUUAAAAUUUUAAAUAAAAAUAAUUCACAAUAAUUUAUUAUUUAAAAAACGCCCUGAAAUUUAAAAUUAUUGCUAUAAAUAUAUCAUUAAAUUAUACAGAAUUUAAUUUUUCUUUCAAAUACUAAAGUUAAUAAGGAAAGAGAAUAUAGUACAUAUCAAUAAAACUAUUAAAAAAGAAAUAUUGUUUAAAAUCAAUAGCGUCUAAAAAUUGUCAGAAUGAAAUAUUUGAUUUUAUAAGAUUUCAUUACUCUAAAAAAAUAAAAUAUGACAAUGCUUAAAAAUUUUAUUAAAAAAAGUUUUAAAUUUUAUAUAAAAUUUUAAAAAAUAAAAAAUAGUACUAAAAAUUUUUAUAAGCAAAUUUAAAUAUUAAUUAGUAAAUUUUUUUGUAAUAUUUAUAUGUAUUUUCAUUUUUAUAAAUACUAUUAAAACUUUUUAAAAAAAAAUUGAAUGCUAUUUAAAAACAUUAUUAAAAAAUAAAAUAUUAUAUGAAAGUUAAAAUGACCUAAAAACAUAUUUUAAAAAUUUAAAUACUUUAUACAAUAUUUAAAACUGCUUAAAAUUUCUAAACCCUAAAAAAUAAAUAAAAUAUAAUUUUUUUCUAAGAAAUCAAUAAAAAUAUAUUUAUAAUUGAACUGUCAACAAAAUUGUGGGAAAUAUUUAAAUUUUAUGAAAUUUUAAACUUAAACUGUCAAUAAUAGAAAAUUGCCUGAGUGACUUGGGAUAAGAGGUUCAACAUUUCUGGAUCGCAUUGCAUUUAAGGCGGGUCUUUAGGGUUAUGCUUUAGUUUUUUAGAACAUUUUCCACAAUUUGCCAUCAUUACUUGUGAGUGAUUUGUGGGGUAAGAGGUUGAACACUUCUGGAUCACAUUGCAUUUAAGACUGGUAUCAUUCAUAAAUUAUAUAUCUACAACAAGAAUGGUAGCCUCUUAUAUUAUAUUCAUGUAUCUAUUUUGCAUCUUUCAUUAUAAUAUGAUUUAGUAAUUUUAAUAUUUUUAUAGAAUAAUAUGCUUUAAUUUUUUUUGUAUCAUUCAUAAAAAUUAUAAUAAACUUACAAAAUGAUUUAAUGAUAUUUAAUUAUUAACGGAAAAAAUUUAUAUCAUAUAUAUUCUGUAUAUAUUAAGAUUUUGAAUGAUUAAUUAUAUAUCUACAUAUUAUAAUAAAUUCAUCUUUCAAAAUUUUCCUAAACUAUAUUCAUAAUAUUAUAAAUAUAUUAUAUCAUAAAUAUUCUUUCAAAUGUUUUUUAAUGUUUAAUAAUAAGUUAAUUUAUAAAAUAUUCUUUCAAUAAAUUAACGUGAUGAGAUCGUUAGGUGCUUGGAUUUGGUGACGGGGACGAGGAGAAAAGGGAUGGAAGUGAAGAGAAAUGUUGGGAAAUUGAAAGGGUUAGCAAGGGAGGCCUCCGUGAAAGGUGGUUCUAUAGAUGUGAACCUUCAAGCUUUUGUGGAUGAUGUUGCUCAAGGUUGUUGCAAGUAAAUUUAAAAAUAUUUUUUUAAUUAUUUUUUGUUAAAAAAUAUUUUUUUCUAUGUAGCAUGCCACAUUAGCAUACUACCAUGUGGUAACUUCUAGUGAUUUUCGUAUGUAACAUUAGACAAAUUAAUCGUUAAAUCGUUCAACUGACAGAUUUCGUUAAAGGAAGAGGUCAAUUGAUUUUUUUGGAAUCAUUGAGUACUCAAUUGGUGCACUAUUUUCAUAAAGACUAAAUUAAUUUUUUUAAUUUGUUAUCGCUGAGGGCUACAGUAAUAAAAAAUUUUGAGGUAAAAUUAGAAUAACGUCCCAAAAAUCUUAUAUUUAAUUUGUAAAAUUUUACCAUUAAUAAGUAUUUGUUUUAGUGGUUAAGUAUUUGAGUCGUGUUUAUAAUAUCUUGGAUUCAAGUCCCUACGUGAAUGGAUUGUUUUUUUUGUUUUUAAUUUUUGCAUGGGUCGGGUAGGUGGUUGAGUUUGAGUCCAUUUCGAACUUUGGAAAAAGGUGGUUAGUUAUCUGAGAUGGGUUAGUGUUAGUAGAUUUGGAUUUGGUUUAUUUUAAAAUUUAUUAAUUAAUUUGUUAAAAAAUUAAAUUAGUUUUUUCCUAAUUUUUGGCUCACCAUUCUUUCUCUUGUUCUUCUUUAUUCUUUCUUUUUCUGCUACCUUUCAAAUCACGUCGAUUUGUUCCUAUUUUGCUUUUGAGUUUUUCUUUUCUUUCCUUUACGCUCCUCUACGAUCGUGUCUUAAUUCCUUCAUUAUUUUCUCGUUGUUGGCGUUGCUCGUUCGAGAGUGGGUUAGUUUCCGUUUUGAUGUGUUUUUACGAGGUUAGUAAAAGAAAUGCGUUAAUUUUUGGAUUAUGGAGUUGAUCGUUUUUAAUCAAUUCUCCAGUAAGUUGACUCCUUUGCUGUUGUUAUGUGCUAGGUUAAGAGAUUAAUUCUGAUUUGGGCCUGCGUGGUUGUGUAGAUUUUCCAUGUGAAUUCGUUUGGUAUUUUUAGGAUAAAUCAUUCUUUAAGUCGUAUUGCUACCAUCGCUAAUGUGAUGUUUUAAUUUAUGCAUUUAGGAUUUGGUAGUUUUAUGGGUGUUUUCGUAUAAAAAUCAAACCAAGUGUGUAACGAAAAACCCGACAACAACGAGCGACGAAAGUCAAAAAAUUGCACUGUCGACACCACACGGCCGUGUGUCGGGCCGUGUGACAAGCCGUGUUUCAGACCGUGUGCGACACACUGUUUGGGCUAGUUAAGCCGUGUGGAACACACAGGUGUGUGUGAGGACGUGUGCCACGCCAUGUGAGCCACACGGGCUGGCCAUUUAGGCCGUUUGAGACCAAAAUACUAAGGGCACGUUUGGUUUGCUGUAUUGGAUUAGAGGUGUAUUGGAUUAGAGGUGUAAUGGAAUAGAUGUGUAAUAGCAAAUCAACUGUUUGGUUGAAUGUAAUGGAAUAGAGGCGUAAUAGUAAAACUGUGUUUGGUUGAAUGUAAUAGAGGUGUAAUAGCAUAAUGGAGAAAACUAAAAUGACCAGAAUACCCUUAGCAUAAAUUUGUUUUGGUAAAUGAUUAUUGUUAUUGUUAUUUAAAUUUUAAUAAGAUUAUUUAUUAUCAAAAAUAAAUAAUUUAAUCAUAUUUAAACAUAAUUAUUAUUUAAUAUAUUUUAAUUAAAAUAUAUAAUUUAAUAAAAUUCUUAAUAAUUAGCAGAAAUUUGUUUUGGUAAAUUAUUUUAUUUAAAUUUUAAUAAGAUUAUUAAUAUCAAUAAUAAAUAAUUUACUCAUAUUUAAACAUAAUUAUUAUUAAAUAUAUUUUAAUUAAAAUAUAUAAUUUAAUAAAAUUCUUAAUAAUUAAUAUUCUUAUAUGAAUUUACUCAAAUCAUAAUAUAUGAUACUGUAAAAUAUAAAUUAAAAUAAUAAUUAUUAAAUAUAUUUUAAUUAAAAUAUAUAAUUUAAUAAAAUUCUAAUAAUCAAUAUUCUUAUAUGAAUUUACUAAAAUCAUAAUAUAUGAUACUAUAAAAUAUAAUUUGAAAUAAUUAAUAUUAAAUAUAUUUUUAUUAAAAUAUAUGAUUUAAUAAAAUUUAAAAUAAUUAUCUAGAUUCAAAUUUAAGAAUUAUUUACAUGAACAAAAAUAUAAUAUUUGUUUCUAAGUUAAUUAUUUUAAUAAAAUAAUUAAAUAUUUAUAUAACGGUGUUCUCAUCUUUUGGUAUUUUUAUAUGCAAUUUUAAAGAUUGAAUCCAAACUUAAAAGAAUAUUUAUUUGUAAGCAUUUCACCGGUUUACUUCAACUCAAUUAUUGAUUAAUUUUUAAUAAACAUAAAUUCAAUCACUAAUUCUCUUGGCUCCUCUGUUUCAAUAUAUGAAACAUGACUCAAUCACUAAUCCUCAUAACUCAAAGGUGAGCCAGAUGGUCCAUCAGGGGGUGCAGAAGCAGCAUGAGUCAAAGCAACUAUGGCAUUUUUCCAGAAAGAGGAGCCAAGAGAAUUAGUGAUUGAUCUUAACAAUGGCAGAUCAUUAAGAUCCCGGGUCUGGCUGUCCAACCGAUCAACAUAGACUACAACAUCGGGGGGACACUUCUUUAUGUAUUGCUUUAUAGAAGCUAGGACUUUGUGAUUGGCACCUUGCUCCAUGGCAGAAGAUUUCAAACCUGGGGUAUCAAUGAUUCUCAGUUUAACACCAUCUACCAUUCCAGUAAUCUCUUUCACUACUGUAGUGGCAGGUUCAAAUGCAUGAAUUGAGGUCUUUGACUCACCAAAGAUUGAAUUUAUUGUGGCACUCUUGCCCACCCCAAUCUUCCCAAGCACAAGCAUGUUUAUGGAGAAGCUUAAAUCAUCUUUACCCUCUGUUUCAAGUUCCAAAGCUUUCCUCUUCGCAGAAUCAACACUAAACAGUUCACUGGUUUGUCUCCUUGCAACAUGUGCCAGUCUAUAAAGAACCUGUGCUGCUAAAGAAUCUUCAGUAGAAAGUCCGAGCCUUUGAAGAAUCCUCAAAAAUUUGACUCUUAUAAGCUGUAACUUUUCCAAUUUUAUUUUAUCUUCUUCUGUCAAGUUGUUGUCAGAAUCUCCCCUACUUGUUACAGCAGGACUAAAUAUGUUAGGCCUGUUUGAUCGAGGUGCGGAUGUUGCAUUUUGCAGUGAGGAUCCUAAGCCUGCAGGACGUUCAACAGUGAAAAGCCUAGAUCCAUCUUGAGAGGUUAUAGUAAUGUUGCCGCCAUCAGAGCCAGCACCAGUUGCUGCUUUCAAGAGGGCUGCCAAAGCAGCAGAAUCAAAUAACUCCUUCCCCUCUCCUUCUUCAUCCGUAUCCCCUUCUUCAUCUGAAUCAACAGCAUUUGUCUGUAUAUGAUUAUGAGAAGUAUCAGCACCCGAGUGAGAACCAAUGGCAGAUCCUCGUUCUAGCUCCUCCAAGAAUUGCUUAGCAGCUUCAGCAUUCUUAAAGAACAUACUUUCAGCCUCUCCAUCAGUCUCUGAGCCUUCAUUCUAAUGCUGCUUCUCUUCCAUUUCACCUUCAAAACUAACUUUUCCAGCCACUGUAGUUUGCUCUACUGACUCAGGCCAAUGAGAUUCUUCUCCUGGCAGGGUUACUGACCUUUUGCUUUGAGAAUCACUAUCUAAAUUCUCUGUUUCAUGAGCUGCCAUUAUUUCUGUAGGUUGAGCAGAACUAUCCUUUGCCUGAAUUCCAUCUCCACCCCCUCCAUCUACUUUCUCAGCAAAUGCUUGUUCCAAAAUAUCUAUGAUCUCCUCAUCUUUGAGAUCAUUUAGCUCAGUCCCAGAAUUGUCUUUACCAAGCAUAACCCCACUGGCAAUAUCAGCUUUAUUCUCAGCAUCAACAGCCAACUCGUCUCCGCCGGAAAACUUCGAACCAUCAGCAUGAUUCAAGCCGUUAUCCAAGCUCGCAUUAUCGUCAACUGGAACCACCUCUGUCUCCUUCAUCACCAAUGUCUCAAUGCCUAAAGCAGCUCCAGUCAAAGGUUUCGCAUCGACAGCCAACUCCUCUUCGCCAGAAAAUUUCGAACCAUCGACUUCAACUACCUGAUGAUCUACUGUUUCUACAAUCAUAGGAUUGAAACCCUUAGCUCCACCAUCUAACACCAAAUUAUUCUCAAAAAUCCCAAUUCUACCUUCCUCUCCACUUUCCAUUGAUAAAACAGAUUGGUCGACUUCUCCAAUGGAACCCAUUUCCACCUUAUCGUCCUUUUCACCAUUACCAACACUAUCAACAUCAACCUUCCCCAUCGAACCCUCACCUCUAUAUUCCUCUAAACCAUUAUCGCCAUCCCCAAACGAGUCCUCAUUCAAAAUCACAUUCGAACCAUCAGAACCAACAAAAGGGGCAUCACUAACAUCCCUCACGGUCGGAAUUACUUCAUCAGGGUCAGCCAUAAAUGGCCUCUCGGGUACUGUUUCAAACUUCCCCUCACCAUUCUCGUUACUAUCAUUAGUUUUACCAUUCCCAUUAUCUUCCAAAGUACGUUCACUUACUGAACUAGUUACAAACUCAGAAUCAUCAUUCGAAGUUAAAGAAGAAGAAGAGGAAGAAGAACCUGGAGAGGUAGAGAGCGACUGAGAAGUGAUUUCCGGGGCAGAAAGCAAGGCGUCCAUGGUUGAAAGAGAGGAAAGGGAGAUAGAGAGAAUUGGGUUUUAGGAUAUGGAAUGAAUUUUGAGUGGCACACAGAGGGAGCAAAUCGGCAGAAAGGGUAAAACAGGGAGGGGAAACCGAAGGGGCAACUAAUCUGCAGAAAAGAGGGGGAUUAGAAAUCGGUGGUUUUCACCGAUUAGGAAGGUAAAGGAUUACACCCGUAUUAGAAAUACAUCAAACCAAACGAUGGAAUACAGUCGCAUUAGGUGGGGCCCACCGAUUAGGGGUGUAUUGGCUAUGCCAAUACACCCAACCAAACAUGGUGUAAAUUUUUCCCUAGGGUUAUACACAUCGUUAUGAUCGAUCGUAGGCCUUUCGUGGGGUCGAUAUAUAAUCAAAUAGACUGUAAAGUAUGAAAUCCGGUCAACUAAUAGUAUAAAUUCUGAUAUCUGUUCAUAUAUUUGAGAUGUUAUUUGUUCAAUAAACCUUGUAAUAGGCUAUGAGAAACUUGAGAAAUAUUAUGUAUGCUUUGUAUCUGUUAUGUCAUACAUGUAUAAUGUAUUAUGUCUGAUUUUGUUCUAUUCUUUUCUGUAUUUGCAUCUGGGGUGGGUUAUAUUAUGUGGAGGAAGCGUUUCUUUGAAUGGCGAUAAUUCGCCUAUUACACUGGCAGCUCAGCUACAAAUAUUCUGAAAAGUGUCAUAUCAACACUAAGUGGUGUGCAGGGCUGGAUGAGUGUUUCAUACCCCAUAUAGUGUGUUGGAAAGGUCGGAGAUAGUGUUAGCGGAUGGGGGUAGGAAUAUAUGUCUGUAUCUGUACUGCUCUAAUAUGAAUAUGUUCUGCUAAAUCUAUCUUAUACAAAAUAAAUAUUUAAAGUUAUUCGUUAUACAUUGAGUUUUGUAAACUCACUUUCUAUUUGUUUGAUAAUUUUAGGUAUUCCUCAGACUUUGGCAAAUCGGUGUGAAAGAACUUGGUUAAAUUGAUUUAGUUUCAUUAUCUAUUAUAAUUAAAUUUUGGGUUAUUGUGUUUCAUUAUUUUUGGACUGUUGGGAAUUUUUGGAUUGUUUUGGUUUUUGAGAUUUUAUUUUCAAUUUUUGCAUGAUACUAUUAAAAAUGUUUUAUUGGAAAUGUUUGUUUUCCUGCAAAACAACUAAUUUCAGACAAAUAAACUUAGUUUUCCAAACAUAAUGAUAUGAGAAUUUUCGCUUUUAAGUAUUCAUUUUAGAAAAUGUAAGCAAACAUCGUUUCAACUAUAAAGUUAAGUUAGAUGUAUUUUUCUCUUAAAUCGAGGUUUAAGUAAUAAAAGUUUACGACAUUUUUCCAAAUUUUACAAAAAAUUGGAUUUACAAUUGUUUUAUGUAACAUCUCCAGAUUUGGUCAUAACAUCUAGUCGGAUUUCGGGUGUUACAUUUAGUGAUAUCAGGUCAGGUUGCAAAACUCAGGCUGUGAACUUUUUGGUUCAAAAUUUUGUGAAAACUAUUUUUCGAGUAAAGUUUGUCGAAACCACUUUUUCGAAACAAAAAAUAGCGUCGACUUAAAAAAUGAAAAUUGGAGUCGCCACCAGUCUUUUUUAUUUAGGUGUGAUCGGAUCACCUCCUAAUUUAAUCAUUUAAAUAAAAGUUAAAAUUUACUAAAACGAUUAAUGGGUUUAAAAAACCUUUUUCUUUACAAACAUUAACAAUAAUAAACGAACAUCGAAGAAAUAGAAAAGAAAAAAGAAAUCGAAAAGAAAAAAAAUUAGAUUUCAAAUCACCUCUCAAAAAUUUAAUUGCUUUCUGAUUUCUUUGGUAUCUUUUUUUACUGAUUUCUUAUUGUUCGCGUAAAAAACUUACAAAGGUCUUUUCUUCCGUUUUAUAGGCAAAAUAUGAAAUAAAUAAAAAAAUACAAUAUAUGUUUUUUCUGUGUUGCUUUUCGUCCUAUUUGUAGGUACGAAGACCAGCUAGCGCUGUACAGAGGCGGUGCAGCACGUGCUUGGCUGAGGUGACUAGAGGCGUGCGGUGGCUGGGUCUGCUGUGUAGUUUAGGGUUUCUGUUGAUUUUUGGUUAUUGGGCUGGGGUUUAAUUUGGGCUUGGGAUUGUGUUUGAUUUUUAAUCUGUAAAUGGACUUUUUAAUAUUGGACUUUUAUUUUUUAUUUGGAUUAUUAUUAUUUUUUGUGUAUGCGGGUCCGGGCUCUACAAAGUUCAUUUCUGGAUUAAUCUGAAAAUUAAUUAUGUGAAGUACCGAGUCUCUGACGUUGAUCCUGUAAGUACUUCUGACUUAGAAAAAUUUUAGUUUAGAAAACUCUAAAAUGAUUAGAACUGUAGUUGGAUAGUUAGAGACAGAAACAUUUCUAUAAAUUCUUUUGAUAACUUUUUGAGUAUAAAAUAUCUACUAAUAAAUACUAAAAUUGAUACAUAAAAUUCAUAAUAUAGGUAAUAUAUACGAUGAGUACUCGUGGAACACAUGGACGUGGUAACCGUAGGCGUGGCAGGCGCCGAAGAGGGGCUCGAGCUGAGUCAUCCUCGAUAGGUACCUGAUAGGCUAUCGCUGGAGAGAGCAAUAGUCUUGAGAGAAGAAAUUUGAAGAUCGAAGUCGGAAUCUGACCUUUAAGGCCUUUAAUUGCUUGAAUAAUAAGCAUUUCCAAACUAAAAGGAUUACAAUUUCUUCAAGAAUUUGACCUGCAGACAUAGUUGAAACAUGAAGGUGUUAAAUUACCUAUUUUGUUAGUGUAAAUCAAAGAGGCUUUUUAUUUUUAUUUUUCGUUGUGAAAUAAUAUGGAUAUGUUAGAUUCUAAUCAUAUUUAAGUAUAUAUUAGUUCUUGAAGAGUUCUUAUUUUUGGUAUUUAUAUUGCAAAUAAUUUUUUUAAAUUAAGAAAAAAGGGGGGAGGGGCAAAUGUGUUUAAACUAAAGACAUCAAGGAGAGUUGUGUCAAAUUCCCAAUGCUUUUUGGAAUGAUCCCACUAAAUUGAUUAACAGACAAUUCCAAAAUUUGAAAAUUGCAGCAUUUGUCUAUACUUGAUGGAAUAGAACUUGAUAAUUCAUUUCUACUGAUCAAGUAAAGCUCUUUAAGCUUGGGAAGAUGGACACACAAAUCAUCAGGCAAGCCACCAGAAAGACUAUUAUCACGUAAAUGAAUCCUUUUCAAAGAAGAAAUGUUAAACAUGGUGCAACCUGGCCAGGUAAUUGAUAAAAUUUUGAUUUAAUCCCUUAAAAAAUAUAAAAAUAUAGACUAUUAAAAUGGUAAAAUUACAUUUUUACUAUUGUAAAAAUUACAAUUUAAUUUCACUCCUAAAAAGAUUUUCUGGCUUCGACCCUAAUAAAUUCUUUGGCAAAAGAUUAAAAUAAAAUUAUACCGUAAAUGAAAAAAGGAAACUAUAAGAAAAUCCAAUCUAACAAAGAAAAUAACUUGAUGUCCAAAAGCUACCAUAAACCGUAAUUCAUGGGAAGGCUUGUUGCUCAUUUUAUUGGUUUCCAUUUUGAUUUUGCAAAAGAAGCUUGAAUUUUGAAGAGAGCCUACUACGUGAGAGCAAAAGAAAAAAAAAUUGUUUAUUAAUUUUUAGGAAUACCGAAAUAUUAUAUAUAUGAUUAAAAAUGUUGAAUUAAAGAUAAAAUUAAGUGUGAAUUAAUAACCACAAGUGUACUUAUUACUCACCAUCUCUGUUAAAAAUGUUGGAUGUUGUUUAGCAACCUUUGUUUGAUUUUCUUCAGCUCAACCACAACAUCUUUCAUAUCUUUUCUUUCUUCUGGCAACUCAGCUGAACAAUUCAAAGCCAACUCCAUGAUAGAUGUAAUACAAUUUGCUUUAACGACAAUGUACUCAUCCUCUCUUCUUAAUAAAUCAACAUCUGCAAUUUCUAUCGCUCCUUUAGGCAAUGAACUUUCCAUCCAAUGCCUUAUACUCUCUUCUUCAACAAAAACAUUAUCAGUAGGCUUUUUCUUCGUGAAAGUUUCUAUAAGGACGACCCCAUAACUAUAGACGUCAGAUUUUAUAGAAACAAUUCCUGCUGAUCCAAAUUCUGCAUUCAAGUAUAAUUAGAACGUCAUUCAUCCUCAAUUAUUUCUAAAAUGCUUAUUCAAAUAUAUAUUCACAUCCACAUGAAACAAAAAUAUAAAAUGCAUAUUAGGAAAAUAAUCAUACAAAAAUAAAAAAGAAUUCACCUGGUGCCAUAUACCCGAUAGUUGCAAGAGUCAUGGUUUGCUUCAUUACUUCACCUUCCCCCAACAAUUUGGCAACGCCAAAAUCUCCAACAUGUGCAACCAUGUCUUCAUCUAGUAAAAUAUUGCUUGGUUUUAUGUCACAGUGAAUUAUAGGUGUUGGAUGUCCAUUGUGGAGGUGUUCUAUAGCUACCGCAACAUCUAUCAUUAUAUCGACCCUUUGUAUGAUAU
Molecule: long non-coding RNA, 291090 nt
Filed under: Gossypium barbadense (sea-island cotton)
Lineage: Eukaryota; Viridiplantae; Streptophyta; Magnoliopsida; Malvales; Malvaceae
Description: long non-coding RNA (GBAR_LNC016635)
Source: RNAcentral